UUCUAACAGGAAUCUGCAUGUGGCAACAGUUGCCAGAUCCACAAUUCCCCAACUUGAAAUACAUAGUUGCACACCGUGAGAUAGUGCUGCAAUCUACUGAGAUCUAACUUAUAUGAUACUUUAAGCUACUAAUGUUUGCAUAUUUCUACAUGUUAAAUUGACACUACCAUCUAUAAUCACUCUAAAACGACAGAUGAUAAGCAGCUUUUGGCUACUUAUUACUAGCAUCCACAAUUAAUUUUUGUUCAGCAAUCAGCUUAUUUUAUAGAAAUUGAUUUAGUCAGCAACAAACACUAUAAUCCUUGAAAUUAGUUCUUGUUCUUUGUAAUUUUCUAUGAUUUUUCAUACAUCAAUUAAUCUGCAGUGCCAAGAUGAGGUUUGGUUUUUCAAACUAAAUAAUCAAGUAGCAAAAAUACAAAUUUAGAGAUUAGGGGGUGAACUAGCUAGGUGGUUUACAAAUAUUCCUAUUUGUAAGGUGAAUUAAUUGAAUCAUGAGAAAACAAUGUGACCAUAGCUCAAUAUGAGAUGAUUUCGGAGAGGCAUAUUGUUUUCAAGUGAAUUUGAUCCAUUAAGAGAUGAAGUGGAUUGAAGUGGAAAGUUUAAAUAACAAAUCCUUGUUCUUGAGUUUUACGACGUUGUUACUCCUUCAGGUGGCAGAUUAUGCAAGUGAAUUCAAAAACACAAUGCAUCAAUCACGGGGAUGCUACACCAAAAGACGGGAUCAUAGUCUAUGCAUUGAACAGUUACAGUUGCUGCUACCAAUUGACUCGGCAAAGAUCAAGAAGACUGAACGGGAAGUUAAUGCCAUCAAUGUCGUCUUCACUAUAGCUGCUGGGAAUGUAGGUGAACUUUCCUCAUUUGCGGCUGUCUAUACAUAGGCUUUUCCCCAGCUUAAGUACAAAUAAAUGAACCUGCUUUGAAGGCUUUAUUAUUGACCACAAUAAGGAUUACUAAUUGAAGAAGACUAUACGGAGUUAAUCCCACACUUUCGUUCUCUCAAUUUCUUUCAGAAGUGCCUCUGAAAAUAGCUGCCAAACCGUUAGUCAGCUUGUUAGACUCUGUUUUCUGGAAACAGAGCCCUAACUAACUGACUGUACAGAGUAAGUCAACAUAGCAUAUUUAAUCGUUUUAAUUGAAUUGUCUUCGUAGCGAUCAUCAACAAACUCAUCAUGAGAUUUUUGAAGCACCCAAGGACUAUCACUGGGUUUCUCUUCUGGUUGAUUAAUUAAUUAAUCAAAGAACGGUUGGAUACCCAAGGACAAUUAAAAUUAUUCGACUUCUGGAACUGGGAAUGAAGUGCAAUGAUGGAGCAAAAUUUACAAUGUCUCCGGUUUCUCCUACCAUCGGACUUUUGCAGUGAGAACAUAUAACAAAAAGGCCUUCAUCAAAAUUUGUAGACUCCGGGUAUGGAUUGGAUCGAUUUUUUUGUUUGAUAUUGAAGAACCUCUUUACUAUCGCGAUAUAGAUUAUGUGCAAGGAGUUGUCUACUGUUCUUUGCCUUGUGCUAUGAUCGGUGCUCUUGAGGCUGCCCUGAAACACAGGAAAAUACUUCGAUAUCCUCCGUUCGAUGAUGCAAAGAACCGGUUAAUGUAUGAUUACCUAAUUGACUCAGGAUCAGGUAACAACAACAACAAUUUAUUAAUAUCACAAACGAAGAAGAUCGCGGAGAGGGAGAUGUAUGCCUAUACUGUUUACAGGUUUGAUCCAUUGGGGAUGAAGUGGUCUCAAGUCGAAAGUGAUUUAUUAAACAACAAAUCAUUGUUCUUGGGUUAUACCUCAUGAUGUCAUCAAGUGGAAGAUUAAGAUUAUGCAAGACGAAGAUCGUUUGAUAUUGAAGAAUUUGAACAGAAAGCCCAUAGAAAGUACUUAAAAAAGCAUAUUCUUGUUGGGGUAGAAUAUUGAGAAAGGAGUUGUCUACUGUGUGUUGCGUGAUUAUGCUAUGAUCUGUGCUUUGAACAUUGCCCUGAAAACAGUGGAAAAUACUUCAUAUCCUCGACAUGAUGAUAAAAAAUUGGUUACCGAUUACGUAACUGACUCAGGUGACAACAAUCCAUUAAUAGCACAAUUUGAGGUGAUGCCGUUUAGGUAUAUGGUUAACAGGUUUGAUUCAUCAAUGAUGAAGUGGGCUUAAAUUAAAAGAUCAUAUAAUAAGUCGUUCUUCUUGGGCAUAUCGUCAUUACUACUUCAAGUGAUCAAAGAUGAAGAUGAAGAUGAAAAUUGUGCAAGUGAGUUCAAGAAUACCAUACAUCGUUACUUGGGAUACUUCUUCAAAUAUGGAUGGGGUCAUAAUUUACUCCCACGAAUUUCAACCCAAUUUUAUGAUUGGAGUGUCCCACCAUGACUCAGAAAAAUUUUGAUUCAACCUCCUCCACCAAUGGAUUUUGAAUAGUCACUUUGUGAUCAAGCAACUUAAUUAAACUCAGAGAGUCAGAGUUCGAUUUUGCUGGCACCGCAUUUUCUUUAAAAUGUGGCCAUGUAAGGAGAGCGGCACAUAAUGUCACUUCCUUAUCAAGCACUUUAAAGAGGGAUUUUAGAAGAAGAUACAACUGCAAUUGUUUUCGUAUGUAUAUAUAUAAACAACAGCACACAUUCAGUUCAUAAAAGAAAUUUUUGCUAACCAUGAUAUGUGGUAGUGCUUUUUAGGCAAUUUAGAAACAGAGUUGUUCAACUUACAGCAGGUAUUCUCCUCAAGUUCGACGUAAAUACAAAUAUUAAUUAGAAUCCAUAUUAUAAUGACACACAUAACUUGCUUCAAAAUUAUCAGAAAUUAAAAUUGCUGAUUCAUAAUGCAGAUAACUUGGAUGAAUUGAUGUUAAAGGAAAAAUCACACGCAUAACUUGGAGAGCAAUUGCGACAGCAGCCAAGUAUAUAUUUUUAUUUGAGAGUUGAGAAGAAUAUAUUUAAUGAAGCUUGAUAACAUUUGAUGGGAUAGCAAGUAAGGGUAAAUAAGAUAUUUUUAUUUGUUAUUUAUUUGAAUUAUAUCUAUUUUGUUCAAGUUAAAAUACUAAAUAUAAAUUGGAGGUAGACAUUUUAACAGAUCAUCUAAGCUCUCAAAUCUGAAAUUUUGUGUAGAUUUAAAUUCAUAAUUUUAGUUAAUUUUCAUUCAUUCAUAUAAACAAAUUUAUGAGAUUUUUCUUUUCAGCAUGUUAUAUUUUGAAACUUUCAAUGUAUUAUUCUAGCUUUAUUUAAACAAUUAAUUUAUUUAAUUUUGAAUUUGAUCAGUAGUAAAAUUAUUUUUAUAUCAAAUUUUUUUUAUUUAAAUAGUUCGUGGAUUGGACAAAAUUAAAAAAUUUUAAUCUACAAAAUGGUGGAUUAGAUAUGAAUUGGGUUAAAUCCACAUUCGAUUUGCAGUCGUAUGAAUUUGAUUUGGAUUGAAUUUCAUCAAUCCAUGGAUUAGAUUGGAUUGAAAAUUUAUUAUCCGCAAAAUCGUGGAUCGAAUAUGGACUGAUGUCCAAUCAGCAAAAUCCGAUCCCCGAACACGCCUCUAUCAAAAUUUUCAAGAAUAUGUUUUAUCUUACAAAUUUUUUUUUAAAGUCAUAAUCUAAUGGCAGCCCAAUUUUAUAAAGUCACACACAACCAUUCUUAUUAAAUUAGAAAGAUCAAACACUGCACUGGAUCUUGAACAGAUCAACACAAGUUGCACAACUUGCGAUUGAAUCCGGCCUGAAACAAUCAACUCUUUAGCAAGAACAAUUAAUCAGAGUCAAGAAACAAGUUUAAUGAAUAUAAACCUAUAAUUGAAACAAACAUAGCAAAGAAAAAAAAUACAGAUUUUACACGGUUCAGUUGUACCUAGGAUGGCACAACCUACACCACGAGAGAAGCUUUCUGGUGAGAUUUUAUUGAUGAUCAAAGAAGAAUCUUUUGACAAAGCUAAUAAUAGAGAUUUCAGAGAAUAAGCUAUAACCUCUCUCCCUCUUCAAUCUCUCUCUAUUUUGUUCCCAUUGAUGACCCCAAUCUGCUUAGUUAGCCAGCUUUAUAGCUGCAUCAGUAACAAACCAGCAAACCCAGAUUGAGCAGAUUGACGACACGUGGAUAACGGCUUUAACGAACCUGGUUAAGAACUGCUCACAUGUUCGUCACGCGUACUGCUUAAAUGAUGGCCAAAACGACUUCAAACAAAUGUCGUUUUGAGGCUUAUGAAUUACAAGUGAUAACACGAGAUUGUCUCAUGACUUUUAAAUGCAACAACGUGCCCAAAACGCUGUCGUUUUACUCUGUUGAGUUUGAUUCAUUACUAAGCUUUACGACUGGCAAUGGAGAAGAUGAUAAUUUAAUUGAUAUGGACAGUUUUUAUAUCACUUUUACAAAAUCCUAUGCAAUUGUAAUAUUGGGAAUUAUUGAUGUUUUAUAUGUGAAUCCUCAUUGGCAAAAACUAGUGGUUUUAUCUUUGUUGAAAUGUAGAUUACCUCUCGUUACUAUUUUAUUAUAAACAUAUAGUUUCGUAAGUGAAACUAUAUAUUUAUAAUAAAAUUAACAUAUAGUUUCGUUACAUUUCUGCCUCAUUAAGAUUCUCAAAUACCAGUCAGGUUUGCUUAAGAAAUAAAAUUUUUCCAUUAAAAUUGCAGUAGUAUUUCCAAGCAUAUCGCAUUUUCUAUGAUUUUUCAUAAAUUAAUUAAUCUGCGGUGCCAAUAUCAGAUUUAGUUUUUCAAACUAAAUAAUCAAGAAAGCAAACAUACAAAUAUACAGUUUAGAGGGGUAAACUAGGUAGGUGGUUUAGAUUUUAGAACUAAGCCAGCUACCUCACUAAAUUCCGAUUCGUACAGUGAACUGCAAGAAAUUGAGAAAACAAUGUAUUUAUAAUUUAAUAGAAUCAUAAGAAAACAAUGUAGUCAUUGCUCAAUAUAAGAUGAUUUCGGAGAGGCACAUUGUUUUCAAGUUAAUUUGAACCGUUUAUAAGAGAUGAAGUGGAAUGAAGUUGAAAGUUUAAAUAACAAAUCCUUGUUCUUGAGUUUUACGACGUCGUUACUCCUUCAAGUGGCAGAUUAUGCAAGUGAAUGCAGAAACACAAUGCAUCAUCCGCGGGGAUGAUACAUCAAAAGGCGGGGUUUGUUUAUGCCUGCAGAUUAGCAAUUUCACUCAUAUCGAAAAUUAAUUUUUUAUAUAUACUAAUCAACACUAAAUUGAUUAUGUGUUGUAUGUUUAUAUGCUAAUCAACACGAAAUUAUAUUGAAUUAUUAACAUUCAUAUUCCUAAUAAAAAUUAUUUUCCAUCAGUAUUCAAAAUUUUCACUUAUAGAAAAUGCGUUUUACGUGAAUACUAGUUAUUGUGUAAAUUUGAAUGAUAGCGAAAAAUAAACCUAUUUGAAAACUGUAAGGGUGUGUUGGGAUAUUUUACAACUGUCGGAAUCUGGUAGGAUAUUGCACCAUUUGCCCAAUAUUUUUAGACGUACUCCAACCGGUAUUCAAGAUAAGUAAAAUUUACAAGCGUGGCAAAAUAAAAAAAAUUAAAUUCGUAAUUUGUAAACGAAUUUUCCUGACAUGUAUAGUAGAUGAAGUUGUUGACCCUUUCUUUGGAUUAUUUCAGCUCUGGUUGUUGGUCACCGAUGAGCCGAAGUCUUAUUUUAAUUCUAUUUAAACUCAUCAUAAGAUUCGUGGAGCACCUAACUAACUUAACUGACUGUGCAGAGCAUCUCAACAUGGCAAAUUUAACCAUCAUUCAAGUGAUGGGUUUAAUAAGACUGCUUUUGUUCUACCAAGUUCCUCCGCCUCUAAGCAGAAUUACUAUUGAAGGGCCAAAUGGAAAAUGAAAACGUGUGAACAACAACAACCACCCCACAAAUUCAAUGACGAUGCUCGGAGAGGGUUAGGUUGGGCCUCUGAGAAAAAAAAAAAUUAUUUAGUUAAAAAGUUACCCUUAUUGAAACCUGUAUAAAAAUUUUAUAUUAAUUAGUUAUGUUGCCUCUUCAACUAUGAUCAAAUUUUUAUCUGAGCUCAUCAUUUAAUGAGUAAACAUGUAUUUUAAUGAUCUCAAUUAAUAUUUAGAACAAAUAUUUUAAGAAGUAAAGCUCAUUAUAUCCCCCAUUAUUAUGUAUCUCUGUAAUGUAUUGAAUUAGAAGAAAAAAAAAAUUCAACUCACUCAAAAAAAAAAAAAUGCUGGUAGCUUCGUAAUAAUUACUGUCUUGACUGCACCAGAUAAAGUUUUGUAAAAGAAUUCUGAUAUUUACCCCGGGUCAAACCCCGAAAAUAACUUAAACGGUGUCGUUUUGAUUUUUUUUUUUUUUAUACUCCAAAACGUUCUUACCAUUUCCGUUUCACUUACCAUUUAAUGCUCACAACUCAAAUAAAAAGCCCAGAAACUAGAAUCAAACUUUACAGAAACUAGAAUGCCCAGAAACGUUGUAUAGCAGGAACGUAUGUAAAGAGAGUAAACAAGAGGGAUUAAACAGAACAUACGUUUUCUUCACUUAUUAUUAGCAACAAACACCCUACACAACACACAUUUAAUGCUCACAACUCAAAUAAAAAGCCCAGAAACUAGAAUCAAACUUUACAGAAACUAGAAUCAAACAAUACACAUUUCAUUUCUUCAAGGUUAGGGAGAGACUCAGGGGAGUGAUUAAUUAACAAAAAUAAGAAUAAUAAUACCAACAUUUGUACAGGUCAAAUAAGAAUAAUAAUACUCAACCUAAUACCCAGUAUAUACAAACAAAUGCCCAGGCCAUCGUUCCUAUUUUGCCAUAACCUAAAGAGGAAAAAGCGAAGCACUACCUCAGGCUGUGAACUUUGCCGCUUCGUGAGUUUAAUUUCCCGAACAAGUUUCGGCUACCAGCGUUACCAGUGUUGACGGUGACCGUGGCUGUCAGCGUUGACGGUGACCGUUGGUGGAUCCCGAAUGCCUGGACCUUGGUCGAGGAAGGAAAGUAACGAAUUUUUUGAACAAACGAAGAAACGAAGCACCGAAGAGAUUUACGGUCAAACGGAACAAGACCAACUUGCUCUUCUAUCUAUGGCUUUCCCAGUUGAAACGAAGAAACGAAGAGGAAGAGGUUUAAUUCUUCUCAAAAUCGUCCAUCAGAAACGGCAACGUUUUGGAGUAUAAAAAAAGAAAAAAAAAUCAAAACGACGCCGUUUAAGUUAUUUUUCGAGUUUGACCCAGGACAAACAUCAUUUUCCUUUGUAAAAUAAUAAGUUCUCAUUAGUGGUUUUUAAUUUUUAAUUUUUUUUUCGGCACACCUGAUCAAGAAUUCUAUUUUGUUAACUAAUAAAUUGCAAAGCAUAAGUGUUGAACGGUACAAAAAAAUUUGAAAAAAAAACACUUAAAACGUAGGGAAAUGAGAAAUAUAGAAAGAAAGGAAGAAAGUUAAGACAUGAAACUGAUCUGCCGUGAAAUUGAUAAUCAUGUUUCUAUUUCGUUAACUAAUCAAACGGAAAACUGGAACUGUAAACAAACAUUAACACGUGUGGACUCUGCUAGCUGCCCUACAAGUCUACAAUAAUAAUUGAGUACCUUUGAUUCAUCCUUCUAUGAAUUUCUAGCUGUAUUGACCCCAACUGCUAAAGUUUUGUAAAAUUAAAAAAAAAAAAAAAAAAAAAAACUGGAAUUUCAACAAAAUUCAAAACGUGAGAAAUUUAAUUUUUGGCCAUGUGGAACAAAAUGUAAAUUACGGAAAAAGUAUAAAUCUCAAUUGCUUAGUAUGGUUAGGUUUUGUGAGCAUCACUAGAAAGUGAAAACUAUGAAUGAUAGGGGUGAUGUUUGCAACAUGAAUAAACGAUGAACUGAUUCAAUUGAUGAUCGUAAUUAUAUAAUGAGCAAAAUUUACAAAAUCAACAAAAGUUAAUAAAAAUUUAUUUUAAUAAUAAAACUUAUUAUUUAACGGCGCUCUAACCAUGGAGUACCAUAAUCAUAUUCUUCUUUUAAGAAAAUUAUAACUUAUUUCAAAUAGCACCAUAACAUAAUUCUAGAUAUUUAAAAGAAAAGCAUUAUUCACCUGAAAUGACUUGGAAGUCUAAAGAAAAAGAGGGAGUGGCUCCCCACAAUUUUCUUGUUUUCAGUAUAUUUUCUUUUUAAAAUCUUUUGACUCAUACAUAAUCUACCCUCGUUCAUUAUCUCUAUUUUGCUCUGUUCAAGUCCCUUUUUUUUCAAAUCUUAGUUUAAAUAAGAAAAUUGAAUAAAAGUACAUUUGUGUAAUUAAUUAGUAUCUGCGGGGGAUAUUUGGUGUAAUGUUUUGCUAUGUAAGACUCAGCUAUUAUUAAAUAGUUCCUUAACCUGUUUCGCAGUUUAUUUGCUAUCUUUGUGGAUCUCAUAGGCGUUGCAGAAUUUAAUAAUUUUAUUCGUCAGAAGAAUAGGAUAUUGGCUUCAAUAAAUUUAAUUUAAACCAACUUUUAUUUACUCCAUCAAUUAAUUAAUGCCAUUUGGUUUUGAAAAAUUCAAUAAUUAAAUUCUCACGUUUCAUGUGUUUGAAGUUAAAUUAUUCAUGGGUAAUUAUCACAAACCUCCCCUGAAGUUUGAUGUAUUAUCAAUUUGAUAGAUUGUAUUCGCGUAUUCUCAGCCACCUCCCCUUAAGUUAGUACACCGUUUAGUAUAAGUUUAGUGAGUGAGGGCAAGAUAGUAAUAGAACUCGUUAAUAAUAAAAAAUUCAAACAAACUUAAAAAUAUCAAAUUGGAUUCUGAAAUUGAUUUGAAUUUUGUUAAUAUUCCAAUGGGUAAAAACAAAAACAUGAUUUUAACCAACAGACAAUAUUAUAACAAAAAAAUGAGAAAGGAAAAUGGCAUCUUCUUGCUCCAUUCAGACAAGAGCUAACAAGAACAACGCCCCUUUCAUCUCUACUAUACUUUAAUAGAAAAAGGGUGCCACGAUCGGGAGACCAUGACGAUGAACUCGAAGACGCCGAUAGCAGGGACGACCGAAUCACGAACGCCAGGUGGAAGAAUGUUGACCAGUGAGUUUCCAUGUUGACCCACAGACAACCUCAGUUUGUUCGAGCCGCGAAUGAGGUAUGAAAAUGCUUAUUACUGUGCAUGUCAGUUUUAUUAGAUGGAAUUAAUCAAUUUGGUAAAAAUGAGUAAUGGGUCUCGACAAUUUUUUGAGAGUAUCUAUGUUGCUUCCAUUGUUUUCCAUCGAUUGGGUUAGUUGUAGGUUAAUGAUUGUUGUAAAUGCAUGUUCACCUGAUUUUGAUUGAAGAUGGCUUCAGCUACAUUAUGCUGCCUUGUGAAUGAUUGAAGAUGGGUAUGAAAAUUUUUUAAUUGUUUAAGCUAUUGCCACUGAUUGUUUGGAUUCAUGCUAGUUUUUAUUAAAUUACAGAUGUAAUUAAGUGUUGGAGAUUCCUUGUGCCGCAAUAUUAAUAUUUUGAGGAUACUUGAUUUUGUUUUUUUUUCUUUUUAUCACGAUAUGUACAUGUCUUGGUUGAAAAAAUGUCAUGAUUUGCUGCAUUCUCUCACACUGGAGCAGUGAGUUUAGUGGUUUUAAUUCUUUUCUUCUCUUUGACUAUGGCUCUACUUCACUGCAUUCAGAUGUCUUUAUUUGUCCAGCGUCAAAUGAUAAAGGAACAUAGUCUCCUUUUGAUUUCAGUUUGUCUUUCUGUUUUGCAGCCAAGAGGUUCUAACUACCAUCGAGAGUGAAAGGCUCUCCAAGUCAAGGCACAUAGCUCCUGCUGCUCUUGUUACUUUCCCUGAAGAUUUUGAUAAUGGGCUGGUGAUUAUUUAGUUUGGUUUCAAAUUAUGUUCUCGACAUUGUAUUUUGAAAUAUUUGGUUGGUGAGAUAAAGUUUAUUAUUAUAUCUCUAAUAUGUGAGAUGGGAUAUUUCAAGAUGGUAUUUUGGUUACAAUGUUUUAUUUGGUAUUUACAAUGUAAUCACAGCUCUUGGCGCUAAAACGGAUAUGACUAGCCAACAAUUCUUUGAUUUGUGUGAACGAAGUAUUUUUUUUCAACACAAGGGUAUUUUGGUCAUUUUGUCAAGUAACAAACAGUCAACUAAAUGGUAUACUAACGUUAGGGGAGGUGGCUGAGAAUACACAAAUACAAUCUAUCAAACUGAGAAUACGCUAAACCUCAAGGGAGGUUUCUGAUAAUUACCCAAUUAUUCAUUAACUAGAACUCUGUUCAAAAUUGACUGUCUUGUGGUUCCCAAAUGUAGUUGUAAUAUUGAAUGAAGGUAAAAACUUUCUAUGCGAGUUUAAAUCUAAAUCUGGACAAUGAAUUUUGACUUUCUCAAUGCUAUCCUAAUUACAAAAAUUAUAUUAAUUGAUUUAUUGUUACAGUUACUAGCCUUUUAAAAUGGAUGAAUUUAUUGUUUCCGUGACCAAAUUAUGCCUGCCUAACGGUGCAACUAUUAAAAAAACUAAUAUUUAAUGCAUAUGUUAAAAGAUUUAAAAUUUUAUGCAUUUAUUAAUUGUUAUAAUCUAAAAAAAAAUAAUUAAUUCAGGUCAAUCUGAGUUGGUGCAUCUGCAGGAGCCUUUUUUUUAAAUUUUUUUCCCCUUAUUGACCAUAAUGACAUCUCCUUCAACAUGACUAUUGACUAGGAGCAUGUAAAAACAUGGAAACAGAAUUUCCACAAAAAUGUCAAACGUGUGGAACUUAAUUUUUGGCCAUGGGGAACAAAUGCAAAUGAAAGAAAAAGGAAAAGACGCCUCUAAGAUUUGUUUCAAUGGUUUACAUUGACUCUUUAAUUUAAUUUAUAGUAACACAAUUUUUUUUUGUACAAAUAUAUAUUAUUCAUGUUUUGUAUUAUUUUUUAACAUCAUAUUUUUAUUUAUUAUAAAUAUUUAAAAUUAAUUUUUAGGUUGAUAUUUAAUAAAAGGGUAUAAUCGUUCUAUCCAUUUCUCAUCUCGCGAUCUCUCUCAAUUAUCCUUUAUUGAUAUCUCAAAGCGCGUUGCUGUGGAAAAUUGUAGCAAAAUGAAAAAUUGGAAAGAAAGGGAAGAAAAUUAUUGCUUGGAGAAAACAACCAAAUAAGUCAACUGGUCUUUAGUGAGAACAUAUCAUUUGUUUUGAUAUUGAAGGACCUACUUCUCUGCCGCGAUGUAGAAUAUGUGAAAGGAGUUGUCUACUGCUCUUUAGGUCAUAAUAAUGUGAUUGGUGCAUUCAACGUUGCCCCGAAACACUGGAAAGUACUUCCAUAUCCUCCGAAUGAGAACUGAUUUAUAUAUGAUUUCCUAAUUGACUCAGGAUCAGAUGACAACAACAACUUAUUAAUAGUUAUAUCAAAACGGCAGAAGACGUGUUUUGUUUACAGGUUGAUCCAUUUGGAAUGACGUGGUCUCAAGUCGAAAGUAAUUUAUUGCAUGCCUGUCGUCUAAAGCAUUACCUCACAAGGUUAUAUCAAAGGGUGUUUUACCUCAUCACGUCUUCAAGUAGAGGAUGAAGUCAGCCACUCGGCCUUUGGCCGAGUGGUGAGAGCUGCUCUCCAAUUUGGAGAGCAGCAGUUCGAACCCCCACAAUGUAUUGUGGGGGUCUUCCUUUCUUCAAUUAAAUUUGAGUGAAGGCAGUCUGUUUUUUUACCCAAGUGUGAGUAGCAGACAUCCCUUGAAAGUGUGAGUAGCAGACAUCCCUUGAAAGGAAUGAAGUUAUAGUCUGAUUUGUAAAUAUCAGUUAUAUUCUCAUGUAAUAUGAGUUGUAGUUUGAGCAAUAGUCUCAUGUAAUCAAAAAAAAAAAAAAAAAAAGUAGAGGAUGAAGUCUAUGCAAGUGAAUUCAGGAAUAUUGCAUGCCUGUCGUCUAAAGCAUUACCUCACAAGGUUUUAUGAGAGACGAAAGAUGUGUUUGCUUUGAACAAUUAAAGUUACUGCUACGGACCUCCCCAAAGGUCAAGAAGACAGAACAGGAAGCUAAUGCCAUCAAUGUCUUGUUCAUUAUAGCUGCUGGGUAGUUAGGUGUAGUUUCCUCAUUUGAAGCUGUCUAUACAUAGGCAUUUCCCCUGCUUAUGUACAAAUAAAUGAACAACCUUGAAGCUUUAUUAUUCGCAACAAAAAGGGAUUACUAAUUGGAGAAGACUAUACAGAGUUUCUCUCACACUUUCUCUCUGUCAAUUUCAUCCAGAAGGUCCCUCUGAAAGCUUCUCCCAAAACAGUUAGUCAUCUUUUAUGCUCUGUUUUCUGAAAGCAGAGUCCUAACUAAAUUAAUUGACUGUACAGUGCAUUUCAACAUAGCAUAUUUAACCGUUUUAACAGUUAUUUGGACCGUCUUCAGAGCUAACAUCAACAAACUCAUUCAUAUGCUUAAUAAUGAACGAAUAGUCUUGGAUCGAUGUUUUGCAGCAAGAGCAACUCGACACAAUCUGGAUUCAACCUCCUCCUUUCUAACAGGGGAUUUCGAUUUGAGUUACUUUGUGCUCAAGCAAAUUCACAUCAUAGUUUUGAUUCUUUAGAUAUGAAUUCAUCACAUUACAUGUAUCAGAUUAAGUGUAACAAAAUUUGUAAUUUACUGCGAAAGAAUAUGCACUAAAAAAUGAUUUCAAGACUAUUUGACUAUAAAAAGCAGCUGUCAGAGUGCACUAAAAAUUUCUGUAGGAUAUUUUGUAGCUGUUUAAUAUGUUAUGAUGGGCAUAUAAUUCUCAAAUUUUGAUGCCUCUCAGUGAAAAAUAUAUCAAAGUUUAGAUUAUGUGUUCGAGCUUUAAUAAAUGGUCGGAAAAAAAGCUGCUGUCAGAGUGCACUGAGUUAAUAAUAAUAACAACAAUAAUAAUAAACUAAAAAGCAGAAUUAAUUACUAUUGAAUGGUCGGAAAAAAAAUUGAAAACGUGUGAACUCCAAUAAUCACCCCACAAAUUCAGUGGCGAAUUUUGGCGAGGGCAAGGCCGGGCUUCUCAGAAAAAAAAUUAUUUAGUUACAAAAUUAUCUUUAUUGAAACCUAUAUAAAUUUUUUUUAUAUUAAUUAGUUAUGUUAUCUCUUCAAUUUGGUGAAUAAAUGUGUGUCUAAAUAAUUUCAAAUAACAUUUAGAACAAAUGUUUUGAGAGGUAAAGCUUAUUUUGUCUCGCAUUAUUAGGUGCAUCUAUAAUUUCUUAUUUACAAAAUUAUAUUGUACGAUAAAAAUGUAUUGAAUUAGGGGGAAAAAAGGUCAGCUCACUCAAAAACAACAAAUGGUAUUAGCUUCGCCACUGCACAAAUCUAGAAUAAUAAUGAUUCCUUAUCAUGCUGGGGGAUCCUUUACUUUCUAGCCGUAUUGACUGCACCAGGUAAAGCUUUGUAAAAUAAUAAGUUACUCAUUAGUGGUUUUUAAUCUUUUUAAUUCUUUUUACCGCACACCUGAUCGAGAAUUUUAUUUUGUUAACUAAUCAAUUGCAACGCAUAUACCGCACACAAGAUUGGAAAAAAAAAUCUUAAAAAACGUGCGGAUUCGGUAGCCACACCAGAAAUCUAUUACAAUAAUUCCUGGCCGUAUUGAAGUUUUUAAAAUAACAAGUUCCCCUUCUUGUUUUUUUUUUUUAAAUAUAUAAGCUUAUAACAAUUUUAGAAUAAUGACUCAUUUGUAGAAGAAUUUAUGAUUUCAUAUUAAUAUUAAUAUUGAAGUGGGGUGGGUCAAAUCUCAAUUGCUUGAAGAAUUUAUUUAUUAUUAUUAAUAUUAUUAAUAUUGAAGUGGGGUGGGUAACGGAUAAGCGGUUCACUCAGUUCGUGGCGAAUUAAAUAUUACCAUCCAAGGUAGAAUUGUGGAAAAUUAAAGCAAAAUGACAAGUAUGGAAAGGAAGGCUGAAAGUAAGGCAUGACGAAAGGCUUUGAGAAGGCUGAAGACUACCAAAGAAGACAACUGAAAGAGAGAAUGUGUGUUUUUUAAUAGUUAGAGAUAUAGCUAGAGUGGGUGGCUCAAAAUCCAAAAUGGUGACAAUGUUAGUUCUCGUAUUGGUAAUCUUGGGGGGGGGGGGGGGGGGGGGAACUCAGGGGAGGUCGAGUGAGGGAUGUUUGGAGCAUGAGAAAUUUGAUCUUUUGCGGCUUAAACAUUUCUUCAAUUCCCCUUAUACACUUCAAAACUGGGUAGGUGAACAAAGGGAAAGGGUUGAGUGCAGCAACUCCACAGGCCGCGUGGUACAACUACACCUUGGUCUUACUAUAUCGAUCUGGGAGAGUGGUAUCUGAAUGCUUCUAUAUUUACUUCCUUUCAACAACUUGGUAACAAAAUAGCCGGCUGCAUGCGUUGAGAAUGAAGGUCCUUCAUUUAAUUUAAUUUACUUAAUUUCUCCCUCCUAAUUAAUGUCUAUAACCAUUAGGAGGAACAAGGGAUUUUAUUAACUCAAAUAUAUCUAAUGGAGCUCAUUCUUUGGUUUUACUUGCAGGUCUAGAAGUAGGUGUCAUCUAACAGCUGCUUUAAUAAUUUCCCACCCCUUCAUCUUUGAUGGAAAGAUGAAAUAAAAACAAAAUGGUGAAAAUGGUAUUGGUACCUGAGGCUAUGUAAUCUAAUUCAAAAACUGCACCAUCAAAACGAUUACAUAAGUCUCAGAAGAAUCAAACAUCAGUUUGCAAAAUAUCAAUUGCUGGAGGUUUGAUUCUAACUUCCGCUCUUCAUUUUUAUGGGCAUGUUGUGUUGUACUUGCAUCAGAAAAUCAUAUUUUAGUUUAUUUACACUCAACGCUUGGAUUAAAGUUUUAGAGGGGGGGAUUGAAGAAGACUAGAAUGACACAAAAGAAAGAGUUGAGCGAGUGCCGCUUUUGUCGUCAUUUAAGGAGCUCUUUAUAAAUUUUAGGAUUUUUUUCCUGAGAAAAUUUAUGCCAACUCAUUCUUUGCUUCUUUUCUGAAGGGAUAGAUGCAACCGAAACUAUAUUCUUGAAUUAUCCAGGAUAAGAGACAUACGUUUAGAUUCUCGAGCCUUUAAAACAAUAUCAAAUUUUAGAUUGCCGAAAUUUUAUAUUGCCGAGUAUGAUGGUGUUCCAAUUAUAAGCUCCAGGGUGCAACUUCACUGAGGUUUAGAAUGCCUUCCUAUAGAAUUGAGAAAUCUCCAUUGGCAUAAAUAUCUUUUGAAAAUACUGCCAUCAGAUUUUGAAUUGGAGAACCUGAUUAAACUCAGCUUGCCUUCUAGUAAGGUUAAGCAAAUUUGGAAAAGAGAAAAGGUAUAAUGUAUUACUAUUACCAAAGUAUCUAUUUUUCUUUCUUUAAGUAUUUAUAAUGAAUAACUUUGAAAUUCAAUGAUGGUCAUUUAAUAUAGUUAUGUAUCUUUCAUUAUAGGAUGCUCUCAAGUUAAAAUUUAUAGACCUUCUCCCCCUGUAUCUUGAUAGGAUCCCAGAAAUCCUAAAUCUUAAGAAAAUAAAUCUUUCAAAUUGUGAAAGCAUGCUUACAUUACCCCCGUAUAUCCACAAUUUCAACCAGCUCAGUAUGUUGUGUUUCAUGGGAUGCAAAAUUCAUUUUGUUGCUCAUGAAAGAAUUGACUUGUCCGGAUGUAUUAAUUUUGCAGAUUUUCCACAGAUUAUGGGAAUAUAACAAAGCUAGACUUAAGCGAGACCCCAAUAAAAGAAGUUCCCUCAUCAAUAGAGUGCCUAGCUGAUCUGAAAACGUAGCGUUCGAGUAAGUGCACGAGGCUGAAGAGGCUUUCCAACAAGCAUUUGUAAAUUGAAAUCUCUUCUUGAGUUUUAUCUUUAUAACUACUCAAACCUUGAAUGUUUUCCAGAAAUCAUGGAGAAAAUGGAACGUUGAAAGAUAUAAAUCUAGCAAGGACGGCCAAUUACAGAGCUACAAUCGUGAUGGUCUUCUGGAUAACAUUAGCAAUUUAAAAUCUUUGAGGUACAUCUCGGCUAAUGGAUCGGCCAUUAGUCCUCUGUCGGAGAUUUGGCUGUACUUAAAUAUCUAUUGUUUUCUCGAUGCAGAGGUUUUGUAUCAUUGCCUCCAAUAUUAUUUUCAGGUUCAGGUUUAUCGAAUUUCGUACAACUAACUUUAAGAGACUCUGCUGUAGUGGAAAUUCCCCAAAACAUUGUUUGGCAAUCCUCAUUGAAAAUUUUAAAUCUAAAGGCUUGUUUGUUAACUACUUGAAGUAUGAAACUAAUGAUUUUUUUUAAUUUAUAUUUGAUUUUGAGAUAUUUGUAUCGGAAUUAAAAAAAUGAACUUUUGUGACAUUUAUCUAAAUAAAAAAAAGCUUAAUGAGAAGUAAAUAAUCCCCUUUUUCGUUUUGACUUACAAAAACAUAAUGUUAACUAACCAUGUUUAAGAUAUUUUUUAUUUAUAAAAACAAAUUAGAUGCUACUUAUAUUUAUUAUCGAAAAUUGAAAAACAAACAUGUUAUUCAUACAUUUAUAUUCAAACUUAUUCAGUCUUCAGCUAAAUACAGAUACAUUUAGAUUUCAGAGAAAAAAAUAAAUACUUCCUAAGUGGGAAUAACUUUGAGAGUUUACUUGCAAAUGUCAAGCAACUUGCAAGGCUAGAAUAUCUUGACUUGAACGGUUGCAAUAUGCUUCAGUCAUUAACAGAGCUUCCAUUGUUUCUAUAUUUUUCAGAAGUAAGGAAUUGCAAGCGCUCCAAUCUUUGCCAGAGCAUAGAUUUCAUGUUUACCAAUUGCCUGAAACUGAAUGAAAACGCAAACAACAGCAGUUUGGCAGAUUCAGAACAAAGGACUCAACAUAUGGCAAAUGCACCACUGAGACUAUUCCAUGAAAAGGUACCCCUACUCACUUUCUCUGUCCAAUCUUUGCAUCUGAUCAUCUGGGAUUCAAAUCCUCUACUCAUCUUGCUACUUGGCCUGCCAUUUUAACAUCCACUGACUGGUCGUUACCAAAAAUCAAAAACAGUAAAAUGAUACAUCUAAACCAUGCAUACAUAACCAAUAAUGUAUAUGUGUUGCAAGACUUUAGAAAGGCAAGAUGAGUAGAGUAUCGGCUUUGGUCUAAAAUUGUGGUUUUUAUAUGACAGCAGAAGCCUCAGGUACAACGUCAUGUCAGCAUUUGUUUACCUGGAAGUGAAAUUGCUGACUGGUUUAGCAAACAAGGUUUUGGAUCUUCAAGAACUAUCCAACUUCCACCACAUUGUUGGAACAGAAACUUAAUCAAAUUUGCUCUUUGUGUUGUUAUUGAACUUGAGGAAGGUUUUGAUGCUAAUGUUGAUGAAUUUUUUGUCCACUGUUUCUGCCAUUUUGAGAUAAGGGAUACUCCCUCUGAAACUAAACAUGAUCACUUUUGCGUUAUGAAAGCCGUAAACGUCCAUUGACUCGGAUCAUAUCAUAUUUGGAUUUCAUCCCUGUUGGAAUGUUGAGUGCAUUUAAGUCCAACCCUGUUACUAUAAAGUUUUUUGCCAACAGUGAAGAGGAAUGCACUCAAAGUGUUCCUCAAAUCUGAAAAAGAUGAAUUGGAACCGACUCCCAAGAGAAUUUAAAGAAAGCAAGUUGGUUUCUCAAGUUCUGAUUUCUUAUCUAAGUCCAACUCUCCAAUUACACUUUCUAUUUAUUUAUCAUUGUGCUUUAUCAUCAUCAAUAUUAAUAUUAAUAAAAUAAAAAGCAGUUGAGAGCCAAAUAAAGCCACUUGAAAAUCACUCAGUCACGCUUUUGGGACAUCAUUCUGCUCAUUACUUUUAAUCUGUAUCUCCGUUGUUUUAUUUGGUAUUUAUUACCAUUAGCAAAUAAAGGGAUUAGUUGAUUAUUGUGAGCUCACUAGAUGGAGCUCACCCUUAAAUGUCGGCUUGUACCAAGGAGGUGCCUUAGGGUUAAUAAACCAACUAAUCCCAUAAUUUAUUGAUGUAGGGUCCUAACAAAUUAUUGCAGUAGGUCAGUACACAGCUCGAAAACGUAUUUGAUCCAUACAUUGAAGAUGAUUCAAUAUUAAGCAUGUCAUAUAAUCUGGAAUAGGAUAUUGGACCAAUUUGAUGAUAAUGACUUUCUUUCAAUCUCAAUCUUUAUCUUCUUCGCAAUAUGACUAGCCAUUGCAAACUCAAACUCUGACAAUGAUUUCUCAAUCGCUUUCUAAGAUAUUGAGCAGGUAUGUAUAUGUAUGUGUGUAUGUGUGUGUGUGUGUGUGUGUGUGUGUGUGUGUGUGUUUGUGUAUAUAUAUAUAUAGAGAGAGAUCACGAGUGUGUGAUUUCCUUUUGCCAAUAAGGUAUGCAGAGACCUUGAUGUUACCCAAUAGCAAAAAAGCUUCCUAAUAAGUGAAGGUAUAGUCUAAAUACUUACACUCUCAUAUUAUUUUGUUCAUCAGCAGUUUGAUUAUUUUAUAUGCAUCUUUGAUUUUAGUUUUCUUUCCCUAUAAUUGCUAUUAUCUUUGAACUGGUCAAGAUUUGCCUAUAAGAUUUCUCAUGUUGAUUUUAGGUGCAAUGGAUUUUGAAUUUAGUGCAGGUGCAGAAGCUCGAAGGCAAAUUAUGAAAAAGGAUAAAGAUCUAUAAUUAGCGGUUAUGGGAUGUCAUAUAUCAUAUGGAUGGUAAUGGGGUCGGAUCACGAGUCCAUUAAUAAUCAUAGAUUGGCUUAUAUAUUUCAAACAAUGUACCAUGAAGUAAUUUCACAAGCACUUGUUAGUCUAUGUUGAGCUUUAUUGAAUCAGUAGUUCACAGUUCAAUACAAUGCAGGUUUACUAUUUGAAGUAAAUGCUUAUGGUGUGCAUUCUUCAUAAAACUAACUACUGAAUUUUUCGUUGAAACUUGCAGAAUGUAACAGAGAGAUGCAGAUAGCAGCCACAAAACACUAAGAUUGAAAAUCAGGACUACUAAAUUCUAUUACAAGCCCUUAGAAUAGACAACGAUCAUCCUCGAAUGUAUAUACUGAAAGUAAGAAAUAUUAAUCGUAAAGUUAUGCAUCAACAGAACUAUUAACUACUUAUCUUUAGCAGAAGAUUUAUAUUUUUAGUUGCAGCUCUCUACUUUGUUCGAAGAAUUAGGCAAAAGUGGCAUAUCUCCAAUCCAAUCAGCAUAUAUACCGCUCAUCUUCUCCAGUUCUUUCCGCUUUGAUUUGCACUCAUACCCUGCACUUGCUGCUUAGAAAUAGUCAUAGUUUGCACAUUGACAGUAGAAAAAGUACUUGAAACAGUCGUUGGCACAGCAUGAGAUUCCAUUGAGUCAUGGUCUCCAAGCUUUCGUAGUUCUGCAAAGAAAAUGACAAAACAUCAUGCUAUUGGCAUUCUACUUUUAACAAUUUUCCACAACCUGAGCUAUUUCAUAUCUCUCUAUAAAUUAUGAUCCAUGAGUGGACCACUGACGGAUGCAAGUUUAUUAUCACUUGUAACUGCUGGUUCAACCUUCAGAUAAGUUUGUGAUAAAGGCAUUUACGAGUACAAUGGCAAAAUUACAUGAACUUAUGUUAUCAAUCAUUGUUUUGCCUUCUCAUGAUAGAAUUCAAUGCAACAUAAAACAUUGAUAUAUUUGUACCUUGCCAUGCCGUGUUGUGAACCUAGAAGCAAUGCAAAGUGGAAGGAACAUAUCAAGCUAUCUACUGUAUAUAACAAAUUCUUACUAGCCCACAAUGCUGUGCCGCCACAUUGAUCAAGUAACACUACUAUUUCAUUUCCAAACUGGCAUAUAUAAUCUAAUGUUGAACAAACCAAAUUGGGAAUCAUCAUUCCUUACAUUAAGCUGACAUUCGUACCUGCUAGUCCAUGGGCAAAGUUGCAUAUAUUUUCAUACAGGCAGCUUCCCCUUAUCUCUCAGUUCCAACAGAGAUUUGGUUUCCCAUCACCAGCCUUUGAUUCAUUCGAUCAUAGAUACUCCGAGUUAGCAAGCCCCUUGUUGUGUUCCCAUUGAACAGACCCACUUCUGUUAUCCACAGAAGAUCCACCACUCAAAAUACUUAUCACUGAGCUAUUCCUAAACUGAGUAGAAACUUUCGCACAUCUCUCCGCAUUUACGUUAAGAAAUCGACACCUAUCCUCAUAUUUGCAAGUUUUCUGAUAAUAGAACGGUCUACAAAGCUGCAUUUCGUUAGGCAAUCUAGUCUCUCCAUUCCUCGCAAAGUGACAUUGAUUCCCGUAUUUGUAAUUGCCUAAUUGGGGUUUUGGCAAUAGCCUGAUCUUAAAAUUAGCACCCAUUACUUUGUUCAAAGCCACUGGCAUCCUCAGAUUAGGAACAACAUUUUCAAAUUUUUUAGCCCUGUUAGUCGAAUCACAUUCAACAGGAUAGUGAGGCAGCAUUUCACCAACAGAUUCAAUUUGACUACUCAUAUUGAUGCACAUAUAAGAAUUUGAAAUCACUUUUUCUUGGAAUAUUUAAUGACCAGACGAAAGUUCUUGAAUGGAAAUUAUUUAAUUUGAUUUGAUUUCCAACAAAUUCAAGAAACCCCAGAUAGUAACUAAACAAAAAUCAAACAAUAAUACGCAAUGGGUUUCUUUCUUUUUGCUUUUGGAGGGCCAUGGAGAUCUGGAGUGGGCUGUAAGUAAAUUAUGCCUUCAUCACUGGAAUGACAAAUUUGUAGAAGAUGAUAUAUGGGGAAGGAUUGAAGUAUUGAACAAAUUAAAUUACGUCCAUUGUGAUGAAUUAAAAAUAAAAUAACAAUUUUAACUUUAUAAUAAAAUUUGAUGUUAUCAUUACAUCUUUUAUUAAAAAAUUAAAUUAAUCAAGAAUGAUAUUAUUUUCUUUUAAUGUUAUCAAACUAAUCAACCUAUAAAAAUUAUAAAUUGUGAAGAAUAAAUACAUACACCACUUAAAAUGAUAUUUAUAUCAAAUUACUAGUUUUUAAGUUUUUCUUUUCAGAUGUUGAAAAAGAAAAAACAAACAUGUCAUUUAGAUAUUUUCAUUCAGACCUAUUCAGAUUUAAACUAAAUACAGACCUAUUCAGAUUUCAAAUAAAAAACAAACACAACCUUAGUAUAGCACAGAGCUUUUUUAGUGUAGCAUUUUAUAAGCAGAUUUUUUUUAAAAAAUUAUUAUUUAUUUGGUUGUUUUGCAUAGGAGAGCGUUUAAAGCUCCAAAAUCUUUGAUCAGUCAAUUUUUUUUUUUUUUGUUAGUAAAACUUUCAACAAAAAUUUAUUAUUCAUUUGAUCGUAUAUGAGAGUUUUUAUUAGUAAGUUAUAUAAAGUUCUUUAAUUUUUUUUUUAUUAGUGCAACUUUGUACAAGUACAAUUUUUAUUUUCUAAAAAAAAUUAAUUCAAUAAUAUUAGGAAUUUCAAUAUUUAAAUCCUAAUAUCAUCUGUCACUCAUUUAUUAAAUGACUAAUUUCAUAACUUAUAAAUUUAUUUAACUAACACCCAAUGAGUGAAUAUUACUAUGAUGAAGACUCAAAUUGAAAUUUAGAUGUUAGGUUGCGUAACGUUGCUCUUAUUUGGUUAUUUAUGAGAGCUUUCUUAUACAAACUUAUUUGUAUACAAAUUGAUAUAGUCUAAAUUCAUUAACUAGAUGAAAAUAUAAAAUAAUAAAAAUAAAUCAUAUGUACUAAGAAUUGUUUAAUUCAUCAAAUUGAAUUAUCCUACUUAUGUUUGUACCAAAUAAAUUUAUAUAAGAAUUUAUAAUUCUAUUUUUAAAUGUCCAACUAAAUUUUUAGUCCUUUAUUCUUUGUAAAAUUCAAAUUCAAAUGGCUCAUCAAAUAAAAUUAAAACUAUUGGCUAAUCAAAUAAAAUUAUUUGAAACCAUUGGGUAUGGUAGCUGGACCUCUUGGAACUAUCUAAGCCAUGAAAUUAACAGCGAAAAGAGUUUUAAAUGUCUAUUUUAUAAAUUUUUUAAUUAUUUUUUUAUUUACCAUUUUACCACCCAUAGUGAAAGUGUCUCAUCGACAGUUGAACAGUCAACAUAUCAGUCCUUAGGAAUUUACGUUUGGGGUAUUUUUGUAAUUAUAAGAAGGUAAACUAAUCGCAAAAUUCAUUUGGCUUGAACUUGCUCGCCUUCGCCCUGUGUAUGGUCGUGGCGUUAUCAAUAUCACCUUCUCCACUCGUACUGACACCAAACCUUAACCGUUCAGAUUCCCUUUCUCGAUUGUCAUACCCUAGGCCCCGUCUACGUGUCUCCGAUAAACAGUGCUCAAUUAAGGCCAUCAGAUUAUCCCGGACCCACAUUGAUCCAACGGCUCACAAUGACCGACAACCUCUAUAUCUCCAUUUCAAGCUCCCUUUUCAACUGGCUUCUGCUUCCGUCGUACUCUUUCUCGGAUUCGGAGUCCGUAUUUGCUCGGCCGGUCCCGCACAGCUCCCUCUCGCUCCAAUUGUCACCCAACAAGACCAAUUGCUUAAUCAAGGCACAGACCAAGAAGAGGAUGAGAAAUUGAAACAAGAAUUUGAGAAUUGGAAAUCGAAAACGUACCCAUUUGUGAUAAGGAAUUUAUGCGAAGUAAGGGAAAGAGAUUGAAGUUUCAGAUGAAUUUGUGUGCUAGCAUUGAUGGGAUCGUUAACAAUUUAUCUGUGCCCUUUAACAAAGUUAAGGCUAAGUCAGCUUCUUAUAUGGCUGCUGAUUUGGUUAGUGUUGGUGAUUCAUGGCUCAGCUUUGCGAUUAAAAAGAGAUUGAUUGAGCCAAUAGCUGGAGCUGAAGAUCAAGAUUGGUUCAAAUGCUUAAGUCACAAAUGGAAGGUAACAUCUUUGUCUUUGACCCGAUAAUUUUUAUUGUCUUACAUUGAAAUUUGGUAAUGUGGUUUGUAGUCAUUUUAUUUAUUUGCUUUUAUUUGCACCAACGAAGUCUCAGGUAUAUCUAUGCAGGAAUGAUACAGGAGAAAUUGAUCCUCGAGGUAAAAUAUGGGCGGCACCAUACAGGUGGGGCACAAUGGUGAUAGCCUACAAGAAAAGUAAAUUUCGAAAGCAUAAUUUGGCUCCAAUUGAGGUAAUAAUUGUCUUUAAAUUUUAUAUGAAACAAAAUCAAGACUGCCUUUCUGUUCAAUAUUUUUGAUGAUAAUAUCUUUAGAAGCAUCGCAUUGACGGGUAAUAAUGGUAUCCCUGAAAGAGUCUAUAAACUCAAUGAUAUUAUCUUCUACACAUGGUUUAUUAAACUUCUUCGUUGUAGUCAAAUGUACACUAAGAACAAUGAGAAGCUAUGCUACUGUAGCAUGUAGUGAUGGCGCUUAAUAAGUGAGUUGCUAGGAUGUGAACUAGAAAAAUUAAAUAUUGUCUCCUUGGGUAUGCUAGCUUGUAAGUCAGGGUUAAUAUUAGAAUUUAAGAUACUAUAACCAUGAGAAGCUAUUGACUGCCAAUUAAAAUAUCCAUUAAAAUGUCUAGGGAGUUAAGAAGGUGGAGGUAUCUUCCGAUUUCUAAGGCCACAUAGUAGACAUCAUCCAGGAUCCAAGGAAGGUGCGGUUAAGCUCCUGCUCGGUGCAAUUAAUAAAUUUGGUCAAUGCCACUGAAACCUGCUAACUGAUGUCACAAUGCACCAUGAGCACUUCAAAAUGGGAUAGACGGUCAGUAGCACUAAAUUUUUCUUGCCUAAGAUUGGGCAAUUGGUCUAACUGCUAACCCCUAUUGUAGGUUGAUCAUUAUUUUUUCAAUUAUGUUCAGUUUGACCCAAAAAGUUACAGAAUCUUGAUCUGAAUAUUGUCACCGAACACCGUCAAUGUUGUUUAGCAUAGCCAACUAACUAAAGUUUGGUAAAACAAACACACAUUGUGUCUCAUGUCUCACAAUUCAAAUUAUCAUCUGUAAUGAUGGAGGAUUUUUCUAAUGUAUGAAGUAUGCUUUGAUACGUGGGUUAGCUUGGAGAAGAUAUCUCAAAAUAAAGAACAUGGGGAGCGAAUGGGAAGAAAACAGUUCAGUAGUUUAUUAUUCUGUAGUCAAGUUUUGUCUCAAAAAUGGUCAAAAUUUAAAUGAAUAAGGACAGCGGAUCUUCAUUCUUUUUCCCUUUUUUAUGCCAAGAUAUCUCUCAACCUUUAUAUAAUCCCCACUGGAUAUCUACUUCUAACAAUUAAAAUAAAAAUUUCACCCACACAAAUAAAUACUGACCAAGCUCUAACAAUAAAAAGUAACAUCUUUAGUCAGGUAACCUCUUUACAGUUCCUCAUCAUCUUAGUGUGAGACUAUCAGUACGUUCCAAAAACAUAAUAAAACUGGUUUGAUCCUGUUUAUUGAUGUUUAAAUGUUGUUCAUUGUGACAUGUAGAAAUGAUGAGGCGAAGUUUCUUUGGUCAUCAAUUGGUAAGAUCUUGUUUGAAGUUGUUUUCUGAAAUGAACUGCCAAAUGGUAAUUUUUUUGGGCAUAUGAUGGCUCCUUUUUCCUCAUUUUAAACAUGUGCCUGCAUGGAACGGGAAGGAUUAGGCUGCAGAGUUGUUAUAUAUUUUGACAUGCAAUGGUUAUUACACAAUUUGUUCACACUGGAAAUUAGAAUGAGAAAUUUGUUGAUGCUGUUUUGAGAGAUCCGCAUUCUAUGCGCAUUAACAUGAUUAAUGAAAACAGAUUAUAGGACUGGAAAGAUCUGUGGCGGCCUGAGCUCGCAGGAAGAAUUUCAAUGGUUAAUUCUCCCCGAGAGGUUAUUGGUUCCGUUUUGAAGUAUAUGGGAGCAUCGUACAAUUCAAACAAUAUUGAUUUGCAAGUUGCUGGUGGGAAGAUUUCUGUUCAGCAGAAUCUGGCAUUAUUGGCAAACCAGGUACUCUUAAAGAAAUGAUAUCUGGUCAUUGCAUGUUAUUGCCUGACAACUGAUUUUGUUUGUAAAGUCUGCUUCUUCAUACAUAUGAACGCAUAUGUUAGUGUUUUCCUCUCCUUUUCAUACAUAUGAAUGCAUUUGUUAGUGUUGUCUUUUCCUUUUCAUACAUAUUAAUACAUAUGUUGGCGUUCUCUCCUGAAGAAAUGGCAAGGGAUGUGAGAUUCUGUCUCAUUAAAUUAACAAAAACCCAAAACAAUGAAAACCCAUAAUAAUGUGGUGUGGGUAAAUUGGCGCCAUUUGGUUCGUUUCCUUAAUGUGAAUACGCGAGCAAUAGAGACUAACAAAAUGAAGUGACAACAAGAAGUCAGUGUCGUCUGAUGGAUGCAUUUUUAGGCAGAAAUAGGUUUGUAAUUGACCAAAUUUGUCUGGCAUGCCAAUUUCAAAAAAAUUAAAUCAUGUGAUUAUUAGCUGUAAUGAAGGGAGACAGUAGGUGCAAUCAGGUGGAUCCAGGAAAGUUCAACAAAGUUCUGGUAUGGCGUAGUGAAAUUGGUUGUCCAACUCAAGAGUCUUUCAGGUGAACGAUGAUGGGUUUUGAUUUAUAAAUGUUAUAAAUCUACUAUGAAUAGUAUUCUAGCAGAAUCAUCUGUAAGUUCUAGUUAUUGAAAUUGUCUACUUUGUCCAGUUUGAAUUAAGGGCAAAUGUAAUAUGAAAAAUAGUUGCCGCAUCUUUUAGGUUACCUAACAUUUGAUCAAUCCUAUUAUGUGGGCUUCAAGAUGUCUAACAAUAUGUAGAAUGCACAUGCUCCUACCCAUUGUUUAUCUUAUACAAUAAUUUGUUUUAGAUGCUAAUAUCUUUGUCGAUCCCGGUAUCAAUAUUACAAUAUCUGCGUUUAUUGGGUUUUACAUAGGUUCGACUGUUUGACAGUACACACUAUCUGAAGGCAUUUGGAAUUGGAGAUGUAUGGGUUGCUGUUGGGUGGAGUAGUGAUGUUCUUCCUGCUGUCAAACGUAUGUCUAAUGUUGCAGUUGUUGUUCCCAAGUCUGGCGCUAGCUUAUGGGCCGAUCUUUGGGUAUACCCAUGCCUGCCUUUCUACUUCGAUAUUCACAUUGUUAUCUCCUUCAUAUUAGUGAUCAGUAAACACGAUAAUGUGACUAAUAAGUUCGUAUCCUCUUUAUAGGCAGGCCCUGCUGCCUCAAGACUUGAAACAAAACAAAUUGGAGGGCGAGUCAGAGGUCCAUCUCCAUUAAUCCAUCAAUGGAUAGAAUUCUGCUUGCAAACAGCGAGAGCAUUGCCUUUCAAGCAAGAGGUUAUCCCGGGCGCAUCUCCCUCUGCCCUUGAGAGUACUCUGGUUAAGUUGCCUGAAGAACUUCUGAAGGGUAAACCAAGUCUGGAUACUAACUUAAUUGUUGGAGUACCCCCGGCUGAAAUUCUGGCCAGAUGUGAGUUUUUGGAGCCAUUAUCUGAAGCUACUUUGUCAGAUUAUGAGUGGCUGGUUGCUAAUCAGCAAAAACCUGCUCCUGUCUUGAUGAAAAGGGUGCAACAUUACUUGUCAUCAUUGAUCCAAAGCUUUCUAGCAAAAGCUACAUUGAAAAGUUAAUGGCACUGCAUGCCAGUGAUUAUAAUGCUUCAGGGCAAUUGGGUCAGGGCAAUUAGGUCAGAGCAUAACUUCAUUAGGAAAAGAGGCUUCAGCUACAUUAAAUAUUACAGGAUGUACUGAGAUGGCUGAAGUUCUUGAGGUUUUAUGAGAAAUGAAAGAUGAGUCUUUGUUUGAACAAAGUUGUUGCCAAUUUUGCAGAGUUCGAGAAGAAAGAUCACGGAGCGAAUGCCACCGAUUUCUUCAUCAUUGUAGCCUCCAUAGUUGAAGUUUCCUCAUUUGAAGCUGUUUAUGCAUUAAGCUUAUUCCCUGCUCAAGUACAGGAAACUGAAGAAUUAACCAGACAUGAUAUGCUGAAAGAGGGAAGUUUUCUUCCUUGAAUGUGGCCUUGUGAUUUGUAGUGAAGUAAUAGGAUGAUCACUAGCAAGAACCCUAUCAAGGUAGAUUUUAUAAUGUCAACAUAUUAUUAAGCAUUUGUCAAUUUAGCACUUUCGCAAUGAUACAUUCAUAGCCUGAAAUUAAUUAUAUGAUCCUGAUUAAUCAAUUAAUCUUCAUGAGAUUUAACCUAGUUAAAACUAAGUACAAUCAUCGUUAACAAAUACUGAAAUUGGGUAAAUAUGAUCUCGACAUUGAAGAAUUUGAAAACACAACCCACGGAGGAAAUUACCUGUUGCAUGGGGAUGGAGAUGGUUACUGCAGGGAUAUAAAAUAUGUGCAAGGUGUUGUCCACUGCUCUUUGGGUUAUGGUGUGACUUGCGAUUUCAAGGUUGCCCUGAAACAAUGGAAAAGAUUAACAUAUCCUCCAAUGAAUGAAAACGGCUUGUCUAAUUCUAAUUACCGAAUUGACUCAGAAUCAGGUGGCAAUAAUAACAGGUCAUUAGCAUUACACAGUCCGAGUACUUUUCCAGGAUCAGAUACAACGUGGUCUAAUGUUGAUAAUAAUAGUUUAUUAAAUGACAAAUCAUUGGUCUUGGGUGUUGGUUAUAUACGUCAUUACUACUUCAAGUAGAAGAUGAAGGUUGUGCAGGUGAUUUCAGAAAUAAAAUACAUUCUGAGAGAUGCUGGUCUACCAUUGCAUGCCCCCAGAUAUAAGAAUUUUUUGAUUGGGGCAUUUGGCAAGAUUCGACAAAUUCUAGAUUCAACCUCCUCCACCAAGGGAUUCCAACUGAGUUAUCAAUUAUCGUAGCAGUUCUAUUAACUAAAAUUAGCAAAUAUAAUAUAAGAAAAAGAACAAUAAAUACACACUGAAGUUGAAUUGAAAAUGAAGUUGCAAGUUGCCGCCCAUAGCUGCUGACUAAUAAUAAAACGAGACAAAUUAAUUAAACUCAGACCUCUUUGUAUAUGUUAUCCUAACUUUACUUACCCUUGUUUGUAAUUUUCACUUAACACUUGAUGCCUAAACCAUUAAAACCAAAUGACCAUAGGGGUAUUUAAAGUAUGUAAAAAUAAACAAAAACACGUAAAAAAAUUCAAACAAUUAAUAAUUACACUCUAAAUGCACCACUCAACUCUUAAUAAUAGCCAUACUCUAAAACAAUCUACAACCUUUGAGGGGAGUAGCUAUGAGGAAAAUCCUUUUCUCAGUGGAUUGCCAUUGCCCAAUAGUUGCAAUGAAAAGAGACCACCUGCAACUGUGCCGGAAGAUUCAACUAGCUCUGAAAAAGAUGAUAAUUUAAUUGAUAUGGACAGUUUCCAUAUCACUUUUAAAUCAUCUUAUGUAAUUGUGAUGUUAGUAAGCAUUAGUGAUCUAUAUGUGAACUAUUAUUGGCGCCAUUGGUGGUUUUAUCUUGUUAAAAUAUGGAUGACUUCCGGUUACUAUUUUGUAGUACACAAUUUUAUUCAAUUAACAUAUACCUUAAAACCAUUAUGUAUGUGCUUUAUUAAGAUUCUCAAGUACCAAUCACGUUUGCUUAAGAAAUAAAAUUUUACCAUUAAAAGCGUAGUAAUAUUUCCAAGCGCUUCGCAUUUAUCUCAACAUUUUGAAGGAAUUUCGAGAAAUACACGGGUCCAAAAGUCUAGUCAUCAUCCUUAUUCUUGGUAUGAGUUGAUUUUUAGUGAUUAUCUAAUUGACUGGGGUGACAACAAUAGCACAACGUAGAAUUCAAUAAUAGAAUUCUCCUGUUUAAUUUGUUUUAAGUUAAAUUAUUAAUUACUUAAAACUCUGUUUUAAGUCUUUAAUUUUAUGUCUUGGCGUAUAUGCAGAGUUGGAAUCUUGAGUGAGUUGGACAUGACCUACAAUGAGAGUGGCAGUAAACAAACAUUAGAACGUGUGGACUCCGGUGGCUGCCCUGCAAGUCUACAACUCUACAAGAAUAAUUUCUAGCCCCGUUGACUCCACUAACUAAAGUUUUUUAAAAUUUAAAAAGGUACAUAGAAUUCAACAACAAGCAAAACGUGUGGAAUUUAGUUUUUUGCCGUGUGGAACAAAAUACAAUUUAGCAAAAAAGGACAAGAAAAAUGGUAAGAUUUCUAAAAUGAGUGGAAGUUGAUCCAUAUUUUACUGAAACGACUUGCCCCGAACAUCACGACGAUUGAUUUUUUUUAUUUAUUUUUUGAAUAACAUCAACUUUCAUAUCUUUCUAACCCCCAGAAUAUGCUCACGUUCUAGUCUAUCUUGCUAAUUUAAAAAAAUAAAAUCAAAUCAACACCAAAACAAUGAAAAGUAAAGCUUUUGAAUUUCAACUCCAGCUAGCAAACGUAUUCAGCGUUUUCAAAUUCUUCCCAUUGCAUAUCUUCUUCCUCCAUCAAUGCAAUAUUUGAACGAUUAUGAAAGAAUUUAAGAACAUAAAAAAUCUCCUAGGUUUAUACGGUGUAACAAAUUUAAAUUCUCAAUUACAAUAGAUAAUAAUUAAACUAAUAAUUUUUUAUGUACUUAUUUUAGUAAUUUCACCUAAGAAUAAUAUUGUAAUUAGAAAAAAAAAAUCUAAUGAGUAGGGUGGUCUUAUACAAAAUCAACUGCAUACAUAUAUGCAGAUGCAGAUAAUAAUUUUUAAUUCCUUUUUUUAAUAAGAAAAUUGUGUAUUGAGAUGAAUAAGAUGUUUAAUUUAAUUAAUUUCCUUACUUUCGUAUACAUUGUCUUUCUAUCUAGAGAAAGCUUGGUGUUCAGAACGACAUGAAGUUGCGAGUUGUCGCCCAUGGCUGCUGAUUAAUAAUAAAACGAGACAAAUUAAUUGAACUCAGGCCCAUAUGUAUAUGUUAUCCUAACUUUACUUGCUCUUGUUUGUUAAUAUUCAUUCUUAGAGAGGUGAAAAAAAUUACAAGUCUUGAAUAACGAGGAGUUUAAUUGCCUCUAACUUUACUUGGCCAGGCCUUCUAUAAUCUCAUUAAUAAUACAGAGAAUUAAUUAUCUUUUUAUUAUUAAACCAUCUUCAGGAAGAUUUUCCUUAAUUUGCUCCAGAAGAGUUGGAGCUGUGGUUCUGAUAAACCAAAGAAUUAGUAGCAAUUAAUAUUAAUAUUUCGCCCAUGGCUGCUGAUUAAUAAUAAAACGAGACAAAUUAAUUAAACUCAGGAGCAUUUAAACCACUUCCUUAUCAAUUGCGGCAGCCGUCUAUUAACUAAAACGCCAAUCUAAUACAAGAAGAAAGAACAUUUACAGACUUGGCAAUUGAGUUCAUUAAGAAGUAGCAUCGCAUUCGGGUGAUGAGUUUCCUUUUGUUAAUGAUUUUAGUCUAAUUUCAAUUGUACUGUGACCGCUUCUCACUCAAGGUAAGUGAAAGUUACAGAUGUGGCAAAAUAAAUAAUUAAAUUAACAAAAUGCUAACUAAUUUUCCUAAAUACCUAGGGUUGUACAAUUUCACCAACCUGGAAGAAUUGACAUUAAUGGACCGGUCUCCUCCCCAUAUAAUUAUAAUCCUUCUAGAAAGCUAGUUUUUAUUAAAUAUUUGCUUUUAAGUUAAUUUCAAUUAAAAAAUGUUUUAAGUUAUAUAUACUCUAAUGAGAUUCUGAAUUCCUUUAUUCCAAUAAUAAUGAAAACGUAUUAAAUUAGAAAUGAAAAAAUUGGUGUUGAUGAUUCAACCUAUUUGGAUAGAUUACGUGAAUAAAAUUGAAAUUUUGAUUUAAUUUUUGUUUAUUGUUAAUUCUCAUGCUAUCUUAAUUUCAAGAAUUUAGAAUGUUAAUUUGGUCAUGGAUUUCAACCCGUGAGUAUCAUAUUCUAGACUUAAUGGUACCAUUCUUUGAUUGAGGGCAAUGACUCUCACUCCUCUUGUAAAAAAAUAUUUUCAACUAUUUUGAUGACUUAAAAAUUGAUAGAUUUAUUGUUGUCAUGACCAAAUUAUUCAUUUUAAUGAAAUAUAAUUAAUGCAUCAAAGUUACCAGGUUUAUGUUCUAUCUUACCUCUGUUUCAUUUUUUUUUUUUCAGUUAUCAGCUAUGCCCCUGAGGCAUUUUGUAGAGUAUAGCUUCUGCUUACCUCUGUUUCAUUUUUUUUAAUAAAAAAACAAGGGAAGGUUUUUCCGAGUCAUCCAUUAUUUGAUUUCCGUCAAUCAAGAAAACGACCAAAUUAAUUUCUCUCCAAAAUUUCCAAAAGCUAGAAAAUUUUGUUAUUUGAAAAUAACAUCAUUAAUUAUAGAGUGGAUCAAACCGCGUUAUUGUCUUUCAUAAAAUUGAUGUCUUUUUAAGAGUCAAUACUUUUGAUGUACGCAAACCAGUCGACAUCAACUUAAACUUCCAUAUUUUUAUUAUUAUGUUAUUUAUUUUAAUCCCCGAUUAUUUGAUUAGCCACUAUAUAUAUAUCAAGAAAGCGACAAAAUUUAUUUCUCAUGACUUCCAAAAACUAGAAAACAACAUCAUUUAUUAUUUUUUUGCAACCCUAAUUGACAUAAACUUUAACUUUAUUAUGUUAUUAUUUCAAUCCCCCAUUAUGACCUUUCUAAUCCUCCAUUAUGCAUCUUUUAUAGUGCAAAUUUAAUUGCACAUCUAAAUAAAUUGAUUAUUGUUACUCCACCACCAAUAUUUCAAGGAAAAUUCUAUGAUGCCGUGAUUAAAAUUACGGUAUUAAUGCCGUAGUUAUUAUGUACCGUUAGAUUAGAUCAACGGCACAUAAUAAUUAUAAUUAUAUAAAUUUUAUUUUUUCAACAGGUUACAACCCGGUUAACAUUUUUUUAUAAGUAAAAGUUAACCGAUUAAAAUUAAAAAUAAUUAUUAUAUUUUUUUAGAAAAUUAUUAUAACUGAUUUAUUUUAAAAUCGCUCAUUCACGUUAAUUAGGGAUUAUGAUAGGACCGAAGUAAAACUUCAGCCGAUUCAUAUUGAGAGGAAAAGAGCAACUGAGUCUUUCUCCACUACCAGUCUUUCUCCACUACCAACUCCACGUCAUCGCCGUUCCGCCGUUUUGUUUCAUCAUGUGUUGGGAAAGGGCAGAGGUUGUUUCCCAGUGGCCAACUCGAAGAAGCUAAAGUUCGUUAAAUUCCAAAACACAUAAUCCUUGCAAACUAGAACGGGCAAAGGCUAUCUUUGAAUUGUGCUUUUUUUUCCUGUUUUUCGAGCCAGACUGCCCACCAAGUUAGCCAAUUCUUGGUACUAAUUUUGUCUUUUAGUAUUGAUUUUUGGGGAAUUCCUUUUUUCACCUUGAUUUUCUUUUGAAUUGUUUUAUAUCUGCUUGAUUUUCUUUCUUUCACUCUUUUGUAUUCUUUGGUUUUCUUCAUCAAAAUUUACUAUUUUCACAUGUUAUCUUGAUUAUUUCCUGCUAAUUAAUUUUGUAUUGUAAAUAAUCUAUUUGUUGGACUUCCAGAGUGAGCAAGUUAAUUUGAUUUAAUUAGGUGCCUAUUAUAAUAGCUUUUCUGGUUUGUUGUAGGCAAUUCUAACUGUAUUCUAAAUAAACUUCCAUAUGAUUAGAUCUUGAUAAAUGCAAAGGAUAACAAUGUUAUAAGCCAUUGGCCUAAGAAAAUGUGUAAAUCCUCUAUUUGAGGUACAAAUUUUCUCUCAUAUGUUUUUUUUUUUAUUUUGUAUUUUUUCACAAAGAACUGGUUGUUAAGAUCCUAUUUCAUUAGUUGAAACUGAUUAAAAGGAGAUUACCCUUCGGCAGUUGGUGGGAAAGAUUUAAGUUCAUCUUUCUGGAUCUUCUACUUUAGACUUAUCAUUCAAGAAAGUGUCAAAACUCGAAUGGCUGUAAAACUUUGAACAGAUUAUUAAUUAAUUUAGGUGCAAGAUCUUUUAUAACACUUUAAUAAGUUAUUACCAUUGCAUUCUUUUUUUCUUUUCUUUGAGAAGAAACCAUUUAACUUUAGACUAACUUCCAAAUUUACCUUUGUAAUUUAGCUAAAUAGGUAAAUUUAUUCAAAAGUUGUCCUCCUCGCAAGCUUAAGGUAUUUCAACUUUGCCUACAACUACAAGUUAAAGAGAAAUUAUCGUGAAAACCAUGCCACGGCCGCAGUAUUUAAAAUGUGCACAAGGAGCUUAGAGAACUGGGCUUUGUUUGAUUACAUGAAAGGAAAUGGACAAAAUUUAUGUUACAAAAGAAGCUUGGAGCUGAUAAAUGAUGCAGUAUGAGUGAACUUUUUGUCGCUCUUUGAGGAAUUUUUCUACAAAUUUUGAUGUAGCUAUUAUUUUGGUGAAUGAUUUAUUCUUUUCUUUUUUCUUCAAUAUUAUGAUUUUGUUUCCAUAUUUUAAUAGAAAUUAUUAAAAUUCUAAGGAAAUUGCACUAUUUAUCUCAAGAAAGUGGCUUAAUUCUACAUAUAUGAGUAAUGUUUCCAUAAUUACAAGCAUAAUAGUGGCUUAACUCCAUAAUUCUACAUAUAUGACAUCAAACCCAACUCAUGCUCACCCUUAUAUCAUUCUAUCUAAAUCAUAAAAUGACAAUAAUCCAACUCUUUAACAAUUUUCACAUUGGAUUUAAGUUGAGGCAAUUGACCUAAACUAAAUAACCUAAAUUCCAAAUAAAUGUGAAAUAACACAAAAAAUUUCUAAACCACACGUAUGACUCGUAAAUUGAAGGUAAAACAUGUAAAUUAGCGUUAGAGUGGUAAAUUGGUCUACAAAAUUAAAAAAAAUAAAAAAUAGAAAAAAACUAGUAAAUUGAUAGAAAAUGUAGUAAAUAAAUGUUGGAGUUGUAAAUUAUAAGAAGAAAUUGUAAACAAAACAAAAACUUAGAAAAGUGACAUAGAACUUGUAAAUUGACAUUAAGUGUGAAAUGAAAAACAAAACUUUGUAAACCACAUAUAAAACUAGUAACUUGAUGGGAAAAUGGGAAAAUUAAUGUUGGAGUUGUAAAUUGUAAGAAGAACUUGUAAACAAAACAAAAACUUAGAAAAAUGACGUAGAACUUGUAAAUUGACAUUAAGUGUGAAAUGAAACAAAAUAUUUGUAAACCACACAUAAAACUAGUAAAUUAAUGGAAAAAUGGGUAAAUUAAUGUUGGACUUGUAAUUGGCAAGAAUAACUUGUAAACAAAAUAAAAACUUAGAAAAAUGACAUACAACUAGUAAAUUGACAUUACGUGUAAAAUGAAAUAAAAAACUGUGUAAAUCACACAUAAAACUAGUAAAUUGAUGGAAAAAAUGGUAAAUUAAUGUUGGAGUUGUAAAUUGCAAGAAGAACUUGUAAACAAAACAAAAACUUAGAAAAAUGACGUAAAACUUGUAAAUUGACAUUAAGUGUGAAAUGAAACAAAAAAUUUGUAAACCACACAUAAAACUAGUAAAUUAAUGAAAAAAAUGGUAAAUUAAUAUUGGAGUUGUAAUUUGCACGAAGAAGUUGUAAACAAAACAAAAACUUAGAAAAAUGACAUAGAACUUAUAAAUUGACAUUAAGUGUGAAAUGAAAUAAAAAAUUUGUAAACCACACAUAAAACUAGUAAAUUAAUGGAAAAAUAGGUAAAUUAAUGUUGGAGUUGUAAUUGGCAAGAAGAACUUGUAAACAAAACAAAAACUUAGAAAAAUGACAUACAACUAGUAAAUUGACAUUACGUGUGAAAUGAAACAAAAAAAAUGUGUAAAUCACACAUAAAACUAGUAAAUUGAUGGAAAAAGGGUAAAUUAAUGUUUGAGUUGUAAAUUGCAAGAAGAACUUGUAAACAAAAUAAAAACUUAGAAAAAUGACAUACAACUAGUAAAUUGACAUUACGUGUGAAAUGAAACAAAAAAAAUGUGUAAAUCACACAUAAAACUAGUAAAUUGAUGGAAAAAGGGUAAAUUAAUGUUGGAGUUGUAAAUUGCAAGAAGAACUUGUAAACAAAAUAAAAACUUAGAAAAAUGACGUAGAACUUGUAAAUUGACAUUAAGUGUGAAAUGAAACAAUAAAGUUGUAAACCACACAUAAAACUAGUAAAUUAAUGAAAAAAAUGGUAAAUUAAUGUUGGAGUUGUAAAUUGCAAUAAGAACUUGUAAACAAAACAAAAACUUAGAAAAAUGACGUAGAACUUGUAAAUUGACAUUAAGUGUGAAAUGAAACAAAAAAUUUGUAAACCACACAUAAAACUAGUAAAUUAAUGAAAAAAAUGGUAAAUUAAUAUUGGAGUUGUAAUUUGCACGAAGAAGUUGUAAACAAAACAAAAACUUAGAAAAAUGACAUACAACUUGUAAAUUGACAUUAAAUGUGAAAUGAAACAAAAAAUUUGUAAACCACACAUAAAACUAGUAAAUUAAUGGAAAAAUAGGUAAAUUAAUGUUGGAGUUGUAAUUGGCAAGAAGAACUUGUAAACAAAACAAAAACUUAGAAAAAUGACACACAACUAGUAAAUUGACAUUACGUGUGAAAUGAAACAAAAAAAAUGUGUAAAUCACACAUAAAACUAGUAAAUUGAUGGAAAAAGGGUAAAUUAAUGUUUGAGUUGUAAAUUGCAAGAAGAACUUGUAAACAAAAUAAAAACUUAGAAAAAUGACGUAGAACUUGUAAAUUGACAUUAAGUGUGAAAUGAAACAAAAAAUUUGUAAACCACACAUAAAACUAGUAAAUUAAUGAAAAAAAUGGUAAAUUAAUAUUGGAGUUGUAAUUUGCACGAAGAAGUUGUAAACAAAACAAAAACUUAGAAAAAUGACAUAGAACUUGUAAAUUGACAUUAAGUGUGAAAUGAAACAAAAAAUUUGUAAACCACACAUAAAACUAGUAAAUUAAUGAAAAAAAUGGUAAAUUAAUAUUGGAGUUGUAAUUUGCACGAAGAACUUGUAAACAAAACAAAAACUUAGAAAAAUGACGUUGAACUUGUAAAUUGACAUUAAGUGUGAAAUGAAACAAAAAAUUUGUAAACCACACAUAAAACUAGUAAAUUAAUGAAAAAAAUGGUAAAUUAAUAUUGGAGUUGUAAUUUGCACGAAGAAGUUGUAAACAAAACAAAAACUUAGAAAAAUGACAUAGAACUUGUAAAUUGACAUUAAGUGUGAAAUGAAACUAAAAAUUUGUAAACCACACAUAAAACUAGUAAAUUAAUGGAAAAAUAGGUAAAUUAAUGUUGGAGUUGUAAUUGGCAAGAAGAACUUGUAAACAAAACAAAAACUUAGAAAAAUGACAUACAACUAGUAAAUUGACAUUACGUGUGAAAUGAAACAAAAAAAAUGUGUAAAUCACACAUAAAACUAGUAAAUUGAUGGGAAAAGGGUAAAUUAAUGUUGGAGUUGUAAAUUGCAAGAAGAACUUGUAAACAAAAUAAAAACUUAGAAAAAUGACGUAGAACUUGUAAAUUGACAUUAAGUGUGAAAUGACACAAAAUAUUUUUAAACCACACAUAAAACUAGUAAAUUAAUGUUGGAGUUGUAAUUAGCACGAAGAAGUUGUAAACAAAACAAAAACUUAGAAAAAUGACAUAGAACUUGUAAAUUGACAUUAAGUGUGAAAUGAAACAAUAAAGUUGUAAACCACACAUAAAACUAGUAAAUUAAUGAAAAAAAUGGUAAAUUAAUGUUGGAGUUGUAAAUUGCAAGAACUUGUAAACAAAAUAAAAACUUAGAAAAAUGACGUAGAACCUGUAAAUUGACAUUAAGUGUGAAAUGAAACAAAAAAUUUGUAAACCACACAUAAAACUAGUAAAUUAAUGAAAAAAAUGGUAAAUUAAUAUUGGAGUUGUAAUUUGCACGAAGAAGUUUUAAACAAAACAAAAACUUAGAAAAAUGACAUACAACUAGUAAAUUGACAUUAAUUGUGAAAUGAAACAAAAAAUGUGUAAAUCGCACAUAAUACUAGUAAAUUGAUGGAAAAAUAGGUAAAUUAAUGAUGAAGUUGUAAUUGGCCAAAAGAACUUGUAAACAAAACAAAAAUUUUAAAAAAUGACAUAGAACUUGUAAAUUGACAUUAAGUGUGAAAUGAAACAAACAAUGCGUAAAUCACACAUAAAACUAGUAAAUUGAUGGAAAAAUGAAUAAAUUAAUGUUGGAGUUGUAAAUUGUAAGAAGAACUUGUAAACAAAACCAAAACUUAGAAAAAUGACAUAGAACUUGUAAAUUGACAUUAAGUGUGAAAUAAAACAAAAAAUUUGUAAACCACACAUACAACUAGUAAAUUAAUGGAAAAAUAGGUAAAUUAAUGUUAGAGUUUUAAAUUGUAAGAAGAACUUGUAAAUAAAACAAAAACUUGUAAAUGUUACAUAAAACUUGUAAAUCAACAUUAACUUGUAAAAGUUUCAUAAAACUUGUAAAUCACACAUAAAAUUAGUAAAUGUAACCUGGAACUUGAACAAAAAAGAGUAAUUACCUGCUAUUUAGGUAACAGGUUACCUAUUUAUUUAGAAUUAAUGGUAGAAAUCUUUUAUUCAAAUCUAACGGUCCACGUCCAUUACGGCAUCAAUGCCGUAAAUUUAGUUACGGCAUUAUAGAAUGACCCAUAUUUCAAAUAGUCACUAGACCAUUUCUGCCUUUAAUUUUCCCUUAAGUUUAACUAUUGACUGUUUUUAGCAUCUUAAAAUAUACAUUUAUUCCUUGAUUAUGUGAUAAAAUUAUGAAAAAAAUCCAUUUUAGCUUAAAUUAAUUGGAAUAACCAUAAACAUAACUUAAAUUAAUAGAACAAAAUUAUCAAGUGUAUGUUCUAUCUUACUUUUUGAAGAAUUUAACAUAUAUAAUGCUAUACUAUUAAUAAAUUCAUCAUUUAAUAUAUAUGUUCAAAUAUUUUAUAUAUUUAUUAAUUGUUAUAUAGUCAAAGGAUGAAUGAUUUUUCAGGUCUACAUGAGUUGGUGCAUCUGCAAGACUCAAUUUUGACAACAAUGAUCUAAGGGGUAAUUUACCUUGGUGUUUGACAAAUAUAACCUCUCUUCAAGAUUUACUUCCAAUCUACUUACUGUAAAUAUCUCCUCAUCUCCUCUCAUUUAUAUGAUAACCCUUGAAGAUCUCACAUUUUCAAACAAUCAUAUUAGGGUUUUUAUUAUUAACAUCAUUGUGUCAAUAAUAUAUGUUGCAGUAAGAUUUUUUCAGACCAAUUCCCUUCUUCAAAUAAUAAUGGAAAAGUAUUAAUUUAAAAAUAAAAUGAAUAUGCAUUGAUUAUAUCCUAAUUUUCAUCGAUUAUAGCGAGAGUUUCUCCAAAUCAACUCCCUUAUUCAAAAAAUACAGAAAAAAUAGUAAUUUAAUAGUAAAAUUAACAAGUGUUGAUUAUAUAUCCUAAGUUUCAUCGAUUAUGUGAUCAAAGUGGCAUUGUUGAUUUAUUUCUUGUUCAAUGUUAAUUUUUAGGUUAUCUAAAUUUCAAGGAUUUAAAAUCUUUGUUCAUGGAUUACACGCUUAUUAAUUUUUCUGCCAUUGACUGUCAUAUUCUAGACUUAAUCGUACCUUCCUUGAUCAAGGAUAAUUACUCUCUGUUCUCCUCUUAUAAAUUCCUCUUCCAUUAACAUCACUAGAAGUAUGUUGAUCUCUCAGACGUUAACUUCAGUGGAGAGUUUCCAAAUUGAUUGUUACAAAACAACACAAAAACUAGACACACUUGAUCUGUCUAAUAAUUCUCUUUCGGUAAAAUUAAUUAAUUUUAGGGGAAUAUUUGACCAACCUAUAUAAUUUUAGAUUGAUCAUUAAUUAAUUAGACGAAAAAAGUACUUGUGCUUUUGUGGCGACAAUUGAACCAGAGAAGUGAAGCUGUAAAGAUUUGGCAGUAGUAAUUAUAAUUUUUUCAAAAAACUUUUUUACAACACAGGCACCUGGCCAAAAAUUUUAUUUUUCUAACUAACAAUAAUUGAGUAGCUGACCGUAUUGACUCCACCUACUUGCUAAAGUAAAAAAAUAGAAAUAGAAUUUCCACAAAAUGUCAAACAUGUAAAAUCUAAUAUUUGGCCGUGUGGAACAAAAUACAAAUGAAAAAAAAUAGAAAAAAAGGCCUAAAGACUUUUAAAAUGUGUGGAAGUCUUUCGGCCCUUUUAUAAUGGUGUGUUUUUCAAAGGAACAAAUAAUAAUAAUGACACUUCUACGGUUUGUUUUGAUAAUCACACAUAUACUCUUUAAUUUGAUAAAUGGUUACACAAAUUUUGUUUACAAAAAUAUAUUAUUCAUGUUCUGUAUUAUUUUUUAACAUCAUAUUUUUAUUUAUUAUAAUUGUUUAAAGUUAAUUGUUAGGUUGAUAUAUAACAAAAACGUAUAAUCGUUCUCUUACUAAACAAACAUACUCGUAGUUUCUGUUCAUUUGUCAUCUCAAUCUCUCUCAUUUAUCCUUUAUUGAUAGCUCAAAACGCGUCACUGUGGAAAAUUAUAGCAAAAUGACAAAUAUGGAAAAAAUGGGAAGAAAAUUAAUGCAUGAAAGAGUUGUAGAAGACAACCAAAUAAGUCAACUAUACGCUAGCUGGGUGUAUAAAUUGUUAGAUGUGUUAUAAACAAAUAGCAUAGAGCCUUGGUUGGUUACAGAGAUAGAAAAAGUGUGUGUGUUUUUUAGAACUUAAAGAUACAGUUAGAAUGGGUGGUUCAAAAUCAAAAAUGGUGAUAAUGUUUGUUCUGUUAUUAAUAAUAUUUGAAGGUGGGUGGAGUGAGGGAUGUUUGGAUCAUGAGAGAUUUGCUCUAUUGCGACUCAAACAUUUCUUCAUUAAUCCUUAUAAUCUUCUUUACAACUGGGUAGAUGAUGAUGGAGCUACUGAUUGUUGUCAGUGGGAAAGGGUUGAGUGCAGCAACACCACAGGGCGAGUGAUAGCACUAGACCUUUUUGACGCGCAUGGGGGAGAGUACUGGUAUCUGAAUGCUUCUUUAUUUACUCCCUUUCAACAACUUGAGUCACUUGAUUUAAGUUGGAACAAUAUAGCCGGUUGUGUUGAGAAUGAAGGUGCUUCGUCUAAUUCAAUUAAAUUACAUUUCGCUCUCCAAAUUUAAGUCGAAUAUCAAGACUGAGCAGCUAUAUGCAUAUUCAUUCAAUUGACAAUUUUUACAUAUUUUGUAAAAUGUUUAAUUUUGAAAUUACACCAAACAUCAUAUGUGAUCUUUGUUUUGAUUUUACUUGCAGGUCUAGAAAGAUUGAGCAACUUGAAGAGGCUUGAUUUAAGUCAUAACUUGUUCAACAAUAGUAUCUUAUCAUCUGUGGCUCAUCUUUCAUCACUAACAUCAUUAGAUUUAUCUGAAAAUAGAUUGGAAGGAAGUAUUAAUGUUAAAGGUACGUAAUUAAAACGUCAUCGCUUUUCCCAACUCUUUCAUUAACAUGUUAAAAUAAGAUUCAAGGCUUUGAAUUCAAUUUUUUUUAUGAGUAAAUAUUAGAAAAAUAGUUUUAAGCAAUUCAUAAAUACAAUUUUCAAUGUUUCUCAUAAUUACUCUAACUGUGAAGCAAAUACCCCAUGACUAAUUUAUCAUUUUGUCCAGUUAAAAAUGAUAAAAUUUAUCAUUUGUUUAUAUUGAUUUAUUAACUCUAUUUUAAGUCUUAAGUCUUGGCGUCUUGGCAUGUUUGCAGAAUUUGAUUCCUCGAGCAACUUAGAGGAGUUGGACAUGAGCUACAAUGAAAUAGACAAUUUCGAGGUUCCUCAAGGUAAACAAUUAAAAUAUUAUUUAAUUACAUUAAUUUAAUUCGUUUGAUUAGGGAAGACCCAAAAUGUACAAAAACAUAAUUAAAAAAAUAAAGAAACAGAGAAUUCAUAUUAUUUCAAAAAACAAAAGGUAAUACUAUUAUUUCAAAAAAAGAAUGUAAUAAAGAUUUGAUUCCGGUUCUUUAAUCUUUAUAGCAAUUGAAAAACAAUGUUGCUCUUUUCCCAAAGCAUAAAAUACGAAUUGACUCCCAAUUAAAUUAAUCAUUUAUUUCGUUUAGGUCUAAAUUUAGAAAAAUGAUUUUUGAUUCUCUUCAAUCCUAUCCUUAUUAUUAUUGUUAAAUAGGUUACAGAGGUUUGAGGAAGUUGAAAAGCCUCUAUCUAUUGGAAGUUAAAAUUAGAGAUGGAAGCAAGUUGUUACAGUCAAUGGGAUCAUUCCCAUCCCUCAACACUCUUGACCUUUCGUGGAAUAAUUUUACCGAUAUAGCGACAACUACUACUCAAGGUAAGUAAAAGGUACAGAUGUGGCCAAAUUUAUAAACAAACUGUUAAUUAAUUAAUUUUUCCGUAUUAUUAAUUAAGCUAAAUUUGUUGCUUCUUCCUUCUAAAUCUAAACAGAGUUGCACAAUUUCACCAACUUGGAAUAUUUGACAUUGGACGAUUCCUCUCUCCAUAUAAGCCUUCUGCAAAGCAUUGCAUCAAUAUUCCCUUCGUUAAAAAAUUUGUCGAUGAUUGGUUGUGAAGUCAAUGGCGUCCUACGUGGUCAAGGUAAAAGAAAAGUGUUGAUUGUGAACUCGCUCAAUGGUGUCCUACGUGUUCAACAUUUUUAUUUAUUUAUUUUAUUGUUUAAUGUUUCUGCUAGGCUUUCCUCAUUCCAAGAGUUUGGAACAUUUGGAGAUGGAUGACGCGCGCAUUGCACUCAACACCAGCUUUCUUCAAAUCAUCGGAGAAUCAAUGUCUUCUCUUAAGUACUUAUCACUGUCAUAUUAUACUCUUAGCACUAACAGCAGCAGGAUUCUUGUUCGAGGUUAAUCAGAUGCUCCCACCCUCCCUUCUUAAUCUAUAAUAUUAAUUUUCAAUUAAAUAUUUAAUUACACAAACCAAUCACUUAUUAUAAAAGAACAAUACGCAUUCAUUAAUUUUUAUAUUGUAUUAAUAAUUGAUGAAUUUAAUAAAUUUUCAGGCCUCUGUUCGUUGAUGCAUCUGCAAGAGUUGUACAUUUAUAAUAAUGAUCUGAGAGGCAGCUUGCCUUGGUGCAUGGCAAAUAUGACAUCCCUCAGAAUAUUAGAUGUUUCUUCUAAUCAACUUACUGGAAGCAUCUCCUCAUCUCCCCUCGUUCAUUUGACAUCCAUUGAAGAGCUGUAUCUUUCAAACAAUCAUUUUCGGAUCCCAAUUUCACUUGAACCACUUUUCAAUCACUCAAGACUCAAGGUUUUUUGGGUUAAGAACAAUGAAAUAAAUGCAGAAAUAACUCAGUCACCUUCUUUUACCGCCCCAAACUUCCAAUUAUCACGUCUCUCAUUGUCUUCCGGUUAUGGAGACGGUGUCAUAUUCCCCAAAUUCCUUUACCAUCAACUUGGUUGUUGGAAAACAACACAAAAUUGAGACAACUUUCUCUCGUCAAUGAUUCUCUUGCAGGACCUUUUCGGUUGCCAAUUCAUUCACACAAGCGGUUAAGACUGUUGGAUAUAUCCAACAACAACAUCCGAGGCCACAUUCCAGUAAAAAUUGGAGAUGUUUUACCAAGUUUAUACGUUUUCAACAAUUCCAUGAAUGCUUUAGACGGUAGCAUUCCCUCUUCAUUUGGUAAUAUGAAAUUCCUCCAAAUUCUGGACUUAUCCAACAAUCACUUGACAGGUGAAAUCCCCGAGCACUUGGCCGUGGGUUGCGUCAACUUGCAGUCUCUUGCAUUAUCAAAUAACAACCUACAAGGUCAUUUGUUCUCUAGAAAUUUUAACUUGACAAACUUGAAAUGGUUACAAUUGGAGGGCAAUCGCUUCGUAGGUGAGAUCCCACAAAGUUUGUCUAAAUGCUCCUCACUAGAAGGAUUGUAUCUUAACAAUAAUAGUCUUUCGGGUAAGAUUCCACGAUGGUUGGGUAAUCUCACAUGGUUACAAUAUAUUAUAAUGCCCAAUAAUCAUCUUGAAGGCCCUAUUCCAGUGGAGUUUUGUCAGCUUGAUUCGCUUCAGAUUUUGGACAUUUCAGACAACAACAUAUCUGGAAGUCUACCAUCUUGUUUCCAUCCUCUCAAUAUCAAACAAGUUCAUCUUUCAAAAAAUAUGUUACAUGGACAGCUAAAAAGAGGUACAUUCUUUAAUUGCUCUUCCCUUGUGACAUUAGAUCUUAGUUAUAAUCGCUUGAAUGGCAGCAUUCCGGAUUGGAUUGAUGGGCUUUCUCGGUUAAGCCACCUUAUCUUAGGUCACAAUAAUCUUGAAGGUGAAGUGCCAGUUCAAUUGUGCGAAUUGAACCAACUACAAUUGUUAGAUCUUUCUAAUAAUAAUCUUCAUGGUCCUAUUCCUCCUUGCUUUGAUAACACCACACUUCAUGAAAGUUACAGCAAUAGUUCUAGUCCUGAUGAGCAAUUUGAAAUAUUUUUUUCCAACGAAAGCUCUCAGGGAAAUGUAGAAAAGCAAAUCCAUGAAAUUUUUGAGUUCACAACAAAGAACAUUGCGUACAUUUACCAAGGAAAAGUGCUUAGCCUCCUAUCAGGACUUGAUCUUUCUUGCAACAAGCUAAUCGGUCCUAUUCCUCCUCAAAUUGGAAAUUUGACAAGGAUUCAAACAUUGAAUCUAUCACACAACGACUUGACAGGAUUGAUCCCAUCAACAUUUUCAAACUUGAAGCAUGUCGAAAGUUUGGAUCUUUCCAACAACAAAUUGAAUGGGAAAAUCCCUCAUCAACUAGUGGAGUUAAAGACAUUGGAGGUUUUCAGUGUGGCAUACAAUAACUUAUCAGGCGAAAUUCCAGAAUGGAAAGCACAAUUUGCAACCUUCAACGAGAGUAGCUAUGAGGGAAAUACUUUUCUUUGUGGAUUGCCAUUGCCCAUUUGCAGAUCACCAGCAACUAUGUCGGAGGCUUCAAUUGGCAAUGAACGAGAUGAUAAUUUAAUUGACAUGAACAGUUUCUUUAUCACAUUUACAACAUCAUACGUAAUUGUGAUAUUCGGAAUUGUUAUUGUUUUAUAUGUAAAUCCUUAUUGGCGACGUAGAUGGUUUUACUUUGUUGAAAUGUGGAUAACUUCAUGUUACUAUUUUGUUGUAGACAAUCUUAUUCCAACAAGAUUUUGUCAUUGAAAUUAAUUAGUAGCUUAAUUACGAUUCUUUAAGUACUAAUCAAGUUUGCUUAGGAAAUAUUUUUUUAUUAAAAUUGUAGUAGUAUUUAGCAUUAUAUAGCUUCCAACUUCCAAGCACUUCACAUUUUUCUCUACACUUAAAAAACUGAGUGAUCAUGUUUUGCAGAUCUGGAUUUGGAGCAGGAUGGAUCCAAACCCAUAUCUGUCCACCAUAACUUAUAGCUUCCCUAUACUGUGCAGCAUACUUAAAUAAGAGAACCAUCUCCAAUGUUAAAAGCAUUCACUCUAUAACAUUCAUUUAGAAACUAUAUUCAGAAUAAUUUUAUAAUUAAACACAAGAAAUGAAACACACAGAUACACUUGAUCGCCUAUUUUACUCUAAAAAAGAACGAUUAUUGUGCUAUCAUCAUCUUCUUCACUAGCAACAUUAACACCAAAUCGAUGGACCCAUACAUUUCAUCAAGAAAGGUAUAUAUCCAAUAAAGUUGAAGCCUAACAAAAAAUUCAAGAAGAUUAAUGCCUCGCCACAACAAGGGGCACAACAACAUCAAAGUAGAGAUUAAGCAGUAUUCUCAAAGCUAAAACUCUCAAAUCCACCCACCAGAAUUUCAUAUCUCCUCAACAAUUUUAAGAACUAAAGAUAAUUAGGAUUUAACAUUAGUUUUUUAUAUAUUAGUUUCAUAAUUUACAAAUCAAUGAAGAUGAAGAUUAUGCUAAUAAAUUCAAAUUAUACCAUACAUUCUCUAGAUGUUACCAAAAAUUUCUAAGUCAAUCCCACAUAUUUCAUAAUUUUAAGACUAGAAAAUUUCACUAGUUAGAAGUUUCAUUACCUUCAAGUGGAAGAUGAAGAACAUUAUACAAGUGAUUCAGAUUAUAUCAUACAUACUCCAAAUGCAACUAGAAAUUAACAAGUUCAUGCGCACAUAUUUCAUAACAGUAAAAAUUUGUUGCUCAACAUGAUGUGUAUUUUUUUUCAAGGCAAUUUGGAAACACAAUUGUUUCUACAGAUAUUCUUCUCAACUUGGAGAUAAAUACAAAUAUUAAAAUGCAUAUGAUCGCACAUAUUACUUCGAGUUUAGUAAGAUUUCAUUAAAAGAAGCAAUCAAACCACUUAUCAAUUGUCGCAGUCGUUCUAUAAACUAAAAUAGCAAUAUAAUACAAGAAAAAGAACAUAUAGAUACUUGGCAAGAGUUCAUUAAGAAGUCGCAUCACAUUCGGGUGAGGAGUUUUCUGAUAUCUUGCUAGCUGGGGCUUUUUCUUGUCUUUCUACGUAUGCCGAGGGAAACCAACCAGCUUGGCCCUUGCAUUCACCUUCCGACCAUCCAGUAGGAGCCACCUUGAGAAGUUAUAACUAAAACGGUGAAUUAAACAAAAGUUAAUCGUUCAAAGACCUAAGGGGAAAACUAAUUCUUUUACGUAGGAGGAGUGAAUUAGUUGUGAUCACUGAAAUAACAGCAUAACUAUAGAAGCAUAACAAGAUAUAAAUUCACAUGUCUAUAAGGGUAAACUGGGUGGUUUAGAACCGAGCUAGCAGCCCUACUAUAUUCUGAUUUGCACUUCAAUGUAAAAGGGAAUAUAUGGUAGGAAGAAAGAAAACCAACCAUCAUUUGUUAACUCGUUGCUUUUCAAUCAAAAUUUUAAGAAAAAAAUGCCAUGUGCUUUGAACAUCAAAUAAGUAUAAGCAUUAGUUCUAAAUUCCACAUAUCAUAAGUUGUUAGAAGGAUAAGUUAAUAGCAGAGUAGAAAAAUCUAUGUGUUGGUAUUUAGAGGGGAAAGUACCUGGCGAACCACAACAUAAUCAUCAAUUGAAAGACUUAGCUUUCCAUUUGCUUGAGCAUCAAAUGGAUGUAUAACCUGCAAGAUAAUGGGAUAAAUAGAACUUAAAAAAAGCAUAACAAAAGUAGCAACAGUAGCAGCAACGUUCAUUGUAACCACUAUGAUCAUGGCCAACAAAGAUAUAUUAGAAACAAAAUUCCAUUUUUACUACGACAUUAAUAUGUACUAUACGAUAUCAUGACGAUUGGGUUACUAAGAGCUAUCAAAGUCUAAUAAGUUCUGUAUAACUUUAUGUAGUUAUUUAAAUUAUGGAUCAGAUUUUAAAUUUGAAAUUUUGACUGCUCUCCACAAAACAUGGCCUAUGCACAAGAAAGUCAUAGAUAAUGAGGAUUACAAGUGUCCGACAUCUUUUGAGUGAUGGAUUUAACAUGAGAGCUUAUGGUCAGUCAAUUUCCUCUGCCUAGCAAUAUAAGCUUUCUCGGCCAGAUUUAUCUUCAAAUACAUAGAUUGCCCCCAAGUCACAUCCAUAUAAACAUAGUUUUUCUAGGUAAACCAAGUAAGGAGUAUCAUAAUUCAGACAUAAUCAUAAAAAGGCCCAUCUAACUUAAGAGAAAAUCUCAAAAAGAGGGAUGCUGAGCUAUCAGUCUUGUAUCUAUAAGCAAUAUCAAGACUUUACAUCACCUGCUACAUCGUGAGUGGCUACACAACUUUCAGUGGUUUGUCUUUCUUUGGCAUGCCUAACUCAGCUUUGAUGUUGCUGAGAUAUUGAUAGUAGAGACACAUGAUACUUCUAGCUCAUGCAUUCUAUCUAACUCAUCCAACAACUAUCUCUUUUUUAAUUCAUUAGUGUUUGCUAAACCUCAUGCUUAAAAGUCCUGUUCUCCUAAACAAAGUUUCCUAAGAAUGACUUCCUUAGCACCACAUUUGGACACUUUUAGAGCAAUUUUAUUUGGGGGAAAAGAAUUUUCAAGGUGUUAACUAAUAAAUUUUUAAAAAAUAAUUACAAUUUGUCCUACGAUCAUAUGACAAUUUAUCUGGGAUGAAAGGAUACAGAUAGACAUCUUCCACUUUCAAGACUAAUCACUACUUCCGUAGAUGUUGUGCAAUAAUACAAAUACUUGACCAGAUGGUAGUAAUGGUAGAAAAAAAUUUUAUUGCUCCAAAAUUAAAAUAAGAAUGCAAUAUGUUAAGCAAAAGGCUGUGCAACAUCAAAUUAAUUGAUAAGUUUGUAAUUCAGUAAAUUAACAACUUUCAUGGUAAAAUACAACAAAUUUCUUUUGAAAAAAAUAAAAAAAAUAAAUCUUAAAAGACAGCAUUCAAUUUUGUGCGCAUCUUAUUUCUUAAGAUUUUUCAGGAGGAGGGCAAUAGAGGGACUUUCACCUAUGCAAGAGAGCAGAAGCCUUACUUUCCCUAUAAAGUAGACGUCAUUCUGAUUAAUAUGCGUUUGCAAAUCAGCUCCGUUUGAAUCAGUAUUCUGAUAGACACACGAGGCAUUUACAUCCAUUUCCAAAGUCACAUGUUGCGAGGAGGACUCAUUUGAUUGCUCCUAUACGAUCAUCUAAUUCAAGUAGCAAGGGUUGGAAGAGAAUAAAAAGUCACAAUUAUUCUUUUGCAUAAGUGAGACGAAAAUGAUAAAUGCAAUAUUAUCAGCAGUAAACAAGAAGAGAACGCUCCAAGAAAUAGAUAGAUGCAGACAAGCAAGUUAAAAUGCAUAGUCCCAAACCUCCGCAUACAACUUCUCUAAAGUAGCAAUAACGUGUUGAUGCUAUGUUUUCUCAGCAUCUACCUGCAAAGGCCCGAGACCAGGAAAACAACAAUAAAACCACUAGCUGAAGGAGAAAGCAAAGAAAGAAAUACACUUGACAUAAAUCUUGACAAGAAGCACAAUUUAAGACAUAACAAACCCCAAUCAUAUUGUUUAGAACUACCAUUCGUUAUUUCGUUAUUGUAACAUUUCGAACAAGUGUUGACUUAAUUCAACAUUGUUGGAAAGAUAGGCUUUUAGAAGCAGAAGAAAGCCUCUCAAACCAAAGUGCUUGUCCUUGUAUUGAUCAAGGGAUGUAAACAUAUUACAUUUGCAGGAUGAGAUUUAAUCACUCCCCUGAUUUAUUUGGGUUGCAAUAAAACUAAGCGAGCAACUGUUUGACUUUCAAGCAACAACUAAAUCAGCUAUUAAAAUUCAAAUAAAAUCAUAAUAGAAUAAUAACAGGCCAUCUUGCAUCAAAAAUUAAGUUUAAUUUGUGAAUUUUUUUCUAUAGACAUGUCAGUUUCUGCUAUUGAAAUGUUAAAAGUAUUGAAAAAUUAUUCAAUAAAUUAUGCAAGCAUUAAAAUAGAGGAAAAAUUAAAAAGUUUCUAAUUACAAUGUUAAUAUUUCCUAUAUUUUAGCAUUUGCAUAUUUUAAUUUAUUUAAAAGCUACGUCGAUCAACUUUGGGCAUGAAGAUUUUAGAUUCUACGAGACUUGAUUGGAAUAUGCAUAAGAGUGUUAAAAUAUGAUGCAUCCAACGAAAGACAAACCACGUGUAGUCUUUUAAUUAAGCCAAAGUAGCAGCUCAAACAAAUGACACUUGGACCAACAUGCAAUCAUGAAGUGGCCGGAAAAAGGACAAAUGCUACUUUGGCUUAAAUAAAAAAUAACAUGUGACUUGACUUUUGCUGGACAUGCAUCAUGUUAUUACAAGACAACAGAAAUCAGUAUGAUAGUAAUAAAAGUUGACAAUAACAUGAAGAUAAGAGGCAGAAUGUCAACACAUGCAUAGGCACACACAAGAAAGUAUUAACAUAUAUACCAUAGCAAAAACUCUUUGAUAUGUCAUCUGUUGCUGCUGUGAUUCAACUGACAGCAUGGCAGCUGUCGCUUCUCUACCAAGAGCCAUUAUUGUAGAUUUAAGCUCGGUCAAUCUUGCUUCUGCAUUUCGAAGCUUCACAGCACUCUCUGCUGAUAUAUCAGAUUCCCUAAUCUUUGAUCGGUGCCUAAAUACUUCAGCUGCCUGGUGAAAAUAUUCAAUAUAAAUCUAAUAUAAUUCUCAUCUUGCCUUAUACAUGCAUAUGUUACCUCAAAGCUUACCUGGGCUUCAACUUCAUGUCGAAGUUUGUCAUAACGAUGAGUCAGGUGUUGAGCAUCUUCCAAAGGUGCUCUGUUGAUUAACGCCCGUAGUGGCUCAGAUACCUACAUGUCCAAAAACCUGUAACAUAGUUAGAAAAAUGAAAAGAAAGAGCGAAACCUAAAUUAAAAAGUUCCUCCAACAUAAUCAUGGAAUUUGGGCCUACUUUAAGAAUAUAUAUAAGGAUAAUUUAUGCAAUUUUGGGUCUUAGGAUGAUUGGUAUUAGGUUAGUGUUCUUCUCUUCUGUAUUUAAGGUUAAAAUAGAAAUAAACCUAUGCAAAUAUCUAAAUUAGGCCUGUAAGACAUCCACAUGCAUCCUUCAGUCUCAUGGAUUUGAUUUUACUAUAGAUGCAAGUGUCUUUAUCGAAAAUGCUUGGAGUCAAUUGAGAGAACUCAUGGCCAAUAACUUGUCACACGCUAGUCUUUGCUAGUGAUGUAAGAAGUCACAAGGUCUCUUCAACAUUUGAACCAAUAAAAUUAUUAAGUCAUGGAUGUCACUAGCAAUGAUUUUAAUAUAAAACAUUAAAUAUUUCAGAGUUGUAACUUUAAAAUGGAUUCUUUUAUUCAAUAUCAUAGAACUAAGUUUCCUUAUGAGAAGAUAAUAGUUUCGAUAAUAAUUUUACAUAUAAUUUUCUAUAUUUGAAUUAUUUUCUAGUUAGGGAUGAACUAACCUGAUCACGAAGAAUCCCGAGCAAAGUUUCCCUCUCAUUUUCCAUCAAAUCAUGUGAAGUGCCAAAUUGAAGAGCAGCUCUUGCAACGCAAGAAUUGUCACUUUGAUUCUCUGCUCCAUACUUGCAACAAUCUUCAGCCAACUUUCUCGCUACACUAUUUGAAUACAAAAAUAUUGUACACAAGAACUAUAAAAAACGAAUGAAAAAUAAAUAAAAUCGAGAAAUUUCACUAAUUAAAAGUCUAAAUAUAAUUUUUGAAAAAAGAAAAGAAACGGACUUGCUGCUGCUUGGCGACUUGUUCUCGGAGCUUGAUUGCCUGUUUCUUGAUAGUUUCCAUACUGUUUCUUUCAAAAAGCGACGACGGCUCAGCUCAUGGAAGUGGAAAAAAAAAAGUGUGAUCUAGAAAAAUGAAAAGGCGUGAAUAAUUUUUGACAAAAAGCGAAAAUCAAGGAAAGCCGGCUCUUUCCAGAAAAUAAAAAAAAGAAAAUCAUAAGUUUGAAAGGAGAAGAUGAUAGUGGAAGUAUGCGGUGUGGCUGCCAGGUACUUGGAUUGUAUUGUCGGGUAAGGUAAUAGUAGCGAAUUAUAAGUUUGAACAGAGCAUGUUGGACUUUUGUUGACCAAAUUCAAAAGCCCAAUGGCACGGCCCGGAAGCUUUUGAAUAGAAAAACUUGCUAGAAAGCAUCAGUUUAAAUCACUACUUAAACGCUUGCUUUAACUGCACCGCUUUGUACUGUUUUAUGUAUGUAGCGGUUGUGUGGUUGUAAUUCACGGCUGACGCUAUGUGUUUGUUUGUACUGUUCUAUUCGGUGAUUGGGUAUUAUUAGUUAGGCCAAAACUAUGUUGCAAUAGUGGUAUUUCAGUCAUUGAAUCUAUAGUUGUACAGUUACAUUAAUAAGAUCUAAUGGCUGAAAGCAACAGUGGUACCGUACCACUGUUGCAAUAUAACUGGACCCUAUUAGUUAUUUCAAAGGGAUAAAUAAGAUUGCUUACAACAAACCUACUAAUUUUAUAAAAUUCAAGUAAUAUAGAAUAAAUUAAAAAAAUAAAUACAAAAUUGACUUUUAUUUUUUAUGGUUGACUAUAUUUUGUGUUCUCUCUGCUACAAUUCUUCCCUAUAUAUCAAUUACACCACAUACUAUCGACACAAGAAAUGAAAUCUAAUAUCACCCGUUUAGUUAAAAAAUCACUCAUGAAAAAAUUUUACCAUUUUGAUUUGAGGAUCCAUAUUUUAAACUGCAAGCUAAUGUUCAUCAAGAAUUACUGAUGGCCGUUGAGUAGAAAAAUUAUUUUUGGACAAAUUAUUUUUGUUGAUAGAAGAAUUUCUUUAGGGACUACUAAAUUAUUAAUAAAAAUGUCGAACACACCCACAUAUCAUCGACACAAUUGAUUUUGAGGAUCCAUGCUUUGAACUGCAGCCUAAUGUUCAUCAAGAAUAGAGUAUGGCUUGUGAGUAGAAAAUUUUCUUAUUUUGGCCCGAAAUAAAAAGAAAUUAAAUUGGAUGAGAAUCUGCCACUUUCUCAUGAAGAAAGGCAUACGGAGCAUACCAUGGUACCAUACAAUAUAAGGAGCCUCUAUUCUUUGGUUUUUCAAACUCUGAACGGGCCAAUAUUGCCAAAUUCCCCCUUGAAAAUUCUGAUUACGACAUUAUUCAUCGCUUGAUGCAAUCAAAGUAGUGACAAAGUUAGGAAAAAUAUGAGUCCUAAGUAAUUGCUAGGCAGGGUUCCUGAGAGCAAAAUUGUCCUAAGCAUUAUAUGCAUACAUGGUGCGGUACAUAGAGCACGUUAAAUUCCCCACUAUAUCACAAACCCAGAAAGACAAGUAAUAACUCAACUGAUAUAAAGACAAAAAGAAGAUAAAAUGAUAUAGAAAAAAGAAUUUCAAAGAGACAGCAACAUACGAUAGACUGAAGCCACUUGAUCUGCUCAUUGAUUGCAGCCUUAAACUUGCAAAUAGUUACUGUACGCUAGUGCUCUAAGAAGUGAAAAUGAUGCCAGCCCUGAUUCCCUUUUGACUUCCAUUUACUGUCAAACAUUCUAGUAAUACAAAAAAUUGUUUAGAUAUCUUGCUAUAAAUAUAGCCGUUUGACUGUCAUAAUAAAGUCACAAAUAACCAUUCAUAUUGAUCUACUGUCACACAGCAUGCUUUAUGCAUACAACAGCUGUAUGUAUACCAACUCCUAACCUUAUCAAUACAUUUGGCAAAAACUUAAGAAGAAAGCUAUUUCUCCAUCUCUUUUUUGAAAUUUCACAAUAACCAGCACAAUGUGAAAGCUAUGUUCUAACCUUAUGAUAAAUGCUCUAGACUCCAAAAGGAUUUUAUAUAUGAGAGUUUGUUGCAGCAGAUAUAUUGACUUAUCAAGUAUGAAUCAUUGUCUGGAUGAACUAUCUUUAGAUAAAAGAAUAUUAGAACCACUGUAGAAUAUCUUUACGCUGCUGGUUCUAACAGGAAUCUGCAUGUGGCAACAAUUGCUAGAUCCACAAUUCCCCAACUUGAAAUACAUAGUUGCACACCAUGAGAUAGUGCUACAAUCUACUGAGAUCUAACUUAUAUGGUACUUUAAGCUACUAAUGUUUGCAUAUUUCUACAUGUUAAAUUAACACUAUUAUCUAUAAUCACUCCAAAACAACAAAUGAUAAGCAGCUUUUGGCCACUUAGUACUAGCAUCCACAAUUAUAAAUAAGAGAUCAUGGGUUUACUUGUUGCACCUACUUAAUUAUCUGCAGUUGACAUCCUGACGCAAGGUUUAAAUAGUGACUGCUUAGAACCCUUGUAGUUGGAUCUUGACCUCUCCCAUUGUAGCCAAGAUUGGUUACUCUGGUAAUGAAUCAACACUCUCCUGCUCAGGGCCAUGAAGAUCUGAAAGCUCAGCACUAGUGGAGAACUUCAUCAAUCUCUUCUUCUCAGCAUACUUGAGACAAGGCUGCCUUACGAGACCAAUCACCACAGCACCAACGCUUAAAACUGCAACUUUUAAAGAAGAAAGAGCCAACACAACACAACACAAAUCAAUAUGGUUGGAGGAAUACACAUGAUAAUGGCUCCAACAGUGACAGUGGGUAUCUUGUAGGGACGAGAUGCAGCAGGAUAUUGCAUCCUUAACCAUACAAAUGCUAUGAACUCCAUAAUCAUUCCAAAACAGUACAGGAAGUUCUCUGCAGCUACAAUAUCUCAAAAGCUCAGCCAUGAUAGCAAAACCACACCAGAUGCUGAGAAUAUGAUUCCAAUCAAAGGAGUCCCAUAACAAGACCUCUUAGCAAAAAACUCAGGUAGCAUUCCACGCUCAGCCAUCCCCAAAAGUUGGAAAGAGUCGCUGCUCAUCUCAGCCACAAACAUGCCCAUAUUGGACAUUGCUGCAGCCCCCUGGAUGCACCAUCUCAACCAAACUCCUCCAAGCACUUUAGCGAUAUCUGAAAAGUAACCAUUGGUCCACAAGUCGCGAUCUAAUGGAAUAGCUCCAGUUCCAAGUAGAAGGGGAAAGAAAUAUCCAAAAACGACCAAGAUCAAAGCAUAAAACAAAGCCUUUGGAAGAGUCUUCUUUGGGUUAUCCACCUCUCCAGCUAGUGUACUUAUUGAGUCCCAGUAGUUGGAGAUUCCAAAACAGGGUGUUCAAAUACAAAUUCCAGUCCACUUCACCUAAAUUUACUACAAGCCAUCUUGAAGGCUCUAACUUGGGAAGGGACACAAGUCCCAUAACCACAAAAGGAAGGAAUGAGAAAAUCCCUAAAAGAACAGCAGCCCAUCCCACAAUGGUUAGACCCCUAUAGUUCAUGAAAGUGAGAACAAAAGUCAAAGCUAACGCCGCAAAGGCUCUAGGUAACCCAUCGCCCAAAGCAGGGAUACCAGACUUCAAGUAGUCAAGAAACAGAACUGGGUAUAAAGCAUUAUCAAUAACCCCACUUAGCCACUUCAUCCAAACUUGCUGAAAACCCCAAUAUGGGCCUAAGGCAGAUGAAACCCAAACCAUAUAACCACAAUUUUCAGGAAACACGGUACCCAUCUCGGCAGUAAUUAAAGCUUCAGGGACACUCCAUAUAAUCGGAAACACCAAGAAACCAAGAAGUGCUAAAAGAGGACCAGCUGCCUUUACACUAUCCUCAACACCAAACGGCCCCCCAGAAACCUCAUAGAAUAUAAGGAAAAUAAGUGGCAAGAUUGAUACUUUUUAGCGCCAUGGACUCUAGGAGAAGAUGGUUGGUCAUUGAUAUUAACAUAUUCAACAGCAUCAGACUGCCCCAUUUCUACUGAAAGUUGCCUAUUCACAGUGUUCCUCAAUUUCUGCAUCAAGUUUAAGCAUAACUAUCAAAAGGGUAUCGGCAUCUAAAUUAUGAAACAAAAUGAGCAUUUACUUAUUAAAAAAAAUCAAAAAAACAGAAAUGGAUUUCACAGAAUACAUGAAUUUAAGUUCAACAUUAAACAGGCGCUUAAGAAAACAAAAGGGUCUGUUCGUAAAGCCAUCAGAUUGCAAGAUUGAACAACAUUAACGGAAUCAAUAGAAUAGAUGUAAAGAGAUCUGAAAAGAAAAUAAAAUAAAAGAUGAAGAGAGAUAAAACGAACCAUCAAAUAAGUGCAUGCAGAGCAGAGAGGCAGAUACUAGAGAAGCUCCGUCGUGUUAGAGUAGGGGUGGCAAUAUGGGUCAGGAUUCGUUUAUUCGAUUCGAUUCGAUACGAAUUAAAUGGGUUUGGGUUUGAAAAAAUUAAUUCGUUUAAUAAAUGGAUGAAUUCGAUUCGAUUCGUUAAUUAAACGAAUCGAAUGCGGGUUUGAAAAUUUAGAUUCGUUUAUUCGUUUAAAAUUCGUUUAAUAAAUGGGUCAUAAACGAAUAGAAUACGGGUCGAUUCGUUUAAAAUUCGUUUAUUAUUUGUUUAAUUAAAUUACUUUUUUAUCCUUAAAUUUAUUUGAAAGCUUUUUAAAAUUUGAAGGUUAAUAUUGUAAUUUUAAGUAAAUAACAAAAAAAAAAAAAACAAAGUAGCGGAAACCUAAAGCUAAAUCCCUAAAAAUUCUCCCUUCACUCAGCCGCCGCUCUCGUUGCUCUCUAGUCUCUACCUCUCUCACACGAAUCACACUCACCCACCCAUACCAAGUGAAGCAAUCAAGCAACAAAAACAGCCGCCGGUAGCCACUGUCAUUAACUCACAGCGAACCGACGAUUACAACCACCAUCGUUCAUCCAUCAUCGAUUGAGCUUGAGGGACGCAGCCACGCGAGUGCAGCCCGCAACUCGGCAGCAACCCAGGAGCAUCAGCCGCGCAACGUAUUAGCAGCCACUCGAACCCACAGCAGUAGCUAACUCGUGCGGCGGUGCAGCAGCAGCAAACCCAGGCGAGCGCGACCCGAACCAGUGCCCAGGUUCUGAGUGAGUUCCUCGUUUAGGAAGAUCGCUUUUAAUCUUUUUGUAGUUACUUUGAUUUUAAGUAACAUAGACGAUGAACCCAACAGAGAAGCUGCAACGAGCUAUCCAUUUUUGAAGCGGCUUCUGUGGCUCUGCGUAAAGAGCUAAUUAACCAGCUGCAUCUUGGACCAAGAGAUAUAAAUGAAUAUAUUUUUCUUUUGCGCAGUACGAAGCAGUAAUUAAGUUGUUCUCUAGGAAAUCAAUCCAUAAUCAAGGUUUUAAUGCUAUUAAUGAUAUACAGUAUGUUCUUCUUUAGAUUUUAUAAGUGUAUAACACCUCCUUUGACAUAAUAUAUAUUGAUGUAGACCUCUCGGAGUCAGAUGGAUGAUUUGCCCAGGCCGGCUGCUUUCUGCAAGACAAUGCCAAAAAAAAAAAAAACCUUUUGCUCGCAGUUUAUGUGUUUUAUCCACAUUUGACAGGGCAUUUUGUAAUUUAUUUGAGCAUUAAUUAUGCCAAGUUUCAGUUCUGUUCUCAUUUUUCUUGGACUCGUAACAGCAAUCAGCAUCAGGAAGAUGCAAGGUAGGUUUAAGUGCUUAUUUAAUUAAUUCCCAAGCGAUCCGAAUCAACAAGCCAUCACCAACUCAGGGUAAUAUCAUGAGAUUAUGGUUGAAUUAUUGAGAAAUUUUGUAUUGUAGAAUAUUAUGAGAUUAUGGUUUAGAAAAUGUUUUGUAUUGUUCGGAAAAUAUUAUGAAAUUAUGUAUAAAUUGAUUAUGGUGUUAAAAAUUAUCUGUAGGAUAAGGAAGAAGCCCCCACAAAUAUUGGAUUAAUUUUUUUUUAGUAUUAAAAUUUAUAAUUUAUUAUGUUGUAUUGUUAAUAUUUUGUGUAUUGGAAUAUUGUGCAUUAGGAAUAUUGCUGGGUUAGAAUUUGGCAUACAUGAUGAAUAGAUUUGAUUUUUGAAAUAUUGUUAGGUAAAGUUUUUAUCUUGUUCAAUUAUCAUUUCCUUGAAAAUGCUACAAAUUUGCUAUAUAUUUGAUUUUUGAAAUUUUACAAUGACUAUUAUCAAUAUUGCAGCAUGUUAAUAACAUUUUAUUUACUUUUUGGUGUAGGAUUUUUGUUUUCAAGGUGACAAAGACAAAUGAAGAGAAUUAAAGAAAUUACAUUUCUUUAUAAUUUGAAUUUGAAUUAUUGUUAUUUGUAAUAUUAAGGAUUUGGUAUUUGGUAUUUGGAUGACUGUAUAAUAUAAUUUGAAUUAUUUGUAUUUUGUUGUGGGAUAUUAAAUUUGUUUUUUUUGCUUAAUUUUGUUUAUUAAUUAUAUUUUCUAAACGAAUUGAAAACGAAUCCUAAUUCGAUUCGAUUCGUUAUGGAUUCGUAAAUGAUAAACGAAUAAUAAACGAAUCCGGAUUCGAUUCGAUUCGUUUAUCAAUUCUAUUAAACGAAUUAAACGAAUCGAACCGAAUAUUCGUUUAAUAAACGAAUCGAAUCCGAAUCCUGAAAUUUCAAUUCCUUUAAUAAACGAAUCGAAUUCGAAUUCGAUUCGUUUAUUCGUUUUGCCACCCCUAUGUUAGAGAGAGCCUAAUUCAAUCAGAGCUCACUGAGUUUCUUUUCAACCGACCGGCAAAUUUGGAGUGCCACAACAUAAUAUUUUUACUUUUAAUUUUUGGAACACUUUUGAAUAGAAUUUUUUGUUUUUAAAAAAGGUAAGGGAGAUUAGUAUUUAUUUAACUUUAUAUUUUUUUAAAUACUUUACAAAUAUUUUUGUCGUUAAAAUAUUAAUAUUUUUAUUAAUAAUUUUUAUAUUUUUAAUUUAUUUUUAUAAUAUUAUUUUUUUAUAAUAAUUUUUUAUUUUAAUAUUAAUAAAAAAUAAUUAAAUUAACAAGUUAAUCCUAAAAUAAAUAAACACGUGUUUGGUUUUGGGCUUUUUCUUUUGUUCGUUUAAUAUCAUCUGGCUCCCUGAUUUGUGACUAAUUAUCAACGGAAUCCCGUUGGUUUCUAAAUUGAAAUAAUAGAAGGUCAUGAGACUAUUUACUCCAUUUAGCACUGCAGACUUAGGUGGCGUUUGUUUUUUAACUUAAUGACUUAAAGUGACUUAACUUAAUUAAUUAAGUUAAUUAGAGGUGUUUAUUUUUAUAACUUAAUAAGACCUUUUAGAUAAUUUUGACUUAAUAAAAUAAGCCAAUUUUUUUGGCUUUUUACUUAAUGGAGAAAUCUGAAUUAAGUCAAUUACUUGCUAAUGUCAAAAAUAUCCUUGCUUUAUAAUUUAUUUUUUAUGUCUAUCCCAAAACUCACCCAUAGACAUUUACCCCACACAAAAAUAUCCUUAUUUUUUCUUUCUUAUAUUAUAUACGAUAAAAUUUAAAAUUUAUGAUAUUUUAUAUAUUAAAAUUCCAAAAUAAUUAUGUAUUCACUUGAAUAUAGUUUUACUUAUAAAUGUUAAAAUAUUGUGGUAUUUAAUUUAUUAUUUAUUUGACAUUCAAAUUUAAUAAGGAUACAAAUGUAAAAGUACAUAUUUUCAGCUUUUUAAGUUGAAAAAAACAAACAACUUAAUACUUGUUUUCCGAGAUUCAGACAAAAAAAUAAACAUAUUAUUCAGAUUCAGACAUUCAGAUCUAUUCAGAAUUCAGAUUAAUUCAGGUCUAUUCAGAUUUCAGACAAAAAACAAACGCCACCUUAGAGUAUAUUGAAAAAGCUUUGUCAAAUAGUAGUAAUAGGGGCAUAAGAAAUAAAUUAUAGCUAUCACAAAUUCGUUAGAAGAAUUUCAAUUUUUUCCAUCAAUAAUGGCUAUGAAGCAAAAUUACCUUAGGUUAUAUUGCAAUACUAAUACUUCAAAUCCUGAUAAUAAAUUUGAUGACAGUCGUUUUUAUCAUGGUUUUAACAGAUAUAAGAAGAGAAAAUUAACUGUUCAAACAAAUUAGAAGCAAAUUCUUUCAUAUCUUUCUUUUAUUUUUCCGCUUACUUUCUUAGCAUCCAAACAAGUUAAAGUUAAAACGCUGUUAGAGCCAACAAUAUGCAGGCAUCAAUAAGCAUAGUAGUUUUGUAUAUGUAUUCUAUACGAUAUUCUAGGGAUGUCAAUUGUAGAACAUUUUGUGGUAACUUUUUUACAUUAAUUAAUGUUUGAAGAACUUGUUAAAAAGAAAAUGGUAAUUUUAUCAUUUUGAAAGACAAAAAAAAAAAAAAAGAGUGAAAGUGGCGUUACCUCAUGGUCAUUAGAGACUUGUUGCAAUGAUAGCUCAAAAUUAAAAAUUUGUGAAGAAUUAGUAGACAACGACGAUACUAUAUUUAUACAGUCACCAACGUGUUGAUUUUUGUUUAAUGUUUGAUCGAUAGAAACUUUCGUCGUCGUCGCCGUUGUUGAAUUCGUGCUUAGAAUAUCACAAGAGAAGAAAAAAGGAUGAAAGGGAAGAGAAGAAGAGAGAAGUGGUGGAUAGCAAAUAUGAUAUGCUAGCUACACACAGGCCUUAGAGAGUUUUUUUUUAAUAUUUAUUGUAUUUUUGUUUUUGUUAUUGGUUUUUCAUAUGCUUCCAAGGCAGCAAUGCGUUACAUCAUAAAUUGGACCUUUUAGGGGAGGUGGUAAAAAACAUGAGAGCAAUGCAUUCUAGCGCAUACAUGCAGAAAGAGUUUCCAAAUUUUCAAAAGUUUUUUUAUUUCUUCCACCUUUUUUUGCUUAAAAUAAAUUUUAAUUGUAUUUUGCAUUAACUUAGAGAAAAAAAAAAUCCAGUUCUAUACAUAAACGCAUACAUUGAUUAGAAAAUGAGUUUUAUGGACACAAAGGGACAAUAUAAGAGAUUCUUUUUGUUUAUUAGAAGUAACAUAACUAGUUAGUGUAACAUGUAAUUAUAAGCUACCAAUAAUUUGCACUGAUGAUAAUUAACGGUAUAGAUUUUGAGCUAUGAAUGUCUUGUGGCUAGUUUAAUUGGAUUUUCGAGUUUUCAGCAGAUCUAUUUUAAUGAUUAUUAAAUUAUUUUCACUUCUUAUGCCUUAAUAAAAAAAAUCAAUAUUUUUUGUUGUAUUCUAUAUUUUAAAACUUAAUUUUUAGUUCUUUAUAUUGCAAACCAAACUGAGUCAAAUCGAGUAUGCUCUUCAAAUAAUUUUUCCAUUGCCUUCAAGAAGAAUUCAUUUUAUUUUUAUAUAUUAAUUUAACACUUGUAAACCGGGCCGUCAGAUUGCACAUAAAGCAAAUGAUCAAACCGUUACAAGACCGGCCCAGGCCCACCGACUCUAUUUUCUUUCAUUUGACCAUUAAAAAGCUUUUGGCCACCCCCACCAAAUAAAUAAGCUCUUGUUCUCUUUUGUUCCCUCUCAAAGGAAAAUAUCUGAUCACCGAAUAAUGAUUCCGGUGACAUAAAAGAUCGAAACACCCCCCUAAAUUCCCUAAAUUUACGAUAAUACCCCACCAUGGAUGAUUAUGUUGAAAUGCCGCCUUACGAUGAAAGGCCUAAAAAGGGUUUUAACUUCACCUCCAUGCGCUUGAUCUUAACCCUCGUUUUCCCAAUUUUAACUUGCUUUUUGUUGGCAUUUUUUAUUGGAAUCGUAGCUGUUUUAUUCGGCAAAUCAUCAGUUUCCAGUUCCAUUUUUGUCCCUUCCCAGUGCAAGAUAGUGUCCAGCAGUAAGCUUUUUUUAACAUUUUCAAUUUUUUCCAUUUAUGAAGUCCAAAAAUUUUAUUAAUUUUGAUUUUUUUGAAUGAUUUUGCAGGUGUUGAUAUAAGUUCAUCAAAAGUUUGUGAACUUGGGGUGUUGAAUUAUAAGGCGAAGCGUGUGUUUUAUCCAUUUGAAGCAAGUAAAUUUCGAUGUCGGUAUGAUUACUAUUGGGCUUCUAUCUUCAAGGUAUUCAUACAUUUUUCCCUGUACUAUAAGCUUCUCAGUGGCGUUCUUGUGAGCGGUAGUGAGCGGUGUGGCUGACAGCUUCUUGAAAAUUAUAAGUUUGAACAGAGCAUGUUAGAGCACCACCAAAAGCCUCUUUAAAUAAGAUUUUAUUAUUUAUUUAAAGAGUCACAUCAAUAUUGAAAGCUCCAAAAGACACUUCAAUUAAAAUUCUUCAAAUAAGAAUUGAUUCUCUCUCUUCAAAUUUGGAGAGUUAAUUUCUCCCUCUUCAAUUUAUAUUUUAUUACUUUUCAUUGAAGAAAUAGAGAAGUGCUUUAAUUGCUAUUGACUUUUCCUUUAAAAAACUAAUUAUAUGAUUAAAAUAAUAUUAACUUAUUUAUAUUUGAAGAGUCUUUUGGAGAAUAUCAUAUUUUUUUCACCCUUCUAUUUGCCACAUAAGUAAACAAAUAGAUAUUUAAAAAGUAAAAUUUAUAGAAGCUUUUGGAGAUGCUCUUAGACUUUUGUUGACCAAAUUCGAAAGCCAAAUGGCACAGCUCAGAAGCUUUUGAACUGAAUAACUUACUAGGAAGCUCCAAUUUUUUGUUGGCUACAGUAAAAGGAUGUUGUUUUAUUCUUCUUAUACUUUACGCUUGCAUCAGCUUAAAUCACUUCUUAAACGCUUUGCUUUAACUCCACUGCUUCGCUGGGGGGAUUUACCUUGGAACAAGUGGGGACUUAAGUCCCCACUGAAAAAAAAAAUUGUUUUAAUAAUUAAUUUGAUUUGCCAAAACUUCUCAAUAAAUUUUUCUUAAGCCCCCCAUAAUUUCUUUCAACAAGCAAUUGAUCUAAAUGAGUUAAUUUCUGUCAGUUGUAUCCAAAUGAGUUCUCUGCAAUUGAUAUCAUGGCACUUGAAAUUCAACUUGAUACAUAUAUUUUGGAUAUGCGCACUAGUGCGAGACUAAAAGACAUAAGGUAUAUCCAUUGGUUUACUUGUUAAUAAUAUUAGCAUUGACUUUACCCGUUGCCACUGCUAGUGUAGAGAGAGUAUUUUCAGCCAUGAACAUUUUGAAGAAUUGGUUAUAAAGCCGUGAGUAAUGGAUGAAUGAUAGUUUAAUUAUUUACAUAGAAAAAUACUUAUUUAAUAAUAUUGAUAAUGAACUUGUAAUGCAACAUUUUUAAUGUAUGAAAACUUGAAAGGACAAUUGUAAACAUAUAUUGAAGUAUGAUAAAUCUUUCAAAUUUAUAUAUUUAUUACUUUUAAAAUUUUUUUAUAUUGCCGUUGAAUGAGCCCCCAGUCAAUCAAUAUGUUGUCUUCGCCCUGCUUCGUACUCUUCUAUAUAUGUAUCGGGUAUGCAGUUGUAGUUAACGGCUGAGACUACGUGUUUGUUUGACGUGGUAGUAACGUUACGAGUCUGUUAAACAUUCGAUGAUUAAAGUAUUAUCAGUUAUUUCAAAGGGACAAAUAAGAUUAGCUACAACACACCCACUAGUUUUAUAAAAUUCGAAUGAGAUGGAAUAAAAUAAAAAAAUAAAUAAGUAAAUUGACUUUUAAUUUUAGUGGUUGAAUAUAUUUUGUAUUCUCUUAGGGCACUGCUGUAAUUAUUCCUUAAACGUCAGUCAUACCCACAUAUAAUAGACACAAGAAAUGAAAUCUAAAAUCACCUGUUUAGUUAAAGAAUCAUCAUGAAAAAAUUUUGCCAUUUUGAUUUGAAGAUCCACAUUUUGAACAACCAACUUAUGUUCAUCAAGAAUGGAUCAUGGCCUGUGAGUAGAAAAAUUAUUUUUGGACAAAUUAUUUUUUUUAAUAGAAGAAUUUUUCAAGGGACUAAUAAAAUUACUAAUAAAAAUGUCAGACACACCCACGUACCAUCGACACAAUUGACUAUGAGGAUCCAUGUUUUGAACUGCCACCUAAUGUUCAUCAAGAAUAGAAUAUGGCUCGUGAAAAGAAAAUUUUCUGAUUUUGGCCUGGAAUAAAAAGAAAUUAAAUUGAAGGAGAAUCUGCUACUUUCUCAUUAAGAAAGGCAGACAUGGUAUACCAUGGUACCAUACAAUAUAAAAAGUCUCCAUUCUCUGGCUUUUCAAACUCUGAAGGGGGCAAUAUUCCCCAAUUCUCCCGUGAAAAUUCUGAUUACGACAAUGUUCAUCGGUUGAUACAUAAGUACAAGUAGUGACAAAAUUAGGAAAAAUAUGACUCAUAAGUAAUUACUAGGCAGGGCUCUUGAGAGCAACAUUGUACUAGGCUUUAUAUGCAAACAUGGUGUGGUACAUAGAGCCCGUUGAAUUCCACACUAUAACACAAACCCAGAAAGACAAGUAAUAGCUCAACUGAUAUAAAGACAAAAAGAAGAUAAAAUGAUACAGAACAAAGAAUUUCUAAGAGACAGCAACAUACAAUAGACUGAAGCCAGUUGAUCUGCUCAUUGAUUGCAGCCUUAAACUUGCAAAUGUUUACUAUAGCCUGGUGCUCUAAGAAGUGAAAAUGAUGCAAACCUUGAUUCCCUGUUUACUUCCAUUUACCAUCAAACAUUCUAUUCAUAAGAAAAAAAAUGUUUAGAUAUCUUGCCGUAAAUAUAGCCAUUUGAUUGUCUUAAUAAAGCCACACACAACCAUUCAUAUUGAUCCACAUUGCCACAUAGCCUGAUUUAAGCAUACAACAGCUGAAUGUAUACUGACUCCUAACCUUAUCAAUACAUUGGCGACAACUUAAGACGAAAACUAUUUUUCCAUCUCUUUUUUGAAAUUUCACAAUAAAACAGCACAAUGUAAGAGCUGCAAUGAAAAUGGACCGUCUGGAACUAUGGCGGAAGCUUCAACUAGUGUAGUGAUUUGACCUUCUUAUUAACCUAGCGAGAUCAAACACUGCCGUUGAUCUUGAACAGAUCAAUACGAUACGCACAACUUAUGAUUGAAUCCAGAAACAAUCAAAUCUUUAGCAAGAAUAAUUAAUCAGAAUCAAGAAACAAGUUUAAUGAAUAUAAACCUAUAAUUGGAACAAACACAGCCAAAGAACCCAAGAAUGACACAACGUACACCAAGGGAGAAGCUUUCCAGUGAGAUUAUAUUGAUGAUCAAAGAAGAAUCUUUUUACAAAGCUAACAAAAGUGAUUUCAGAGAAUAAGCUAUGACCCUCUCUCUCUUCAAUCUCUGUCUAGUUUGUUAACAGUGAUGACCCCAAUCUGCUUUGUUAGCCAGCUUCAUAACUGCGUCAGUGACAAACUAGCAAACCCAGAUUGAGCAGACUAACGACACGUGCAUAACAGCUUUAACGAACUUGGUUAAAGAACUGCUCACAUGUUCGUCACGCGUGUAGCUUAAAUGAUAGCCAAAACGACUUCAACCAGAUGCCGUUUUGAAGCUUAUGAAUUAUAAGUGAAAACACGUGCUUGUCUCGUGACAUUUAAAUGCAACAACAAGCCCAAAACACUGCCGUUCCACUAUGUUGAGUUUGCCAUCUCCAAGCUUCACAACUAGCAACGGACAAGAUGAUAAUUUAAUUGACAUGGAGAGCUUUUAUAUCACUUUUACAACAUUCUAUAUAAUUGUGAUAUUGGUAAUCGUCGGUGUUGUAUAUGUGAACCCUCGUUGGCGACACUGGUGGUUUUAUCUUUAUUGAAAUAUGGAUGACUUUUCGUUACUAUUUUGUUGUACAUAACCUUAUUCACAGGAGAUUUAAUCAUUGAAAUUAACAUGUUAGUUUCAUUAGAAGGCUGAGUGGUUAGGGCUGCUACCCUCCAACUUGGAGGGCAAUAGUUUGAACCCACAAGCGCAAUGUGGGGGUAUUUCAUUCUUUAAUUACAUUGUAUAAUUGAAUAAAGAUAAUAUUCUCUCUUACCUAAGUGUGAGUGGAGUAGACAUCCUUCGAAUAUUAGUGAGGGUCAAAACUUGGGCAGAGCUCAAUAAGUAUUGAUAUAAGUUGGUCCUAAUAAUAGUCUGAUUUGUAAAUAUCAGUUAUAGUCUCAUGUUUCCUUCCUUAGUUAUAUUGUAUAAUUAAGUAAAUGUACUCUUUUCUCUUACCCAAGUGUGAGUGGAGUAAACAUCUCUCGAAUAUUAGUGAGAGUUAAAAUCUGGGCAGAGCUCCAUAAGUAUUGAUGUAAUUUGAUCCCAAUAAUAGUAUGAUUUGUAAAUACCAGUUAUAGUAUCAUGUAAUAUGAGUUGUAAUUUGAGUAAUAAUUUCAUGUAAUUACAAAAAAAAUGUUACUUUCAUUACUUUUUUCUUCGUUAAAAUUCUCAAGUAUCAAUUAUGUUUGCUUAAGAAAUAAAAUUUCAUUAUGAAAAUUGUAGCAGUAUUUCCGAGCACCUCACAUUUUCAAUGAUUUUUCAUAAAUCAAUUAAUCUGCCAUACCAAUAUCAGGUUUAGUUUUUCAGACUAAAUGAUCAAGAAAGCAAACAUACAAAUUCACAUUUUAGAGGGGUAAACUAGCUUUUAGAUUUUAGAACUAGGCUAGCUACCUCACCAAAUUCCAAUCUGUACAGUGAACUACAAGAUUAAGAAAAUAAUGUAUUUAUAGUUUAAUUGAAUCAUGAGAAAACAAUGUAGUCAUAGCUCAAUCGGACAUGAUCACGGAGAGGCAUAUUCUUUUCAAGUUAAUUUGAUCCAUUUAUAAGAAAUGAAGUGGAUUGAAGUUAAAAGUUCAAAUAACAAAUCCUUAUUCUUGAGUUUUACGACGUCGUUACUCCUUCAAGAGGCUGAUUAUGCAAGUGAAUGCGGAAACAGAAUGCAUUAUCCAAUUUCACUCAUAUAGAAAAUUAAUUUUUUAUAUAUACUAAUCAACACUAGAUUGAUUAUGUUUUGUAUGUUUAUAUGCUAAUCAACAAUAAAUUAUAUUAAAUGAAGAAAUGCUUCAAAAUUUUCUAAUUUAAUUUAGAAAAUCAAUUAUUAACAUUAAUAUUCCUAAUAAAAAUUAUUUUCCAUCGGUAUUCAAAAUUUUCACUUAUAGAAAAUGCGUUUUACGUGAAUACAAGUUAUUGUGUAAAUUUGAAUGAUAGCGAAAAAUAUUUUUUUUAAUAAUUGUAAAAAUAAUUAACCAUAACAAAUCCCUUGCGUAAAUAAUAAUCGUUAUUUAAAAGGUAGAAAGAUGGUUAGUGCACAAUCAAAUUUUAAGCCCCUACCUCCUCAGCCCAAGAUUCAAACUUAGAUGAUCAGCCAAAUAAAAGUAUUUGAAAAUCAUUCAAUCAGGUUCUCGGGGCAAAAAUACAAGAUCCUUAUUUGCAUGAUAUAUAUGAAUUAAUGUAAUUUAUUUGAAUUAUCCAAAUUUAUUAGAGAUAAAACUAUAAAAUAUACCAAAAAAGUUAGAAGGAAGGGUGUGUUGGGAUAUUUUACAAACUAUAGGAAUCUAGUGAGAUUUUGAGCCAAACUGUAGGGAGUUGAAGGCAUUUGCCCAAUAUGUUUAGACGUACACUAACCGUUAUUUGCUCUUGUUGUUGGUCCCGGAUGAGCUGUAGUCUUAUUUUAAUUUUAUUUAAACUCACCAUAAGAUUCGCGGAGCUCCUAACUAACUUAAAUGACUCUGCAGAGCAUGUCAACACAUAGCAUGUUUAACCGUUUUAUUUGUAGAAGAAUUUAUGAUUUCCCAUUAGCAUUAUUAUUGAAGUGGGGCGGGUCAAAUCUCAAUUGCUUGAAAAUUUUUAUUAUUAUUAUUAGUCUUGAAGUGGGGUGGGUAACGUUCGCUCAAUUCGAGGGGAAUCAAAUAUAUCAUCCAAGGUAGAAUUGUGGAAAAUUAAAACAAAAUAAGAAAUAUGGAAAGAAAAGAAGAAAGUUAAGAUAUGAAAGACAUAUACAGUUGAAAUUGAUAAUCAUGUUCCUAUUUUGUUAACUAAUCAAAUGGAAAGCUGAACUGUAAACAAACAUUAAAACGUGUGAACCAAGCUAGCUGUCCUACAAGUCUACAAUAAUAAUUGAGUACUUUGAUUCAUCCUUCUAUAAAUUUCUACCCAUAUUGACUCCACCGAAAUUUCCACAAAAUAAAAAAAAAAAAAAAACUGAAUUUCCACAAAAUGCAAAACCCGUAGAACUUAAUUUUUGGUCAUGUGAACUAAGAUGUAAAUUAAAGAAAAAGUAUAAAAUUAAAAAAAGAUAAGAUUUCUAAAAUGUGUGGAAGGUGAUUCAUGAUUCACUGACACUACUUACUCCAAAUAUGAAGAUAAAUCUAUCUAAUUUCAUUAAAAAUAGUUGGAAAAAAUUAACUAAUAGAAAGCUACGGAAAUUAACCCCCCACAAAAAUGACUUUUUAUGGAAGAAUUUAUGUUUUUUAAAAUAUGUUAUCAAAGUGUAUUUGAUCAAAUCUCAAUUGGUUAGUAUGGUUAGGAUUUUGUGAACAUCACUAAAAAGUGAAAAAUAUGAAUGAUAGGGGUGAUGCUUGCAAUAUGAAUAAAUAAUGGACUGAUUCAAUUGAUGAUUACAUUUAUAUAUUAUUGAUUAUUUAUGAAUUUUCAGACUUGUUAUGAUGUAUAACUAUGUGAUUUUGAAACUUGAAACCGUGGCAAACAUUGAAAGGAAUUAUAACUUGAAAUCAUGACUCACGGGGUAUGUCAUGAUUCACGUGCACAAAAAAGGUAGAAUUGUGGAACUUGAUAACCCAACGACAAAUGCGGAAAGAAAGGAAGAAAAUUAAAAGACUUGGGGCCUAGCCUGCGUGUAUAAAUUAUUAGAUUUCUUUCUAUUUUAUAAGCGUAACCAUCAAUUUACUCCAUAACAAUCUUUAAUUCAUUUCUUAAAGAGUAAUGAUAUAGCCACAAACUCUUGUACAAACUUAUUUUGUAUAAAUUGAUGUGGCAUGAUAAGAUUUGUUGAAUUAAAUAUUACUUGGCCCAUAUGAUUUGUUUUUAUUAUUUUAUAUUUUCAUUCAACCAAUGAAUUAAUGUCAUGUCAGUUUGUACAAAAUAAAUUUAUACAAAAAUUUGUGGCUGUAUCAUUACUCUUUCUUAAAAUAUCAAAACUUUAAUUUAUCUUUUAAAUAUCGUUACCUCUCCAUUGGUUUUAACAGUUAAAAGGGUAAAAUUAUAUUUGUAUAUUUUCUUGACUGUUAACUAAAUAAUAAAAGUCAAAAUUCAAUCUUGUUAUCUUGUUUCAAUCCUCUAUCAAUCAAACAAGAUUUCUAAAAUAUGUGGAAGAUAUUGCAUGAUUUCCUCAACGUACCUGGCCCGAACAUCAAGGUAAAUAUCUCUAAAAUAGUUGAUUAAAUCUCAGUUGCUAAGUAUAGUUAGGAUUGUGUGAACAUCACUGAAAACUAUGAUUGAUAGAAGUGAUCUUUGCAAUAUGAAUAAAUAAUUAACUGAACCAAUUGAUUUACAUAUUAAAGUUUAUGAAUUUUCGGACUUGUUGCGAUAUAAUAAUAGCAUAUGAUUUUGAAACUUGAAACAGUGGUAAAUAUUGAAAGGAAUUAAUUUGAAAGCAUGAUCCGUGGGGAAUGUGAUGAAUCGUGUUUACCAAAAAGGUAGAAUUGUGGAAAUUUAUAACAGAACGAUAAAUAUGGUAAAAAGGAAGAAAAUUGAAAGACUUGGGGCCUGGCCUGGGUGUAUUUUCUAACUGUCCAAUGGACAAAAUUAUAUUUGUAUAUUUUCUCAUCCCUAGGUUUCAUACAAUAGCUCAUUUCAUUUUUAUUUUUUAAAUAAUAGCCUAAAACAUCAUUCUAUUAACUCACUAUUAGUUGAAUGUCGUUUGUUAGUAAUUCAUUAAGGGUAAAAAAUCAUUUUCUAUCAAAGAGAAAAUUAGAAAAAUAAAUAAAAGUUGACAUAUAACUAAAAAUGAUUUGAUCUAAUCCCACUAAAUAAGAAAUACCAAAAAAGAUGAAAAAUUUAUAUUUCAAGCAAUUCUUUUUUCACUUAUUUCUAUUUUGGCAACAUGAAAGCCCUAUAAACCCUAGAUCUAAGUACUAAAAAUAUCACAAUUUUCUUAUUCAUAUAAGUAUACUCUCUAAUUGCAUUGUAAAAUGGUUUGAAUUAAAUUGAAAAUAAAGAAGAUAUUCAGCACAUGCAAGCACAUAAAAAUUGGUGGCAUUUUUUAGUUUUUCUUCCAAUGAUUUAAAGAUAUUGUUUUAAUUACAGUUUGUUCCUUAUGACAAUUAUUCAAUGGCGAUAUCAAACUAUAUCAUCGUUGAUUUUAUUUAAGAAAAAGUUAAUGAAUUUUGCAUAUUUUGUAGUGUUAUUUAAUUGUGUAAAAAAAAUUAUUUUAAUAUAGUUUGUAUCGCUUUAAUGAAAAAUCAUAUUUUGCCCCCAAUGAAUUACUAGUUAACGAUUUUACAUUAAUGGUGAGUUAACGGAAGGAUAUUUUAGGCUAUUGUUUGAAAAGUAAGGAUAAAAUGAGCUAUUGCAUUAAACUCUAGGGAUGAAAAAUGCUUUUUCCCCUUUCUUAUCAAUCAACUAUCUGAUAAAAGUCAAAACUCAUAUUUUUUUUUUCCUUGUUUCAAUCCCCUCUCAAUCAAAAAAGUUUCCUUGUCUAAGCAACGAGGAAUAUGGCUAGAAAGAUUGUUAUUAGAAAGAUUUAUCAAUAGUAAUUGGUUCACAACUGAACAUUUUUAGAUUAUUGUGAGUCAAUAUAGGUCCUGUUUGGGAUUGAAGUGUUGCAGUUUUUAAGUUACAACUGCUGUGGAAAAAAAAACUAUAAUUAUGAAAUAAAAGUUAAUAAUAUAUAAUAAAUAUAAAUUUUAACUAAUAAUUUUGAUAAAAUUAUUAAAAAUAUAAUAGAUUUUUCAUAAUACAAGUAAAAUAUCAUAUCUACAUAGCUUGCAAGGUACAACAGUUAGUAUUUACCAAAUAGUUUAGUACUAUUUGUAAUGUUGUAAUGUCGAGAGAUUACCCAACCAUUAUGGAAUCCUACCAAGAUGAUUGUUACCACUAAGAUAAAAUCCUUCUAGUGAACAACAAUCAGACAAAUUUUUUGGGGAUCUCUCUUACAAAGUGAUUACCAUCCAAUCGCAAUUUUGAAUGAAAAUAAUUUUUUUUUAUUGGGAGUUUGACCUUAACAUUAAAUUUAGACAAUAAAUUUUAACUUUCUUCAAUUAUUAAACAGAUUACAGACAUUUGACAAAUUUGAAAACACUUCAUCCAUCGAAAGUUCAAAUUAGAGAUGGAAGCUAGGUGCUACAGCUAAUGGGAACAUUAAUUCCUGUCCCUCAUCACACUUUAUUUUGGGUCUAAUAAUUUUACGGCAGCAUUGACCACUGCUCAAGGUAAGUAAAACUUACAAAUGUGUGGCAAAAUAAAUAAUUAAGUGCAUAAACUCUUAACUAAUUUUCUUGAUAUAUACAGCUAAGGUACUUGUUCCUUUUUUUUUAAAAAAAAAUGUUAAAAAAUUUCGGCUGAGCCUGCUUGUGGUUUUGAUAAAAAGGAGGGGCUGGCUUCAAAUAUUUGAAUAGGCAUCUCCGCCGUACCUCAAACAAAACUGUCAUUAUUAGUGUCAUGAAACAUGUUUCGGCCGUCAAAGUCAUGAGAGGGUUGAUGACGCUACUACGUAUGAUGACACACCAGCCGACAGUGUAGUAACAGCUCAAAAACAAAAUCUACCAAAAUCAACGAAAGUUAAUAAAAUUUUAUUUUAUUAAUAAAAAAACUUUUUAUUUGUGGAGAUAUGUGUAUUUGAGUCUGUGGACUGAAAUGGAAAAUAUGAAGACGUUCGUUGUGUAGAUUGACUUCAGUUGAACGGGUCUAACUGGUAUUUUAUGCUGACGUGGCACGAAUUAGUUAUAAUCUGUUAUAACGAUUCCAGAAAUAUCAGUAUAAAUAGAAGCUGAUGAGCAGUGCCUGUUGUACGAUCCUUUUCUUCUUCACUUGUUCGUCAAUUUGCAUAGCAUCUGUUUCAUUGUGAUCUAUGCAAAGUCUUCUGUAAAUCCACUUAUGUUUGAUUAGUUGUUGAUCAAUAACGAGAGUAAAUUUUUCCUUCAAAUCUUGCUGCUUCGUGCCCCUGUUUCAGUUCUGGUUUUUUUUUUUUUUUUUUUUUAGUUCUGGUUUCUUAAUUCAAUUGAAUUUCUUGGUGCUUAAUUCAUCAAGAUUCAGUGGAAUCGACUUGAAAAGGACUCAAUAGACUCAACAUUAUUUAACGACACUCUGACCGUGGAGUACCGUUAUAAUAAUCUGAUUUUAAGAAAAUUAUAACUUAUUUUAAAUAGCGCCACAAUAUAAUUCUAAAUAUUUAAAAGGAAAACAUUAAUGACAUUUUGUUUUGAAAAAUUCAAUUAUUAAACUCUCACGUUUCAUGUGUUUGAAGUUAAAUUAUUCAUUAACUAGAACUCUGUUCAAAAUUGACUGUCCUGUGUUCCCAAAUGUAGUUGCAAUAUUGAAUGAAAGUAAAAACUUUCUAUGGCGAGUUUAAAUCUAAAUCUGGACAAUGAGUUUUUAGUUUCUCAAUGCUAUUCUAAUUACAAAAAUUAUAUUGAUUGAUUUAUUGUUACAGUUACUAGCCUUUGAAAAUGGAUGGAUUUAUUGUUUCCGUGACCCAAUUAUGCCUGUCUAACGCUGCAACUACUAAAAAAUCUAAUAUUUAAUGCACAUGUUAAAAGAUUUAAAAUUUUAUGCAUUUAUUAAUUGUUAUAAUCUAAAAGAAAAUUAAUUCGUUCAGGUCAAUCUGAGUUGGUGCAUCUGCAGAGCCUUUUUCUUUUUUCCCCUUAUUGACCAUAAUGAUCUAAGGGGUAUAAUACGACCUUGGUUCUUGGUAAAAAUGACAUCUCCUUCAACAUGACUAUUGACUAGGAGCAUGUAAAAACAUGGAAACAGAAUUUCCACAAAAUGCCAAACGUGUGGAACUUCAGUUUUGGCCAUGUGGACCAAAUGCAAAUGAAAGAAAAAGGAUUUUCCCAGCUAAUGUACAAAUAAAUGAACAACCUUGAAGCCUUAUUAUUCGCAACAAAAAGGGAUUACUAAUUGGAGAAGACUACACACAGUUUCUCUCACACUUUCUCUCUGUCAAUUUCAUCUAGAAGUCCCUCUGAAAGCAUCUCCCAAAACAGUUAGUCAUCUUUUAUUCUCUGUUUUCUGGAAACAGAGUCCUAACUAACUUAACUGACUGUACAGAGCUGAUCAAGAAUUCUGUUUUGUUAACUAAUCAAUUGCAAAUCAUAUAUUAGUGUUGAACGGUGAACAAAAUUGAAAAAAAAAAAUUCUUAAAAAACGUGUGGACUCGGAUAGCCAGACCAGAAAUCUAUGACAAUAAUUAGCUUUGAUGCUGGGAAUCUUUUAGUUUCUGGCCGUAUUGACUCCACCAGUGAAGUUUUUAAAAUAACAAGUUCCCAUUCUUCGUUUUUUUUUUUUAAAUGUGCUUAUAAUAAUUUUAGAAUAGUGACUUAUUUGUAGAAGAAUUUAUGAUUUUCCAUUAAUAUCAAUAUUGAAGUGGCGUGGGUCAAAUCUCAAUUGCUUGAAGAAUCUAUUUAUUAUUAUUAAUAUUGAAAUGGGGUGGGUAACGGACCAACGGUUCACUCAAUUAAUAUGUGGGGAAUUAAUUAAAUAUGACCAUCAAAGGUAGAAUUGUGGAAAAUUAAACCAAAAUGACAAGUAUGGAAAGGAAGGCUGAAAGUAAGGCAUGACGAAAGUCUUUGAGAAGGCUGAAGACCACCAAAGAAGUCAACUGAAAGCUAGCUGGGGCCUGGUAUGUAUGUUAGAUGUGUUUGUUAUAAAUAACAUAGAGCCCUUUUGUUAUUUAUAGUUAUAGAGAAAGAGAGAAUGUGUGUUUUUUAAUAGUUAGAGAUAUAGCUAGAAUGGGUGGUUCAAAAUCCAAAAUGGUGACGAUGUUAGUUUUGGGGGUAGAGUGAGGGAUGUUUGGAGCUUGAGAGAUUUGCUCUUUUGCGGCUUAAGCAUUUCUUCAAUUCUCCUUAUAGACUUUAAAACUGGGUAGACGAGCAAAGAGGUUGUUGUCAGUGGGAAACCGUUGAGUGCAGCAAAGUGAAAUUAAUUUCUCCCUAUUCUUAGUCUUACCAGGAGUAUCGAUCUGGGAGAGUGGUAUCUGAAUGCUUCUCUAUUUACUCCCUUUCAACAAAUUGGCAACAAAAUAGCCGGUUGGGUUAAGAACGAAGGUCCUUCACUUAAUUUAAUUUACUUAAUUUAAAUUAAGAAGAAGUUCCGUCAUCAAUAGAGUGCCUAGCUGAUCGUAAAACGUUGCGUUUGAGUAAGUGCACGAGGCUGAAGAGGCUUUCCAUCAAGCAUUUGUAAAUUGAAAUCUCUUCUUGAGCUUUAUCUCUAUAACUGCUCAAACCUUGAAAGUUUUCCAGAAAUCAUGGAGAAAAUGGAACGUUUAAAGAUAUAAAUUUAGCAAGGACGGCCAAUUACAGAGCUGCAAUCUUGAUAGCCUUCGGGAUUGGUAUCAUUUUCAAGCAAUUUUCUCAAUGCAGAGGUUUGGUAUCAUUGCCUCCAAUAUUAUUGUCAGGUUUAGUUUAUCGAAUUUGUUACAGCUAAAUUUAAGGGACUCUGCUAUAAUGGAAAUUCCCCAAAAUAUUGUUUGUCAAUCCUCAUUGAAAAUUUUAAAUCUAAAGACUUGUUUGUUAACUAAUUGAAGUAUGUAAUUAAUGCUUUGUUUUUGUAAUUUAUGUUUGAUUUUGAGAUAUUUACAUUUGAAUAAAAAAGUAAACUUUUGUUACAUUUAUCUAAAUUAAAAAAAAAAAGGCUAAAUGAGAAGUAAACUAUGUUCAAGCAAUUUUUUAUUUAUAAAAAUAAACCAAAUACUACUUAUAUUCAUAUAUCAAAAAAUGAAAAACAAACAUGUUAUUCAUAUGUUCACAUACAAACUUAUUCGAACCUCAGCUAAAUACAAAUCCAUUUUGAUUUCAAACAAAAAAAAAAAAACUUCGUAAGUGGGAAUAACUUUGAGAUUUGACUUGCAAAUGUCAAGCAACUUGCAAGGCUAGAAUAUCUUGACUUGAACGGUUGCAAUGAUUUCUCAUCAUUGAGAGUUUAUCAUUGUGCUUCAUCAUCAUCAUCAUCAUCAUCAUCAUCAUCAUCAUCAUCAUCAUCAUCAUCAUCAUGAUUAAUAAAAAGGUAAGCAAUUAAGAGUCAAAUUAAACCACUUGAAAAUCACUCAUCCACGCUUUUGGGACAUCAUUCUGCUCAUUAUUUUUAUUCCGUAUCUUCAUUGUUUUAUUUGGUAAUUAUUACCAUUAGUAAAUAAAGGGAUUAGUUGAUUAUUGUGAACUAACUAAAUGGAGCUCACCCUUAAAUGUCGGCUUGUAUCAGGGAGGUGCCUUAGGGUUAAUAAAUCAACUAAUCCCAUAAAUUGUUGAUGUAGGGUCCUAACAAAUUAUUGCCGUAGAACAGCACACAGCUCGAAAACAUAUUUGAUCCACACAGUGAAGAUGAUUCAAUAUUAAGCAUGUCAUAUAAUCUGGAGUUGGAUAUUGGAUCAAUUUGAUGAUAAUGAGUUUCUUUCAGUCUCAAUCUUUAUCUUCUUCGCAACAUGACUAGCCAUUGCGCAAAUUCAAACUCUGACAAUGAUUUCUCAAUCGCUUUCUAAGACGAUGAGCACGUAUGUAUAUAUAUGUGUGUGUGCGCGUGCGCACGUGUGUGUUUGUGUAUGUAUAUAGGGAGAGAGAGAGAUAUCACACGUGUGUGCUUUCCUUUUGUCAAUAAGAUAUGCAGAGAGCUUAAUAAUCAUAGAUUAGCUUAUAUCCUUCAAACCAUAUGCUAUGAAGUAAUUUCACAAACACUUGUUGAAUGUUAUUGAAUCAGUAGUUCACAGUUCAAUACAAUGUAGGUUUCCUAUUUGAAGUAAAUGAUUAUGGUGUGUGCAUUUUUCAUAAAGCUAACAACUGAAUUUACCAUUGAAACUUGCAAAAUGUAACAGAGAGAUGCAGAUAGCAGCCACGAAACACUAAGAUUGAAAAUCAGGACUACUGAAUUCUAUUACAAGCCCUUAAAAUAGACAACAAUCAUCCUCAAAUGUAUGUACUGAAAAUAAGAAAUAUUAAUCGUAAAGUUAUGCAUUAACAAAACUAUUGACUACUUACCUUUAGCUAUAUGUUUUUAAUUGUAGCUCCCUACUUUGUUCUAAGAACUAGGCAAAAGUAGCAUAUCUUCAAUCCAAUCAGCAUAUAUACCGCUCAUCUUCUCCAGUUCUUUCCACUUUGAUUUGCAUUUCAUACCCUGCACUUGCUGCUUAGAAAUAGUCAUAGUUUGCACAUUGACAGUAGAAAAAGUACUUGAAGCAAUCAUUGGCAUAGCAUGGGAUUCCAUUGAGUCGCGGUCUCCAAGCUUUCAUGGUUCUGUAAAGAAAAUGACAAAAACAUCAUGCUAUUGGCAUUCUACUUUUAGCAAUUUUCCACAAGCUGAGCUAUUUCAUAUCUCUCUAUAAAUUAUGAUCGAUGAGUGGACCACUGAUGCAUGCAAGUUUAUUAUCACUUGUAACUGCUGGUUCAACCUUCAGAUAAGUUUGUGAUAAAGGCAUCUAUGAGUACAAUGGGAAAAUUACAUGAACUUAUGUUAUCAAUCAUUGUUUUGCCUUCUCGUGAUAGAAUUCUGUGCAACAUAAAACAUGAUAUAUUUGUACCUUACCAUGCCAUGUCGUGAACCUAGAAGCAAUGCAAAUUGCAAGGAACAUAUUAAGCUAUCUACUGUAUAUAACAAAUUCUUAUUAGCCCACAAUCUUGUGCCGCCACAUUGAUCAAGUAACACUAUUAUAUCAUUUCCAAAAUGGCAUAUAUAAUCUAAUGUUGAACAAACCAAAUUGGGAAUCAUCAUUCCUUACAUUAAGCUGACAUUCGUACCUGCUAGUCCAUGAGCAAAGUUGCUUAUAUUUCCACACAGGCAGCUCCCCUUAUCUCUCGGUUCCGACAGAGCUUGGUUUUCCCAUCACCAGCUUUGGAUUCAUUCGAUCACUGAUGCUCCGAGUUAGCAAGCCCCUUGUUGUGUUCCCAUUGAACAGACCCACUUCUGUUAUCCACAGAAGAUCCACCACUCAAAAUGCUUAUCACCGAACUAUUCCUAAACUGAAUAGAAACUUCCGCACAUCUCUCGGCAUUUACAUGAAGAAAUCGACACCCACCCCCAUAUUUGCAAGUUUUCUGAUAAUAGAACGGUCUACAAAGCUGCAUUUCGUUAGGCAAUCUAAUCUCUCCAUUCCUAGCAAAGUGAUAUUGAUUCCCGUAUUUGUAAUUGCCUAAUUGGGGUUUUGGCAAUAGCCUGGUCUUAAAAUUACCACCCAUUACUUUGUUCAAUGCCACUGGCAUCCUCUGAUUAGGAACAUUUUCACAAUUUUUAGCCCUGUUAGUCGAAUCACAUUCAACGGGAUAGUGAGGCAGUAUUUCACUAACAGAUUCAAUUUGACUACUCAUAUUGAUGCACAUAUAAGAAUUUGAAAUCACUUUCUCUUGGAAUAUUUAAUGACCCCUGAUGAAAGUUCUUGAAUGGAAUUAUUUAAUUUGAUUUGAUUUCCAACAAAUUCAAGAAACCCCACAUAGUAGCUAAACAAAAAUCAACCAAUAAUACGCAAUGGGUUUCUUUCUUUUUGCCUUUGGAGGGCCAUGGAGAUCUGGAGUGGGCAGUAAGUAAUAGCCUUUAUGACUGGAAUGACAGAUUUGCAGAAGAUGAUAGCUCAAAACGCGUUGCUGUGGAAAAUUGUAGCAAAAUUAAAAAUUGGAAAGAAAGGGAAGAAAAUUAAUGCAUGAAGACUUGGAGAAAACAACCAAAUUAAUCAACUAUAAGCUAGCUGGGUGUAUAAAUUGUUAGAUGCAUUAUAAGCAAAUAGCGUAGAGCCCUUUGGUUAGUUACAGAGACAGACAGUGUUUGUGUUUUUUAAUAGUUAAAGAUAUAGAUAGAAUGGGUGUUUCAAAAUCAAAAAUGGUGAUAAUGUUUGUUCUGUUAUUAAUAAUAUUAGAAGGUGGGGGAAGUGAGGGAUGUUUGGAUCACGAGAGAUUUGCUCUUUUGCGAAUUAAACUGUUCUUUGAUGAUCCUUUUAAUUAUCUUCACGAUUGGAUAGAUGAUGAGGGAGCUACUGAUUGUUGUCAGUGGGAAAGGGUUGAGUGCAGCAACACCACAGGCCGAGUGAUACAACUAAACCUUUUUUUAAUUGGGAAUUGGGAUUUGGGAGAGCGGUAUCUGAAUGCUUCUUUGUUUACUCCCUUUCAACAACUUGAGUCACUUUAUUUAAGUUGGAACAACAUAGCUGGUUGUGUUGAGAAUGAAGGUGCUUCGUUUAAUUUUAUUAAAUUACUUGCUCUCUCCUAAUUUAAGUUGAAUAUCAAGACUGAGCAACUAUAUGCAUAUCCAUUCAGUUGACAAUUCUGACAUUUUUUUGAAGUGAUUAAUUAAUUUUUGAAAUUACACCAGCAUCUAUGAUCCUUUUUUAUGUUACUUGCAGGUCUAGAGAGGCUAUCAAAAUUGAACAACUUGAAGAUGCUUAAUUUAAGUGAUAACUCGUUCAACAAUAGCAUCUUAUCAUCUCUAACUCAUCUUUCAUCAUUAAGAUCAUUAGAUUUAUCUUACAAUAGAUUGGAAGGAAGUAUUAAUGUUAAAGGUAUGUAAUUAAAACGUCAUCUCUUCUCCCAACUCUUUCAUUAACUUGCUAAAAUAAGAUUCAAGGUUUUGAAUUCAAUUUUUUUUAUGAUUAAUAUUAAAGGAAAAAAAACAAUUUUAAGAAAUUCAUAAAUACAAGUUCUAAUGUUUCUCAUAAUUUCAUCUUGUACUUUCAUAUGUCUUGAAUUUAAGAUUUAAAAAAAAAAAAAAACUCUAAUAGCGAACCAAACACCUCCACAACUUAUUAUUAAUAAUAUUAUUAUUUUUUCUGUGAGGUUUGAAACAUUAAACUCAAUUUGUACUCUUUACAGAAUUAGAUUCUUUGAGAGACUUAGAGGAGCUAGACAUUGCCGGGAACAAGAUUGACAAAUUUGUGGUCUCAAAAGGUGCUACAAAUACCAUAAAAAAUCUAAACUUUUACAAAUUAGCUAGAUUCUUUGCCAUUUGGUUAAUUAUUUUGCAGGUUUGAGGAAGUUGAAGUAUCUCGGCUUAAGUGAUGUGGGAUUCAAAGGAACAUUUGAUGUUCAAGGUAAGUCUAAGCCAUAUGCUUUCUCAUUUGAAUUCAUUAAGGAUAUCAAGAUCAUCGACAAAAUUAAAACAUACUUUAUUUUACUUCGUCAAUCAAUUAAUUAAAUACUAUUUGGCUUGGCUUCAUCAAUCAAUUAAGUCUUAUGUCUAGGCAUGUCUGCAGAAUUUGAUUCCUUGAGCAGCUUAGAGGAGUUGGACAUGAGCCGCAACGAAAUCGACAAUCUUGUGGUUCCUCAAGGUAAACAAUUAAAAUAUUAUUCAAUUACAUUAAUUUAAUUCAUUUGGUUAGGGAAGGCCCAAAAGGUACAAAAAAUAAAGGAAUAGAGAAUUUAUAUUAUUUAAAAAACAGAAUGUAAUAAAGAUUUGAUUCAAGUUCUUUAAUCUUUACAGCGAUUGAAAAACGAUCUUGCUCCUUUCCCAAAGCAUAAAAUACGAAUUGACUCCUAAUUAAAUUAAUCAUUUAUUUCUCUCAUCUCUGAAUUUAAACAAUGAAUUUUGAUCUUCAAUCCUAUUCUAAUUAUUAUUAUUAAAUAGGUUACAGAGGUUUGAGGAAGUUGAAAAGCAUGUAUCUAUCGGGAGUUGGAAUUAGAGAUGGAAGCAAGUUGUUACAGUCAAUGGGAUCAUUUCCAUCCCUCAACAUUCUUCACCUUUCGGAUAAUAAUUUUAUAGAAACAGUGACAACUACUACUCAAGGUAAGUAAAUGGUACAGAUGUGGCCAAAUUUGUAAAUAAACUAUUAAUUAAUUAAUUAAUUUUCCGUAUUGUUGAUAGUGCUAAAUUUGUUGCUUCGAAACAGAGUUGCGCAAUUUCACCAACUUGGAAUACUUGACAUUGGACAAUUCCUCUCUUCAUAUAAGCCUUCUGCAGAGCAUUGCAUCAUUCACUUUGUUAAAAAAAUUAUCUAUGACUAACUGUAAAGUCAAUGGCAUCCUAAGUGGUCAAGGUAAAAGAAAAGUGUUGAUUAUGAAUAAGUUGUUAAUUAAUUAAUUUUGUUGCUCCUUGCUUCUAAACAGAGUUGCGUAAUUUCACAACUUGAAUAUUUGACAUUGGACUCUUCCUCUCUCCAUAUAAGCCUUCUGCAAUUGCUUGACGAAUUUAUUUAUUAUUAUUAUUGUUAUUGUAUUGAAGUGGGGUGGGCAAGGGUUCACUCAAUUAAUAUGUGGGGAAUUAAAUAUUACCAUCCAGCAUAGAAUUGUGGAAAAUUAAAGCAAAAUGAGAAAUAUGGGAUGAAAGGAAGAAAGUUAAGGGCAUGAAAGACUUGGAGAAGACCGAAGACCACCAAAAUAAGUUAUGUGUUUGUUAUAAAUAACAUGGAGCCCCUUGUUGGUUGCAGCGGCAGGAGACAGAGAGAGUGUAUUUGAUUAAUUAAAAUUCAAAAUGGUGAUAAUGUUAGUUUUGCUAUUAUUAAUAAUAUUAUAAGAGGGACUUAAACAUUUCUUCAAUUCUCCUUAUAAUUUUUGUCAAGACUGGGUAGAUGAUGAGGGAGCUACUGAUUAUUGUCAGUGGGUUGAGGUUGAGUGCAGCAGCGCCACAUGCCUAGUGGUAUCUGAAUGCUUCUUGGUUUACUCCUUUUCAACAAUUUGAGUCACUUGAUUUAAUAUGGAACAAUACAGCCGGUUUUGUUGAGAAAGGUGCUUCAUUUAAUCUAAUAAAUUUACUUCCUCCCUCCUAAUUUAAGUGGAAUAUCAAGAUUGAGCAACUAUAUGCAUAUUCAUUCAAUUGACAAUGUUGACAUAUUUUUUAAAAUGUUUAAUUUCGAAAUUACACCAAAUAGAUGUGAUCUCUGUUUUGAUUUUACUUGCAGGGCUACAGAUGCUAUCAAGAUUGAGCAACUUGAAGAUGCUUGAUUUAAGUGGAAACUCCUUCUACAAUAGCAUCUUAUCAUCUGUAGCUCGUCUUUCAUCAUUAACAUCAUUAGAUUUAUCUGAGAAUAGAUUGGAAGGAAGUAUUAAUGUUAAAGGUAAGUAAUUAAAACGUCAUCUCUUCUCCCAACUCUUUCAUUAAUAUGCUAAAGUAAGAUUUAAGGCUUUGAAUUUAAUUUUUUUAAUGAGUAAUAUUAGAAAAAUAGUUUUAAGCAAUUCAUAAAUACAAUUUUCAAUGUUUCUUAUAAUUAUAUCGUGUACUUUCGUAUGUCUUGACUGUAAGAUUAAUAUAUAUAUAUAUAUAUAUACUCUAACUGUGAAGCAAAUCCCCCCAUGACUAAUUUAUCAUUUUUUCCAGUUAAAAAUGAUAAAAUUUACCAUUUGUUUAUAUUUAUUAAUUAACUCUGUUUUAAGUCUUGGCGUCUUGGCGUGUUUGCAGAAUUUGAUUCCUUGAGCAACUUAGAGGAGUUGUCCAUGAGCUACAAUGAAAUCGACAAUCUUGUGGUUCCUCAAGGUAAACGCUUAAAAUAUUAUUCAAUUACAUAAAUUUUAUUCAUUUGAUUAGGGAAGACCCAAAAGGUACAAAAACAUAAUAAAAAUAAAUAAAUAAAGAAACAAAACGUGGUAGUAUUAUUUCGAAAACAGAAUGUAAUAAAGAUUUGAUUCUAGUUCUUUAAUCUUUACAAUGAUUGAAAAACUAUACUGCUCCUUUCUCAAAGCCUAAAAUACGAAUUGACUCCCAAUUAAAUUAAUCAUUUAUUUUGUUCGUCAUUUAUUUCCCAAAGCAUAAUAUGUACAUCCUAUUCUAAUUACUAUUAAAAAACAGGUUAUAGAGGUUUGAGGAAGUUGAAAAGCCUGCAUCUAUCGGGAGUUGGAAUUAGAGAUGGAAUCAAGUUGUUACAGUCAAUGGGAUCAUUCCCAUCCCUCAACACUCUUUACCUGAUGGAUAAUAAUUUGACGGAAAUAGUGACAACUACUACUCAAGGUAAGUAAAAAGUACAGAUGUGGCCAAAUUAUAAAUAAACUGUUAAUUAAUUAAUUUUCCGUAUUAUUAAUAAAGCUAAAUUCGUUGCUUCUUCUUUCUAAUUCUAAACAGAGUUGCACAAUUUCACCAACUUGGAAUAUUUGAGAUUGGACCAUUCCUCUCUCCAUAUAGGCCUUCUGCAAAGCAUUGCAUCAAUGUUCCCUUCGUUAAAAAAUCUGUCAAUGUCUCAUUGUGAAGUCAAUGGUGCCCUACGUGAUCAAGGUAAAAGAAAAGUGUUGAUUGUGAACUCACUCAAUGGUGUCCUAUGUGUUCAAUGUUUUUUUUUAUUUAUUUUAUUGUUUAAUGUUUCUGCUAGGUUUUCCUCAUUUUAAGCGUUUGGAACAUUUGUACAUGGAUUACGCGCGCAUUACACUCAACACCAGCUUUAUUCAAAUCAUCGGUGAAUCGAUGCCUACUCUUAAGUACUUAUCACUGUCAAAUUCUAGUCUUAGCACUAACAGCAGGACUCUUGAUCAAGGUUAAUGAGAUGCUCCCACCCUCCCCUCUUAAUCUAUAAUAUUAAUUUUCGAUUAAAAUUAUGAUUACACAAACCAAUCACUUCUAUAUGAAAGAAUGCUCUGCAUUUGUUAAUUUUUAUAUCGUACUGAUGGAUGAAUUAAUAAAUUUUCAGGCCUCUGCUCAUUGGCGCAUCUGCAAGAGUUGUACAUUGAUAAUAAUGAUUUAAGAGGUAGCUUGCCUUGGUGCUUGGCAAAUAUGACAUCCCUCCGAAUAUUAGAUGUUUCUUUCAAUCAACUUACUGGAAGCAUCUUCUCAUCUCCCCUCGCUCAUUUGACAUCCAUUGAAGAGCUGUGGUUUUCAUACAAUCACUUCCAAAUCCCAAUUUCACUUGAACCACUUUUCAAUCACUCAAGACUCAAGAUAUUGCAAGCUGACAACAACGAAAUAAAAGCUGAAAUAAUUGAGUCACAUUCUUUGACCCCAAAAUUCCAAUUACAAUUUCUCUCCUUGUCCUCCGGUUACGGAGAUGGUUUCACAUUCCCCAAAUUCCUUUACCAUCAACAUGACCUACAGGAUGUUUAUUUCUCACACAUAACGAUGACUGAAGAAUUUCCAAUUUGGUUGUUGGAAAACAACACAAAAUUAGAAUUUCUUUUUCUCGUCAAUGAUUCUCUUGCAGGACCUUUCCGAUUGCCAAUUCAUUCACACAAGAGGUUAAGGUUGUUAGAUGUCUCUAACAACAACUUGGAAGGCCACAUUCCAAUAGAAAUUGGAGAUAUUUUACCAAGUUUAUAUGUUUUCAACAUUUCCAUGAAUGCUUUAGACGGUAGCAUUCCCUCUUCAUUUGGUAAUAUGAACUUCCUCCAAAUUCUGGACUUAUCCAACAAUCAAUUGACUGGUGAAAUCCCUGAGCACUUGGCUGUCGGUUGCGUCUACUUGGAGUCUCUUGCGUUAUCAAACAACAACCUAAAAGGUCACAUGUUUUCUAGAAAUUUUAAGCUGGUAAACUUGAAAUGGUUACAAUUGGAGGGCAAUCACUUCGUAGGAGAGAUCCCACUAAGUUUGUCUAAAUGCUCUUCGCUAGAAGGAUUGUAUCUUGAUAAUAACAGUCUCUCAGGUAAGAUUCCACGAUGGUUGGGUAAUCUCACAUGGUUAAUACAUCUUAUAAUGCCCAAGAAUCAUCUUGAAGGUCUUAUUCCAGUGGAGUUUUGUCAUCUUCAUUCGCUUAAGAUUUUGGACAUUUCAGACAACAAUAUAUCUGGAAGUUUACCAUCUUGUUUCCUUCCUCUCUCUAUUGAACAAGUUCACUUGUCAAGAAAUAUGUUACAUGGACAGCUAAAAGAAGGUACAUUCUUUAAUUGCUUUUCCCUUAUGAAGUUAGAUCUUAGCUAUAACCAGUUAAAUGGUAGCAUUCCAAAAUGGAUUGAUGGGCUUUCUCAGUUAAGCCACCUUAUCUUGGCUCACAAUAAUCUUGAAGGUGAAGUACCAGUUCAACUGUGCGAACUGAACCAACUGCAAUUGUUGGAUCUUUCUAAUAAUAAUCUUCAUGGUGUUAUUCCUGAUUGCUUUGAUAACACCACACUUCAUGAAAGUUACAACAAAAAUUCUAGUCCUGAUAAGCCAUUUGAAAUGUCUUUUUCUGUCAGAGGCCCUCAAGAAAAUGUAAAAAAGAAAAUCCUUGAAAUUUUGGAAUUCACAACAAAGAACAUUGCCUACACUUACCAAGGAAAAGUGCUUAGCCUCCUAUCAGGACUUGAUCUUUCUUGUAACCAGCUAAUCGGUCAUAUUCCUCUUCAAAUUGGAAAUUUGACCAGGAUUCAAACAUUGAAUCUAUCACACAACAGCUUGAUAGGAUCAAUCCCAUCAACAUUUUCAGAAUUGAAGCAUAUCGAAAGUUUGGAUCUUUCUUACAACAAAUUGAAUGGGAAGAUCCCUUAUCAGCUUGUGAAGUUAAAUACAUUGGCUAUUUUUAGUGUGGCAUACAAUAACUUAUCAGGCAAGAUCCCAGAAUGGACUGCACAAUUUGCAACCUUCAACGUGAGUAGCUAUGAGGGAAAUCUUUUUCUUUGUGGAUUGCCAUUGCCCAUUUGCAGCCCACCACCAACUAUGCCAAGGGCUUUAACUAGCAAUGAAGGAGAUGAUAAUUUAAUUGAUAUGGAUAGUUUCUUUAUCACAUUUACAACAUCGUACGUAAUUGUGAUAUUUGGAAUCGUCGGCGUUCUAUAUGUGAAUCCUUAUUGGCGACGUAGGUGGUUUUAUCUUGUUGAAAUGUGGAUAAUUUCCUGUUAUUAUUUUGUCAUAGACAAUCUUAUUCCAACAAGAUUUUGUUAUUGAAAUUAAUAAGUAGUUUAAUUAAGAUCCUUUAAGUACUAAUCAAGUUUGCUUAAGAAAUAGUUUUUUUUUUAAUUGAAAACUACAAGAAAAAUAGUAUAUGACAACAUGCAAAGAGUGUUGUAGAAGGGAUAUCACAACAAGCAUAUGAACGUUGCGGUUCUUGAUGUAGCGAAAAGUAGGUAACUUUCGACUACGUGCAAUUCACGUUGUUGAAAAAGAUAUGAACGUUGUUAAAUAUCAUAUGACAACUUACAAUGAUUGUGGUUAAAAAGAUCAUGUGCUUCCAAACUUUCGACUACAAGCCUAUGAAUGUGGCUAUAAAUUAUAUAGCAACAAGCAACUAAAUGUCGCCAUUAAUUCUAAUUUUUAUUUACAAUAAACCACAUAUCCUGCAUGUUGUCAAAAAAACAACAAUAUAUUAUUAAUAAUUAUUAUUAUCAUUAUUAUGACUACUAAUAUUAUCAUUUUUAUUACACUAUUACUGCCGCCAUAUGUAAAAUUCAUGCGAACUAAUUCUACAAUUUGACUUGUUAUAAUAAGUUUUCAUAAACUUAGUAAUAAGCACACAUCACAGCUAAGGGUCACACCAACAUUUUUGUAUUCAUACAAAUUCUAUUACAUAGCAAAUAUGAAAAACACCAUAUACCAUCAGUUUAAAUUUCAUCUAGCCAAACACCCAAAAAAUUAGUAAAAAAACACAUUAGUGGCUGUUGCAAUUCCAUAAAUAUCAACUUAAAAAAAACCAUCUCCAACGAAAGCUUCUUCAAUUUAGCAAUUCCAUCAAAAACUUGUUCAGGGCAUAUAUACACUCCUAAAAAAAUAUUAACUGAAUCAAUAUUCAUUUGUUGCAUUUGGAAUAUAAUUAUACACACACACACACACCCAAGAAGAAUAUUUUAUGCCUACAUACCUUUUUUAAAACAAUUUGAUACAACUUCCUGAUUAUUUCUCAUUUCUCUAAACUUCUUGCUUAUUGCCUGUCCGGCAAAUAUUAAAAUGUAUAAUUUUCAUAGACAUGAAACUUAACAUGGAUACUAUAAGUGCAAUGCUACGGACUAGCUUACUUUAAAUUCUGGAGAUAAUCUUUACUUGACAAUAUUAGCCCAAUCUUCUUUGAAAAUUAUACUUUUUUGGCCUAAUAAGAGCAACCAGCUCUGUCAUGUACUUUUUUGGUUUCCUUUAUCUUAGUUGUUAGCUCUGAUUUGUAUUGUCUCCAACAAUCACCCAUCGUUCUUAAUGCCAAGCAUUCAAGAUAAAAAAUGUAUUUCUAAAUAAAGAUAAUUACUAUGUAAUUCCAUAAACAUGCACCAAGGGCCAAUAGUUCGCUGUCAACUAAAAGCUAAUUUUCAAUGCACACAAGCACAUGCUCUCAUGUUAUAACUCUAAUAAAAGUGCAUAUUUGUAAGAAUUUACACCUACUAGCUGGCCAUAGUCGUUAAAUUCAAUGCUUAAUGAUGGAGAACAAUCUUGAAUCAUUCCAAGUUUGGUUGGACCUCUUUUGUCUUUUGGUGCAUCUAUCAUCAGAUUGAGGUUUGUGUGCAUUUUCCCUAUUGCUAGUUGCUAAUGAUCCAUUCUCCUCUUGAAUAGUUGCAUUUUCUCUAAAUUUAUCUCGACUUGCCUAGAAGACUUUGUAACGCAUAGCAAAAUUAAUGUAGGAAUAAACAUACUAGAAAAAAGUAUAUGAACAUGAAAAAGUAUAAUUUAAAGUUGAACAAAAAAAAAAAAUUCUUACUUAUACUAAACAAAAUGUAAUCACUCUCACUGGCCAAUAAUAAAUCUUGGAACCCUCUUUGUGGUUUUUUCAAUACUAAAUACUAAUUUGAUUUUUCAUUAUCCUUAGAAUAAAUCCAAAUUGGCUUUGUCCCUCAUGAAGUUUAACCAAAGUGAAUCCUUCGUCAACUUUAACACCAUUAACUAUAUUAGUUCAGUCACAUUUGAAAAUAGGGAACUAAAAGUAUUGUAAUCAAGCACUAAUAUAUCUCUCAAAACUCCAUAGUAAGUAACUUUUCCAAAAGAGAAAUCCAUUUUGAAUUUUAAUUAUACAAGGGGGAAACAGUACCUCAAGUUUGCUCUAUAAUCAGAUCCUAAAAUGUCACAGCUGAUUCAGGAGAUUAAUGGCAUUAACAGAAGUAACUAGUCAACAACGCCAAUAAGAGAUUAAAAUUGUGCCUUUCAAUUGAAAAAAAAAAUCAUUAUCCGUCUCACUAGUAAUAUUUACUCAUUUAAAUUAUUUUUACCGAAAUCAGUUUAUCUUGAAAAUAAAAUAUAAUCUUCAAAAUUAUCUUUUCCAUGUAAAAUAUUUAGCUUCAGGCGUUUCAAAAGAAAAUAAUCUUUUGGUUUCAAUCACCCACCACAGAAAAAGUAACAUUUAUUUUAUUCAUGCAUAACAGAUGAACCCCACAAGCAAUAAAGAAUUGUGCCACUUACCAAACAAUGAAUCUACAAUGGGACGAUGUCGAGUGAUUUUGAGUGAGAAGAAGUAUAGGGUGAAGACCCAAAUCUUCUAAAAACAAAAUAGGUGGAAAGAGUAAAUUAUUAAUUAAAUGGAAUUAGGGAAGUGAAAGUGAGCUUUAUCAAUGAAAUUGAAAAGAAGAGUACCUGAUACACUCAUUUCCUUGGGUGGGCAGCCGCCAUUACGAUGAAGAUUGAGAGGCCUGCUUUGCUUUAGUGGCAGAGAAAGAGUAAAGUGGUACUGCAAAGAGAACCGAGGGUUUCACUAAGUCAAUUUGUCUCUUUUUUCCCCCCUUUUUACCGCGCUUUAACCCGUGCGCGCAAAAUGAAAUUUUUUAUUUAUUACACAUUAUUUUCUAUUACUUUACUUUUAAAAAAAUAUUGUAGUUAAUGAUACCCUCAAAAAAUUUAUUUGUUAUAAUACUUUUAUGCAUAAAUUCCAUGAGCAACUAUUUAUGUUUUAAUUUUCACCAAUUUCAUAUUAAAUGAGAUAACAAAGAAUUUUACAAAAAAAAAAAUAUUUUCAACAACAUGCAACAUAUAAACGUUCUUAUUUAAAUAAUAAUUUUUGCAACAGGCAAUUCAUUGUUGCCUUAAAUAAUUAAUUGCAACAUGCAAAUUAUGAAUGUUGUUAUUACAUACUCCUAUACCGCAACAAAUGGUCGCUCGUUGUCGUAAGGUUUUAGACCACAGUCACUUUUUGCGUGUUGCUAAAACUUUAUAUUUACCAACAUGCAGUUUAUGACUGUUGUUAAUUAUAAAUUUGACAACAUUCCAUCUGUGCACGUUGUUAAAAUGAUGUUGCCUUAUCCCAAUUUUCUUGUAGUAGUAUUGAUCAUUAUAUCACUUCCAGCUUCAAAGCACCUAGCAUUUGUCUCUACACUUAGAAAGCUGGAUGAUUUUGCUUUGCAGAUCUAGAUUUGAAGUAGGAUGGUUCCAAACCCAUAUCUAUCUAUUGUAGCUUACCUAUGUUGUACAGCAUACUUAAACGAUAACACCAUCUCCAAUGUUAAAAGUAGCCAUUAUAUAAGAUUCUUAUGGAAACUAUAUUCGAAAUAGAUUUAUAAUCAUACAUAGGAAAUGAAAAACCUUGCUGCACUUGCUCGCCUAUUUUACUCUGAGCAAGAACAUCAUCUUUUUCAUUUGCAGCAUUAACAUCAAACCAAGGGAUGGAGACCCAGACAUUUCAUCAAGAAAGGCAUAAAUCUACUAAAGUUGAAGCUUUGACAAAAAAUUCAGUCGAAAGUCAAUGUCUGACCACAAGAAAGGGCACAACAACAUCAUUCUAGAAGAGAUGAAGCAAUAUUCUCAAAGCUAACGCUCUCAAAUACACCACACCAGAAUUUCAUAUCUCCUCGUCAAUUUUAAAAACUAAAGAUAAUUAGGAUUUAACAUUAGUUUGUUAUACAUUAGUUUCAUAAUUUACAAGCCAAUGAAGAUGAAGAUUAUGCCAAUGAAUUCAAAUUAUAUCAUACAUUCUCUGGAUGUUUCCAAAAAUUUACAAGUCGAUCCCACAUAUUUCAUAAUUCUAAGACUGGAAAGUUUCAUUAGUUAGAAAUUCAUUAUCUUCAAGUGGAAGAUGAAGAAAAACAUUAUGCAAGUGAUUCAUAUUAUAUCAUACAUUCUCCGAAUGCAACUAAAAUCAACAAGUUCAUGCCCACAAAUUUGAUAACAUUAUGAUUGGAAAGUUUCACAGAGACUUGAGAAAGGCAUUAUGAUUGAUUUGAGUUACUUUGUGAUCAAGCUACUAAUAUAACAUUCAAUUCAAGGAGGGAAUAAGUUGGGAAGAAAUAGUAGUAAAAAUUUGUUACUACAUAAUUCUCCUCAACUUUGAGAUAAAUACAAAUGUGAAAAUGUAUACGAUCUAAUAUUACAGAUAUGAAAAUGCAAAUGAUCACACAUAUUACUUGCAACUUAGCAAGCUUUAACUAAGAGGAGCAAUCAAACUACUUAUCAAUUGUCGUAGACAUUCCGUAAUCUAAAAUGGAAAUAUAAUGCAAGAAAAAGAACAUACAGAUACUUGGCAGAAGUUCAUUAAGAACUCCAACCAUAUUCGAGUCAUGAGUUUGCUUUUGAUAUCUUGUUAGCUGGGGUUUUCUCCUGUCUAUUGACGUAUGCUGAGGGAAAUGACACAACUUAAAAGUAAUUUUUAACUCCCAAGUCUAAGAGUGUCUUGUUGUAUUAUAACUCGGUGAGCCCGAUGUCGAUCCACAGAGAAAAGAUUUAAUUAGUUUACUUUAUUUUAACUAAAAAUUGAAAUUAAAACUUAAAUAUAAACAACUUAAUUUAAAUGAAACUAUGAAAUUAAACUAGUUAUGAUUAUGGAUCCACUCUUAGAAGUAAAUAAAACUUAAUAAAUUCUUUUUGCCCUUUUUUUACAUUUAUUGCCCAAAAGAUUAAUUAUAUAAAUUAUUAUUAUUUUCCCUUUAAUUUUAUGAUGGAUUAAGUAUUUAUUGUGCCAAAAUUUAAUUUGUCUACAAUAAGUCAAAAUACCAUUUUACCAUACCUUAUAUUAAGAUAUUAAGAAUUUAUUGUGCCAAAUUCAUUUGUUUGUCUACAAUAAAUCAAAAUUUCAAAAUAUAAAAUAUGUAUAAAAUUAAAUAGAAAAUAAUUUAAUUUAUAAAAUUAAAAAUAGAAUUUGCUUAAAUCAUAUUUAUUUCCUAAGAGUUUCACCUUCCCCUAACUAAUAUUAUUUAGUUAAGCAUAAUUAAAAUAAAAAGAAGUAGUAAAAUUGAAUUACUUAUAAUUAAAAGAAAUAAAAACAACUAAAAUUGGAAAUAAAAAUAAUUUUAUUUAUAAAAAUAAUUAUACAAAAGAUUAAAAACACACCUGGAAAUCAAGAUUAUAAGGAGAUGGAGAGAAUUUGAGAAGAAAAGAGUUGUAGAGAGAUGAUUAAAAACAUAAAAAUGAGGCUCUAUUUAUAGAAAAAUAAAUUCAUAAUCCAGUGCUUUGCGGUCCAUCAUAAGCUUCAUGCAUGUGCUCCUCACAACCUUUAGAUCAAGAUCCAAUGGCUGGUCAAACUUCAAAAGUCAACAUCACACGUGGCAUCGUUUGACUCGUUCGAUUUGCCCAAAGAACGGUUGAGAUUUGGAGGGUUAAUGGGUGGAUCAGGUCGACCCGAAUACAAAGAUUCGGAUCCUCCAACUUGCUUCACCAACCAUUGCCACGUGGCACACUCAUGGCCAUUGAAUCAUGAACGGUUGAGAUUUAGUCAAAAUUGCCAGCUAUCCCAUGCACUCAUACCUAUUGUAAGCUCAUUUCAUCAUCCAAUCAGUGCUUGGUCAACAGGAAAAGUCAACUUUUUUUUACACAAGCCCAAUUUUAAGCCGAUCUUGACUGAUUUUAAGGUUUUCGGACCUCCGGAAUCCAAAUUUGACCUUCGUUUAUCUGUUUGGAGCCUCGAAUUACGUGAAAUCAAUAUUUUUCCUAAUAAACACAUAAAAAUACAUAAAAUUAAAUAUAUUUAAAACAUAAUUAAUAAUUCCUAAUAUAUUACAUAAACAAAAAUAUAAAUUAUAACAUAAGCAUAAAAUAACAUAUUAUCGCUUGAUAAUUAAACAAUUUUUAAUACUAAUCACACCCCCCAACCAGCUUAUUGCUAGCCCUCUAGCAAUUAAAGCGUUAUAUUAAAUUAAGAUUUAUAAAAUUCACAUGCAAGUUAAUAAUUGUUCAUCUAUCUUCUAAAUUACCAAAUAAAUGAACUCUCCCAAAUUUCUUUACCAUAUUGAUGUUCCUUCAUUAUCCAGAAUAUCAUCAAACCUUCUUUUGUGCUCCAGUAAUUAACACAAUACUUAUGGGGCUUCAUUAAAAGAAAAACAACAUUUUCGUUACAAAAUUCAUUAGAAAUUAUAUCUUUAGGCAAUAGAUUAUUCACACACACACACACACACACACACACAUAUAUAUAUAUAUAUAUUUUAAAUAUUACAUUUCUAACCCGUGUAGCAAGCUUUAGGUCAGUGACUCCCAAACCAGUUGACCUUAGGGCACUAGGUGUUGAAACACCCCUACGGACUUAAUUACUCGGGUUUCUAGAUAUAACAAAAUUAAAAACAUUUUUUUUUCUUUUUUUUCUUUUUGUUUUUGUUUUUUUUUUUUUUUGCAAUAUACACUUUCUACUACCUUAGAUACUAUUCCUAAUAAAUCAAAAGAACUAAAUGCUGUAAAAUUUUAACUUACAACCCACUAGUAUGUAUCAUAAUGUGUGUGUGAAGAAUGAUUCAACAAUACCUGUUAAAUGAGUAAACAAUUAAAUAACUUAAUAACCAAGUGGAGAGUUCACAAAUUCGGGUAAUUCAAAGAAAAGGGAACAAAAACAAUUUACUAUGAAUCUCAAAAUCAAAAUAUAAUACAACAAGACUAUUAGGAUGCGUCUCAAAAGUCGUGACUCUUUACACGGCCAUCCUAGACAAAAACAAAAAUGUUUUUUUUUAAGAAAGAAAAGAAAAAAGAAAAGAGAAAAACAACACACAUAUUUAAAAACAUACGUCAAUUAUCCCCACUCCACAACCUAAUCUAAACAUUAUCUUAACAUUUUAUAAUUUUACAAAUAUGCAAAAAAUAAUAAUAAUAAUAAUAAAAGAGAAUAAUAAAAGAAAAAGAAGAGGAGAUCUCACCUGAACUUGAUGCAGAAGCUUAAAAGCGGAUAACAAAGAUGAAGAAAAAGUCAAUUUUUUUUUUUUAACAACACCCUUAAGACUAAGAAGAUGCGUUUCUAGAGGUACUGCAUUCUCUAUAUCCUGUCAUCUUCGACUCAAAUUUGUCCUAAGUUAGUCUUUACAGAAAAAAAAAAUUUUGUUUUUUUGUUUUUUUUUUUUGUAAACACAUCACCAGGACUAAGACAUUCCACAAUUAUUAACUAUUCCCUCCCCCUAACCUGAAAAAGACAUUGUCCUCAAUGUUUUAAAAGGAAAGAGAAAGAGUUUAGAAGACAACACAUGAACACUACAACAGAAAAUAUUUAGAGACGGAGAGUUAAAUCUAAAUCGCACUUCUUAUUACUGCUACUGUUACCGCUACCAUCAUUAGUUGACCAAUUCAGUGUAAAAGUUUUUGGAUUUGGCUCUGGUGUAUAAGCUUGUAAAAGAUCAAGUAACUCAUUAGUAGUAGAAGCAGAAAUAAAGAGUUUUUUUUAUAGAAUAUGGAACAAAAUGAUUCUUUAUUGCAUGGUUAAUAAAAGUUAGCAAGCCGUCAUAAAAAUUAUUAACAUUUAACAAACCGAUGGGUUUUUUAUGAAUGUUCAAGUGGGCCCAGGAUGCAAAUGUAAUUAGUGCCUCAAAAGUUGCAAGAUCUCCUGGCAAGAAAAUAAAAGCAUCAGCAUGAUUCAUCAUUUCAGAUAUUCUGUCUUGCAUACUUGAUACCACUAAUUCUUCUCCAAUUGGUGGGCCAAACAACUUCUGAGACAAGUCUUGAUAACCCUCGUUCACCUCCUCCAUAUGCAAGAUGCAGUUUCCUCUCUGCUAUGACACGACCAAGAUCUACAGCUGCCUGAACGAACUCUUUGUACUUUCCAUAGUAAAACCCAGAAAAGCACACAAAUGUUUUUGAAUUGUUUACUCGAAGAUGCUGCCAUUGGACUAAUUUUCAAAAACAAGUUGUGAGUGUUUGAAAAACGAGCUCAUAUUUAAAGAUCUUGGUGACAUAAAUAAUGAGAAACAGCUGUAAAUGGGUUGGCAUAUUUGUCAAAUGAAGAGUAAAGCUCGUGGCUCAAUAAUUCAAAAAUAAACAGUAAAAAGAAAAUAAUGAUUAGAAAAAGCAAACAGUAAAAGAAAACAAUAUUUAUUAAAUACAAAAUCACAUCACUAAAUGCAAUAAUACAAAUGAUAAAAUAACAGUGAAGUGAAAGGAUAUUUACUGGUAGUUGUGAUUGCGGCUCACAUCUUCCUCUGGUUUUACGUCCAGUAACGGCUUGAAUGCCCUCUAUGGGUCGAGGAUCGGCUUGCCAUCCAGUUUUCUUAUAAACUGGCAAACAUGGUCUUUUUGAGUCAGAUUCCCAAGACUAAACUGUGUACUUUAUUUUUGGAAUACUAUCCACAAAUUAUAAAUCUCAUGUUGCACAAAUUCACUUCAAUGCGUCUCAAGAGAUCGUAAGAUAUCAUCCAAUGAUUCUUUACUCAUGCCAUCUUUAACGAAUUUAAUUUUAUCUUUACGAGUAUCAGAAACCAUUCCUAAAGAUUUACAAUCUGGUCGUUUGCAACCAAGUCUUACACAGUUAUGACAUUUUGAGCCAAGUCGUUUAGCUCUCCUUUUCUUAGCAAACGUACUUUUACCAAAACCAGGCAUGUAAGAAACAAAUGGAUCAGAAAACUCACCUGCUAAUCAGACCUUUGCUUCAAUUAACCAACGAAUGUCAGAAGGAAUGCCAUUGAUCAUUAACAAACGCAGUCGUUCACAACGAGCUUUGUAAAUUUUCCUGAGGGCAUUCUGAGGGAGAGAGGGAAAAUGCUUAUUGAGUUUAUGUUGUAUUUCUUCCAUGUUUGAUUUUGGGGUUUCAGUUAUUGUGGGAAACUGAAGAUACCGACUUAAGAAGUCACGGAGUACCGUUAUCCGCCAUUUAUACGGGAAAAUAAAUCAAAACACACCAAAAUCAAAUCUGCAAAAUCAAAUCAAACGUGAAAGCGAGCAAAAAGAAACACACAAUAUAAAAGGAAAAUGAACUUACAUUCGUCCUCUCAUUGAGUUAACCUCAAGCUCUAAUUGAAAUUCAUAUAUGCCACUCUCUACUGUUCUGAGUUGUCCCUCUAAAUCCUCAACAUAAGACACGAAUUCUGGUGGUUGCAGAUCCCAAAGUGGAUGUGAUUUACAGCUUUGUAUCAGGCCUCUUAAGUGAAAUUUCACACGCAGAAAUCUUUUUAGAUGUGCGAACAUGAAUUUUCUCAUUGAGGUGCUCAUGAUGUAAAAUGAAAAUUGAUGAAAGAAUGUACAACUGUCAAACAAACACGCUUACACAAGAAAAACAAUGUUAAAAAAAAUAUGUACAGUGCAUCAAUCUAGAGAAAAAAAAAUCAAACAAUGAAAUGGUAAAAUAAUAGUAAAACAAAAAUAAAUAAAUAAAUCAUUAAAGACUUAAUCAAGAACUGGUAGGUCACCCAAAUUAAUUUCGGUGUCCUCGUCACGUGGGUGAUGUUCCAGAUAUGGUUUUAAUCUUUGACCAUUAACUUUAAAUGUGACACCAUUCUUUGAAUUCUCAAUUUCUAUGGCCCCAUAUGAAUAUACAUUUUUUACAACAAAUGGGCCACUCCAUUUUGACUUUAACUUCCCUGAAAAUAAAUGAAGACGAGAAUUAUAAAGCAACACUUUUUGACCAAUCUCAAAUGUUUUUCGAAAAAUUCUUUUAUCAUGAAAUGCUUUUGUUCUUGCCUUAAUAAUUCUUGAAUUUUCAUAUGCAUCAUUCCUUAAUUCCUCAAGUUCAUUCAAUUGCAAUUUUCACACAUUAUCAGCAUCAUCUAAAUUUGAAUUAAAAGCUUUAAUAGCCCAAAGUGAUUUAUGUUCAAGUUCAACAGGUAAAUGACAAGGUUUACCAUAAACUAACCGAUAAAGUGACAUUCCUAAUGACGUUUUAAAUGCAAUAUGAUAGGCCCAAAGUGCAUCAUUAAGUCUAAGCGACCAAUCUUUUCGGUUUGGGUCAACCGUUUUUUUCCAAAAUUUAUUUUAUCUCCCUAUUUGCUAAUUCAACUUGACCAUUUGUUUGAGGAUGAUAAGGGGUAGCAAUUUUAUGUGUAAUUCCAUAUUUCUUCAUUAAAGACUCAAAUGACUUAUUACAAAAAUGCUUACCUCCAUCACUGAUAAUGGCUCGAGGGAUUCCAAAUCGACUUAAAAUAUUUUCUCUUAAAAAUUUAACCACAGUUUUACUAUCAUUAUUUCGACAGGAAAUUGCUUCAAUCCAUUUUGAGACAUAAUCAACUGCAACUAAUAUAUACACAAAUCCAAAAGAUGAUGAAAAUGGACCCAUGAAAUCAAUUCCCCAACAGUCAAAUAUUUCAAUUUCAAGUAUGGGAUUUAAGGGCAUCAUGUUUCUUUUUGUAAUUGAUCCCAAUUUUUGACAUUUUUCACAACUUUUGCAAAAUUCAUAUGUGUCUUUGAACAUGGUAGGCCAAUAAAAUCCACACUGUAAAAUUUUAGCAGUAGUUUUUCUUGAAGAAAAGUGACCACCACAUGCUUCAGAAUGACAAAAAUUAAUGACACUACUUACCUCAUUAUCAGGAAUACGUCGCCGAAAAAUUUGAUCUGGGCAAUAUUUGAACAAAUAAGGGUCAUCCCAAUAAAAUUUCUUUACUUCAACAAAAAAUUUCUUUUUCUCUUGAGCAUUCCAUUGCAAAGGCAUUAUACCUGUAACAAGGAAAUUAACAAUGUUAGCAUACCAAGGCAUUGAAGUAACAGAAAAUAAAAAUUCAUCAGGGAAAGAAUCAUUUAUGGGUGUUAUAUCAUUGCAGAAUUCGGAUGUGAGUCUUGAUAAAUGAUCAGCAACAACAUUUUCAGCACCCUUUUUAUCUUUGAUGGUAAGGUCAAAUUCUUGUAGUAACAACAUCCAACGAAUUAGUCUUGGUUUGACAUCCUGUUUACUCAUCAAAUAUCUCACAGCAGCAUGGUCAGUAAACACAACAGAUUUAGAGCCAAGCAAAUAUGAACGGAAUUUGUUUAAUGCAAAUACCACAGCAAGUAAUUCUUUUUCAGUUGUAGAAUAAUUCAUUUGAGCACUAUUCAAAGUCUUACUCGCAUAAUAAAUCACAAAAGGCUUACCAUCCCUUCUUUGUCCUAAAACAAUACCAACAGCAAAAUCACUUGCAUCACACAUUAAUUCAAAUAACAAAGACCAAUAAGGAGAUUGCAUAAUAGGUGCAGAUGUUAAAAGACAAAUUAUUUUUUUAAAAGAUUUUUGGCAAUCAUCAUUCCAUUCAAACGGUGCAUCUUUUAAUAAGAGGUUACAAAGUGGUUUAGAUAUGGCACUAAAGUUUUUUAUAAACCUCUUAUAAAAUCCUGCAUGUCCUAAAAAGGAUCGCACAUCUCUAACUGUUUUUGGUUGUGGCAAUUUAGAUAUGACUUCGAUUUUUGCUUUAUCAACUUCAAUUCCUUUAAUAGAAACAACAUGACCCAAAAUAAUUCCAGAAGUAACCAUGUAGUGACAUUUUUCCCAAUUCAACACGAGGUCUUUUUCAACACAUCUUUUUAAAACUUUCUCCAAAUUAUCAAGGCAAUCAUCAAAAGAAUUCCCAAACACAGCCAAAUCAUCCAUAAAGACCUCUAAACAAUGUUCAACCAUAUCACAAAAAAUGCUUAACAUACAUUUUUGAAAUGUUGCAGGAGCAUUACAAAGCCCGAAUGGCAUUCUUUUAAAUGCAAAUGUUCCAAAAGGACAUGUAAAUGUGGUCUUUUCUUGGUCCUCAAGUGCUAUAGGAAUUUGAUAAUAGCCUGAAUAUCAAUCUAAAAAACAGUAGUAGGGAUGUCCUGCUACUCUUUCUAAUAUUUGGUCAAGGAAUGGUAAUGGAAAAUGAUCUUUUCUAGUGGCUUCAUUUAAUUUUCUAUAAUCAAUGCACAUGCGCCAACUAGAUGUAAUUCGCGUUGGAAUUAAUUCACCUUUUUUCAUUUUUAACAACAAUGAUUCCAGAUUUUUUAGGCACUACUUGUGUAGGACUUACACACUUACUAUAAAAAAUAGGGUAGAUAAUUCCCACAUCAAGCAAUUUAAGGACUUCUGUUUUGACAACCUCUUUCAUGUGUGGGUUUAAUCUUCUUUGAGGUUGUUCACAUGUUUUAGCAUUUUCUUCCAAAUUAAUUCUAUGUGUGCAAAUUAAGGGAUUAAUACCUUUAAUAUCAUUUAAAGUCCAUCCAAUUGCAUUUUUAUACUUUUUAAGAACAGGUAGUAACUUACCUUCUUAGUCGCUUGUUAAAAUAGAAGAAAUCACAACAGGAUAAGUUUGUUCUUCUCUAAGAAAAGUAUAUUUCAAUCCUUCAGGCAAAGGUUUCAAUUCCAUUUUAGGUGCUUCUUGUUGUUCUGUCUUUUCAAUACUUCCAAGCUCCUCAAAUUUUGGCUCGUCAUCAUAAUUUUGUGAAGUCUGCACAGAAUCAAGCAACGAAUUUAUAUUAGAAAUAUUUAGUUCAAGUUGCUUAUUUGACUCAAUUGAAUUAACUAAAUAAACAUUUGAGAGUUUAGAAAAAUCCCCUUUUUGAAUAUUUUUCUUGAUACAAGAUUCAAACAAUUCAUUUUGUUCAUCAGUAUCAUCUUCAUUCUCAUUUUCUUUAUUAGGUUGCCUGCACAUGUUGAAAACAUUUAAUUCCAAAGUCAUAUUCCCAAAAGAUAAAUUCAUUAAACCAUUCCUACAAUUAAUCAAAGCAUUAGUAGUUGCUAAAAAUGGUCGACCUAAAAUUACAGGAAUUGGUUUGUAAUUAUUCACAACAGGUUCAGUUUCCAAGACAAUAAAAUCUACAGGAUAGAUGAAUUUAUCAACUUGUACUAAAACAUCUUCCACUAUUCCUUUUGGUACUUUAACUGAUCUAUCGGCAAGCAAAAGUGUAGUUGAAGUUGAUUUUAACUCACCAAGAUUAAGUUGAAGAUAAACUGAAUAAGGAAGCAAAUUAACACUAGCUCCAAGAUCUAGUAAAGCAUGCUCAAUUUUGUGAUUACCAAUAAUACAAGAAAUGGUAGGACAACCAGGAUCUUUAUAUUUCAACUUAUUAUUAGUAGACAGAAUUGUACUUACCUGUUCGGCCAUGAAAGUACUCUUUCUUACCUUCAAUUUCCUCUUAACAGUGCACAAGUCCUUUAAAAAUUUGGCAUAUGAAGGUACCUGCUUGAUUGCAUCUAAUAGAAGAAUGUUAACUUUCACUUGCUUAAAGAUUUCAUAAAUUUCAGAAGAGUGGUUUAUUCAAUGCAUGCGGAAAUGGUGGUUCAGGUGGAACACUAGUUAUUUCUUCACUAGGUGUAAGUUCAUUUAGUCCUUCCUUACCCUUUGAAUUUUCAUUAUUUUCAUAAGGUUCAGGCAUAGGUCUAUCAACAACCUUACCACUACGAAGAGUUAUAACUGACUUGACUUGGUCUGUGGGUGGAUUUUGUUGAAUUUUAGGAUUUGGUUGUGGUUGAGCUGGAAAUUUUCCUUUUUCUUGAAUGGUGAGUGCAUAAGCAAUUUUAGCAAGAGUAUCUUUCAAAUCAGAAAAAGUUUGUGCAUUUUGAUUGUUAAUAACAUCUUGCUUUCUGAUGAAUGAAUGCAUUGUGCCUUCCAGAUUUUUCCAGGGUGGUGGAACAUAUGGUGCAUAAGGCUGAGGAUUUUGAAAAUUUUGUGGAGGUGGUGCUUGUGAAGAUUGUGCAUUAUUAUUAUUCCUCCAACUGAAAUUCGGAUGAUUUCUCCAACCAGGAUUAUAAGUCUAUGAAUAUGAGUUUGGUUUAUUGAAAGUGUUAAUGACAUUAGCUUGAUCAUUUAGACAUUCUUUAAGUGUAGGCAAAGUGGGACACUCUUGAGUGAAAUGAUCAUUCGAACUACAUAUGUUACAUGCAAUUUCUUGAACAUAUUUUACUUGAUCACUCUUUUUAUGCUCCAAAGCUUCAACUUUCCUAACUAGGGAUGCAAAUUUUGCUUGUAAAUCAUGAUCUUCCCUAAGGUUAUAGAUUCCUCCACUAGAUGGAGAUGAUUGUUGCUUAUUUGUCAAUUCAAAAAUUCCAACAGUAUCCCAAUGUUGUGUAUUUUCAGCUAAUUGGUCAAGGUAAUCUAGUGCAUCUUCAGGAUUUUUAUCCCUAAAUUCACCAUUACACAUCAUUUCAACAACCGGUCUACUUUGGGGUAUUAAGCCCUAGUAGAAGUAAGUGACCAAUCGCCAAGUUUCAAAACCAUGAUGUGGGCAUAUGUUAAGCAACUCUUUAAACCUAUCCCAACAUUGGUAUGAUGUUUCUCCAUUUUUUUGAGUGAAAGAAGUGAUUUGCCUUUUAAAAGAAUUUGUUCUAUGAGGUGGAAAUAAUUUUUUCAAAAACUGUUCUUACAUGUUAUUCCAAGUUCUUACUGAUCCAGAUCUAAGGUUUUGUAGCCAAGUUUUUAUCUUUUAAUGAAAAAGGAAAAAGCUUUAAUCUAAUUAUGUUCAUGCUACAAUUUUGGUCCGUGUAUGUAUUACAAACUUCCUCAAAAUCUCUUAGAUGCAAGUACGGAUUCUCAGAUUCUAAACCAUGAAAUGUUGGUAAAAGUUGGAUAAUACCUGGUUUAAAGUUGAAUCGAGAUGCUUCUGGAGGAAAUACUAUACACGACGGUGCUCCAGUCCUGGUUGGAUUCAUGUAGUCUCUCAGAGUUCUUGGUUGAUUUUGAUCAUGCCCAUGUUGGGAUUGGUUGUCUCCCUGAUCAAUUUGAGGGUUAAGUUCGCCCAAAACGUUUUCGUCUUGAUUCUCAUCCAUGAUUGGUGGUGGAGAUUGAGAUCUACGAAUUAACCUGCCACUUGAAGAUCGAGACCAACGUCUCAUGCAAUGGUUAUAUUAUAAAGAUAAUAUUUACACAAAUUGAUAACAAAAUAAAAUUAAAAAAAUUAAAUAUGCAAAUAAUAUAAGUGUACGAAAGAAAAUUAAAUAACAAUUUUGGUGGUUGAACCCACCAAUUAACAAUAAAUUAAGUAUAAAAUAAAUGCAAAAGAAAGAAAAAGAAAAAAAAAUGGUGGUUGAACCCACAAGUUAAAAAAAAUAAAGCAAAAAAAAUACAAAAUUAAAUAAAUACUGAAAAUUAAAUAACUGAAAAUAAAAAUUAAGAGUUAGUAGUUAGUUUGGUGGUUAAACCCACCAAUAAAGCAAAAAUAAAUAAAUAAAUACGAAAUAAAAUAAAUGUAGAAAAUUAAAUAACUGAAAUUAAAAAAAGUUAGGAGUUAGCAGUUAGUAAUUAAGAGUUAGUAAUUAGAGUUAGUAAUUAAAGUUAGUUUGGUCCAAAUUAAGUCCAAAAUAAGUCCAAAUAUGUCCAAAGUAUGUCCAAGUCUUGAUUAUUUUGAGGAAUUUCGUCUAGGGAUUCUAUUGCAAAUUAUUUUUAAUUUUAUGGUCAAACUAUAAUUUUUAGAAGUUUAGAAUUGAGCAAUUUGGGAUGAAAGUGAAAUGAUUGAAAGAUGUUGGGGUGAGAAUGUAAUUACCAGAAGAUUGGGCUAGAAACGGAAAUUGUUGGGGUGAAACGAGAAUUAUGAAAGAUAUGGGGACAAAAGAGAAUUUAAGAAAAGGAAAGGGGGCAAACGACAUUUUACAUAUAAGAGAAAAAUAAAAAACGGAAAAACAAACCAAAUAAAAAAAACUUUUCCCCGGCAAUGGUACCAAAAACUUGACACAACUUAAAAGUAAUUUUUAACUCCCAAGUAUAAGAGUAUCUUAUUGUAUUAUAACUCGAUGAGCCCGAUGUCGAUCUACAGAGAAAAGAUUUAAUUAGUUUCCUUUAUUUUAACUAAAAAUUGAAAUUAAAACUUAAAUAUAAACAACUUAAUUUAAAUGAAACUAUAAAAUUAAACUAGUUAGGGUUAUGGAUCCACUCUUAGAAAUAAAUAAAACUUAAUAAAUUCUUUUUGCCCUUUUUUUACAUUUAUUGCCCAAAAGAUUAAUUAUAUAAAUUAUUAUUAUUUUCCCUUUAAUUUUAUGAUGGAUUAAGUAUUUAUUGUGCCAAAAUUUAAUUUGUCUACAAUAAGUCAAAAUACCAUUUUACCAUACCUUAUAUUAAGAUAUUAAGAAUUUAUUGUGCCAAAUUCAUUUAUUUGUCUACAAUAAAUCAAAAUUUCAAAAUAUAAAAUUAAAUAGAAAAUAAUUUAAUUUAUAAAAUUAAAAAUAGAAUUUGCUUAAAUCAUAUUUAUUUCCUAAGAGUUUCACCUUCCCCUAACUAAUAUUAUUUAGUUAAGCAUAAUUAAAAUAAAAAGAAGUAGUAAAAUUGAAUUACUUAUAAUUAAAAGAAACAAAAACAACUAAAAUUGGAAAUAAAACUAAUUUUAUUUAUAAAAAUAAUUAUAAAAAAUAUUAAAAACACACAUGAAAAUCAAGAUUAUAAGGAGAUGGAGAGAAUUUGAGAAGAAAAGAGUUGUAGAGAGAUGAUUAAAAACAUAAAAAUGAGGCUUUAUUUGUAGAAAAAUAAAUUCAUAAUUCAGUGCUUUGCGGUCCAUCAUAAGCUUCAUGCAUGUGCUCCUCACAACCUUUAGAUCAAGAUCCAAUGGCUGGUCAAACUUCAAAAGUCAACAUCACACGUGGCAUCGUUUGACUCGUCCGAUUUGCCCAAAGAACGGUUGAGAUUUGGCGGGUUAAUAGGUGGAUUGGGUCGACCCGAAUACAAAGAUUCGGAUCCUCCAACUUGCUUCACCAACCAUUGCCACGUGGCACAAUCAUGGCCAUUGAAUCAUGAACGGUUGAGAUUUAGUCAAAAUUGCCAGCUAUCCCAUGCACUCAUAUCUAUUGUAAGCUCAUUUCAUCAUCCAAUCAGUGCUCGGUCAACAGAAAAAGUCAACUUUUUUUACACAAGCUCAAUUUUAAGCCGAUCUUGACUGAUCUUAAGGUUUUUGGACCUCCGGAGUCCAAAUUUGACCUCCGUUUAUCUGUUUGGAGCCUCGAAUUACGUGAAAUCAAUAUUUUUUCUAACAAACACAUAAAAAUACACAAAAUUAAAUAUAUUUAAAACAUAAUUAAUAAUUCUUAAUAUAUUACAUAAACAAAAAUAUAAAUUAUAAUAUAAGCAUAAAAUAACAUAUUAAACAAAAAUAUAAAUUAUAAUAUAAGCAUAAAAUAACAUAUUAUCACUUGAUAAUUAAACAAUUUUUAAUACUAAUCAGGAAACCAACCAGCCUUGCCCUUGCAUUCACCUUUCGACCAUCCAGUAGGAGCCACCUUGAGAAGUUAUAGCCAAAAAAGGUGAGUUAAACAGAAGUUGACCAUUCAAAGACUUGAGGUGAAAUAAUUAAAGCAAAAUAGGCUAAUUCUUUUACUUGAAAAGAGUGAAUUAGUUGUGAUUAUUGAAAUUGGAUUAACCAUGGAAGUAUAACAAGAUAUAAAUUCAUGUGAAAUUCUUAAAUGGAAAUAUAAGAUUAGAGCUCCUCAAUUUGCUUUUAAUUCAGCUAGACAACUAAGAGUGAUUUAUAGGUGAAAGUAGUUUGUAUAAGCAUAAAUUUAAUUUUUAGCAGUUCAGUAAGAGUUAAAUCCUUUUGAAUCAUCAAAAUAUCCAGAUUUAUUUCACCCUUUUGAACAGAGGAUAUAGCAAUUUCACUAGGAUUUAUUGUCAAAGUAGGUAAUGCACAGCAAAGAUUUUUUUAAAAACAAAUAACCUAUAAAAAGUACACACAUAUAACGUAUUAACAAAAUUACUUCAUUCUACAACAAUCCGUUUAUAUUAUAGUAAUUGGUUUAGUCGGCAACAAGCACUAUAAUCCCUUAAAUAAAUUUUUUUAUGUAAUUUUCUAUAAAUUUCAAAAAUCAAUUAAACUGGAGCUAAGACCAUUUCUAGUUUUCAGAUAAAAUAACCAAUCAAACAUUCAAAUUAACAGUUUAGGGUAAACUGCGUCAUUUAGAACUGAGCUAGCAGCCUUAUUAUAUUCUGAUUUGCACUUCAAUGUAAAAGGGAAUAUGUGACAGGAAGAAAGAAAACCAAUCAUCGUUUGUUAACUGAGCUAUCAUUCUUGUAUUUAUAAGCAAAUAUCAAGACUUUAGAUCACCAGCUACAUCAUGAGUGGCUACACAACUUUGCAGUGGUUUGUCUUUUUUUGGCAUGCCUAACUCAACUUCGACAUUGUUGAGAUAUUGGCAGUAGAGACACAUGAUACUUCUAGCUAUGCAUUCUAGCUAGCUCAUCCUGCAACGUUCUCUUUUUAAUUCAUUGGUGUUUGCUAAACCUCAUGCUUAGAAGUCUUGUUCUCCUAAACAAAGUUUCCCUAAGAAUGACUCCUUCAGCACCACAUUUUAACACUUUUUAGAGCAAUUUUAUUGGGGGAAAAGAAUUUUCAAGGUGUUAACUACUAAAUUUUAAAAGAUAAUUACGAUUUUGACCUACAAUCAUAUGACAAUUUAUCUGGGAUGAAAGGAUACAGACAGACAUAUUCCACUUUCAAGACUAAUCACUACUUCUCUAGGUGUUGUGCUAUAUUACAAAUACUUGACCAGAGGGUAGUGAAAAUAGAAAAGAACUUUAUUGCUCUACAAUUAAACUAAGAAUGCAAUGUGUCAAGCAAAAGACUGUGCAACAUCAAAUUGAUUGAUAAGUUUCAAAUUCAGCAAAUUAACAACUUUCAUAGGAGAAUACAACAAAUUUCUUUUAAAAAAAUAAAAAAUUAAGUCUUAAUUAAAAGAUAACAUUCCAUUUUGUUUAUAUCUCUUCUAUGUUAUUUCUUAAGAUUUUUCAAGAGGAGGACAAUAAAGGGACUUUCAACCAUGCAAGAGAGCAUAAGCCUUACUUUCGCUAUAAAGUAGGCAUCAUUAUGAUUAAUAUGCGUUUGUAAAUCAGCUCUAUUUGAAUCAGCAUUCUGAUGGCCACGUAAGGCAUUUACAUCCAUUUCCAAAGUCACAUGUUGCGUGGAGGACUCAUUUGAUUCCUCCUCUAGGAUCAUCUAAUUUGAGUAGCAAGGGUUGGAAGAGAAUACAAAGUCACAAUUAUUCUUUUGCAUAAGAGAGACGAAAAUGAUAAAGGCAAUAUUAUCAGUAGUCAACAAGAAGAAAAUGCUUCAAGGGAUAGAUAGAUGCAGACAAGUGAGUCAAAAUGCUUAGUCCCAAGCCUCAGGAUACAAAUUCUCUACAACAGCAAUAACGUGUUGAUGAUAUGUUUUCCGAGCAUCUACCUGCAAAGGCCCAAGACCAGGAAAGUAAAGAAAGAAAUACACUUGACAUAAAUCUUAACAAGAAGCAUAAUUUAAGACAUAACAAAACCCAGUCAUUGUUUAGAACUACAUUUGUUAUUGUAACAUUUCAAACAAACGUUCACUUAAUUCAACACUGUUGGAAGGAUAGGCUUUCAGAAGUAAAAGAAAGCUACUCGAACCAAAGUGAUUGUCCUUGUAUUAAUCAAGGGAUGUAAACAUCUUACAUUUGCAGGAUGAGUUUUAAUCACUUAUUUAAUAACACAUACCCUUGAUUUAUUAGGGUUGCAGUAAAGUUAGAAAAUAUUGAUCAAAUUCUUCCAUUGAAACAAACUUAGUAAACAAAGCUAAGUGAGCAGCUGUUUGACUUUCAAGCAAACAGCUAAACCAGAUAUUAAAAUUCAAAUAAAAUCAUUAAUAGACUAAUAACAGGCCAUCUUGCAUAAAAAAAUUAAGUUUAAUUUGUGAAUUUUUUUCCUAUAAACAUGUUAGGUCCUACUAUAUUGAAAUGUUAAAAGCACUAAACAAUUAUUCAAUAAAUUAUGCAAACACUAAAAUAGAGACUUAUUAAUUAAAAGAUUUUUGGUUAGUAACCGAGAAUGUCGGAGAGCUCCGAUAACCAAGAACUUCAAGACAACCCUACCCUGCUGAAAGUGCCUCCACCGCCGCUAAAUGAAGAUCAGUCCACUAAAAAGGCGCGUUUUCGCAGUCAUGGUACAGCUGAAGAUAAUCCAACGCCGCUAUCCUUCAAGGAAGCGCUUGUUCCCUCUAACCAACAUAGGAACUUUGAUUCCGCUGAGAUGGAUGAAGACUGGGACUUUGAACCUGGCGAUGUGAUGGUUGGAGAAGAUGACACCAUGCCAACUAUUGUGUUCUCGAAAAGAGUCCAUGAUAAACUGACUAAACCUUGGCAAAAUUCUGUGGUAGUGAAGUUAUUGGGGAGAAACAUUGGGUAUAAGGUUUUAUGUAACCGUCUAAAGGUAAUGUGGCCUAUGAUUCAUGAUUUAUCUGUGAUUGACCUCGAGAACAAUUAUUAUUUAGUUCGUCUCCACUCAACAGAGGAUGCAGUCUAUGCUUUAACAGAGGGGCCAUGGGUUAUCUUUGGGCACUAUUUAACAGUGCAACCUUGGACUCCACUUUUCGACAGCACCGUUACUGAUAUUGCCUCAGCAACUGUUUGGAUCCGCUUACCUGGCAUGGCUUUUCAUUUAUACGACAAGCGUGUUCUGCGGGAAGUUGGACAACUUGUGGGCACAAUUAUUAAAAUUGAUUAUCAUACCGAAUCAAGGGAGAGGGGAAAGUUUGCGAGGAUUGCUGUCCGUGUUUCUCUUUCUCAGCCUUUGGUGUCUCAAUUUAAUCUGGACGGAAAAAUUCAGAAGGUUGAAUACGAAGGGCUGCCAAUUAUAUGUUACCAGUGUGGUAAAUAUGGCCACACCAGCAGUACUUGUCCUGAGAAACAAGCUGCGAAUGGGGCUAGGGCCGAGAGUUCGGUGAGAUCUCCACCAGUCAACGUGACAGCUGAUAAGGAUGGCGCCUCAGCUAUGGCUAAUAACAGUGGUGAGAAAUUCGGUCCAUGGAUGAUUGUGGCACGAAGAGGGAGACCUAAAGGAGUUAGGGACAAGGAGAAUAUCACCGAUUCAGAAAGGAAUCAGCGUAUUAACUAUACUACGGCUUCCCGUUUUGCUGCUUUAGUUGAUGGGCCUGAUACAAUUACUGUGACAUAAAUUGAUGUUCAAGAUCCCACCAUUGUCCCCCCCAACAACCAGCUAAAUCCAUUACCGACCACUUUCACACCCGAAGGAACCACCCUCUGAAAAUCCGUAGCACCCUAAAGCCUCAUAAUCACCUAUCCAAAGCUAAACAAGUGGCCAAAUCACACCUUAAAGCCUCAUCAUCUACUUCCAUGCAUGCAAACUUAUGUCCCAAUGUUCAUAUGGAUCACUCCACCCAUAAUAAUGUCCCGAUCCAGUAUCCCUUAGGACAUCCUUUUAGCUUGCCCGUUGAACCUUCGUUCACCUUGACCACCCUGAAUCCUCACAAGCAUACUGCCGUGACCUUUCCCAUAGCCAACCAUGAGAUUGUGGGUAAUCAACCAGGCUACUCAUGUGGAAAAGUGGCUGAUAACCUGGAGCAGCAACUCUACCCAAAGCAAUUAGCUGAUCCUCCCAAUGUAAGAGAAGACGGAGCUGUUAAUCCGAUGGAGUUUUAUGAUGGUGACCCUCAACUUGCAAUUGGCAAUGAAGAGGAAGACAUUAUGUCUGAUGAUGAAAAUACUAGUGUUAAUGAAACCCCCAGAGUGCAUGGAGGAGGGGCCCUAGGGCCUAGAAUGUAAGGACUCCAUGCUCCCCUGUUUUGCUUAUAUCUUUAAUGAUGUACAAUAUAAUGUUUUGGAAUUGCCAAGGAGCUUUUUUGCCGGGAUUUUGCAGGACUUUUAAGACUAUUGUCAGUAAUUAUAGACUGAAUCUGGUGGCCUUAUCCAAGCCUCGCAUUAGUGGAGUAAAGGCUGAUGACUUCAUUAAAAAAAAUGGCUUCCAGAGGUCUCAUCGGGUGGAAGCUAGGGGUUUUUCUGGUGGCAUUUGGAUUUUGUGGGAUGACAGUUUUGAGGUGGAAUUUAUCAUCAAUCAUAAUCAAUUUAUUCACUUUAAAAUAAUUGAUUUGAAAGGUUGUAGUUCCUGGGUCACAGCAGUUUAUGCGAGUCCGAUACCCAUGGUAAGGAAAAUUUUAUGGUCGGAGUUAGAUAAAGUUGCCAAGUCUGUUGAUGGUCCGUGGAUGAUUGGUGGGGACUUCAAUGCAAUUAGAAGAGUAUCUGAAAAAAAAGGAGGGUCAGCCAGGACAAGUGGUGUGCGUGAACUCUUUAAUGGAUGGUUCCAUCGAAACCAUCUCAUGGAACUUGUCUUUAAGGGACCCAAAUACACAUGGUCAAGAGGCAACUUAUCGAAAAGGUUAGAUCGGGUGAUUUGUAAUGAAGAGUGGAUGAUGAUGAACGAUGAGACAGAAGUUUUCCACCUCCCCAAAUUAAAUUCCGAUCAUAGACCGGUGAUGUUUCGUUGCAAGAAAUACAAUUCCGCUCCUACGGGGGUGAAACCUUUUCGGUUUUUGGCUCCCUAGCUAACUGAUGAGAGAUUCCAACCCUUUGUGGAAAAUAACUGGAGGAGCAAUUUGAACUACACUAAUGUUGUGGAUGAUUUUAUCAACAAACUGGGAAACUGGAAUAAAGAUAUUUUUGGCAAUAUUUUUAAAAGAAAAAAAGAGAUGCUGGCUAGAAUAGGUGGCAUUCAACGCUUUCUGGAGAAGCGUCAGUCUAGGAGUUUAAGCAAGCUAGAAUCUAAGCUAAAGAGGGACCUUGAAAAAGUGUUAACUCAAGAGGAAGUGCUAUGGUUCCAAAAAGCUCGAAGAGAAUGGAUUGUCUGUGGGGAUAGGAACACAACCUUUUUCCAUCAAAAAUCUAUAAAGAGACGCCGACGAAAUAAAGUGGGUAUGAUAAAAAAUGAUGAGGGGCAGUGGAUCCAUGACGAAGCUGAUAUUAAAGCCCAUGCAGUCUUUUAUUUUUGUAAUUUGUACACGAAGGAGGGAGGUGUUCCUGUCCAAUACCCUUUUACUCUUGACUUCCCUUUAAUUGAUAAUGUUGUGCUUAACAAUCUGAUCAGAGGUGUUGAUGAUGCAGAGAUUAGAGAUAUUGUCUUUACCAUGAGCCCAUUGAAAGCCCCGGGUAUAGAUGGCCUUUAUGCCAUUUCCUUCCAGACUCAAUGGCACGUGGUGGGGUCUUCAGUUUGUCAGCUUAUUAAAGAGUUUUUCGCGGGAAAGCAAUUGCCCCAGGAAUUGAACCAAACUCUUCUUGUGCUGAUUCCCAAGAUCAAUAAUCCAUAUUCUCUCAAAUUAUUUAGACCUAUUAGUCUUUGCACAGUGGUGUACAAGACUAUAACUAAAUUGGUAGCUAAUCGCCUCAAAGCCAUUUUGCCGCAAAUCAUUGGCCCUGCUCAGACGAGUUUUGUUCCUGGGAGACAUAUAGUCGAAAACGUCAUCGUUGCCCAAGAAAUCAUUCACUCUAUGAGGAACAAAGGGGGCAAAACUGGUCAGAUGGCUAUCAAGGUUGACUUGGAAAAGGCGUAUGAUCGUUUGAGUUGGGAUUUUAUUCAGGAGACUCUGGGGGUGAUUGGGUUGCCGAUGGAUUUGAUUCGUAUUAUAAUGGAGUGUAUAACCACAGUUUCGAUGCAACUCUUGUGGAAUGGUGAGCUCACGGAGAGUUUUAACCCAUCUAGAGGAAUCAGACAUGGGGACCCUUUGUCCCCGUAUAUUUUCGUCAUGUGCAUCGAGAGGCUAAGUCACGGUAUCAAUCAUGCAGUUGGGAACGGGCGUUGGAAACCCAUCAGGCUUAAUCGUGGAGGUAUUCCUAUUACUCAUUUAUUUUUCGCUGAUGAUCUUCUUCUUUUAGCGGAGGCUUCUAGUCAGAAUGCGCAGGUGAUCAAUGAGGUCUUGGAUACUUUUUGUGUAAGCUCUGGCGAGAAAGUGAGCAGAGAAAAGACCCAAAUUUUCUUCUCUCGAAAUGUUUAGAAGAGCACAAUCCGAGAGAUAAGGAAUACACUCGGAUUUUCAGUUACGAAGAACCUCGGUAAAUACCUUGGUAUGCCCAUCAUUCACUCCCGAGUUACCAAGGCAACUUAUCAAGAUAUUCUAGAUAAAGUACAGCAGCGUUUAUCAGGCUGGAAUGCCAAGCAUCUCUCUCUAGCGGGCAGGAUCACUUUGGCACAAUCGGUAAUACAAGCUCUCCCAGUUUAUGCCAUGCAAUCAACGAAAAUUCCAGCUUCGGUUCUUACCAAAAUUGAGCAAAGAUGUAAGCAUUUUAUCUGGAGUGGAAAUGCCGAACAAAGAACAUUGAAUCUCAUCCGGUGGGACACUCUUUGCCAACCCAAGUCAUGUGGGGGCCUUGGUCUUAAAGAUUUAUCUCAUAUGAAUAUGGCUUUGAUGAUGAAAAUUGGGUGGGGUUUAGUCAACUCUCCUAAUACUUUUUGGGUCCAGGUGCUGGCUUCUAAGUAUAAGGUUGAUACCACUUGUCUUCCUGGCAGCUUACAAACGAGGAACGGGUCUUACUUGUGGCGUGCUGUGGGGAAGGUUUGGGAUCAUGUGUUGAAGGGAACUCGUUGGGCUCUUGGGGAUGGAAAACGAGUGCAAUUUUGGUGGGAUUUAUGGCUCAGUGAGGCUGAUAACUUACAAUCAUAUGCCACGAACCCAAUUCCUGAUCAGCUGAUUAAUUUGUGUGUGGCUGAUUUUUCAGAUAACAAUGGCAACUGGAAUUGGCAUUUAUUUGCUCAUUUGCUUCCCAACCACAUAAUUCUAAAGAUUGCUUCAGUUAAAGCUCCUUGUGCUCUUAGUGGUGAGGAUCAAUGUUACUGGGCUUACUCUAAUACAGGUCAAUUCACGGCGAAAUCUGCGUACCUCUCUUUGCACCAAUCCAAUAAUGUGGCCGAUAAAUCUUUGUGGAAUUUGGCUUGGAAAUGGAAUGGACCUCAAAGUAUCAUAACAUUUAUUUGGCUCGCCAUGAGCAAUAGGCUGAAAACAAAGUCGGAGCUUUUUCGAAGGCACAUUACUAUGGAUGCCACUUGUUGUAGUUGCGGCCAACACUUGGAAGAUACCAUUCAUGUGUUGAGGGAUUGUAUCAUUGCCCGGCAUGUGUGGCUCAGUUUGGUGCCUCAUACUUUAUGGAAUAAUUUUUUCGAUUUGGACUUGACGAGUUGGAUCUACUACAAUCUCAAGAACACGGGUUUGAUUAGGAGAGAUGAUAAUUGGCCCUGUAUUUUUGGUGUUGCUCUGUGGCGGAUUUGGUAUUGGAGAAACCAAUUCAUUCACAAUAAAGAAAUCAUCAGUAUUGCAAAUAUUGUGCUGGACAUCACGCACCGCGCGGCCGAAAUCAAUGCUUCCAUGGAGAAUAUCUGUAGACCAGGCCAUGAAAGGAUAAUCAAAUGGUUGAAGUGGAUGGCCCCACCUUGGCCUUUCUUUAAACUAAAUACAGAUGGUGCUCGGAAAAUUUCAGGAAAUGCAAGUGCAGGUGGUCUCAUUAGAAAUUAUUGCGGAGAAUGGGUUCACGGUUUUGGCAUGAAUAUUGGCCAUUGCACUAUUACUGGGGCGGAGCUUUGGGGUCUUCUUCAAGGAUUGCAACUUGCCUGGAAUAUUGGGAUUAGACAAUUACUUGUUGAAGUUGAUAGUCGAUGCAUCACUGAGAUCUUAGCCACAGAUACCAAUCAUCCCAAUGCUAACUCCUCUCUUAUUCAAGGAAUUAAAAGACUUCUCAACAUGGAGUGGCAGGUUUCUCUGUCACACUGCUAUAGAGAAACAAAUUAUGCAGCUGAUUACCUCGCCAAUCAAUCUCUUCUUUUGCCUCUUGGGGUCCAUGUGUUUCCAACGCCUCCAUCCGGAACUGACAGGUGGCUGCUGCACGAUGUAUGUGGGACUGCUUACUCACGAAUGAUCUUUGCUUAGUUUCUUAACUUCGCCCUUUUGUAUCAAAAAAAAAAAAAAAAAUAGAGACUUAUUAGAAAGUUUCUUACUACAAUGUUAAUAUUUCCUCUAUUUUAACGUUUACAUAAUUUUAAUUUAUUUAAAAUCUACGUCGAUCAACUUUGGGCAUGAUGAUUUUAGCUUUUACGAGAGUUUAUUGGAAUAUGCAUAAGGAGUGUUAAAAUAUGAUGCAUCCAACAAAAGGCAAGCCAUGUGCAGUCUUUUAAUUUAGCCGAAGUAGCAGCUCAAACAAAUGACACUUUGACCAACAUGCAAGCAUGAAGUAGCUAGAAAAAGGACAAAUGCUACUUUGGCUUAAAUAGAAAAUAGCACGUGACUCGACUUUUGUUGGACAUGAAUCAUGUUAUUACAAGACAACAUAAAUCAUUAUCAUUAUAAUAAGAGUUAGCAAUAAGUAACAUGAAGAUAAGAGGCAGAAUGUCAACACAUGCAUAGGCAUACACAAGAAAGUAUUAACUUCUAUACCAUAGCAAAAAGUCUUUGAUAUGUCAUUUGUUGUUGCUGUGAUUCAACUGACAACAUGGCAACUGUCGCUGCUCUACCAAGAGCCAUUACUGUAGAUUUAAGCUCGGUCAAAUUUGCUUCUGCAUUUCGAAGCUUCAUAACACUCUCUGCUGAUAUAUCAGAUUCCCUAAUCUUUGAUCAGCUCCUCAAUACUUCAGCUAAUUCUCAUCUCGCUUUAUACAUGCAUAUGUUACCUCAAAGUUGACCUGGGCUUCAACUUCAUGGCGGAGUUUGUCAUAACGAUGAGUCUGGUGCCGAGCAUCUUCCAAAGGUGCUCCGUUGAUUAAUGCCCGUAGUGGCUCAGAUACCUACAUGUCCAAAAGCCAGUAAUAUAAUUAGAAAAUUGGAAAAAAAAGAUCGAAACCUUAAUUACAAAGUUCCUCCAGCAUAAUCAUGGAAUUUGGGCCUACUUUAAGAACAUAUAUAAGGAUAAUUUAAGCAAUUUUGGGUCUUAGGAUGAUUGGUCUUAAGUUAGGGUCUAUCCUUCUGUUUUUAAGGUCAAAAUAGAAAUAAACCUAUGCAAAUAUUUAAAUUAGUGCUGUAAGAGUUCCACAUGCAUCCUUCAGUCUCAUGGAUUUGAAUUUACUAUAGAUGCAAGCGUCUUUAUCCAAAAUGCCUGGAGUCAAUUGAGAGAACUCACAACCAAUAACUUGUCCCACGGUGGUCUUCACUAGUGAUGUAAGAAGCGACAAGGUUUCUUCAACAUUUGAACAAAAAAAUUAUAAAGUCAUGGAUGUCACUAGCAAUUGUUAAAACAUUAAAUAUUUCAGAGUUGUAACGUUUAAAUGGAUUCUUUUAUUCAAUAUCUUAGAACUAAGUUUCCUUAUGAGAAGAUAAUAGUCUUGAAAGUAAUUUUACAUAUAAUUUUCCAUAUUUGAAUUAUUUUCUCGUUAGGGAUGAAUUUACCUGAUCACCAAGAAUCCCAAGCAAAGUUUCCCUCUCAUUUUCCAUCAAAUCAUGUGAAGUGCCAAAUUGAAAAGCAGCCCUUGCAACACAAGAAUUGUCGCUUUGAUUCUGCGCUCCAUAUUUGCAACAAUCUUCGGCCAACUUUCUCGCUACAAUAUUUGAAUACAAAAAUAUUAUACGCAAAAACUAGUCAAGAACAUUAAAAAAAAUAAAUAAAUAUUAUAACGAAAGCAAGAGCAAACAAACAACCUAUCUCCAUUUGUUUCAAGUUUAGUGCAAUUCAACACCACGGACAAUAUUCCUCUAAAAAUGCUGUGUUACAUAGCAUAUAUUCCAAAUUAUUGUUCAGAUAAAACCAUAAAAACCAUCAUAAUUAUUCAACAUACAUUAAGCUCUGUUUGGUAAAUACUUGUAACUCCAGUCUAGAAAAUAUAGUUGUUUGUACAAUAUUCGACAAAAUUAUUAUUUAAAAAUCAUAUUUAAUUACCAAAAGCCACAACAAAUCAAUAUCAAAACAGAGAGGGUAAUACCUUAGCUGCCCUGGUGGAAUUGUAUAGAUUUUGAAGUUGUUGGUGACACUCAAUUUCAGCUUCAUCAACCGCAACAUUUUCAUUACCAAGACGCAUGCAGCAAAUGCUUCAAUACUGCCUGUACAAAUCAUUAAAAAAUAAUAAAAACAUAAAAUUGAGAAAUUUCACUAAUUGAAAGUUUAAAUAAUUUUUAAAGAAAAAGAAAGAGACGUGCUGCUGCCUGGCGAUUUGUUCGCGGAGCUUGAUUGCCUGUUUCUUGAUAGCUUCCAUAUUGUUUCUUCGGGCAUUGCUGCAAUUGUUUCUUCUAUGUCAGUCACACCCACAUAUCAUUGACACAAGAAAUAAAAAUCUUAGAUCACUUGUUUAAUUAAAGAAUCACUUACAAAAAAGUUUUGCCAUUUUAAUUUGAGGAUCCAUAUUUUGAACUACCAACUAAUGUUCAUCAAGGGCAGAGUAAAAAUUACUUUUGGACAAAUUAUUUUUGUUGAUAGAAGAAUUUCUCAAGGGACUAUUAAAAUUAUUAAUAAAAAUGUCAAACACAUCCACACAUCAUCCCACAUAUCAUUGACACAAUUGAUUUUGAGGAUCCAUGUUUUGAACUACAACCUAAUGUUCAUCAAGAACAAAGUAUGGCUUGUGAGUAGAAAAUUUUCUGAUUUUGCAAAAAGAAAUUAAAUUGAAGGAGAAUCUUUUACUUUCUCAUUAAGAAAGGCAUACGGGGCAUACCAUGGCACCAUACAACACAAGGAGUCUCCAUUCUCUGCUUUUUCAAAAUCUAAAGGGGGCAAUAUUUCCCAAUUUCCCCUUGAAAAUUCUGUUUACAACAUUAUUCAUCACUUGAUUCGAUCAAAGUAGUGACAAAGUUUGGAAAAAUAUGAGUCCUAAGUAAUUACCAAGCAAGGUCCCUGAGGGCAACAUUGUCCUAGGCAUUAUAGACAUAUAUGGUGUGGCACAUGGAGCACAUUGAAUUCCAGACUAUAACACAAACCCUGAAAGACAAGUAACAACUCAAAUGAUACAAAGACAAGAAGAAGUUAAAAUGAUAUAGAACAAAGAAUUUCAAAGACAGAGCAACAUUCCAUACACAGAAGCCACUUGAUCUACUCGUUGAUUGCAGCCUCAAACUUGCAAAUAGUUACUGUAGGCUAGCGCUCUAAGAAAUAAAAUGAUGCAAAACCUUGAUUCCCUUUUGUCUUCGAUUUACUGUCAAACUUAUUACUAGCAUCCACAAUUAAUUUUUGUUCAGCAAUCAGCUUAUUUUAUAGAAAUUGAUUUAGUCAGCAGCAAACACUAUAAUUCUUGAAAUUAAUUUUUGUUCUUUGUAAUUUUCUAUGGUUUUUCAUAAAUCAAUUAAUCUGCAGUGCCAAGAUGAGGUUUAGCUUUUCAAACUAAAUAAUCAAGUAAGCAAAAAUAUAAAUUCAGAGAUUAGAGGGGUAACCUAGCUGGGUGGUUUAGAACUGGGCUAGCUACCUCACUGUAUUCCAAUUUAUAGAGUGGAUUAAUUGAAUCAUGAGAAAACAACGUGGUCAUAGCUCAAUAGGAGAUGACUGCGGAGAGGCAUAUUGUUUUCAAUGAUCUAUUAAGAGAUGAAGUGGAUUGAUGUGGAAAGUUUAAAUAACAAAUCCUUGUUUUUGAGUUUUACGACGUCGUUACUCCUUCCAAGUGGCAGAUUAUGCAAGUGAAUGCAGAGACACAAUGCAUCAUCCACGGGGAUGAUACAGUAAUAGGCGGGAUCAUAGUCUAUGCAUUGAACAGUUACAGUUGCUGCUACCCAUUACCUUGGCAAAGAUCAAGAAGACAGAACAGGAAGCUAAUGCCAUCAAUGUCGUCUUCACUAAAGCUGCUGGGAAUGUAGGUGUAGUUUCCUCAUUUGAAGCUGUCUAUACAUGGGCCUUUCCCCUGCUUAAGUACAAAUAAAUGAACGGCCUUGAAGGCUUUACCAUUCACCCCAAAAAAGAUUACUAAUUGAAGAUGACUAUACAGAGUUAAUCUCACACUUUUGUUCUCUCAAUUUCUUUUAGAAGUCCCUCUGAAAAUAGCUGCCAAAACAGUUAGUCAGCUUUUAUACUCUGUUUUCUGGAAACAGGGUCCUAACUAACUGAGCUGACUGUGCAGAGUAUGUCAAUAUAGCAUAUUUAAUCGUUUUAACAGUAUUUUCGAAUUGUCUUCGCAGUGAUCAUCAACAAACUCAUCACAAGAUUUUUGGAGCACCCUAGGACUAUCACUGGGUUUCUCUUCUGGUUGGUUAAUUAAUUAGUCAAAGAACGGUUGGAUAUCCAAGCACAAUUACUAGAUUCUAAAAUGACUAGUUCACUAUUCUUUUACAGCCCUUUCACCAGUCAAAUUAUUCGACUUCUGGAACUGGGAAUGAAGUGCAAUGAUGAAGCAGCAUUUACAAUGUCUCCGGUUUCUCCUGAAUAUUAGAUUUUUGCAGUGAGAACAUAUAACAAAAAGGCCUCCAUCAACGUAGGUAGAAUCCGGGAUAUGGAUUGGAUCGAGUUUUUGUUUGAUAUUGAAGAACCUCUUUACUAUCCCGAUAUAGAAAAUGUUCUUUGCCUUGUGCUAUGAUCGGUGCUUUUGAUGUUGUCCUGAAACGGUGGAAAAUACUUCGAUAUCCUCCAUUUGAUGAUGCAAAGAACUGGUUAAUGUACUAUUACCUAAUUGACUCAGGAUCAAGUAACAAUGACAAUUUAUUAGUAGUAAUAUCACAAACUAAGAAGAUUUCGGAGAGGGGGAUGUAUGUGUAUACUGUUUACAGCUUUGAUCCAUUGGGGAGGAAGUAGUCUCAAGUUGAAAGUGACUUAUUAAAUAACAAAACAGAGUUGUUCAAUUUACAACAGAUAUUCUCCUCAAGUUCAACGUAAAUAUGGAUAUUAAUUAGAAUCCAGAUUAUUAUGACACACAUAACUUGCUUCAAAAUUAUUAGAAAUUACAAUUGCUGAUUCACAAUGCAUAUAACUUGUAUAUUGAGAUGGAUAAGAUGCUUAAUUUAAUUAAUUUACUUACUUUCAUACACAUCGUCUUUCCAUCUAGAGAAAACUUGGGGGUGAGAACGAUAUGAAGUUGCGAGUUGCUGCCGAUAGCUUCUGAUUAAUAAUAAAACGAGACAAAUUAUCUGUUUGUUAAUAUUCAUUCUUAGAGAGGAGAGUAAAUCACAAAUCUUUAAUAACAAGGAGUUUGCCAUUAACUUUACUUGGCCUUAAUAUUAAUAUUGCCCACCCAAGAAAUAAGAGUGAUUUAAAGUAUUACCAAGACUUCAUUGAGAGGAGCAACCAAACCAACUCCUUAUCAAUUGCGGCAGCCGUCUGUUAACUAAAAUGCCAAUUUCAUACUCGGCAAUUGUGUUUGUUAAGAAGUGACACAGCACUCAGGUGAUGAGUUUACUGUGACCACUAUUCAAGGUAAGCGAAAAUUACAGAUGUGGCAAAAUCAAUAAUUAAAUUCAUAAACUAAUUAAAUUCAUGGAGUUGCACAAUUUCAUCAACUUUGCAAGAAUUGACAUUAAUGGACUGGCGCUCUCCCCAUACAAUUAUAAUUAUAAUCUUUCUAGGAAGCAAAUUUUUAUAAAUUAUUUGUUUUUAAGUUAAUUUCAAUUUCAAAAAAUAAAUUUUUUAAGUUAUGUAUACUCUAAUGAGAGUUUCUUCAUAACAAUUCCCCUACUCCAAUAAUAACGAAAAGGUAGUUACUUAGAAAUAAUUAAAAUAAACAGGGGUUGAUUGUAUAUCCUAAUUUGCAUCGAUUUUUUUUUACCUUAAUUUCAGGAAUUUGUGAAUGGAGGAUGAUCACGCGUGUAUUAAUUUUUCAGUCGUCGAUUGUCGUAUUCUAGACUUAACGAUAGUGUUCUUGAUCAAGGGCAAUGACUCCCACCCCUCUUUUAAAAAUAUUGUCAAGUAUAUUAAUGACAAAAUCUCUUAUAGUUAAUAGUCUUUAAAAAUUUAUAGAAUUACUAUUGUCAUAACUAAAUUAUUCAUGUUUAAUGAAAUACUAAUGCAUCAAAAUAAAGGUGUUCACAAUCCAAUUCGAUCCACUCAAUUCGUUUGAUCUGCAGAAGUGCAAUCCGCAAAAAUUUAAUCUGUGAAUUAGUGGAUUGGAUUGCAUUGAAAAUUUAAAAAUCCGUAGUCGAUAAAUUGGAUAUUGAUAUACUUUUAUAAAUAUACAAAAAUUCACGAAUUCACAAAAAAAAGUAUUUAAUUAAAAAAUAAAACUUAUAAAUGUUGCAUGACUACUUACUAAUAAAUAAAUAAGUUAAAAUGUAGUUAGUUAAUUUAACACCAUAUUAUAUCUUAUUCGAUAACAAUAUAAAAUAAAAAUAAUUAAAAAAAUUAAUAAUUGGAUAAACAAAUGUGGCUUUCUAAACAGUAAAAAUUCUAGACUUAAAAAUUUAUAUUGUUAUUCUAUUUUUUUUAAAUUGACAUUUUUCUAUUGUCUUACAUGUACAGAGAUUUUGAGAGUUGAGAAGAAUAUAUUUGAUGAAGCUUGAUAGCAUUUGAUGGGAUAGUAAGUAAGGGUAAAUAUUUAUUAAUUAUUUUUAUUAAAUAAAAUAUUUUUAUUUGUUAUUUAUUUCUAUUAUAUCUAUUUUAUUCAAGUUAAAAUACUAAAUAUAAAUUGGAGGUAGACAUUUUAACAGAUCAUCUAAGCUCUCAAAUCUGAAAUUUUGUGUAGAUUUAAAUUCAUAAUUUUAGUUAAUUUUCAUAUAUUCAUAUAAACAAAUUUAUGAGAUUUUUUCUUUUCAUCAUGUUAUAUUUUAAAACUUUCAAUGUAUUAUUCUAGCUUUAUUUAAACAAUUAAUUUAUUUUAAUUUUAUUUAAUUUUUGAUUUGAUCAGCAGUAAAAAUAUUUUUAUAUCAAAUUUUUUUAUUUAUAUAGUUCGUGGAUUGGGCAAAAUAAAAAAUUUUUAAUCCACAAAUGGUGGAUUGGAUAUGAAUUGGGUCAAAUCCAUCUUCGAUCUGCAGUCGCAUGGAUUGGAUUUGGAUUGAAUUUUAUCAAUCCAUAUAUUAGAUUGGAUUGAAAAUUUAUAAUCCGCAAAAUCAUGGAUCGGAUAUGGACUAAUGUCCAAUCCGCAAAAUCCGAUCUCCGAACACUCCUCUAUAAAAAUUUUCAAGAAUAUGUUUUAUCUUACAAUUUUUUUUUUUAAAGUCAUAGUCUAAUGGCAGCCCAAUUUCUACCCCAUCCAUAUAAGCGGAGUUCAAAUCUCAUACCUCUUAUCUCCACACAAGAGAUUUAACCAAUUGAAAUAGCUAGCACCCACAAAUAUACUAGUACAACAUCUCUUAACGUUUAACAUACAUAUAAUUAACGUUAUAGCCAUUGAUAAACUCAUUGUUCAUUAUGUGAUCAAGAAUUUGAUCCUGCGAGUAAUAGCGGUAAGAAGAACCAUUAUUGUUGGGGGGACUUAGCAUAAGAUUUCUAGGUAUCUAACCUAAAAGACUAGCCUUUUAGGUGGAGUGACCUACUACCUUAUAAACCCAAGCAUCUUCCCUUUACUAGUCAAUGUGAGACACAACUCAACAAUCCCCCUCUCGGACGAAACCACCGCCAGACUCCGAUCCUUUCGUCUGACACACCAGAGUUGUUCCACCACCACAUUCGGGCUAUUAGGGUUUAGCUCUAAUACCACUUGUUAGGGGGACUUAGCAUAAGAUUUCCAGGUAUCCAACCCAAAAGACUAGCCUUUUAGGUGGAGUGACCUACCACCUUAUAAACCCAAGUAUCUCCCUUUUACUAGCUAACGUGGGACAAAACUCAACAAUUAUAAUGCCUAGCUCUUAUCGUAGUUAAUUCUCUGGCCCGAUGCUUCAUCAUAGUGAUUUAAAAAAUCAACAACAGCUAUCUAAAAGAAAUGAAGAUAUCAUCUACGUAAAGAACAUGAGACAGAGAUCACAACCCAUAAGAACUGAGAUAAAUUGGACCAGACCAGUAAUCUUGAGAUAAGUUAAACCGUGACUUAAGUUGAAAUCAGAUGAUAAAUGGCUUUUGGCCACUUAUUUCUAAUUUCCACAAUUAAUUUCUGUUCAGCAAUCAGCUUAUUUUAUAGAAAUUGAUUUAGUCAGCAACAAACACUAUAAUCCUUGAAAUUAGUUCUUGUUCUUUGUAAUUUUCUUUGAUUUUUCAUACAUCAAUUAAUCUGCGGUGCCAAGAUGAGGUUUAGUUUCAAGCAAAAAUACAAAUUCAGAGAUUAGAGGAGUAAACUAGCUAGGUGGUUUAGAACUGGGUUAGCUACCUCACUAUAUCCCAAUUCAUAGCUCAAUAGCUCAUACAUCAAUUAAUUGAAUCAUGAGAAAAUGUGGUCAUAGCUCAAUAUGAGAUGAUUUCGGAGAGGCAUAUUGUUUUCAAGUUAAUUUGAUCCAUUAAGAGAUGAAGUGGAUUGAAGUGGAAAGUCUAACUAACAAAUCCUUGUUCUUGAUUUUUACGUCGUCUUUACUCCUUCAAGUGGCAGAUUGUGCAAGUGAAUUAAGAAACACAAUGCAUCAUUCACAGGGAUGCCACAUCAAAAGACGGGAUCAUAGUCUAUGCAUUGAAUAGUUAAAGUUAUCUCAAAGAGGACAGAACAGGAAGCUAAUGCGAUCAAUGUCCUUUUCACUAUAUCUGCUGGGAUUGUUGGUGUAGUGUCCUCAUUUGAAGCUGUCUAUACAUAGGCUUUUCCCCUACUUAUGUACAAAUAAAUGAAUGGCCUUGAAGGCUUUACUACUGACCCCAAAAAAGAUUACCAAUUGAAGAAGACUAUAUAGGGUUAAUCUCACACUUUCGUUCUCUCAAUUUCUUUCAGAAGUCCCUCUGAAAAUAGCUGCCAAAACAGUUACUCAACUUUUAUACUCUGUUCUCGGGAAACAGAGUCUUAACUAACUUAACUGACUGUGCAGAGCAUGUCAAUAUUCUUAGUAUAUCUAACCGUUUUAACAGUAAUUUUUUACCGUCUUCGCAGUGAUCAUCAACAAGCUCAUCAUAAGAUUUUUGGAGCACCCAGGACUAUCACUUGGUUUCUCUUCUGGUUGAUUAAUUAAUUAAUCAAAGAACGGUUGGAUACCCAGGGACAAUUACUAGAUUCUAAAAUGACUUAGUUCACUAUUCUUUUACAUUCCUUUCACCAAUAAAAUUAUUCGACUUCUGGAACUGGAAAUGAAGUGCAAUGAUGGAGCAACAUUUACAAUGUCUCCGGUUUCUCCUGACUAUCGGAUUUUUGCAGUGAGAACAUAUAACAAAAAGGCCUCCAUCAACUUGAAGAACCUCUUUACUAUCGCGAUAUCGAAUCUGCGCAAGGAGUUGUCCAUUGUUCUUUGCCUUGUGCUUUGAUCGGUACUUUUGAUGUUGCCCUGAAACAGUGGAAAAUACUUCGAUAUCCUCCGUUUCAUGAUGCAAAGAACUGGAUAAUGUACGAUUACCUAAUUGACUCAGGAUCAAGUAACAACAACAAUUUAUUAAUAGUAAUAUCACAAACUACGAAGAUUUCGGAGACGGAGAUGUGUGCGUAUACUGUUUACAGGUUUGAUCCAUUGGGGAUGAAGUGUUCUCAAAUCGAAAGUGAUUUAUGAAAUAACAAAUCAUUGGUCUUGGGUUACACCUCAUUAUGUCUUCAAGUGGAAGAUGAAGAUUAUGCAAGAUGAAGAUCGAGUUUUGGUUUGAGAUUGAAGAAUUUGAACAGAAAGCCCAUAGAAAGUACCUAAAUAAGCAUAUUCUUGGGGUAGAAUAUGGAGAAAGGAGUUGUCUACUGUGUGUUGCGUAAUUAUGCUAUGAUCGGUGCUUUCAACAUUGCCCUGAAAACAGUGGGAAAUACUUCAUAUCCUCGACAUGAUGAUAAAAAAUUGGUUACCGAUUACGUAACUAACUCAGGUGACAACAAUCCAUUAAUAGCACAAUUUGAGGUGAUGUCGUUUAGGUAUAUGGUUAACAGGUUUGGUUCAUCAAUGAUGAAGUGGGCUCAAAUUAAAAGAUCAUAUAAUAAGUCGUUCUUCUUGGGCAUAUCGUCAUUACUACUUCAAGUGAUCAAAGAUGAAGAUGAAGAUGAAAAUUGUGCAAGUGAGUUCAAGAAUACCAUACAUCGUUACUUGGGAUACUUCUUCAAAUAUGGAUGGGGUUAUAAUUUACUCCCACGAAUUUCAACCCAAUUUUAUGAUUGGAGUGUCCCACCAUGACUCAGAAAAAUUCUGUUUCAACCUCGUCGACCAAUGGAUUUUGAUUAGUCACUUUGUGAUCAAGCAACUUAAUUAAACUCAGAGUUUAAUUUUGUUGGUACUGCAUUUUUUUUAAAAUGUGGCCAUGUAAGGAGAGCGGCACAUAGUGUCACUUCUUCAUCAAGCACUUUAAAGAGGGAUUUUAGAAGAAGAUACAACUGCAAUUGUUUUCGUAUGUAUAUACAUAAACAACAGAACAUUCAGUUCAUAAAAGAAACUAGUGUUUUUUAGGCAAUUUAGAAAUAGAGUUGUUCAACUUACAACAGAUAUUCUCCUCAAGUUCGACGUAAAUACAGAUAUUAAUUAGAAUCUAGAUUAUUAUGGCACACAUAACUUACUUCAAAAUUAUAAGAAAUUACAAUUGCUGAUUCGCAAUACAUAUAACUUGGAAGAUUUGAUGUUAAAUUUUGUCAUUAAAAUUGUAGUAGUAUUUCUAAACACCUCGCAUUUGUAUCCACAUUUUGCAGGAAUUUUGAGAAAUACACGUGUCCGAAAAAUCACACGCAUAACUUGGAGAACAAUUGCGACAGCAGCCGAGUAUAUAUUAACUAACUAAAAUGGCCAACCAGAUUUGCUUAAGAAAUAAAAUUUUGUCUUGUAGUAGUAUUUCCAAGCACCUCGCAUUUGCAUCCACAUUUUGCUGGAAUUUUAAGAAAUACACGUGUCCGAAAGUCUAAUCAUCGUUUUUACUAUUCGAGUAUUGGUAUGAUAAUGACGAAUUUGAAAAGCCACACUGUAAAAACAGUUUGUGAUCUGUGCAUGACGAACCACCAACAGUGUAGUAAGAGCACAGGAAAAAAUCUAACAAAAUUAAUUGCGUCCAUAGAUAUUCAGACGCAAACAAUAAUUUUAAAUAAUAGCAAUUAGUAUUAAUAUUGCCCACCCAAGAAAUAAGAGUGAUUUAAAGUAUUAGCAGGACUUCAAUGAGAGGAGCGAUCAAACCACCUCCUUAUCAAUUGCCGUAGCCGUCUAUUAACUAAAAUGACAAUUUCAUACAAGAAGAAACAACAAGUACAUACUCGGCAAUUGUGUUCGUCAAGAAGUGACAUAGCAUUAAGGUGAUGACUUUACUUUUGUUAUCUUGCUAACAAUGGUAGUCUAAUUUUAGUUUUAAUGUGAUCACUAUUCAAGGUAAGCGGAAGUUACAGAUGUGGCAAAAUCAAUAAUUAAAUUCAUAAAAUAUUAAUUGUUUUCAACAAAUUUUGAGGUAGGAAAAGCCAAAACAAAUCUAGAACAAUAAAUUUGUAUUUUUUGGGGAGACGGGGUACCUCACUAGUUUGUUGUGUGCGGUGUGGUGUAUCUGAAAUCUGGGGGAGGUGAGAAGGGGAGAGGGAGUGGCAAAAAUGGUGAAAGGUCAAAACCAAGAGAGAUAUCCUUCAAAAUGAGCUUCACGCCUGCAAAACAGUGAAAUAGAGGUUAGAGGUGAAGCCGGGGUACCCCGGUGUUCACACUCCGACGCUCAAAUUAGCAAACUCAAGCUUUUAUGGUAAAGAGAGCUAGCUAGCCCUCUAUAAAUUAUGGUUUAAGAUUGAAGAAAACCUAUUUUUUAGAGUGUGAGUGUUAAUGGUGAGUGAGAGCAUGAUGGAGAAUGAAACCUAAGCACCUUUAUAUAUGGAGUACCUCAGCUGACACGUGGCGUACCCUUUUUGGCUAACGUCCUUUUACCUUUUUAUGAUUUUUGGGCCGUUAUGUGCAUGUUCGCGGCGUAUCUCAUCCUUUGGGAACAUGGUGCGCGCUAGAGAGUGGUCCAGGGUACCUCUGCAGUAGCUGUCGGGUAGGCGGCUGAGGACCACUGUCCUUGGGAUAGUGUCCUUCACUUUUGGCAGAGGUAGCAGGCGGCUGUCCCCCCUUUUUGGUACGACGUUCUUGAUUCUUAAUUCUGACAAAAUUGAAUAAUAUCUUUUAAGAUAUGAAGACGUUUCUUACGGCGGAUAUUUUCAGAGGGUUCUCUUGCAUCUGAUUUGCCGGGUACCUCGAGUUACGUGGGGUACCUCAAUUUAUGUGGAGUACCCCUAAUUGUGCGGGGUACCUCUAUUUGUGUGGGGUACCUCUAAUUGUGCGGGGUACCUCAAAUCACGCCGGAUACCUCGGAUUGUGCAGGGUAUCUCGUAUCAUGUCGGGUACCUCUAUUUGUCCGGGGUACCUUAAAUCAUGCCGGGUACCUCGAAUUGUAUGGGGUACCUCAGAUUGUGCUGGGUACCUCUAAUCAACUCGAGUACCUCUAAUCAGACCGGGUACCUCUAAUCAGGCCGAGUACCUCUAAUCAUGCUGGGUACCUCGAGUUAUUCCGAUUACCUUGAAUUAUGUUGGAGUUAUUCUGGGUACCUUGAAUUAUGCUGGAGUUAUUCCGGGUACCUCGAAUUAUACAGGGUACCCCAGUCUAUGCGGGGUACCUCGAGUUAAUCUGGAGUUAUGCGGGGUACCUCUGACCGUGCCGGGUACCUCAAAUCAUGCCGGGUACCUCAAAUCACGCCGGGUACCUCUAAUCUUACGGGGUACCUAUAAUCUUGCGGGGUACCUCAGAUUGCACUGAAGUUAUUCUAUUCGUCGACACAUGGCGUUCUGCUAUCUUUCUUAUUUUUCCCUCAAACAAUAUCCCCCUAGUUUCUUUUGGCGAGAAGUAUUGGAGGCAAAAGAAACUUACAUAAAAAGUAGGAGCGACACGUGGCGAUAUGAAGUUUAGCUCGAUGGGUAGCUGAAUAGAGGAUGCCUCUAGGGGUACCCUCAUGAAGGGAAGAUCUCUGGAGUGAACAAGACUUUGAGGGGACACUUUGAUGAAGUUUCAGAGGAGAAUGCCCAUAAGGUGGAAGACCCUGAGGAGCUUUAAGUUAAGCUUGAGGACUUGAUACCUCGACAUAAGAACAUAGUUGACAAUGCUUUUGAGUGCAUCAUGACCGAAGAAUGAAGUGCUGAUAUGGGGCUGGUGGUGCCAAGAGUAGAGAACUAGGUAGAUAAGCCGGCUAUCUUGAAGGCAAUUGAGAAUAGUAGGGCUCCCCACACAUCUUGGUUUGAAAGCCCAUGGAGAUCAACUAGGGUACCUCAGAUGAAGUCGCCAUAAGGUACCCCUGAUACCGACGCUUGUGUUUUUGCUAUUUCUAACACUUUUGUUGAUCCCCUUAUCCUAAAUAAUGAAGGUGAAGAUAACCAUCCUAUUAUGUAACCUUGUUCGGCAUUACCGACAAGGCGUAUGGGGUACCUCGGGUACCCAUAAGCUUGGAUAUCCCCUGAGCUAUCUGUUACUUCAUGGCGGGAUAACCCAAUUUUAUCAAACAUAUGGCGAUUCCUUCAAAUAUGCUUGCUGUUUAUCUCAGGCUUUCUUAGAGUUCCUCUUGGUGUACACGAGGAAUGGUUUUCUGUCAUAGGGUACCCUGAGUACUAUGGGUACCCUUAAUCUUGUCUCAUCAGUGUAUCGCGGUUUACUUAGACAUGCUUGUUGCGGUUAAUUCAUGGCGGAACAACCCAAUUUCAUCAAACAUAUGGUGAUUCCUCCGGAUAUGCUUGUUGCUUAUCUCAAACUUUCUUAGGGUUCCUCUUGGUGUAUUUGAGGACUGACUUUCUGGCGUGAGGUACCUCAGAGGUACCCUUAAUUAGUGUAUGGCAAUUUUCAUAGAAAUGCUUGCCGCAAAUCUUCACAAAACUUGUGGCGAUUCCUUUUGAGAGAUGAUGGAAAACCUCAUGAUCCACCAUUCUCUCUACAUCAAAUAUGCAAGACAAAUAGUCAUAAAGGUGGGCUGCUCGCCUACCCUUAUGUAAGAUGGUAAAAAAUAUCAUGAUCCGCCAUUCGCGUGGAAUCAAAUAUACAACAUAGAUUGAGAUAAAGGUGGCUGCUCGCCUACCCUUUUGCGAUAUGGUCAAAAACCUCAUGAUCUACCAUUCGCUGGAAUCAAAUAGACAAUAUAGAUUGAGAUGAAGGUAGUUGCUCGCCUACCCUUAUGUGAGAUGGUCGAAAACCUCAUGAUCCACCAUUUGCAUGGAAUCAAAUAGACAAUAUAGAUUCAGAUAAAGGUGGCAGCUCGCCUACCCUUAUGCGAGAUGGUCGAAACCUCAUGAUCCACCAUUCACAUGGAAUAAAAUAGACAACAUAAAUAAAAAUGAAGGUGACUGCUCGCCUACCUUUAUGCGAAAUGAUUGAAACCUCAUGAUCGACCAUUCGCUCAGAAUCAAAUAUGGCGAAUAAAUAAUGAUAAAGGCGGCUCUGAUGUUAAGUAGAUUAGCAUGAUUGGGGAUAAGUCAGGUACCUCUGGUACCCUGGAGUAAGGUGAUCUCUGGAUACCCUUUUGCAUCAUAAUAAACAAUACUUUUACUAGUAGUGUGACUUUUCUUUGUUGGAUCGGUGGCCCAAAUCGAGACUGAAACCGAGUCUUCAACUGGGGUACCCUAUUUUUCAUCUUUGGGUAUUCGAGGAUCCAAAUGUGCCUCCAAUUCACAUUUUGGCUUAAUCUGGUCCCCCUGGGGUACCCCCGCAUAACUCUAGAGUAACUAGUUAUGGGGUACCCUACCACCGAGGCCUCGGUGGUGGCUCUUGCUGCUCUGGUGGUGGCGAUCUUGGAGGUUGGGGUACCCGUGAGAUACCCUAAGUGUUAAACACUCGUCCCCACAGGAUAACCCUUGGAGGGCUCCGCAUUCAGGGUACCCUUGGUAUUGGGCCUUCCAUCAUCUUCGGCUUCUCCUUAUUCUUUGUGACCUCGACCUUAUCUUCUUGGCAAUUCAAAUGAAAUUUCUCAUCCAUCUCCACUUGCUGCAACGCCCAAGAACGGGCUUCCCUAUAUGAAAGUGGGUGCUUAUUUUGAAAGGAACGUCAUAACUUGCCCAACCGUAAAUUUUUCUCGAAAUGGGUCAGUGUUUGUUGGUUUCCAAAUGCUCCGGUUCGCAACACCUCUUGGUGGAAACGGCUCAUAUACUCCGCCAAAGGUUUGGCUUCCCCUUGCUUGAUAAAAGCGAGUUUGGAGGCUACCCUAUCUUGAGUGGAAACAUAGGAAAACUCUUUAGUAAAUUCGGAUAAUAAUUGGUGUAGAGAAUAUAGGUUACCCACCUUCAAGGACUGAAACCAUGACUUCGCGAGGCCCAUGAGUGUGUGUGUAAACAUCCUACACAUGGCAUUCUCAUAUACACCCAUGAUGGAGAAUGAAACCUAGGCACCUUUAUAUAUGGAGUACCUCAGCUGCCACGUGGCAUAUCUUUUUUGGCUAACGUCCUUUUAUCUUUUUAUGAUUUUUGGGCCGUUAUGUGCAUGUUCGCUGCGUAUCUCAUCCUUUGGAAACGUGGCGCGCGCUGGAGAGUGGUCCAGGGUACCUUUGCAGUAGCUGUCGGGUAGGCGGCUGAGGACCACUGUCCUUGGGACAAUGUCUUUCACUUUUGGCAGAGGUAGCAAGCGGUUGUCCCCCCAUUUUGAUACAACAUUCUUGAUUCUUAAUUUUGACAAAAUCGAUUAAUAUCUUUUAAGAGAUGGAGACGUUUCUCAUGGCGGAUAUUUUCAGAGGAUUCUCUUACAUCUGAUCUGCCGGGUACCUCGGGUUACGUGGGGUGCCUCAAUUUAUGUGGGGUACCCCUAAUAGUGCGGGGUACCUCUAUUUGUACGGGGUACCUCUAUUUGUGCGGGGUACCUCAAAUCACGCCAGGUACCUUGGAUUGUGCAAGGUAUCUCGUAUCAUGUCGGGUAUCUCAAUUUGUCCGGGAUACCUUAAAUCAUGCCGGGUACCUCGGAUCGUGCGGGGUACCUCAGAUUGUGCUGGAGUCAUUUCAUUUGUCGACACGUGGCGCUUUACUGCCUUUCCUAUUUUUCCCUCAAACAACAUCUCCCUAAUUUCUUUUUGGCGAGAAGUAUUGGAGGCAAAAAAAACUCAUUGUAUGAGUGACACGUGGUGAUGCGUCUGGACCGGGGAUACCUUGCGUAGUUUCUUCCCUUGACAAAACUUUGUGUACUGUCGAGCUAAAAAAAUCUUCUCUUUGUCUUUUCCCUUUCCCGCCACUUUUCUUUCUUUUUUUUUUACUCAACUGCUGAUGAGAACGAACAGUUGUCUUUAUGUCUCUCUCCUGUUUUCUUGGGAAAUGGCAGCCUUCUAACACACAGUUUGAAUUUUAAAAAUAUCAAUCUCACACAAACAUCUCUUACCUCCUUUCUUGUGCAGUGUGUUCUGUCAUGUUGAAUUAAAAACCCCUGACGUGAAUGUCAAUCUCCUCUCAUUUAUUUUGAAAAUCCCCAAACGAUCUCCCAAAAGUUGAUUAUCUCCAGUGGCCUUCUUCUUUCAACAUUUCGUCUUUUCUCCUAACUGCAUCAAUAUUGCUCACAGGAAAAAAUUUCUUCUUUACUUUUUUUUUUUGCGUUCGUUCGUCUUCCCUUGGGCUUUAUUUUCUCUUUACUUUCCUUUUUUUCUUUUAUUUCCUUCUUCUUCCUUUUUCCUUCUUUCCUUCUCUUUCUCUCUCGGUCGGUGUUCAUCUGGUGCGUUUUCCGGCGUUGAUCUCGGCUGCUGCAGUGGCGGUUUUGGCUUCAGAUCUGGUCGGUUCAAGGCAGUUUUUCGACGGCUCAUGACGAGAUCCGACCUGGCGGUAGAUACGGUAACCUCCCUCCCUCGUGUCUUCAUUUUAUCCUUACUUUCUCUCUCUUCUUUCUCAUUUUCUUCUCUCUUUCUCUUCUCUUUUUCGUUUCGGCCGGCGUUCUCCUUGGCGAUUUCUGGCGUCAGUUCGGUGGCUGCAGUCGCGGCAGCUGGCGUCGGUUCAAUGGCUGCAGUCCCCCCCUCCGUGUUGUCUUCUCCGUUCUUCCUUUUCUCUUUUUUCCUUUUUUUUAAUUUUCGGCAGCGUUCUCCCUUGGUGGUUUCCGGCGUCCUUCUCGCGAUCUCCGGCGUCGGUUCUCGGUGGUUGCAGCCACGACAGUCGACGCCGGUUGCUGCAGCUUCCCCCCCCCACCGCGUUGGUUUGGUUCGGUAGCUGCAGCUUCUUCAUUUUUUUAUAAAUAAAAUGAAUUGACUAAUUUCAUUUGUGCUUGAAUAAAUAAAAUAAAUUUGCAGCUUCUUCGUUCUUCACACCAUUGGUUUUUAUACUUGCAUAUUCUUACUUACUGGUUUUGGUUGCCUGCAGCUUUGUCUUCCCACGAUUACCAAUCCUGAUCCGUCAAGUUGGUAAAUCAUAGGUAUCCUUCCUCGUUUCUCCUCCUUUGGCGCAUUUACAAUGGCGUUAUUUUGCAUACUCUGAGAAAAUUUUGUUUGUUUGUUUGUUUUUUUUUUUUUUUGUGGUUGGUGUUUGCAUUUGAUGGUUGAUGUGUGGUGGGUGGUGUAUGGCAUGAAAAUAUUGUUGGGGGAAUUGUGGCUUGGUGGUUACAUUGUUGGGAGAAUUGUGGCUUGGUGGUUACGUUGUUAGGGGAAUUGUGGCUUGGUGGUUAUGUUGUUAGGGGAAGUAAAUAGGCAAGAAACAUACGGGACCUGUGAGGAAGCGACGUGCAAUUGGGGCUAGUAGGUUUGACAGCCCUCCUGCGCGUUCUCCUUCCCACAUCUCCAUUACCGAGAGGGAUAGGUCCCCCCUAGUACCUCUAGGAGUUGUAACUCUCAUUUUGAGCUCCCUCCUCUUAGGAGUACUCCUCGUGUCAGCCCACGCCACUAAACGGCCAACCCCCCAUCCUCGAAAGAAGGGUAGGUCAUCAAAACCUAAGGUUCCAGCUCGUUCCUCAGACCGGCCUCCCAAAUCUCCCCCUGCCACACCUUCAAAAUCUGGCAACCUUUAUUCCCUAGGCACUAGGAGGGCUACUUUGGGGGACUUAGAACAAAUUAGAGCCAAAUACAAUAUUCCUCCGUCUGUCCAGCUUAGGGUACCCCAUGUGGAUGAGCGACCUGAGUGUCCGAAGUCUGAUGGGAUUGCUCUCCACAUUGACCUCUUUCAUCUAGGACUUCGCCUGCCCCUCCAAUCUUUCUAGAUGAAGAUGUUUAGUUUUUUGGGGGUAGCUCAUGGGCAGCUGUCCCUUCCAGGGUGGAGGACACUUACGGGCUUACAUGUGUUAUAAUUGGAGGUAUUGAGGCGCAACAUUUCUAUUCAGGAAUUGAGGGGCCUCUACCAAUUCAAAAAGCCCAAGGGUUCCGCUAUUGCUUACUUCUCCGCUUGGGGUGAUCAUAGUCAUAUUGUUGAGGGGGACCCUACCUUGAAGAAGGGUUACCGAAAGGGGUGGUUCGUUGCUGAGGGUAGGUGGGGGACAGAGACUCUAGGUGAAAAGGGCAACCCCGUGGAGGUUCCAAAUUCCUUCAAUGUAGACUGUAAGUAUCUUCCUUGUUUACGGUUCUUUAUUGUAAUAUUUCGCAUGAAUGUCUCGUUAACCUUGGGUUCCAUGCUUUUGUAGGUGUGACGUGGGCUAAAGGAUCAUGCCUACUUCAGGAGGUGAAAGAGUUUGUGGAGAGGCUCCGAGGUGCACAGAGGGGUAGUGAUGUGUUAGAGGAGAGCAAAUUACAGAGAGCGGGGUUGAUUGACCGAAGUCCUCCAUCUGCUUCUGGGGAUGACUCAUGUAUGAUUCUGAAGUCGGGGGGUACCCUAUUAUUAUCUACGGGACUGGGGUACCCCGUUAUCACCGCAUUCUUUAUUUUGCUUCCCCGCUUUUAAUUUCCUAUUUUUGCUUUUAUAGUACUUAGUACUUGUCCGGCUAACAUAACGUUUGUGCAUUGGGUGCAGUUAUGGAGUCGGCGGGUGACGCCUUUGAUACCUUUUUCUAAGUAGUUGUGUGAGGUGCUUCUAGAUCUCAGGAUUCGGCGGUACCCCAGAAAAGUUCCCGGCCACCUCGAGCUCCCGGACUAAAGGGAAAAUUCCAGGGUACCUCCCACAGUGGGUCGAAGGGUACCCCUCGUUCAAAAAAGAGAAAAUUCGGGAUGGUUUCUGCUUUCCCCGAUGAAUUGCGUGAAGGCGACCUAGACCCGGCCUCCAACAAGGAGGUUUCACACUUGGCUCGGUGUUUCUACUAUUCUGCUGAAAAUGUUACCUCCGAGGUGGCUGAAGAGACAGACAAGAUGAGCUUGAGCCAACACUAUGUCAGGCACUCAGGGCUACCCAAGAGGUAAGCUUUAAUAGGGUACCCCGGGUGUAUCCUCCAUUUUUUAUUUAUUUACUCCUAUUGCCAUACACAUAUAUUUAAAAUGUCUUUUACGACCUGCAGGCAUCCUAUUUUCUCAGCCACUGUCUUUCAGAUCUCGACUCCCUUGUUGCCGCCCAAUCGGAGGUUGACAAGUUAAGGGGUGAGCUUCGAAGUCGUCAGUCUUACGAGAACGAGCUUGCUCGAGAAGUCAAGACUUUGCGGGAACGCAUUACUGGCCUUUCUGGAGAGAAAUCUCGAGUGGAGAAAGAUUGCGACGAGUUGAGGGCCACAAACUAGGAUCUGUUAUCCCGACAAAAGACGAUGGCAGAGGAUGCAUUCUCACUCAUCAUGACGGAGGUGUGGAGUGUGGAUCCGAAAUUAGAGGUACUCCAUGUGCAGAAAUUCGUCAACAAGGCCACGAUUCUGAAGACGAUUGAGGAGAGGAAUAAGUCUUCCCAUGCACGGUCAGGUACCCCUUCCGAGUCGCCUAGGGUACCCCGCGCGCUUCAGCCGUUGCUCGCCUCAGAUGCCCCUACUUCGGCUGCUCAUAUUCCAGGUACCUCAGAGUCCUCUGCUGAUCGCCCUCUGGAGACGGACGGUAGGGAUGGCGUUCCACCCUCGGUGUAACCUUUUCACUGUGCUCUUAUUUUUUAGAUCUAUCCACAUUUUGCUAUUUCGAACUUGUUUCUUUCUUUUUGGUUUCUUGGGAUAUUCUGUAUUAUUGGGACUUCUCUUUUGUUAUGAUAUCAUGCCACCGAGCCCUUUUGUACUUUGCAUUCUUGUUAUUCUGCAAAUGAAUGUUUGGCUAAACUGUUAUCUUGUAAAUUUUCAGGGUACCUCUCAUUUUUCUUUUUUCUUUUUGAAAUGGGGUACCCCCGGUACCUUAACAAAUAUUCGACAUCAGGCGCCUGCUGGUUUAUACAGAUUAGCGAAUUUGGUGCAUGCCCUUCUCGGCAACCAUGGCGGAUUUCCCAUAAAUAGGUAAUCAAAACAUCAUCGCGACAUCUCGAUCAAAAAUUGAAAGUGCGCAAUUGGUCCAACCAAUCAAUUUCUUAUUCUUUCGAAGUUCUCUCCGAAUUUUUGAAUAGCUUACCCCCUACUUUGCUCAAGUAAGAGGACGGAGGUGUGGGUGUUCUCAUACCUAAGCUGAACCUCGUGCCGCUGGGGUAUGCCGAUUUUACUCCAUCCUCGGCUCCUCUUUGACCCUCCCUCUCUUUGUCUAGGUAGUUUUGUCAUGCUUCCGCAGAAAGACUACCCCUGGGCUGUUCACUCCGUUGCCCAUCUUGGCUUUACAUAGAUCGUCAUGAUCUAGGCAUAUCAGGUACCCUGGCUGGUCCUGUGAUAGGUUAGUUAUAAUUGACAAGCGUAUGGCGAGAAUUGCAUAUAACCAAAUGCGAGGGUAUAUUAAUGGCGAUAAAUGAAUAUAAUCCGCAUUCUAAGAUCGAAGUGGCGAAAAAUAAAAAAGAACCCACAUCAUAUUUGUUGAGAAAGAAAAUGCAUUUAUAGAUAACGAAAGCGUUGAUCAAUACAUGACUUAGCGUUGUUACCCUGAGGAGAAUGAGAGACCGCAAGACCUCCUAUCCUUUUCAUUUGAAAAUUAAAGAAACUUUAAAGUUGCAACUGACCAACAUAAGGCAUUCGGGGUACCACAUUUGGCCUACCACGCAAAAACAUUAAAUAAAGCAAACAACAGCAAAAGCCUAAAGGUUAAGACACUAUCCUUUAGUAAUAUUUCCGUAGCAUUGCAGCAUUUCAGGGGUGCCUCACGAUUGUCUUAUUCAUAUGGAGUAGCUAUGCCAAGGUUGGUGACGACUGCAAUGGUGUGAGCUUGAAAAUAUGGUCUGAGCUUCCGUGCGGAGACAACCAAUGCCAAAACGACCUUUUCACAGGUGGGGUACCUCUUUUCGGCAUCAACCAUAGCCUUAUUAGUGUAGUAAAUAGGUCGUUGUACCUCAUUAUCAUCCUCUCGGAGUAACACGGAGCUGGUGGCAUACUCGAAUACGGUGAGAUACAACAGAAGCACCUCUCCCGGCUCAGAUUUGGCAAGUAGUAGAGCAUUCACGAGGUACCCCUUCAGUUCUUGAAAAGCCUCUUCGUAAUCGGGUGUCCAUUGGAGCUUCUUGCCGGUCUUCAAAGCUUUGAAAAAUGGCUUACACCGGUCUGUAGCCUUGGAGAUAAAGCGGCUCAGGGUAGCUACCCGGCCUGCCAAGCUUUGAACCUCCUUGAUGGUGCGUGGCGAUUUCAUGUCAAGAACCGCGUGAAUUUUAUCGGGGUUGGCCCAAUCCCCCGUUAUUGUACCAUGAACCCAAGAAAUUUCCCCAAGGUAACCCCAAAUGCACAUUUUUCAGGGUUGAGCCGCAUCUGGUGUCUUCUUAAAACUGUAAAAGUAUCUCUGAGAUGCCCCAGGUGUUCCCCCAUAUGUACCGAUUUAGUGAUCAUGUCAUCUAUGUACACCUCCAUGGUGUGCCCGAUUUGUUUCUUGAAAAUUUUGUUCACUAGCCGCUGAUAGGUAGCCCCGGCAUUCUUCAAACCAAACGGUAUAACCUUAUAACAGUAUAACCCGCGGUUGGUGAUAAAGGCCGUUUUCUCUUAAUCGGGUUCAUACAUUGGGAUUUGGUUGUAACCGGAGAAGGCGUCCAUAAAACUAAGCAUCUCAUGCCCCGCUGUUGCAUCAACUAGCUGGUCUACCCGGGAAGCGAGAAGCUAUCCUUGGGGCAGGACUUGUUCAAAUCGGUGAAGUCCACACACAUACGCCACCUUCUGUUUGAUUUCCUGACUAGAACAACGUUGGAUACUCAAUCGGGGUACACUGCUUUCUGGAUAAAUCUUGCUGCUAAUAGGCAGUCUACCUCUUGUUCAAUUGCAUCGUACCUCUUUUGGUUGAAGGUGCGACGCUUCUGUUUCACCGGUUUAUUAUGUGGGCUGACAUUGAGUUUGUGACAAGAGAGGAAAGGUGGGAUACCCGGCAUAUCUAAGCGGGACCAGGCGAAUACAUCGUGGUGCUCGCGUAGAAAGGUGAUGAGCCCCUCUCUUUGUUCCUCCGAAAGAUUGGAGCCUACUUUCACGAUCUUUGUUGGGUCGGUGGUACAAAUCGAGACUGAAAUAAGGUCUUCAACUGGGGUACCCCGUUUUUCAUCUUUCAAUAUUCGGGGAUCCAAAAGUGCCUCAACUUCACAUAUGGGCUCCACCUGGUCCCCGUGGGAUACUUUUGACCUAUCCCCCGCAACUGCUUCUACGCCCAUUGGUGAGGAUUCCAACUGUUUUCGUGGGUGGGCUACCUGAGGAGAUUUUUUGAAUACCACUCUCCGCUGUCUAGCAAGUACUCGCUUUGAGGGAUAAGGUGUGGGCUGGCUGCCACUGGGGUACCCCUUCAUUGGCGGAUCAGAAGCGAUUUGAUAAGUGACUUUGGAGGCCAUGAAGUAACAUCCACGAGCCGAUUGCUGGUCCCUUUUAAUGGUGAUAACUUCUUGGGCGGACGGGACUUUCAUGGCGAGGUAGUGCAUGGAUACCACCGCUUUAGUUGCUAUUAAGAACGGCAUACCCAAUAUGAUAUUGUAGGCACCCGGGUGAUCUACAAUAAGAAAAUCAAUCAUAUGAACAACACGGUAAGGUACUUUACCAAGUGUAACGGGCAGUGUAAUGAUGCCUUUUGGUAUAACCAUAUCUCUGGCGAACUCAAUAAGAGGCGUAGCAUAAGGGAUGAUCUUUGGCGACUCUAUCAGUAGUUGAUCCAAGGCGCUUUUGAAAAUGAUGUCAACGGAGCUGCCGGUAUCUACAAGAGUUCUUGCUACCUUACCGAUGGCAACCUUCAACGUAAUUUACUAAGGCAUCGUCAUGGGGGUACGAGAUACCCUCCGCAGUUUUUUCUGUAAAAAGGAUAGGCGGGGGAUGGUGGGGUACUUUCGGUGUACCCCAUUCAUUAAGGUUGACUUCUCUGUCAAUAUUAGUGGUUAUCGACAACGAUCUACCAUAGCCUUUGAUAGCCCUCCUAGAUUGGCCCGCUAAAGUAGGUCCACCCAUAAUCAUCCGGACAUACACGCCUUUCUUAUGUCCCGGGAGUACCUCUCGUUCAGGACUGCCAUCAGCUACCCGCUUGCCCUUAUCCUGCUCCGUGGAUUUCCGAGCUUCUCUCAUGCCAGCAACAAAUUCUUUGAGGUACCCGCUAAGAAUCAAAGAUUCAAUUUCCUCUCGCAAGGUAAAAUACUCGGCUGUGCUAUGACCGAAGUCCUCAUGGAACUCACAAUACUUCAAGUUAUGCUUCAUGUUGGGGUACUUCUUCAUUGGCUAAGGAGGACGAAGGAGGCCGCUAUCCCGAAUAUGGUAGAAGAUCUGCUCUGGGGAUCGAUUCAGUGGAUGGUAAGAUUCGUACCAAGGCCUCGGUGGUGGCGAUCUUGGAGGUUGGGGUACCCUGAGCGUUAUACCCUCGUCCCCGCGGGGUAGCCUGUGGAGGGCUCCAUGCUCAGGGUACCCGCGGUAUUGUGGCCUCCAUCCUCUUGGGAUUCUCUUUGUUCUUUGUAACAUCAGCCUUAUCUUCUUGGCGCUUCAAUUGGCAUUUAUCGUCCAUCUCCACCUGCUGCAACGCCCGGGAACAGGCUUCCCCAUAUGAAAGUGGGCGCUUCUUUUGAAAAGAACGCCAUAACUUGCCUAACCGUAAAUUUUUCUCAAAAUGGGUUAAUGUGUAUUGGUUUCCAAAUGCUCCGGUUCGCAGCACCUCUUGGUGAAAACGACUCAUAUACUCCGCCAAAGGUUCGGCUUCCCCUUGCUUGAUAAAGGCAAGUUUGGAGCCUACCCUAUCUUGAGUGGAAGCGUAGGAAAACUCUUUAGUAAAUUCGGAUAACAAUUGGUGUAAGGAAGAUAUACUACCUGCUUUCAGAGAGCGAAACCAUGACUUCGCAGGGCCCGUAAGUGUGUGUGUGUAAACAUCCUACACAUGGCACUCUCAUCUACACCAUUGAUAAGCAUUUAGUCGCGGUAUAGCUCAGCAUGCUCCGAGGGAUCAGUGACACCCGAGUAUUGGGGUAUUUGAGGCAUGGCGAACGCCUCGGGGAGAGCUGCCUUCCGAAUCUCCAUAGUGAAUGGCGAUUGGUAGGUCAUUGGCGUUGGAGCAGCUGUGAUGUUUUGCUUCUCGGAGAGGAGCUUCACUUGGGCUUCCAGGUUCUCCAUUUUUUUCACAAGUUCGUGGGGUACCCUCGGGGUACCUGAUGAUGUCGCCACCAUUUGAGAAGCCCUUUUGGCGUUUAACUUUUCAUAGAGAUCCUCGUGGGUAUGCUUUGCACGCCUCGUACCCUGGCUGCUGCAGGAAUUGCAAGAGGCGGUGGAACACUCGUCUCGGGAGCCCACGGUAUGAAACUUAAAAUGGGUACCCGAUGGCCUAUGCUUUGGCUUGUUGCCCUCGGGUACCUUUUUUCUGAUCAUAACUUGGUCGUCCUUUUGAGGUGGUAGAGCAUCUAGUGUCACUGGUGGAAGUGAACUUUCGGGUGCCCGAGAUCCAACCGCCCUAAGUAUUGCAUGGGCAAGAUCCUCAAAAUGCUUGUGGGAGAUGGGUUCAUCAUCUUGGCGGAUACCCGUUGAUUGCUUGAUACCCUUGCCCUUGCUGAGAUGGGCUACCCUUCUUACGGUAUCACUACCUUCACCGCUGUUGUCAUCUCCCAUCCUUGUAGGAUCCGCCAUUAAACCUUCGGGAGGUGCGUCAGGUGCCAUGUAUUGGAGUACACACAACAACUAGUUUGGUAACUGCGGUAGAGGCUUUUUGUACGCUUCCCCACAGACGGCGCCAAUUGUUUUCAACAGAUUUUGAGGUAGGAAAAGCCAAAAUCUAUCUUGAACAAUGAAUUUAUAUUUUUGGGGGAGAUGGGGUACCUCACUUGUUUGUUGUGCACAAUGUGGUGUAUCUAAAAUUCGGGGGAGGUGAGAAGGGGAAAAUGAGUGGUAACAACAGUGAAAGGUCAAAACCAAGAGAGAUGCCCUUCAAAAUGAGUUUCACGCCUGCAAAAUAGUGAAAUAGAGGUUAGAGGUGAAGCCGGGGUACCCCGGCGUUCACACUCCGACGCUCAAGUAAGCAAACUCAAGCUUUUAUGGUAAAGAGAGCUGGCUAGCCCUCUGUAAAUUAGGGUUUAAGGUUGAAGAAAACCUAUUUUUUAGAGUGUGAGUGUUAAUGGUGAGUGAGAACAUGAUGGAGAAUGAAACUUAGACACCUUUAUAUAUAGAGUACCUCAGCUGCCACGUGGCAUACCCUUUUUGGCUAACGUCCUUUUACCUUUUUAUGAUUUUUGGGCUGUUAUGUGCAUGUUCGCGGCGUAUCUCAUCCUUUGGAAACGUGGCGCGCGCUGGAGAGUAGUCCAGGGUACCUCUGCAGUAGCUGUCGGGUAGGCGGCUGAGGACCACUGUCCUUGGGACAAUGUCCUUCACUUUUGGCAGAGGUAGCAGGCGGUUGUUCCCUCCUUUUGAUACGACGUUCUUGAUUCCUGAUUCUGACAAAAUCGAAUAAUAUCUUUUAAGAGAUGGAGACGUUUCUCAUGGCGGAUAUUUUCGGAGGAUUCUCUUGCAUCUGAUAUGCCGGGUACCUCGGGUUACGUGGGGUACCUUAAUUUAUGUGGGGUGCCCCUAAUUAUACGGGGUACCUCAAAUCACGCCGGGUACCUUGGAUUGUGCAGGUAUCUCGUAUCAUGUUGGGUACCUCAAUUUGUCCGGGGUACCUUAAAUCAUGCCGGGUACCUCGGAUUGUGUGGGGUACCUCAGAUUGUGCUGGAGUCAUUCCAUUUAUCGACACGUGGCGCUUUACUGCCUUUCUUAUUUUUUUCCUCAAACAAAUAUUAAUUAUUGUGAUUAUUUAUUCAAAAAACUAUAAUUAUUAAUAUAUUAUUGUUAAUAAAAUAUUAAUAUAUUAAUUAAUAGUAAUAAUUUUAUUAAUAGUUAUUAUAAUAGUAUAUUAACUAAUUAAUUAUAAGCUAAACCGUGACUUAAGUUGAACUCAAAAGGACCAGAAUUUAAAAACAUUUCGGGUGAGCCCUUUAGGAAUUUUCUAAAGUACGGCUUCUGCUUAGCUCUGUUUAAUUUCUCUUAUAUUUUUAUACAAAAAGUCUCCGUUCUCUGCCUUUUCAAACUCUGAAGGGGGGCAAUAUUCCCUAAUUCCCCCUUGAAAAUUCUGAUUACGACAUUAUUCAUCGCUUGAUGCAAUCAAAGUGGUGACAAAGUUAGGAAAAAUAUGACUCCCAAGUAAUUACUAGGCAGGGCUCCUGAGAGCAACAUUGUCCUAGGCAUUAUAUGCAUACACGAUGUGGUACAUAGAGCACGUUGAAUUACACACUAUAACACAAACCCAGAAAUACAAGUAAUAACUCAACUGAUGUAAAGACAAAAAUAAUAUAAAAUGAUAUACAAAAAGAAUUUCAAAGAGAUAGCAACAUACAAUAGACUGAAGCCACUUAAUCUAUUCGUUGAUUGCAGCCUUAAACUUGCAAAUAGUUACUGUACGCUAGUGCUCUAAGAAGUGAAAAUGAUGCAACUGAUCCCCUUUUGACUUCCAUUUACUGUCAAAUAUUCUAUUCAUACGAAAAAAAUGUUCAGAUAUCUUGCUAUAAAUAUAGCCGUUUGACUGUCAAAAGUCACACACAACCAUUCUUAUUAAAUUAGCAAAGAUCAAACACUGCCCUAGAUCUUGAACAGACCAACACAAGAUGCACAACUUACGAUUGAAUCCGGCCAGAAACAAUCAACUCUUUAGCAAGAACAAUUAAUCAGAGUCAAGAAACAAGUUUAAUGAAUAUAAACCUAUAAUUGAAACAAACGUAGCCAAGAAACAAAUAGAGAUUUUACAUGUUUCAGUUGUACCAAGGAUGGCACAACCUACACCAUGGGAGAAGCUUUCUGGUGAGAUUUUAUUGAUGAUCAUAGAAGAAUCUAUAACCCUCUCUCCCUGUUCAAUCUCUUUCUAUUUUGUUCCCAGUGAUGACCCCAAUCUGCUUAGUUAGCCAGCUUUAUAGCUGCAUCAGUAACAAACUAGCAAACCCAGAUUGAGCAGAUUGACGACACGUGGAUAACGGCUUUAACGAACCUGGCGAAGAACUGCUCACAUGUUCGUCACGUGUGUUACUUUAAUGAUGGCCAAAACGACUUCAAACAAAUGCCGUUUUGAAGCGUAUGAAUCAUAAGUGAAAACACGUGCUUGUCUCGUGACAUUUAAAUGCAGCAACAAACCCAAAACGCUGUCGUUUUACUCUGUUGAGUUUGAUUCAUCACUAAGCUUCACGACUAGCAAUGGAGAAGAUAUAAUUUAAUUGACAUGAACAGUUUUUAUAUGACUUUUGUAACAUCCUAUGUAAUUGUGAUAUUUGGAAUCAUGGGUGUUCUAUAUGUGAACCCUAGUUGGCAACACUAGUGAUUUUAUCCUUGUUGAAAUGUUACUAUUUUGUUGUAGAUAACUUUAUUCCCACGAGAUUUGUCAUUGUUGUAGAUAACCUUAUUCCCAUGAGAUUUGUCAUUGAAAUUAACACGUAGUUUCAUUGCAUUUCUGCUUCAUUAAAAUUCUCAAGUACCAGUCAGGUUUGCUUAAUUAAGAAAUAAAAAUUUUGCCCACCUUGCAUUUUCUAUUAUUUUUCAUAAAUCAAUUAAUAUGCAAUGUCAAUAUCAAGUUUAGUUUUUUAUACUAAAAAAUAAAGAAAGGAAACACACAAAUUCACAGUUUAGAGGGGUAAACUAGAACGUUCAUCAUACAUAAUUGCAUAUCAUGAGACAGUGCUACAGUCUACUGAGAUCUAACUUACAUGAUAAUUUAAGCUACUAAUGUUUGCAUAUUUCUACAUGUUAAAUUAACACGAACAUCUAUAAUCACUCCAAAACGACAGAUGAUAAGCGGCUUUUGGCCACUUAUUACUAGCAUCCACAAUUAAUUUUUGUUCAGCAAUCAGCUUAUUUUAUAGAAAUUGAUUUAAUCAGCAACAAACACUAUAAUUCUUCAAAUUAAUUUUUGUUCUUUGUAAACUAGCUAGGUGGUUUAGAACUGGGCUAGCUACCUUACUAUAUGGGAAAUUUUUAACCUACCCCAAAUAAAUUGAUAUUUUGCACCGCGCCCCUAAUUCCGUUAAUUUUUCAAUUAUUUCUAACGGCUCCGUCUAACUUUUGAUUGAAUGACAAAAAUGCCCCUCUAUAUGAAAAAAAAAACAAAAUUUUUAGCUCAUUUAAUUUUUUUAAGGUUUUUAUUUCAAUUGCAAUAAAAAAAAAUUUCUUAUUACAUGUACAUUUGUCACCACUAUUAUUUUUCCUUUAAUUUUUUAAAGAUUUUUAUCUCAAUUGCAAUAAAAAAAAUUUCUUGUUACAUGUACAUUGUCACCACUAUUAUUUUUCCUUUAAUUUUUUUUAAGAUUUUUAUUUCAAUUGCAAUAAAGAGAAUUCCCAUUAAAAUUAAUUUAAAGAAUGAACUUUCAAUUUUACCCCUCCACUAUUAAACUUAACUGAAAAAUUAACGUAAUUGGGGAUGCAGUGCAACACGUCAUUUUUUUUUUGGUGCGCGGUGCAAAAUAUCAAUUUAUUUGGGGGUAGGUUAAAAAUUUCCCUUACUAUAUUCCAAUUUGUACGGUGAAUUAAUUGAAUCAUGAGAAAACAAUGUGGUCAUUGCUCAAUAUGAGAUGAUUUCGGAGAGGCAUAUUGUUUUCAAGUUGAUUUAAUCCAUUUAUAAGAGAUGAAGGGGAUUGAAGUGGAAAGUUUAAAUAACAAAUCCUUGUUCUCGAGUUUUACGACGUCGUUACUCCUUCGAAGUGGCAGAUUAUGCAAGUGAAUUAAAGAACAAAAUGCAUCAAUCACGAGGAUGCUACAUCAAAAGACGGGAUCAUUGUUUAUCCACUGAACAGUUACAGUUGCUGCUACCAAUUACCUCGGCAAAGAUCAAGAAGUCAGAACAGGAAGCUAAUGCCAUCGAUGUCGUCUUCAUUAUAACUGCUGGGAACGUAGGUGUAGUUUCCUCAUUUGAAGCUGUCUAUACAUAGGCUUUUCCCCUGCUUAAGUACAAAUAAAUGAACAGCCUCGAAGGCUUAAGUACACUUUCGUUUUCUCAAUUUCUCUCAGAAGUCCCUCUGAGAAUAGCUGCCAAAACAGUUACUCAGCUUUUAUACUCUUGUCUUCCGGAAACAGAGUCCUAACUAACUGACUGUGCAGAGCAUGUCAAUAUUCUUAGUAUAUCUAACCGGUUUAACAGUAAUUUUUUACCGUCUUCGCAGUUAUCAUCAACAAACUCAUCAUAAGAUUUUUGGAGCACCCAAGGACUAUCACUUGGUUUCUCUUCUGGUUGAUUAAUUAAUUAAUCAAAGAACGGUUGGAUACCCAGGGAGAAAGGAGUUGUCUACUGUGUGUUGCGUAAUUAUGCUAUGAUCGGUGCUUUCAACAUUGCCCUGAAAACAGUGGGAAAUACUUCAUAUCCUCGACAUGAUGAUGAAAAACUGGUUACCGAUUACCUAACUGACUCAGGUGACAACAAUCCAUUAAUAGCACAAUUUGAGGUGAUGCCGUUUAGGUAUAUGGUUUACAGGUUUGACUGAUCAGUGAUGAAGUGGACUGAAAUUAAAAGAUCAUAUAAUAAGUCAUUGUUCUUGGGCAUAUCGUCAUUACUCAUUACUACUUCAAGUGAUCAAAGAUGAAGAUGAAGAUGAACAUUGUGCAAGUGAGUUCAAGAAUACCAUACAUCGUUACUUAGGAUACUUCUUCAAAUAUGGAUGGGGUCAUAAUUUACUCCCACGAAUUUCAACCCAAUUUUAUGAUUGGAGUGUCCCACCAUGACUCAGAAAAAUUCUGAUUCAACCUCCUCCACCAAUGGAUUUUGAUUAGUCACUUUGUGAUCAAGCAACUUAAUUAAACUCAGAGAGUCAGAGUUCGAUUUUGCUGGCACCGCAUUUUUUUUAAAAUGUGGCCAUGUAAGGAGAGCGGCACAUAAUGUCACUUCCUUAUCAAGCACUUUAAAGAGGGAUUUUAGAAGAAGAUACAACUGCAAUUGUUUUCGUAUGUAUAUAUAUAAACAACAGCACACAUUCAGUUCAUAAAAGAAAUUUUUGCUAACCAUGAUAUGUGGUAGUGCUUUUUAGGCAAUUUAGAAACAGAGUUGUUCAACAUACAACAGGUGAACUCCUCAAGUUCGACGUAAAUACAAAUAUUAAUUAGAAUCCAUAUUAUAAUGACACACAUAACUUGCUUCAAAAUUAUUAGAAAUUAAAAUUGCUGAUUCAUAAUGCAGAUAACUUGGAUGAAUUGAUGUUAAAGGAAAAAUCACACGCAUAACUUGGAGAGCAAUUGCGACAGCAGCCAAGUAUAUAUUAACUAACUAAAAUGGCCAAUCAGAUUUGCUUAAGUAAUAAAAUUUUGUCUUGUAGUAGUGUUUCCAAGCACCUCGCAUUUGCAUCCACAUUUUGCAGGAAUUUUAAGAAAUACACGUGUCCGAAAGUCAAAUCAUCGUCCUUACUAUUCGAGUACUGGUAUGUUAAUGACGAAUUUGAAAAGCCACACUGUAAAAACAGUUUGUGAUCUAUGCAUGACGAACCACCAACAUUGUAGUAAUAGCACAGGAAAAAAUCUACCAAAAUUAAUUGCGUCCAUACAUAUAUGCAGAUGCAAACAAUGAUUGUAAAUUCUUUUUUUUUAAAGAAAAAAAAUAAGAAAAUUGUAUAUUGAGAUGGAUAAGAUGCUUAAUUUAAUUAAUUUACUUACUUUCAUACACAUCGUCUUUCCAUCUAAAGAAAACUUGGUGGUGAGAACGAUAUGAAGUUGCGAGUUGCUGCCGAUAGCUGCUGAUUAAAAAUAAAACGAGACAAAUUAAAUUAAGGACAAUGAUACAGAGCAUACUUAUCUGAAUUGUGCUAAACUUUCAAAGAUUUUGUCUCACGCGUGCAUGUAUAUCAUUUGUGUUUAAGAUUUAAUUAGUUAUAGUUAUAAUUAUUAGUCAUUUUAUAUUUAUUGAUUCAUCUAUACUGGAUAAAUUUUGAUGGAUUUAAAAAAAAAAAAAAAAAACUCGGUUGCCGAAAAAAUAAAAGAAAAGAAAAUGUUGAAUCUUACAUUUUAAUAUUUAGUUAAUUCUCCUUUCGAGCGUCUUCUUAGGCUUAGCAAACUAACUUAAAUUCUGCUAAUUUCUGUUAAAAAAAUUUGAUGCUGGCACUAAAAUGUUAAAAAAAAAAUGGUUUCUUAGAAAAGAACAAGAAAAGAAAAAUUUCAGCAUCUUCUACUCAGAAUUCUUUUCGUUGUUUAAGACUAUGUUUAUGUUUUCCAAAGAAAAGAAGAUUUUUAUUUUUAGUGACUAAUUUGAUUCUUAUUGGAUGAAAGGGGUGCGAUUUCAAUGAGAAAAAUGGGGAACAAAAUAAAGGAAGAUGAAAGAAUUGAGGGGAUCAUACACGUGGUCUUUUGAAGCUUCCUGAGAAUCGGAAAUGUAUCAACUGCAACUGUUUCUUAUGCCUUUUGCAGUAUUCUGAUAAUUUUAGUUUGAGUGGUUAAGAUAUUAAAUAAUCCAUUACAUUGCUUCCUAUUUUCUUGAUCGACUUACAUGAUCCUAGAUCUAAUGUAUGUUUCUUAUUGGCAGGGACCUCAAUAUGUUUGCACAAACUGCAGUGGAGUACAGUAAGUGUUGAUACAAAUUCUGAAAUUCUUAAUUCCGUCUGCAUACUGUGAAUAGCCUCUGUUUUAAAUUCCAACUUUUCCCAGUUUCAGCUCGACAUUUUAAAGCCAUUCUACGUGAUUCUUAAUUAUCUCUAUUGAAGCUUUAAUUUUAAUGAUGCUAGCUAUAUUUGUAUAAUUUAUAAUCGGUCCGGCCACCAUGUACUAUCUUUUUAUGAUUAAAGCAUCUUCAACAAGAUUUUCUUCAAUUUUCUCCAAGAGGAGCUGGAGCUGUGUCUCUGAUUAGCCAACGAAUUAGUUGCAAUUAAUAUUAACAUUGCCCACCCAAGAAAUAAGAGUGAUUUAAAGAAUUAGCAAGACUUCAUUGAGAGGAGCGAUCAAACGACCUCCUUAUCACCUGCGGCAGCCGUCUAUUAACUAAAAUGCCAAUUUCAUACAAGAAGAAGCAACAAGUACAUGCUCGGCAAUUGUGUUCGGUAAGAAGUGACAUAGCAUUCAGGUGAUGACUUUACUUUUGUUAUCUUGCUAACAAUGGUAGUCUAGUUUAAGUUUUACUGUGGAAGUUACAGAUGUGGCAAAAUCAAUAAUUAAAUUCAUAAAAUGUUAAAAAAUAAAACUUAUAAAUGUUGCAUGACUACUUACUAAUAAAUAAAUAAGUUAAAAUGUAGUUAGUUAAUUUAACACUAUAUUAUAUCUUAUUCGAUAAUAAUAUAAAAUAAAAAUAAUUAUAAAAUAAAUAAUUGGAUAAACAAAUAUGGCUUUCUAAACAGUAAAAAUUCGAGAGCUAAAAUUUAUAUUGUUAUUUUUUUUUAAAUUGACAUUUUUUCUAUUGUCUUACACGUACAUAGAUUUUGAGAGUUGAGAAGAAUAUAUUUGAUGAAGUUUGAUAUCAUUUGAUGGGAUAGCAAGUAAGGGUAAAUAUUUAUUAAUUAUUUUUAUUAAAUAAAAUAUUUUUAUUAAAUAAAAAAAUUUAUUUGUUAUUUAUUUCAAUUAUAUCUAUUUUGUUCAAGUUAAAAUACUAAAUAUAAAUUGGAGGUAGACAUUUUAACAAAUCAUCUAAGCUCUCAAAUUUGAAAUUUUGUGUAGAUUUAAAUUCAUAAUUUUAGUUAAUUUUCAUAUAUUCAUAUAAACAAAUUUAUGAGAUUUUUAUUUUCAGCAUGUUAUGUUUGAAACUUUCAAUGUAUUAUUCUAGUUUUAUUUAAACAAUUAAUUUAUUCAAAUUUUAUUUAAUUUUAAAUUUGAUCAGUAGUAAAAAAAAUUUUAUAUCAAAUUGUUUUAUUUAAAUAGUUCAUGGAUUGGACAAAAUUAAAAAAUUUUAAUUCACAAAAUUAUGGAUGGGAUAUGAAUUGGGUUAAAUCCACAUUCGAUCCGCAGUUGCAUGUAUUGAAUUUGGAUUGAAUUUCAUCAAUCUAUGUAUUAGAUUGAAUUGAAAAUUUAUAAUCUGCAAAAUUGUGAAUCGGAUAUAUAAACUGAUGUCCAAUCAGCAAAAUCCGAUCCCCGAACACUCCUCUAUCAAAAUUUUCAAGAAUAUGUUUUAGCUUACAAUUUUUUUUUUAAAGUCAUAGUCUAAUGGCAGCCCAAUUUCUACUCCAUCCAUAUAAGCGGAGUUCAAAUCUCAUACCUCUUAUCUCCACACGAGAUUUAACCAAUUGAAAUAGCUAGCACCCACAAGUAUACUAGUACAGCAUCUCUUAACGUUUAACAUACGUAUAAUUAACGCCAUAGCUAUUGAUAAACACAUUGUUCAAUAUAUAUGAUCAAGAAUCUGAUCCUGCGAGCAACAGCAGUCAGAAGAACCAUUAUAAUGCCUAGCUCUUAUCCUGGUUAAUCCUCUGGCCCGAUGCUUCAUCAUAGUGAUUUAAAAAACCAACAACAGCUCUCUAAAAGAGAUGAAGAUAUCAUCUACGUAAAGAACAUGAGACGGAGAUUCACAACCCAUAAGAUCUGAGAUAAAUUGGACCAGACCAGUAAUCUUGAGAUAAGUUAAACUGUGACUUAAGUUGAAAUCGGAGGACCAGAAUUUUAAAAUCUUUCGGCUAAGCCCCUGAGGAAUUUUCUAGAGUACGGCUUCUGCUUACCUCUGUUUAAUUUCUCUUUAUAUUUUUCUUUCACUUCAUUAAUAAAGUCAAAUAAUAAAUCAAAGAACGAGGGAAGAUUUUUCCAAGUCAUGCAUUAUUUGAUUACCAUCAAUCAAGAAACCGACCAAAUUAAUUUCUCCCCGUGAUUUUUAAAAAUUAAAAAAAAAUUAUUUGAACAUAACAUCAUUAAUUAUAGAGUGGAUCAAACUGCGUUAAUCAUGAAACUGAUACCUAUUAAGAGUCAUACUUUUUACUUAUGCAUACUAAAAGACAUCAAAUUGUUCCGAUCCCCAAUUAUUUGAUCAGCAACUAUCAAGAACUAACCAAAUUUAUUUCUUCAUGACUUCCAAACACUAGAAAAUUUUGUUAUUUGAUAAUAAUAUCAUUAAUUAGAGUUUAUCAAACCGCAUUAUUUUCUUUCAUAAAAUUGAUGCCUAUUAGUGUCACACUUUAUUUGUAUUACCUAGCGGACAUCAACUUUUUUUUUUAAAAUUAAAAAGACCAUUUGAUUUUAACCCAUGUCCUUGGCCUUAGGGAAGCUGACUUCUUUUAUAGUCGAUAUCAGCUUGAACUUUGUUGUGUAAAUUAUUUCAAUCCCCGAUUAUGCAAUUUUUAAAUUAUAGCCUAACGGCGGUCUCAUCACCAUGUGUGUGAUUUUCUUUUGCCAAUAGGAUCUGCAGAGAGCUUGAUCUCACCCAAUAGCAAAAUAAACUUCCUAAUAAGUGAAGGCAUAGUAUAAAUAUUUCACCCCCAUAUUAUUUAUUAGCAGCUUGAUUAUUUUAUAUGCAUCUUUGAUUUUUAUUUUUUUUUCCCAUAAUUGCUACUAUGUUCGAACUGGUCAUGAAUUAUCUAUAAGAUUUUUCAUGUUGCUUUUAGGUGCAUUGGAUUUUUUUUAGUUUAGUGGAAGAGCAGAGGAAGGCAAAUUAAGAAAAAGGAUAAAGAUCUAUAAUUAGCUUCUCAUAACAUAUUGAUGGUAACAUUAUACAUAUGUAUAUCUAAAUAAUGGGUUGGAUCAGGAGCCCAUUAAUAAUCAUAGAUUAGCUCAUAUAGUUAAAAAAAAUGUACCAUAAAGCAAUUUCACAAGCACUUGUUAGCCUAUGUUGAGCUUUAUUAUCAAUAGUUCAAAGUUCAUCAGUGCACUGCAAGUUUACUAUUUGAAGUAAAUGUUAUGGUGCGUGCAUUCUUCAUAAGGCCAACUAUUGAAUUUAGCAUUGAAACUUACAAAAUGUAAUAGAAAGAGGUAGAUAACAGCCAUAAAACACUAAGAUUGGAAAUCAGGGCUACUAAAUACUAUUACAAGCCCUUAGAAAAGACAGUGAUCAUCUUAAAAUGUAUAUACUAAAAGUAAGAAAUAUUAAUCGCAAAGUUAUGUGUCAACAGAACUAUUAACUACUUGUCUCUAGUAGAAAGUAAAUAUUUUUAACUUCAGCUCUCUACUUUGUUUUAAGAGCUAGGCAAAAGAAGGAAAUUUCGAUGUCUAAAGUUUGCCACUUGGAAUAUUUCACUGUCUAAACAUUCACUCACCACUUAUUUCAUCAACGAAUUUUGUCUAAUUAUAUGUUGAUAAAGAUAUUAGAGUAAUAUAAUGUGUUUAAAGCUUAACUUAUAUUUUUUAUUAGUAGAGUGUAGAACUUUUAAGAAAUAAAUUAUUAAAUUACUAUAACUAACAUAUUAUUUUAAAACAUAUUAUUUUAAAGCUAUGUUAAGGAAAAGAAUGAAACAAAAAUAAAUAAAUAAAUAAGGGUAUUCUAAAACUUUGAUCUUUUUAAAAGUAGAUUUUGACAUAGAUAAAAUAAUUUUUAUAUUUUUUAAAUCACAUACUCUAGUUAAAAUCAAAUUUGUAUUUAUAAAGUUUGUAAAUUUUUUUUUUUUUUAGCACUGAUAUUUGAACACUAUCAAGAUAAGAAAUAGGGUACUGGUCAUGCUACAACAUUAUUAUAGCACGUAAAAAGACAAUACCAUUUAUUUUAUUGUACUAUCAUUGUUGAUAUAAUAGUAUUUUGUUAGUGGUCAAAUAUUAUUUUUUUAAGUAAAAAAAGUGAACAAUGUAAAUUAACUUUUAAUCUCUCCUAAAAUUCUAAUUCCUAGUUACGAAACAAAAUUGUUUAAAAAUCAUUAGGCUAACUGCAUGGGUUCUUAAAACCAUAGGUGAUAGAAGUUACUAACACAAGCAAAUUUGACGGUCCAUUUUAUAAAAUUUGUUAUUUACCAUUUUACCACCUAUAUAAGGAGUGCCGCAUCGACAUAUCAACUCAUUUGCAGAUUAUUUUAAUUUUGUAAAAUUCAUUUAACCUGCACUUGGUCGCCCCUAUUCUCUGAAUGGUUAUGGCGAUAUCAUCAUUAUCGUUACUUGUACCAACGCUAAACCCUUCUUAUUCCCUUUCUCGCCUGUCAUACCCUAACAUUAUAUCCCGUGUCCACACUAAAGACAAGUAGUCAAUUCAGGCCAUCAGAUUAUAGUGGACCCACAUCAAUCCAACUGCUCACAAUGACCGACAGCCUCUCCAUCUCCAUUUCAGGUUUCCUCUUCAACUGGCUUCUGCUUCCGCCGUAUUUGCUCCAUUUCUUGGAUUCGGAGUCCGUAUUUGGUCGGUCGGUCCCGCACAGCUCCCUCUCACUCCAAUUGUCACCCAACAAGACCAAUUGCUUAAUCAAGGCACAGAACAAGAAGAGGAUGGGAAAUUGAAACAAGAAUUUGAGAAUUGGAAAUCGAAAACGUCCGCAUUGACCGUGCCUUUGAGGGCAAUUACUUUUCUUGAGAAUUGAAGUUUGGUAAUGUAAUUUGUUCUCCAUCUGUGUUCCCUUUGUAGUCAUUUCAUUUAUUUGUUUGUUUGCUUUUAUUUGCAGGAGAAAUUGAUCCUCGAGAUAAAAGUAAAUUGUCUUUAAGCUCAUUUAGUUUUAUAUCAAACAAAAUCAAGACUGCCUUUUUCUUCAAUAGUUUUGAUGAUAAUAUCUUUAGAAGCAUCUCAUUGACAGGUAAUCGUGGUACCCCUUAAAGAGUCUAUAAACUCAAGGAUAUUAUCUUCUGCAAAUGGUUCAUUAAACUUCUUAGAUGUAGUUAAAUGUACACUGAGAACAACGAGAAGCUAUGCCACUGUAGCAUGUAGUGAUGGCACUUAAUGAGUGAGUUGCUAGGAUAUGAACUAGAAAAAUUAAACAUUGUCUCCCUGGGUAUGCUAGCUUGUAAGUCGGUUAAUAUUAGAGCUUGAGAUACUAUAACCAUGAGAAGCUAUUGACCGCCGAUUAAAAUAUCCAUUAAAAUGUCUAGGGAGUUAUGAAGGUGGAGGUGUCUCCCAAUUUCUAAGGCCAUAUAGUAGACAUCAUCCAGGAUCCUAUUAAAGUGCAGUUAGCCUCCUGCUUGAUGCUAAUGUCAAACAAUUAAUAAAUUUGGUCAAUGUAACUGAAACUUGCUAACUGACGUCAGAUUGCGACUUGAGCACCUUAAAAUGGGAUAGACGAUUAGUAGCACUGAAUUCUUCUUGCCUAAGAUUGAGCAAUUGUUCUAACUACAAUCUCCUAUUGUAGGUUGAUUAUUAUGUUCUAAUUAUGUCGAUUUUGACCCAAAAAAUUACAUAAUCUUGAUCUGCAUAAUGUCACUGAACAGUGUCAAUUUCGUUUACCAACUAACUUGAGUUUGAUAUAACAAACACACGGUGUGUCUCUCAUGUCUCACCAUGAUGGAGAAUUUUUCUAAUGCAUGAAGCAAGCUUCGAUAUGUGGGUUAGCUUGGAGAAGAUAUCUUAAAAUGAAGAAUAUGGGGAGUUAAUGGGAAGAAACAGUUCAGUAGUUUAUAAUUCUGUCGUCGAGCUGUAUCUCUAACAUGGUCAAAAUUUAUGUGAAUAAGGACAGGGAAUCUUCAUUCCUCUUUCCCUUUUUAUACCCACAUAUCUCUCAACCUUUAUAUGUUGCUCACUGGAGAUCUGCUUCUGAUAACUAAAAUAAAAAUUUCAUCCACUCAAAUAAAUUCUGACCAAGCUUUCACAAGAAAAAGUAACAUCUUUAGUGAAGUAAUUUACAAGUAAUUUAGAGUUCCUUAUCAUCUUCUUGUGAGUCUAUCAGUAUGAUCCAAAAACAUAAUAAAUCUUGUUAGAUCCUGUUUAUUGAUGUUUAAACGCUGCUCAUUGUGAAAUGUAGAAACAAUGACGUGAAGUUUCUUUGGUCAUCAAUUAGUGAGAUCUUGUUUGAAGUUGUUUUCUGAAAUGAACUGCCAAAUGAUAGUUUUUUUUUUUUUUUUUCUUUGGACGCAUUUGAUGGCUCUUUUCUCCUCAUUUUAAGCAUGUGCCUGCUUGGUAUGGGAAGGAAUAGGCUUCAGAGUUGUUAUAUAUGUUGACAUGCUCUGGUCAUUACACAAUAUGUUCAAAUUGGAAAUUAGAAUGAGAUAUUUGUCGAUGCUUUUUGAGAGAUCUGCAUUCUAUGCAGCAUAACAUGAUUAAUGAAAACGGGUUUAAGGACUGGAAAGAUCUGUGGCAGCCCAAGCUUGCAGGAAGGAUUUCAAUGGUUAAUUCUCCCAGAGAGGUUAUUGGUACAGUUUUGAAGUAUAUGGGAGCAUCAUACAAUUCAAACGGCAUUAAUUAGCAAGUUGCUGCUGGGAGGAUUGCUGUUCAGCAGAAUCUGGCAUUACUGGGAAACCAGGUACUCUUAAAGAAACGAUAGCUGGUCAAUGCAUAUUAUUGCCUGACGGCUGAUUUUGUUUGUAAAGUGUGCCUUUUCAUACAUAUGAAUGCAUAUGUUAGUGUUGUCUUCUCCUUUCCAUAAAUAUGAAUGCAUAUGUUGGUGUUCUUUUCUGAGAUGGAUGCAAUAAAGGCUUUUUCUUCUAAAUGACGAGUUUUCAUUUAAAAAUGUUAUAAAUCUGCCAUGCAUAGUAUUCUAGUAGAAUCAUCUAUAAAUUCAAGUUAUUGAAAUUGUCUAUUUGUCCAGUUUGAGUUAAGGACGCAUGUAAUAUGAAAAAUAGUUGUCGAAUAUUGUAGGUUAGCUAAUAUUUGAUCAAUCCUAUAGGGAGGGCUUUAAGAUGUCUAACAACAUGUAGAAUGCCCCUGCUUCCCCCACAAUUUUUAUCUUAUACAAUUUUUAUCUAUAAACAGUAUUUGCCAGACCUUAACUGUUCAGAUUCCCCUUCUCGACUAUCAUACCCUACGCCCCGUCUCCGUGUCUCCGAUAAACAGUGCUCAAUUAAGGCCAUCAGAUUAUCCCGGUCCCACAUUGAUCAACGGCUCACAAUGACCGACAACCUCUGUCUCCAUUACAAGCUCCCUCUUCAACUCGCUUCUGCUUCCAUCCUACUCUUUCUCAGAUUCGGAGCCCGUAUAUGCUCGGCUGGUCCCACGAAGCUCCCUCUCACUCCAGCUGUCAACCGACAAGACCAAUUGCCUUAUCAAGACAGAGAACAAAAAGAGGAUGAGAAAUUGAAACAAGAAUUUGAGAAUUGGAAAUCGAAAACGUACUCAUUGACCGUGCCUUUGAGAGUUGUUUCUCUUCAGAAUUCAGUGCCUCAAUCUUGGGUUAAGGAUUUUAUGCGAAGUCAAGGAAAGUGAUUGAAGUUUCAGAUGAAUUUGUGUGCUAGCAUUGGUGGGAUCUUUAACAAUUUAUCUGCCCUUUAACAAAGUCAAGGCUAAUUCAGCUUCUUAUAUGGCUGCUGAUUUGGUUAGUGUUGGUGAUUCAUGGCUUAGUUUUGCCAUUAAAGAGAGAUUGAUUGAGCCAAUGGCUGGAGCUGAAGACCAAGAUUGGUUCAAAUGCUUAAGUCACAAAUGGAAGGUAACAUCUUUAUCUUUGGCCCGAUAAUUUUUAUUGUCUUACAUUGAAAUUUGGUAAUGUAAUUUGUUCUCUAUCUGUAUUACCCUUUUUAGUCAUUUUAUUUAUUUGUUUAUUUGCUUUUAUUUGCACUAACGAAGUCUCAGGUAUAUCUAUGCAGAAUGAUGCAGGAGAAAUUGAUCCUCGAUGUGAAAUAUGGGCGGCACCAUACAGGUGGGGCACAAUGGUGAUAGCCUACAAGAAAAGUAAAUUUCGAAAGCAUAAUUUGGCUCCGAUUGAGGUAAUAAUUGUCUUUAAACUCAUUUAGUUUUAUAUCAAACAAAAUCAAGACUGCCUUUCUCUUCAAUAUUUUUGAUGAUAAUAUCUUUAGAAGCAUCUUAUUGAUGGGUAAUAAUUGUAUCCCUGAAACAGUCUAUAAACUCAAUGAUAUUAUCUUCUACAAAUGGCUCAUUAAACUUUGUCGUUGUAGUCAAAUGUACACUCAGAGCAAUGACAAGCUAUGCCACUGUAGCAUGUAGUGAUGGCACUUAAUAAGUGAGUUGCUAGGAUGUGAACUAGAAAAAUUAAAUAUUGUCUCCCUGGGCAUGCUAGCUCAUAAGUCAGGGUUAAUAUUAGAACUCAAGAUACUAUAACCAUGAGAAGCUAUUGACUGCCAAUUAAAAUAUCCUUUAAAAUGUCUAGGAAGUUAUGAAGGUGGAAGUAUCUUCCGAUUUCUGAGGCCACAUGGUAGAUAUCAUCCAGGAUCCUAGUACAGUGCAGUUAACCUCCUGCUUGAUGCAAUUAAUAAAUUUGGUCAAUGCCACUGAAACAUGCUAACUGACGUCGCAAUGCGACAUGAGCACUUCAAAAUGGGACAGACGGUCGGUAGCACUAAAUUUUUCUUGCCUAAGAUUGAGCAAUUGGUCUAACUACUAACCCCUUUUGUAGUUGAUCAUUAUUUUUUCAAUUAUUUUCAGUUUGACCCAAAACGUUACAGAAUCUUGAUCUGAAUAUUGUCACUGAACAUUGUCACUGAACAUUGUCAAUGUCGUUUAGCGUAGCCAACUAACUUGAGUUUGGUAAAACAAACACACAGUGUGUCUCAUGUCUCACAAUUCAAAUUAUCAUUUGUAAUGAUGGAGAAUUUUUCCAAUGUAUGAAGUAUGCUUUGAUACGUGGGUUACCUUGGGGAAGGUAUCUCAAAAUAAAGAAUAUGGGGAGAAAACAGUUCAGUAGUUUAUUAUUAUGUAGUCAAGUUUUGUCUCAAAAAUGGUCCAAAUUUAAAUGAAUAAGGACCGGGGAUCUUCAUUCUUUUUUCCCUUUUUUAUACCUAGAUAUCUCUCAACCUUUAUAUAAUCCCCACUGGAUAUCUGCUUCUAAUAAUUAAAAUAAAAAUUUCACCCACACAAAUAAAUACUGACCAAGCUCUAACAAUAAAAAGUAACUUCUUUAGUCAAGUGAUUUACAGUUCCUCAUCACCUUAGUGAGACUAUCAGUGUGUUCCAAAAACAUAAUAAAAUUGGUUUGUUCCUGUUUAUUGAUGUUUAAAUGUUGUUCAUUGUGACAUGUAGAAAUGAUGAGGCGAAGUUUAUUUGGUCAUCAAUUUGUAAGAUCUUGUUUGAAGUUGCUUUCUGAAAUGAACUGCCAAAUGGUAGUUUCUUUGGGGCAUUUGAUGGCUCUUUUUUCCUCAUUUUAAACAUGUGCCUGCUUGGAACAGGAAGGAUUAGGCUGCAGAGUUGUUAUAUAUUUUGACAUGCUCUAGUCAUUGCACAAUUUGUUCACACUGGAAACUAGAAUGAGAAAUUUGUUGCAUUCUAUGCACAAUAACAUGAUUAAUGAAAAUGGAUUGUAGGACUGGAAAGAUCUGUGGCAGCCUGAGCUCGCAGGACGAAUUUCAAUGGUUAAUUCUCCCUGAGAGGUUAUUGGUUUAGUUUUGAAGUAUAUGGGAGCAUCAUACAAUUCAAACGAUAUUGAUUCGCAAGUUGCUGGUGGGAAGAUUGCUGCUCAGCAGAAUCUGGCAUUACUGGCAAACCAGGUACUCUCAAAGAAAUGAUAUCUGGUCAUUGCAUGUUAUUACCUGACAACUGAUUUUGUUUGUAAAAGUCUGCUUCUUCAUACAUAUGAAUGCAUAUGUUAGUGUUUUCUUCUCCUUUUCAUACAUAUGAAUGCAUAUGUUGCUUCUUUUCCUUUCCAUACAUAUUAAUACAUAUGUUGGUGUUCUCUCCUGAGAUGGAUGCAAUAAAGGUUUUUCUGAAGAAAUGGCAAGGGAUGUGAGAUUCUGUCUCAUAAAAUUAACAAAAACCCAAAACAAUGAAAACCCAUAAUAAUGUGGUGUGGGUAAAUUGACGCCAUUUGGUUCGUUUCCUUGAUGUGAAUACGCGGGCAAUAGAGACUAACAAAAUGAAGUGACAACAAGAAGUCAGUGUCCUUUGAUGGAUGCAUUUUUAGGCAGAAAUAGGUUUGUAAUUGACCAAAUUUGUCUGGCAUGCCAAUUUCAAAAAAAUUAAAUUAUGUGGUUAUUAGCUGUAAUGAAGGGGGAUUGUAGGUCCAAUCAGGUGGAUCCAUGAAAGUUCAACAAAGUUCUGGUAUGGCGUAGAAAUUGGUUUGUGCAACUCAAGAGUCUUUCUGGUGAACGAUGAUGGGUUUUGAUUUAUAAAUGUUAUAAAUCUACUGUGCAUAGUAUUCUAGUAGAAUCAUCUAUAAGUUCUAGUUAUUGAAAUUGUCUACCUUGUUCAGUUUGAGUUAAGGGCACAUGUAAUAUGAAAAAUAGUUGUUGCAUCUUUUAGGUUACCUAACAUUUGAUCAAUCCUAUUAUGAGGGCUUCAAGAUGUCUAACAAUAUGUGGAAUGCCCAUGCUCCUCCCCAUUGUUUAUCUUAUAUAAUAAUUUGUUUUAGAUGCUAAUAUCUUUGUCGAUACCGGUAACAAUAUUACAAUAUCUGCGUUUAUUGGGUUUUACAUAGGUUCGACUGUUUGACAGUACACACUCUCUGAAGGCAUUUGGAAAUGGAGAUGUAUGGAUUGCUGUUGGGUGGAGUAGUGAUGUUCUUCCUGCUGUCAAACGUUUGUCUAAUGUUGCAGUUGUUGUUCCCAAGUCUGGUGCUAGCUUAUGGGCUGAUCUUUGGGUAUACCCAUGCCUGCCAUUCUACUUCAAUAUUCACAUUGUUAUCUCCUUCAUAUUAGUGAUCAGUAAACAUGAUAAUGUGACUAAUAAGUUCGUAUUCUCUUUAUAGGCAAUCCCUGCUGACUCAAGACUUGAAACAAAACAAAUUGGAGGGUGAGUCAGAGGUGCAUUUCCAUUAAUCCAUCAAUGGAUAGAAUUCUGCUUGCAAACAGCGAGAGCAUUGCCUUUCAAGCAAGAGGUUAUCCCGAGCGCAUCUCCCUCUGCCCUUGAGAGUACUCUGGUUAAGUUGCCUGAAGAACUUUUGAAGGGUAAACCAAGUCUGGAUACUAACUUAAUUGCUGGAGUACCCCUGACGGAAAUUCUGGCCAGAUGUGAGUUUUUGGAGCCAUUAUCUGAAGCUACAUUGUCGGAUUAUGAGUGGCUGGUUGCUAAUCUGCAAAAAUCCACUCCUGUACUGAUCAACAAGAUGCAACAUUACAUGUCAUCAUUGAUCUUUAGCUAAAGGUACAUUGAAAAGUUAAUGGCACUGCAUACCAGUCAUUAUAAUUGGGUCAGGGCAAUUGGGUCAGGGCAAUUAGGUCAGAGCAUAACUUCAUUAGGAAAAGAGGCUUCAGCUACGUUAAAUAUUACAGGAUGUACUGAGAUGGCUGAAGUUGGUGAGGUUUUACGAGAAACGAAAGAUAGUGUUUGUUUGAACAAAGUUGUUGCCAAUCUUGCAGAGUUCGAGAAGAAAGAUCACGAAGCGAAUGCCACCGAUUUCUUCAUCAUUGUAGCCUCCAUAGUUGAAGUUUCCUCAUUUGAAGCUGUUUAUGCAUAUGCUUUUUCCCUUCUCAAGUACAGGAAAUUGAAGAAUUAACCAGAUGUGAUAUGCUGAAAGAGGGAAGUUUUCUUCCUUGAAUGUGACCUUUGUGAUUUGUCUUGAAGGGAUAGGGUGAUCACUGGCAAGAACCCUAUCAAGGUAGAUUUUAUGAUGUUAACAUAUUAUUAAGCAUUUUGUUACAUCAGCAAUGAUGCUUUCAUAGCAUGAAAGUGUUUAAAUUUAACUGAAUGAUCUUGAUUGAUCAAUUAUGAGUUUUAAUCGAGUAAAAACUAAAUACAAUAAUCGUUAACAAAUAUUGAAAUUGGGUAAAUAAGAUCUUGAUAGUGAAGAAUUUGAAAUCACACCCACACAGGAAAUCACCCUUCGCGUGGGGAUGGAGAUGUUUACUGCAGCGAUAUUGAAUAUGUCCACUGCUGGACUAAUUCUGAUUACCUAAUUGACUCAGGAUCGGCUGGCAAUAAUAACAGUUUAUUAACAAUGCACAGUCCGAGUACUUUUCCAGGAUCAGAUACGACGUGGUCUAAUGUUGAUAAUAAUAGAUUAUCAAAUGACAAAUCGUUGUUCUACUAUUGCAAGCCCCCAGAUUUAAGAAUCUUUUUCAGAAAUUAAAUACAUUCUGAGAGAUGCUGGUCUACUAUUGCAAGCCCCCAGAUUUAAGAAUCUUUUGACGGUAAUUUAUCACCUGUAACUGUGCCGGAAGAUUCAACUAGCACUGAAAAAGAUGAUAAAUUAAUUGAUAUGGAGAGUUUUCAUAUCACUUUUAAAUCAUCUUAUGUAAUUGUGAUGUUAGGAAGCAUUAGUGAUCUAUAUGUGAAUUAUUAUUGGCGCCAUUGGUGGUUUUAUCUUGUUAAAAUAUGGAUGAAUUCCAGUUACUAUUUUGUUGCAGACAAUCUUCUUCAAUUAACAUAUGGUUUAAAAUCAUUAUGUAAAUCAAUCUAUUAAUUUUCAAGAUAUUUAACUGAGUUAAAACUAAGUGCACUCAAUAAAUCUCUUUUCCUUUAAAAAACUGUUACGCUUUGAUUUUAGUGCUUAAUAUUUAUUGAACUCCGAUACAGGGAAUUUGAAAUCAAACUCGUAACUACAUAUUAUCUAAUUGCAAGUUUCUAUCCAUAGCUGCUGAUUUGUAGUGAUUAUCUAAUUGACUGAGGUGACGACAAUUUUUUUUUUUUAAAUUUUCAAUAGCACAAUGUGGAAUUCAAUAAUUAAAUUCUCCUUUUUAAUUUGUUUCCAGUUAAAUUAUUAAUUACUUAAACUCUGUUUUAAGUCUUUAAGUUUAUGUGUUUAUGCAGAAUUGGAUUCUUGAGCGUGUUGGACACGACCAACAAUGAAAUUGACAGUAAAAAAAACAAUACAACGUGUGGACUCCGGUAGAUGCCAUACAAGUCUACAACUUUACAAAUAAUAAUUGAGUAAGCAACUUUGAUUCUCGGGGCCCUUCAAUGAAUUUCUAGCCCCGUUGACUCCGCCAACUAAAGUUUGUAAAAUAAAAAAAUACAUAGAAUUCCACUAAAUGCAAAACGCGUGGAAUUUAAUUUUCGGCCAUGUGGACCAAAACAUAAUUUAAUGAAAAAGGAAAAAAAUGAUAAGAUUUCUAAAAUAUGUGAAAGAUGAUCCAUAUUUUACUGAAACGACUUAUUAAAUUUUUCAAAGAUUUAGAAUAUUUAGUCAUAAAUUACGUGCAUGUUAAUUUUUCCGCCAUUGACUAUCAUAUUCUAAACUUAAUAGUACAUUUCUUGUUGAAGGGUACUUAAUCUCUCUUCUCCUCUUAUAAAAAUUAUAUUGAUGGAUUUCUUGUUAUAGUUAAUAGUCUUUAAGAACGGAUAACUUUAUUGUUUUCGUGACCAAAUUAUGUCCGCCUAAGGUUGUGACUAUUAAUAAAAUUAAUAUUUAAUGUUUAUGUUAAAAGAUAUAAGAUUUUAUGCGUUCAUUAAUUGUUAUUAGCUAAAGGAUGAAUUAUUUUUUCAACCCAAUCAGUUGAUGCAUCUGCAAGAGUUUUUUUCUUUUAUUGACCAUAAUUAUGUUCCGGGUACAAUAAAUUGUCUUUGGUGCUUGGAAAAUAUGACUUCUUACUUCAAGUUUGAUAUGUCUCUCUCCAUAAACUUACUGGAAAUAUAUCCUCAUCUACUGUCAUUUAUCUAAUAUCAAUUGAAGAUCUCACUUUUUCAAACUAUCACUUCCAAGUCUCAUUGUCACUUGGCCAUUCUUGGACCAUUCAAAACCAAUCAAGUGUUGAAAUAAUCAAAUAUAUGCAAAAUUAGAGUCACGAUUUUUGGUCCCCCAAAUUCUAAUUAUAUAACUUCUAUAUAUUUCAUUGCCAGGUCACGAACUUGUUGGCACAUUUUCCAAAUUCCUCUUCCAUCAGCUCUCACACGUUAACUUAAGUGAAAAGUUUCCAAGUUGAUUGCUAGAAAGCAACGCAAAAUCAGACACACUUGAUCUGUCCCCUAAUUCUCUUUUCUACGUUGAAAAAGAAAAAAAAAAAUAAAAUACAUACAUACAUAUAUAUAUAUAUAUAUAUAUAUAUAUAUAUAUAUAUAUAUAUAUAUAUCUAUGUAAAAAUAAAUAAUAAACUGAGUAAAAGUACAUUUGUUUAAUUAACAUCUGAUCGGGGCAUUUUUGGUGUAAGCCACAACUAAAAUCAAACAGCCCCUUAGCAUACUUCUUCCAUUUUAUCGGCUACUUUUGUGGAUCUUAUAGGGUGGGCAUGUGGACAGAAUUUAAAAGUUUUAAUAGGCUCAAAGAAGAAGAUGUGUUAAAUCUAAAGUUGUUGCACCUUCUGAUUAAAUAAAGUUGUACAAUUUCAUCAACUUGAAAGAAUUGACAUUAAUGAACUGGUCGCCUCUCCAUGUAUGAAGCCUUCUUAAAAGUUAAUUUUUAUUUCAGAAAAAAAAAGUUUAAGUUACAUAUAUUACAGUAAGAUUUUUUGAGACCAAUUCCCUUCUUGAAAUAAUAAUAGAAAAGUAUUAAUUUAAAAAUAAAAUGAAUAUGUAUUGAUUAUAUCCUGAUUUUCAUCGAUUAUAGUUAGAGUUUCACCAAAUCAAUUCCCUUAUUCAAAUAAUACAGAAAAAAUAGUAAUUUAAUAGUAAAAUAAACAGGUGUUGAUUAUAUAUCCUAAGUUUCAUCGAUUAUGUGAUCAAAGUGGCAUUGUUGAUUUAUUUUUUGUUCAAUGUUAAUUUUUAGGUUAUAUAAAUUUCAAGGAUUUAAAAUCUUUGGCCAUGAAUUACACGCUUGUUAAUUUUCCUGCCAUUGACUGUCAUAUUCUAGACUUAAUGAUACCUUUCUUGAUCAAGGGUAAUUACUCUCUCUUCUCCUCUUAUAAAUUCCUCUUCCAUUAACAUCACUAGGAGUAUGUUGAUCUCUCAGACGUUAACUUGAGUGGAGAGUUUCCAAAUUGAUUGUUACAAAACAACACAAAAACUAGACACACUUGAUCUGUCUAAUAAUUCUCUUUCGGUAAAAUUAAAUAAUUUUAGGGGAAUAUUCGGCCAACCUCUAUAAUUUCAUAGUGAUCAUUAAUUAAUUAAUCGAUACAAAUAUCUAAAGUGAUUAAAUGUGACUUGAAAUUUGAUCUCUAUCGAUUGGUUUACAAAUGGACGUACUUGUGCCUUUGUGGCGAUAAUCGAACAAGUACCCAUGAUUAUUAUUUUUUCCAAAAACUUUUUUACAACAAAUUCAUCUCGUCAAAAAUUCUAUGUUGCUAACUAACAAUAAUUGAGCACUUGGCCGCAUUGACUCCACGUCUCCACCUCUUUCUAAAUUCUAAGUAAAAACAUGGAAAUGUAAUUUCCACAAAAUGCCAAAUGUGUGGAAUUUAAUUUUUUGCCUUGUGGAUCAAAAUACAAAUGAAAGAAACAGAAGAAAAAAAAGGCCCAAAGACUUCUAAAAGAUGAAGAAGUCUUUGUGCCUUUUUAUAAUGGUGAAUUUUUUUAAAGAAAAAAAAUAACAACAUUUUUAUGGUUUGUUUUGAUAAUCAUAUUUACAUAUACUCUCUAAUUUCAAAAUGGACACAUAAAUCUUUUUUUUUUACAAAAUAUAUAUUAUUCAUAUUUUUUUUAUUUUUUUAUUAUCAUAUUUUUAUUUAUUAUAAAUGUUUAGAGCAAAUUUUUAGGUUGAAAUAUAAUAAAAAGGUAUAAUUGUUCUCUUAUUAAACACACAUACUUUUAUUAGUUUCUAUCCAUUUGUCAUCUCAAUCUCUCUCAAUUAUUCUUUAUUGCUAGCUCAAAACGCGUUGCUGUUGCAAAUUAUAGCAAAAUGACAAAUAUGGAAAAAAAGGGAAGAAAAUUAAUGCAUGAAAGACUUGGAGAAAACAACAAAAUAAGCCAACUAUGAGCUAGUUGGGUGUAUAAAUUGUUAGAUGUGUUAUAUACAAAUAGCGUAGAGCCCUCUAGUUGGUUCCAGAGACAGAAAGAGCGUGUGUGUUUUUUCACAGUUAGAGAUAUAGUUAGAAUGGGUGGUUCAAAAUCAAAAAUGAUGAUAAUGUUUAUUAUGUUAUUAAUAAUAUUUAAAAGUGGGUGGAGUGAGGGAUGUUUGGAUCACGAGAGAUUUGCUUUUUUGAGACUCAAACAUUUCUUCAAUGAUCCUCUUAAUUCUCUUUACGACUGGGUAGAUGGUGAGGGAGCUACUGAUUGUUGUCAGUGGGAAAGGGUUGAGUGCAGCAACACCACAGGCCGAGUGAUAGCACUGGACCUUUCUUAUAUAUAUUCGGAGAGUACAGCUGGUAUCUGAAUGCUUCUUUAUUUACUCCCUUCCAACAACUUGAGUCACUUGAUUUAACUCAAAACAAAAUAGCCGGAUGUGUUGAGAAUGAAGGUACUUUGUUUAAUUUAAUUAAUUUACUUUCUCCCCCCUAAUUUAAGUUGAAUAUCAAGACCGAGCAAUUAUAUGCAUAUUCAUUUAGUCGACAAUUUUGACUUUUUUUUAAAUGAUUAAUUUUGAAAUUACACCAGUAUCUAUGAUCUUUUUUAUUUUAUUUUAUUUGCAGGUAUAGAGAGGCUAUCAAGAUUGAACAACUUGAAGAUGCUUAAUUUAAGUCGAAACUCAUUCAAUAAUAACAUUUUAUCAUCUCUAACUCAUCUUUCAUCAUUAAGAUCAUUAAAUUUAUUGUGGAAUAGAUUGGAAGGAAGUAUUGACGUUAAAGGUACAUAAUUAAAACUUCAAGCUCUUUCAUUAACUUGCUAAAAUAAGAUUCAAGGCUUUGAAUUCAAUUUUUUUUAUGAUUAAUAUUAAAAAAAACAGUUUUAAGCAAUUUAUAAAUACAAGUUUUAAUGUUUCUUGUAAUUUCAUCUUGUACUUUCAUAUGUCUUGAAUUUAAGAUUAAAAAAAAAAACUCUAAUAGCGAACCAAACACCUCCACAACUUAUUAUUAUUAUUUUAAUUUGUGGUGAGGUUUGAAACAUUCAACUCAAUUUGUACUUAUUACAGAAUUUGAUUCUUUGAGAGAUUUAGAGGAGCUAGACAUUGGCGGGAACAAGAUUGACAAAUUUGUGGUCUCAAAAGGUACUACAAAUACCAUAAAAAAAUAUGCUAACUUUUACAAAUUAGUUAGAUUCUUUGCCAUUUGGUUUAUUAUUUUACAGGUUUGAGUAAGUUGAAGUCUCUUGGUUUAAGUGGUAUCAAACUCAAUCGUAGCAUCUUAUCUUCUCUUUCUUCGUUAAGAGAAUUAGAUAUAAGUCGUACGGGAUUCAAAGGAACAUUUGAUGUUCGAGGUAAGCCUAAACCUUGCUUUCUCAUUUUAUAUAUGCCAACUAGAUUUGUGUAUCAUCGACAUAAUUUAAUAUUUAAUUUGAUAAGUCUGAAUGAAUUACAUGCUAAUUUAAACACACUUUUAUUUACUUUGUCAAUUAAUUAAUUAAUUAAUUACUAUUUGGCUUGGUUUGGACGAAAUUCUCAUGAUGUUUUUAAUUUCUUUAAAUUAAUUAAUUAAUUAACUCUGUUUUUAAGUCUUAAGUCUGGGCAUGUUUGCAGAAUUGAUUCCUUCAAUAACUUAGAAGUGUUGGACAUGAGUUGGAACGAAAUCGACAAUCUUGUGGUUCCUCACGGUAAACAAUUAAAAUGUUAUUCAAUUACAUUAUUUUAAUUCAUUUGAUUAGGGAAGGCCAAAAAGGUAAAAAAAAUAAUAAUAAAGAAACAGAGAAUUUGUAUUAUUUAAAAAACAGAAUGUAAUAAAGAUUUUGAUUCUGGUUCUUUAAUCUUUAAAGUGAUUGAAAACAAUGUUGCUCUUUUCCCAAAGCAUCAAAUACGAAUUGAAUGCCAAUUAACUUAAUCAUUCAUUUCGUUUAGCUCUAAAUUUAGACAAUGAAUUUUUAUAUUAUUUCAAAAACAUGACGUAAUAGAAUUUUUUUAAAAACAGAUUCUAAUAAAGAUUUGAUUCCAAUUCUUUAAUCUUUACAGUGAUUGAAAAACGAUACUACUCUUUUCCCAAAGCAUAAAUACGAAUUGACUCCCAAUCAAAUUAAUCAUUUAUUUCGUUCAUCUCUGAAUUUAAAUAAUGAAUUUUGAUCUUCAAUCGUAUUAUAAUUACUAUUAAAGAACAGGUUACAGAGGUUUGAGGAAGUUGAAUCAUCUUGAUCUAUCGGGAGUUGGAAUUAGAGAUGGAAGCAAGUUGUUACAGUCAAUGGGAUCAUUCCCAUCCCUCAACACUCUUUACCUUUCGUGGAAUAAUUUUAUCGAUACAGCGACCGCUACUCAAGGUAAGUAAAAGGUACAAAUGUGGCCAAAUUUAUAAAUAAAUUGUUAAUUAAUUAAUUUUUCCGUAUUAUUAAUUAAGCUAAAUUUGUUGCUCCUUCCUUCUAAAUCUAAACAGAGUUGCACAAUUUCACCAACUUGGAAUAUUUGACAUUGGACUUUUCCUCUCUCCAUAUAAGCCUUCUCCCAAAGCAUUGCAUCAUUAUUCCCUUCGUUAAAAAAUCUGUCGAUAUCUCAUUGUGAAGUCAAUGGUGUCCUACGCGGUCAAGGUAAAAGAAAAUCGUUGAUUGUGAACUCACUCAAUGGUGUCCUACGUGUUCAACAUUUUUAUUUAUUUAUUGUUUAAUGUUUCUGCUAGGUUUUCCUCAUUUCAAGAGUUUGGAACAUUUGGAUAUGGAUUACACGCGCAUUGCACUCAACACCGGCUUUCUUCAAAUCAUCGGUGAAUCGAUGCCUUCUCUUAAGUACUUAUCACUGUCAAGGUUAAUCUAUAAAUCGAUGCCUUCUCUUGAUCAAGGUUAAUCAGAUGCUCCCACUCUCCCCUCUUAAUCUAUAAUAUUAAUUUUCAAUUCAAUAUUUAAUUACACAAACGAAUCACUUAUUAUAAAAGAAUAAUACGCAUUCAUUAAUUUUUAUAUUGUAUUAAUAAUUGAUGAAUUUAAUAACUUUUCAGGUCUCUGUUCGUUGGUGCAUCUGCAAGUGUUGAACAUUGCAGGCAAUGAUUUAAGAGGUAGCUUGCCUUGGUGCUUGGCAAAUAUGACAUCCCUCCGAAUAUUAGAUGUUUCUUCCAAUCAACUUACUGGAAGCAUCUCCUCAUCUCCCCUCGUUCAUUUGACAUCCAUUGAAGAGCUGAUGCUUUCAGACAAUCACUUCCAGAUCCCAAUUUCACUUGAACCAUUUUUCAAUCACUCACGACUCAAGAUUUUCCAUGCUUACAACAACGAAAUAAAUGCAGAAAUAACUGAGUCACAUUCUUUGACUGCCCAAACUUCCAAUUAAAAUAUCUCUCAUUGUCUUCCGGUUACGGAGAUGGUGUCACAUUCCCCAAAUUCCUUUACCAUCAACAUGAUCUGGAGACUGUUGACCUCUCACAUAUAAACAUGAGGGAGAAUUUCCAAAUUGGUUGUUGGAAAACAACACAAACUUAGAAAUAUUUUUUGGUUAAUGAUUCUCUUGCAGGACCUUUCCGGUUGCCAAUUCAUUCACACAAGCGGUUAAGACUGUUGGAUAUAUCCAACAACAACAUCAGAGGCCACAUUCCAGAAAUUGGAGAUGUUUUACCGGGUUUAUUUUCUUUAAACAUUUUCAUGAAUGCUUUAGACGGUUGCAUUCCCUCUUCAUUUGGUAAUAUGAAAUUCCUCCAAUUUNNNNNUUAAUUAAUUAANNNNNGAUGGGAAAUUGAAACAAGAAUUUGAGAAUUGGAAAUCGAAAACGUCCGCAUUGACCGUGCCUUUGAGGGCAAUUACUUUUCUUGAGAAUUGAAGUUUGGUAAUGUAAUUUGUUCUCCAUCUGUGUUCCCUUUGUAGUCAUUUCAUUUAUUUGUUUGUUUGCUUUUAUUUGCAGGAGAAAUUGAUCCUCGAGAUAAAAGUAAAUUGUCUUUAAGCUCAUUUAGUUUUAUAUCAAACAAAAUCAAGACUGCCUUUUUCUUCAAUAGUUUUGAUGAUUAUCUUUAGAAGCAUCUCAUUGACAGGUAAUCGUGGUACCCCUUAAAGAGUCUAUAAACUCAAGGAUAUUAUCUUCUGCAAAUGGUUCAUUAAACUUCUUAGAUGUAGUUAAAUGUACACUGAGAACAACGAGAAGCUAUGCCACUGUAGCAAUGUAUGAUGGCACUUAAUGAGUGAGUUGCUAGGAUAUGAACUAGAAAAAUUAAACAUUGUCUCCCUGGGUAUGCUAGCUUGUAAGUCGGUUAAUAUUAGAGCUUGAGAUACUAUAACCAUGAGAAGCUAUUGACCGCCGAUUAAAAUAUCCAUUAAAAUGUCUAGGGAGUUAUGAAGGUGGAGGUGUCUCCCAAUUUCUAAGGCCAUAUAGUAGACAUCAUCCAGGAUCCUAUUUAAAGUGCAGUUAGCCUCCUGCUUGAUGCUAAUGUCAAACAAUUAAUAAAUUUGGUCAAUGUAACUGAAACUUGCUAACUGACGUCAGAUUGCGACUUGAGCACCUUAAAAUGGGAUAGACGAUUAGUAGCACUGAAUUCUUCUUGCCUAAGAUUGAGCAAUUGUUCUAACUACAAUCUCCUAUUGUAGGUUGAUUAUUAUGUUCUAAUUAUGUCGAUUUUGACCCAAAAAAAUUACAUAAUCUUGAUCUGCAUAAUGUCACUGAACAGUGUCAAUUUCGUUUACCAACUAACUUGAGUUUGAUAUAACAAACACACGGUGUGUCUCUCAUGUCUCACCAUGAUGGAAUUUUUCUAAUGCAUGAAGCAAGCUUCGAUAUGUGGGUUAGCUUGGAGAAGAUAUCUUAAAAUGAAGAAUAUGGGAGUUAAUGGGAAGAAACAGUUCAGUAGUUUAUAAUUCUGUCGUCGAGCUGUAUCUCUAACAUGGUCAAAAUUUAUGUGAAUAAGGACAGGGAAUCUUCAUUCCUCUUUCCCUUUUUAUACCCACAUAUCUCUCAACCUUUAUAUGUUGCUCACUGGAGAUCUGCUUCUGAUAACUAAAAUAAAAAUUUCAUCCACUCAAAUAAAUUCUGACCAAGCUUUCACAAGAAAAAGUAACAUCUUUAGUGAAGUAAUUUACAAGUAAUUUAGAGUUCCUUAUCAUCUUCUUGUGAGUCUAUCAGUAUGAUCCAAAAACAUAAUAAAUCUUGUUAGAUCCUGUUUAUUGAUGUUUAAACGCUGCUCAUUGUGAAAUGUAGAAACAAUGACGUGAAGUUUCUUUGGUCAUCAAUUAGUGAGAUCUUGUUUGAAGUUGUUUUCUGAAAUGAACUGCCAAAUGAUAGUUUUUUUUUUUUUUUCUUUGGACGCAUUUGAUGGCUCUUUCUCCUCAUUUAAGCAAUGUGCCUGCUUGGUAUGGGAAGGAAUAGGCUUCAGAGUUGUUAUAUAUGUUGACAUGCUCUGGUCAUUACACAAUAUGUUCAAAUUGGAAAUUAGAAUGAGAUAUUUGUCGAUGCUUUUUGAGAGAUCUGCAUUCUAUGCAGCAUAACAUGAUUAAUGAAAAUGGGUUUAAGGACUGGAAAGAUCUGUGGCAGCCCAAGCUUGCAGGAAGGAUUUCAAUGGUUAAUUCUCCCAGAGAGGUUAUUGGUACAGUUUUGAAGUAUAUGGGAGCAUCAUACAAUUCAAACGCAUUAAUUAGCAAGUUGCUGCUGGGAGGAUUGCUGUUCAGCAGAAUCUGGCAUUACUGGGAAACCAGGUACUCUUAAAGAAACGAUAGCUGGUCAAUGCAUAUUAUUUGCCUGACGGCUGAUUUUGUUUGUAAAGUGUGCCUUUUCAUACAUAUGAAUGCAUAUGUUAGUGUUGUCUUCUUCUUUCCAUAAAUAUGAAUGCAUAUGUUGGUGUUCUUUUCUGAGAUGGAUGCAAUAAAGGCUUUUUCUUCUAAAUGACGAGUUUUCAUUUAAAAAUGUUAUAAAUCUGCCAUGCAUAGUAUUCUAGUAGAAUCAUCUAUAAAUUCAAGUUAUUGAAAUUGUCUAUUUGUCCAGUUUGAGUUAAGGACGCAUGUAAUAUGAAAAAUAGUUGUCGAAUAUUGUAGGUUAGCUAAUAUUUGAUCAAUCCUAUAGGGAGGGCUUUAAGAUGUCUAACAACAUGUAGAAUGCCCCUGCUUCCCCCACAAUUUUUAUCUUAUACAAUUUUUAUCUAUAAACAGUAUUUGCCAGACCUUAACUGUUCAGAUUCCCCUUCUCGACUAUCAUACCCUACGCCCCGUCUCCGUGUCUCCGAUAAACAGUGCUCAAUUAAGGCCAUCAGAUUAUCCCGGUCCCACAUUGAUCAACGGCUCACAAUGACCGACAACCUCUGUCUCCAUUACAAGCUCCCUCUUCAACUCGCUUCUGCUUCCAUCCUACUCUUUCUCAGAUUCGGAGCCCGUAUAUGCUCGGCUGGUCCCACGAAGCUCCCUCUCACUCCAGCUGUCAACCGACAAGACCAAUUGCCUUAUCAAGACAGAGAAAAAAAGAGGAUGAGAAAUUGAAACAAGAAUUUGAGAAUUGGAAAUCGAAAACGUACUCAUUGACCGUGCCUUUGAGAGUUGUUUCUCUUCAGAAUUCAGUGCCUCAAUCUUGGGUUAAGGAUUUUAUGCGAAGUCAAGGAAAGUGAUUGAAGUUUCAGAUGAAUUUGUGUGCUAGCAUUGGUGGGAUCUUUAACAAUUUAUCUGCCCUUUAACAAAGUCAAGGCUAAUUCAGCUUCUUAUAUGGCUGCUGAUUUGGUUAGUGUUGGUGAUUCAUGGCUUAGUUUUGCCAUUAAAGAGAGAUUGAUUGAGCCAAUGGCUGGAGCUGAAGACCAAGAUUGGUUCAAAUGCUUAAGUCACAAAUGGAAGGUAACAUCUUUAUCUUUGGCCCGAUAAUUUUUAUUGUCUUACAUUGAAAUUUGGUAAUGUAAUUUGUUCUCUAUCUGUAUUACCCUUUUUAGUCGUUUUAUUUAUUUGUUUAUUUGCUUUUAUUUGCACUAACGAAGUCUCAGGUAUAUCUAUGCAGAAUGAUGCAGGAGAAAUUGAUCCUCGAUGUGAAAUAUGGGCGGCACCAUACAGGUGGGGCACAAUGGUGAUAGCCUACAAGAAAAGUAAAUUUCGAAAGCAUAAUUUGGCUCCGAUUGAGGUAAUAAUUGUCUUUAAACUCAUUUAGUUUUAUAUCAAACAAAAUCAAGACUGCCUUUCUCUUCAAUAUUUUUGAUGAUAAUAUCUUUAGAAGCAUCUUAUUGAUGGGUAAUAAUUGUAUCCCUGAAACAGUCUAUAAACUCAAUGAUAUUAUCUUCUACAAAUGGCUCAUUAAACUUUGUCGUUGUAGUCAAAUGUACACUCAGAGCAAUGACAAGCUAUGCCACUGUGUAGCAUGUAGUGAUGGCACUUAAUAAGUGAGUUGCUAGGAUGUGAACUAGAAAAAUUAAAUAUUGUCUCCCUGGGCAUGCUAGCUCAUAAGUCAGGGUUAAUAUUAGAACUCAAGAUACUAUAACCAUGAGAAGCUAUUGACUGCCAAUUAAAAUAUCCUUUAAAAUGUCUAGGAAGUUAUGAAGGUGGAAGUAUCUUCCGAUUUCUGAGGCCACAUGGUAGAUAUCAUCCAGGAUCCUAGUACAGUGCAGUUAACCUCCUGCUUGAUGCAAUUAAUAAAUUUGGUCAAUGCCACUGAAACAUGCUAACUGACGUCGCAAUGCGACAUGAGCACUUCAAAAUGGGACAGACGGUCGGUAGCACUAAAUUUUUCUUGCCUAAGAUUGAGCAAUUGGUCUAACUACUAACCCCUUUUGUAGUUGAUCAUUAUUUUUUCAAUUAUUUUCAGUUUGACCCAAAACGUUACAGAAUCUUGAUCUGAAUAUUGUCACUGAACAUUGUCACUGAACAUUGUCAAUGUCGUUUAGCGUAGCCAACUAACUUGAGUUUGGUAAAACAACACACAGUGUGUCUCAUGUCUCACAAUUCAAAUUAUCAUUUGUAAUGAUGAGAAUUUUUCCAAUGUAUGAAGUAUGCUUUGAUACGUGGGUUACCUUGGGGAAGGUAUCUCAAAAUAAAGAAUAUGGGGAGAAAACAGUUCAGUAGUUUAUUAUUAUGUAGUCAAGUUUUGUCUCAAAAAUGGUCCAAAUUUAAAUGAAUAAGGAGGGGAUCUUCAUUCUUUUUUCCCUUUUUUAUACCUAGAUAUCUCUCAACCUUUAUAUAAUCCCCACUGGAUAUCUGCUUCUAAUAAUUAAAAUAAAAAUUUCACCCACACAAAUAAAUACUGACCAAGCUCUAACAUAUAAAAGUAACUUCUUUAGUCAAGUGAUUUACAGUUCCUCAUCACCUUAGUGAGACUAUCAGUGUGUUCCAAAAACAUAAUAAAAUUGGUUUGUUCCUGUUUAUUGAUGUUUAAAUGUUGUUCAUUGUGACAUAGAAAUGAUGAGGCGAAGUUUAUUUGGUCAUCAAUUUGUAGAUCUUGUUUGAAGUUGCUUUCUGAAAUGAACUGCCAAAUGGUAGUUUCUUUGGGGCAUUUGAUGGCUCUUUUUUCCUCAUUUUAAACAUGUGCCUGCUUGGAACAGGAAGGAUUAGGCUGCAGAGUUGUUAUAUAUUUUGACAUGCUCUAGUCAUUGCACAAUUUGUUCACACUGGAAACUAGAAUGAGAAAUUUGUUGCAUUCUAUGCACAAUAACAUGAUUAAUGAAAAUGGAUUGUAGGACUGGAAAGAUCUGUGGCAGCCUGAGCUCGCAGGACGAAUUUCAAUGGUUAAUUCUCCCUGAGGUUAUUGGUUUAGUUUUGAAGUAUAUGGGAGCAUCAUACAAUUCAAACGAUAUUGAUUCAAGUUGCUGGUGGGAAGAUUGCUGCUGCUCAGCAGAAUCUGGCAUUACUGGCAAACCAGGUACUCUCAAAGAAAUAUCUUUGCAUGUUAUUACCUGACAACUGAUUUUGUUUGUAAAAGUCUGCUUCUUCAUACAUAUGAAUGCAUAUGUUAGUGUUUCUUCUCCUUUUCAUACAUAUGAAUGCAUAUGUUGCUUCUUUUCCUUUCCAUACAUAUUAAUACAUAUGUUGGUGUUCUCUCCUGAGAUGGAUGCAAUAAAGGUUUUUCUGAAGAAAUGGCAAGGGAUGUGAGAUUCUGUCUCAUAAAAUUAACAAAAACCCAAAACAAUGAAAACCCAUAAUAAUGUGGUGUGGGUAAAUUGACGCCAUUUGGUUCGUUUCCUUGAUGUGAAUACGCGGGCAAUAGAGACUAACAAAAUGAAGUGACAACAAGAAGUCAGUGUCCUUUGAUGGAUGCAUUUUUAGGCAGAAAUAGGUUUGUAAUUGACCAAAUUUGUCUGGCAUGCCAAUUUCAAAAAAAUUAAAUUAUGUGGUUAUUAGCUGUAAUGAAGGGGGAUUGUAGGUCCAAUCAGGUGGAUCCAUGAAAGUUCAACAAAGUUCUGGUAUGGCGUAGAAAUUGGUUUGUGGCAACUCAAGAGUCUUUCUGGUGAACGAUGAUGGGUUUGAUUUAUAAAUGUUAUAAAUCUACUGUGCAUAGUAUUCUAGUAGAAUCAUCUAUAAGUUCUAGUUAUUGAAAUUGUCUACCUUGUUCAGUUUGAGUUAAGGGCACAUGUAAUAUGAAAAAUAGUUGUUGCAUCUUUUAGGUUACCUAACAUUUGAUCAAUCCUAUUAUGAGGGCUUCAAGAUGUCUAACAAUAUGUGGAAUGCCCAUGCUCCUCCCCAUUGUUUAUCUUAUAUAAUAAUUUGUUUUAGAUGCUAAUAUCUUUGUCGAUACGGUAACAAUAUUACAAUAUCUGCGUUUAUUGGGUUUUACAUAGGUUCGACUGUUUGACAGUACACACUCUCUGAAGGCAUUUGGAAAUGGAAUGUAUGGAUUGCUGUUGGGUGGAGUAGUGAUGUUCUUCCUGCUGUCAAACGUAUGUCUAAUGUUGCAGUUGUUGUUCCCAGUCUGGUGCUAGCUUAUGGGCUGAUCUUUGGGUAUACCCAUGCCUGCCAUUCUACUUCAAUAUUCACAUUGUUAUCUCCUUCAUAUUAGUGAUCAGUAACACGAUAAUGUGACUAAUAAGUUCGUAUUCUCUUUAUAGGCAAUCCCUGCUGCCUCAAGACUGAAACAAAACAAAUUGGAGGCGAGUCAGAGGUGCAUUUCCAUUAAUCCAUCAAUGGAUAGAAUUCUGCUUGCAAACAGCGAGAGCAUUGCCUUUCAAGCAAGAGGUUAUCCCGAGCGCAUCUCCCUCUGCCCUUGAGAGUACUCUGGUUAAGUUGCCUGAAGAACUUUUGAAGGGUAAACCAAGUCUGGAUACUAACUUAAUUGCUGAGUACCCUGACGGAAAUUCUGGCCAGAUGUGAGUUUUUGGAGCCAUUAUCUGAAGCUACAUUGUCGGAUUAUGAGUGGCUGGUUGCUAAUCUGCAAAAAUCCACUCCUGUACUGAUCAACAAGAUGCAACAUUACAUGUCAUCAUUGAUCUUUAGCUAAAGGUACAUUGAAAAGUUAAUGGCACUGCAUACCAGUCAUUAUAAUUGGGUCAGGCAAUUGGGUCAGGGCAAUUGGGUCAGGGCAAUUAGGUCAGAGCAUAACUUCAUUAGGAAAAGAGGCUUCAGCUACGUUAAAUAUUACAGGAUGUACUGAUGGCUGAAGUUGUUGACGUUGUACGAGAAACGAAAGAUGAGUGUUUGUUUUGAACAAAGUUGUUGCCAAUCUUGCAGAGUUCGAGAAGAAAGAUCACGAAGCAAAUGCCACCGAUUUCUUCAUCACUGUAGCCUCCAUAGUUGAAGUUUCCUCAUUUGAAGCUGUUUAUGCAUAUGCUUUUUCCCUUCUCAAGUACAGGAAAUUGAAGAAUUAACCAGAUGUGAUAUGCUGAAAGAGGGAAGUUUCUCCCUUGAAUGUGGCCUUGUGAUUUGUCUUGAAGGAAUAGGAUGAUCACUGGCAAGAACCCUAUCAAGGUAGAUUUUAUGAUGUUAACAUAUUAUUAAGCAUUUUGUUACAUCAGCAAUGAUGCUUUCAUAGCAUGAAAGUGUUUAAAUUUAACUGAAUGAUCUUGAUUGAUCAAUUAUGAGUUUUAAUCGAGUAAAAACUAAAUACAAUAAUCGUUAACAAAUAUUGAAAUUGGGUAAAUAUGAUCUUGAUAUUGAUGAAUUUGAAAUCACAACCCACACAGGAAAUCACCCUGCGCGUGGGAUGGAAAUGUUUACUGCAGCGAUAUUGAAUAUGUCCACUGCUGGACUAAUUCUGAUUACCUAAUUGACUCAGGAUCGGCUGGCAAUAAUAACAGUUUAUUAACAAUGCACAGUCCGAGUACUUUUCCAGGAUCAGAUACGACGUGGUCUAAUGUUGAUAAUAAUAGAUUAUCAAAUGACAAAUCGUUGUUCUACUAUUGCAAGCCCCCAGAUUUAAGAAUCUUUUUCAGAAAUUAAAUACAUUCUGAGAGAUGCUGGUCUACUAUUGCAAGCCCCCAGGUUUAAGAAUCUUUUGACGGUAAUUUAUCACCUGUAACUGUGCCGGAAGAUUCAACUAGCACUGAAAAAGAUGAUAAAUUAAUUGAUAUGGAGAGUUUUCAUAUCACUUUUAAAUCAUCUUAUGUAAUUGUGAUGUUAGGAAGCAUUAGUGAUCUAUAUGUGAAUUAUUAUUGGCGCCAUUGGUGGUUUUAUCUUGUUAAAAUAUGGAUGACUUCCAGUUACUAUUUUGUUGCAGACAAUCUUCUUCAAUUAACAUAUGGUUUAAAAUCAUUAUGUAAAUCAAUCUAUUAAUUUUCAAGAUAUUUAACUGAGUUAAAACUAAGUGCACUCAAUAAAUCUCUUUUCCUUUAAAAAACUGUUACGCUUUAAUUUUAGUGCUUAAUAUUUAUUGAACUCCGAUACAGGGAAUUUGAAAUCAAACUCGUAACUACAUAUUAUCUAAUUGCAAGUUUCUAUCCAUAGCUGCUGAUUUGUAGUGAUUAUCUAAUUGACUGAGGUGACGACAAUUUUUUUUUUUUAAAUUUUCAAUAGCACAAUGUGGAAUUCAAUAAUUAAAUUCUCCUUUUUAAUUUGUUUCCAGUUAAAUUAUUAAUUACUUAAACUCUGUUUUAAGUCUUUAAGUUUAUGUGUUUAUGCAGAAUUGGAUUCUUGAGCGUGUUGGACACGACCAACAAUGAAAUUGACAGUAAAAAAACAAUACAACGUGUGGACUCCGGUAGAUGCCAUACAAGUCUACAACUUUACAAAUAAUAAUUGAGUAAGCAACUUUGAUUCUCGGGCCCUUCAAUGAAUUUCUAGCCCCGUUGACUCCGCCAACUAAAGUUUGUAAAAUAAAAAAAUACAUAGAAUUCCACUAAAUGCAAAACGCGUGGAAUUUAAUUUUCGGCCAUGUGGACCAAAACAUAAUUUAAUGAAAAAGGAAAAAAAUGAUAAGAUUUCUAAAAUAUGUGAAAGAUGAUCCAUAUUUUACUGAAACGACUUAUUAAAUUUUUCAAAGAUUUAGAAUAUUUAGUCAUAAAUUACGUGCAUGUUAAUUUUUCCGCCAUUGACUAUCAUAUUCUAAACUUAAUAGUACAUUUCUUGUUGAAGGGUACUUAGUCUCUCUUCUCCUCUUAUAAAAAUUAUAUUGAUGGAUUUCUUGUUAUAGUUAAUAGUCUUUAAGAACGGAUAACUUUAUUGUUUUCGUGACCAAAUUAUGUCCGCCUAAGGUUGUGACUAUUAAUAAAAUUAAUAUUUAAUGUUUAUGUUAAAAGAUAUAAGAUUUUAUGCGUUCAUUAAUUGUUAUUAGCUAAAGGAUGAAUUAUUUUUUCAACCCAAUCAGUUGAUGCAUCUGCAAGAGUUUUUUCUUUUAUUGACCAUAAUUAUGUUCCGGGUACAAUAAAUUGUCUUUGGUGCUUGGAAAAUAUGACUUCUUACUUCAAGUUUGAUAUGUCUCUCACCAUAAACUUACUGGAAAUAUAUCCUCAUCUACUGUCAUUUAUCUAAUAUCAAUUGAAGAUCUCACUUUUUCAAACUAUCACUUCCAAGUCUCAUUGUCACUUGGCCAUUCUUGGAUCAUUCAAAACCAAUCAAGUGUUGAAAUAAUCAAAUAUAUGCAAAAUUAGAGUCACGAUUUUUUGGUCCCCCAAAUUCUAAUUAUAUAACUUCUAUAUAUUUCAUUGCCAGGUCACGAACUUGUUGGCACAUUUUCCAAAUUCCUCUUCCAUCAGCUCUCACACGUUAACUUAAGUGGAAAGUUUCCAAGUUGAUUGCUAGAAAGCAACGCAAAAUCAGACACACUUGAUCUGUCCCCUAAUUCUCUUUUCUACGUUGAAAAAGAAAAAAAAAUAAAAUACAUAUAUAUAUAUAUAUAUAUAUAUCUAUGUAAAAAUAAAUAAUAAACUGAGUAAAAGUACAUUUGUUUAAUUAACAUCUGAUCGGGGCAUUUUUGGUGUAAGCCACAACUAAAAUCAAACAGCCCCUUAGCAUACUUCUUCCAUUUUAUCUGCUACUUUUGUGGAUCUUAUAGGGUGGGCAUGUGGACAGAAUUUAAAAGUUUUAAUAGGCUCAAAGAAGAAGAUGUGUUAAAUCUAAAGUUGUUGCACCUUCUGAUUAAAUAAAGUUGUACAAUUUCAUCAACUUGAAAGAAUUGACAUUAAUGAACUGGUCGCCUCUCCAUGUAUGAAGCCUUCUUAAAAGUUAAUUUUUAUUUCAGAAAAAAAAAAGUUUAAGUUACAUAUAUUACAGUAAGAUUUUUUGAGACCAAUUCCCUUCUUGAAAUAAUAAUAGAAAAGUAUUAAUUUAAAAAUAAAAUGAAUAUGUAUUGAUUAUAUCCUGAUUUUCAUCGAUUAUAGUUAGAGUUUCACCAAAUCAAUUCCCUUAUUCAAAUAAUACAGAAAAAAUAGUAAUUUAAUAGUAAAAUAAACAGGUGUUGAUUAUAUAUCCUAAGUUUCAUCGAUUAUGUGAUCAAAGUGGCAUUGUUGAUUUAUUUUUUGUUCAAUGUUAAUUUUUAGGUUAUAUAAAUUUCAAGGAUUUAAAAUCUUUGGCCAUGAAUUACACGCUUGUUAAUUUUCCUGCCAUUGACUGUCAUAUUCUAGACUUAAUGAUACCUUUCUUGAUCAAGGGUAAUUACUCUCUCUUCUCCUCUUAUAAAUUCCUCUUCCAUUAACAUCACUAGGAGUAUGUUGAUCUCUCAGACGUUAACUUGAGUGGAGAGUUUCCAAAUUGAUUGUUACAAAACAACACAAAAAGUAGACACACUUGAUCUGUCUAAUAAUUCUCUUUCGGUAAAAUUAAAUAAUUUUAGGGGAAUAUUCGGCCAACCUCUAUAAUUUCAGAGUGAUCAUUAAUUAAUUAAUCGAUACAAAUAUCUAAAGUGAUUAAAUGUGACUUGAAAUUUGAUCUCUAUCGAUUGGUUUACAAAUGGACGUACUUGUGCCUUUGUGGCGAUAAUCGAACAAGUACCCAUGAUUAUUAUUUUUUCCAAAAACUUUUUUACAACAAAUUCAUCUCGUCAAAAAUUCUAUGUUGCUAACUAACAAUAAUUGAGCACUUGGCCGCAUUGACUCCACGUCUUCACCUCUUUCUAAAUUCUAAGUAAAAACAUGGAAAUGUAAUUUCCACAAAAUGCCAAAUGUGUGGAAUUUAAUUUUUUGCCUUGUGGAUCAAAAUACAAAUGAAAGAAACAGAAGAAAAAAAAGGCCCAAAGACUUCUAAAAGAUGAAGAAGUCUUUGUGCCUUUUUAUAAUGGUGAAUUUUUUAAAAGAAAAAAAAUAACAACAUUUUUAUGGUUUGUUUUGAUAAUCAUAUUUACAUAUACUCUCUAAUUUUCAAAAUGGACACAUAAAUCUUUUUUUUUUACAAAAUAUAUAUUAUUCAUAUUUUUUUUUAUUUUUUUAUUAUCAUAUUUUUAUUUAUUAUAAAUGUUUAGAGCAAAUUUUUAGGUUGAAAUAUAAUAAAAAGGUAUAAUUGUUCUCUUAUUAAACACACAUACUUUUAUUAGUUUCUAUCCAUUUGUCAUCUCAAUCUCUCUCAAUUAUUCUUUAUUGCUAGCUCAAAACGCGUUGCUGUUGCAAAUUAUAGCAAAAUGACAAAUAUGGAAAAAAAGGGAAGAAAAUUAAUGCAUGAAAGACUUGGAGAAAACAACAAAAUAAGCCAACUAUGAGUUAGUUGGGUGUAUAAAUUGUUAGAUGUGUUAUAUACAAAUAGCGUAGAGCCCUCUAGUUGGUUCCAAAGACAGAAAGAGCGUGUGUGUUUUUUCACAGUUAGAGAUAUAGUUAGAAUGGGUGGUUCAAAAUCAAAAAUGAUGAUAAUGUUUAUUAUGUUAUUAAUAAUAUUUAAAAGUGGGUGGAGUGAGGGAUGUUUGGAUCACGAGAGAUUUGCUUUUUGAGACUCAAACAUUUCUUCAAUGAUCCUCUUAAUUCUCUUUACGACUGGGUAGAUGGUGAGGGAGCUACUGAUUGUUGUCAGUGGGAAAGGGUUGAGUGCAGCAACACCACAGGCCGAGUGAUAGCACUGGACCUUUCUUAUAUAUAUUCGGGAGAGUACAGCUGGUAUCUGAAUGCUUCUUUAUUUACUCCCUUCCAACAACUUGAGUCACUUGAUUUAACUCAAAACAAAAUAGCCGGAUGUGUUGAGAAUGAAGGUACUUUGUUUAAUUUAAUUAAUUUACUUUCUCCCCCCUAAUUUAAGUUGAAUAUCAAGACUGAGCAAUUAUACGCAUAUUCAUUUAGUCGACAAUUUUGACUUUUUUUUAAAUGAUUAAUUUUGAAAUUACACCAGUAUCUAUGAUCUUUUUUAUUUUAUUUUAUUUGCAGGUAUAGAGAGGCUAUCAAGAUUGAACAACUUGAAGAUGCUUAAUUUAAGUGGAAACUCAUUCAAUAAUAGCAUUUUAUCAUCUCUAACUCAUCUUUCAUCAUUAAGAUCAUUAAAUUUAUUGUGGAAUAGAUUGGAAGGAAGUAUUGACGUUAAAGGUACAUAAUUAAAACUUCAAGCUCUUUCAUUAACUUGCUAAAAUAAGAUUCAAGGCUUUGAAUUCAAUUUUUUUAUGAUUAAUAUUAAAAAAACAGUUUUAAGCAAUUUAUAAAAACAAGUUUUAAUGUUUCUUGUAAUUUCAUCUUGUACUUUCAUAUGUCUUGAAUUUAAGAUUAAAAAAAAAACUCUAAUAGCGAACCAAACACCUCCACAACUUCUUAUUAUUUGUGGUGAGGUUUGAAACAUUCAACUCAAUUUGUACUUAUUACAGAAUUUGAUUCUUUGAGAGAUUUAGAGGAGCUAGACAUUGGCGGGAACAAGAUUGACAAAUUUGUGGUCUCAAAAGGUACUACAAAUACCAUAAAAAAAUAUGCUAACUUUUACAAAUUAGUUAGAUUCUUUGCCAUUUGGUUUAUUAUUUUACAGGUUUGAGUAAGUUGAAGUCUCUCGGUUUAAGUGGUAUCAAACUCAAUCGUAGCAUCUUAUCUUCUCUGACUGUCUUUUCUUCGUUAAGAGAAUUACAUCUACGUGAUACGGGAUUCAAAGGAACAUUCGAUGUUCGAGGUAAGCCUAAGUCUUGCUUUCUCAUUUUAUAUAUGCCAACUAGAUUUGUGUAUCAUCGACAUAAUUUAAUAUUUAAUUUGAUAAGUUUGAAUGAAUUACAUGCUAAUUUAAACACACUUUUAUUUACUUUGUCAAUUAAUUAAUUAAUUAAUUAAUACUAUUUGGCUUGGUUUGGACGAAAUUCUCAUGAUGUUUUAAUUUCUUUAAAUUAAUUAAUUAAUUAACUCUGUUUUUAAGUCUUAAGUCUGGGCGUGUUUGCAGAAUUUGAUUCCUUUAACGACUUAGAAGUGUUGGAUAUGAGAUACAAUGAAAUCGACAAUCUUGUGGUUCCUCAAGGUAAACAAUUAAAAGGUACAGAUGUGGCCAAAUUUAUAAAUAAAUUGUUAAUUAAUUAAUUUUUUCGUAUUAUUAAUAAAGCUAAAUUCGUUGCUCCUUCCUUCUAAUUCUAAACAGAGUUGCACAAUUUCACCAACUUGGAAUAUUUGACAUUGGAAUCUUCCUCUCUCCAUAUAAGCCUUCUGCAAAGCAUUGCAUCAAUAUUCCCUUCGUUAAAAAAUCUGUCGAUGUCUUUUUGUGAAGUCAAUGGUGUCGUACGCGGUCAAGGUAAAAGAAAAGCGUUGAUUGUGAACUCACUCAAUGGUGUCCUACGUGUUCAACAUUUUUAUUUAUUUUAUUGUUUAAUGUUUCUGCUAGGUUUUCCUCAUUUCAAGAGUUUGGAACAUUUUGACAUGAGGUUCGCGCGCAUUGCGCUCAACACCAGCUUUCUUCAAAUCAUCGGUGAAUCGAUGCCCUCUCUUAAGUACUUAUUACUGUCAUAUUCUACUCUUGGCACUAACAGCAGCAGGAUUCUUCAUCAAGGUUAAUGAGAUGCUGCCACCCUCCCCUCUUAACCUAUAAUAUUAAUUUUCGAUUAAAUAUUUAAUUACACAAACCAAUCACUUAUUAUAAAAGAACAAUACGCAUUCAUUAAUUUUUAUAUUGUAUUAAUAAUUGAUGAAUUUAAUAAAUUUUCAGGCCUCUGUUCGUUGGUGCACCUGCAAGAGUUGUACAUUGAUAAUAAUGAUUUAAGAGGUAGCUUGCCUUGGUGCUUGGCAAAUAUGACAUCCCUCCGAAUAUUAGAUGUUUCUUCCAAUCAACUUACGGGAAGCAUCUCCUCAUCUCCCCUCGUUCAUUUGACAUCCAUUGAAAAGUUGGAUCUUUCAAACAAUCACUUUUGGAUCCCAAUUUCACUUGAACCACUUUUCAAUCACUCACGACUCAAGCUUUUCUAUGCUGACAACAAUGAAAUAAAAGCUGAAAUAACUGAGUCACAUUCUUUGACUGCCCCAAACUUCCAAUUAAAAUAUCUCUCAUUGUCUUCCGGUUACGAAGAUGGUGUCACAUUCCCCAAAUUCCUUUACCAUCAACAUGACCUGGAGUAUGUUGACCUCUCACAUAUAAACAUGAGCGGAGAAUUUCCAAAUUGGUUGUUGGAAAACAACACAAACUUAGAAUAUAUUUUUUUGGUUAAUGAUUCUCUUGCAGGACCUUUCCGGUUGCCAAUUCAUUCACACAAGCGGUUAAGACUGUUGGAUAUAUCCAACAACAACAUCAGAGGCCACAUUCCAGUAGAAAUUGGAGAUGUUUUACCGGGUUUAUUUUCUUUAAACAUUUUCAUGAAUGCUUUAGACGGUUGCAUUCCCUCUUCAUUUGGUAAUAUGAAAUUCCUCCAAUUUCUGGACUUAUCCAACAACCAAUUGACUGGUGAAAUCCCUAAGCACUUGGCCGUGGGUUGCGUCAACUUAGAGUCUCUUGCGUUGUCAAACAACAACUUAGAAGGUCAUAUGUUCUCCAGAAACUUCAACCUGACAAACUUGAAAUGGUUACAAUUGGAAAGCAAUCACUUCGUAGGAGAGAUCCCACAAAGUUUGUCUAAAUGCUCCUCACUAAAAGGAUUGUAUCUUAACAAUAAUAGUCUUUCGGGUAAGAUUCCACGAUGGUUGGGUAAUCUCACAUGGUUACAAUAUAUUACAAUGCCCAAUAAUCAUCUUGAAGGUCCUAUUCCAGUGGAGUUUUGUCAGCUUGAAUGGCUUCAGAUUUUGGACAUUUCAGACAACAACAUAUCUGGAAGUUUACCAUCUUGUUUCCAUCUUCUCUCUAUCAAACAAGUUCAUCUUUCAAAAAAAUAUGUUACAUGGACAGCUAAAAAGAGGUACAUUCUUUAAUUGCUCUUCCCUUGUGACAUUAGAUCUUAGUUAUAACCGCUUGAAUGGCAGCAUUCCGGAUUGGGUUGAUGGACUUUCUCGGUUAAGCCACCUUAUCUUGGCUCACAAUAAUCUUAAAGGUGAAGUGCCAGUUCAAUUGUGCAAAUUGAACCAACUACAAUUGUUAGAUCUUUCUAAUAAUAAUCUUCAUGGUCCUAUUCCUCUUUGCUUUGAUAACACCACACUUCAUGAAAGUUACAGCAAUAGUUCUAGUCCUGAUGAGCAAUUUGAAAUAUAUGUUUUCAUCGAAGGCCCUCAGGGAGGUGUAGAAAAGAAAAUCCAUGAAAUUUUUGAGUUCACAACAAAGAACAUUGCGUACAUUUACCAAGGAAAAGUGCUUAGCCUCCUAUCAGGACUUGAUCUUUCUUGCAACAAGCUAAUCGGUAAUAUUCCUCCUCAAAUUGGAAAUUUGACAAGGAUUCAAACAUUGAAUCUAUCGCACAACAACUUGACAGGAUCGAUCCCAUCAACAUUUUCAAACUUGAAGCAUGUCGAAAGUUUGGAUCUUUCCAACAACAAAUUGAAUGGGAAAAUCCCUCAUCAACUAGUGGAGUUAAAGACAUUGGAGGUUUUCAGUGUGGCAUACAAUAACUUAUCAGGCGAAAUUCUAGAAUGGAAAGCACAAUUUGCAACCUUCAACGGGAGUAGCUAUGAAGGAAAUACUUUUCUUUGUGGACUGCCAUUGCCCAUUUGCAGAUCACCAGCAACUACGCCGGAGGCUUCAAUUGGCAAUGAACGAGAUGAUAAUUUAAUUGACAUGGACAAUUUCUUUAUCACAUUUACAACAUCGUACGUAAUUGUGAUAUUCGGAAUUGUUAUUGUUUUAUAUGUAAAUUCUUAUUGGCGACGUAGAUGGUUUUACUUUGUUGAAAUGUGGAUAACUUCAUGUUAUUAUUUUAUUGUAGACAAUCUUAUUACAACAAGAUAUUGUCAUUGAAAUUAAUUAGGAGUUUAAUUACGAUUCUUUAAGUUCUAAUCAAGUUUGCUUAGGAAAUAAAUUUAUUUUUAUUUUUUAUUAAAACUGUAGUAGUAUUUAGCUCUAUAUAGCUUCCAACUUCCAAGCACUUCACAUUUGUCUCUACACUUCCAAACCCAUAUCUAUCCACCAUAACUUAUACUUCCCUAUACUGUGCAGCAUACUUAAAUAAGAGAACCAUCUCCAAUGUUAAAACCAGCCACUCUAUAACAUUCAUUUAGAAUAGUUUUAUUAUCAUACACAAGAAAUGAAACACCUAGAUGCACUUGAUCGCCUAUUUUACUUUAAAAAAUAAUGAUUAUGGUGCUAUCAUCAUCUUCUUCACUAGCAACAUUAACACCAAAUCCAGCGAUGGACCCAGACAUUUUAUCAAGAAAGGUAUAUAUAUAAUAAAGUUGAAGCUUGACAAAAAAUUCAGGAAGAUUAAUGCCUCGCCACAACAAGGGGCACAACAACAUCAAAGUAGAGAUGAAGCAAUAUUUUCAAAUCUAAAACUCUCAAAUCCACCCACCAAAAUUUCAUAUCUCCUCAACAAUUUUAAGAACUAAAGAUAAUUAGGAUCUAACAUUAGUUUUUUAUAUAUUAGUUUCAUAAUUUACAAAUCAAUGAAGAUGAAGAUUAUGCUAAUGAAUUCAAAUUAUACCAUAGAUUCUCGAGAUGUUACCAAAAAUUUCUAAGCCAAUCCCACAUAUUUCAUAAUUUUAAGACUAGAAAAUUUCAUUAGUUAGAAGUUUCAUUACCUUCAAGUGGAAGAUGAAGAACAUUAUACAAUUGAUUCAGAUUAUAUCAUACAUACUCCAAAUGCAACUAGAAAUUAACAAGUUCAUGCGCACAGAUUUCAUAACAUUAUGAUUGGAAAGUUUCACAAAGAGAAAUUCUAAAUUCAAUCUCUUGCAUCAAGGUAGUUUGAUUGAUUUGAGUUACUUUCUCAUCAAGCUACUAAUAUAACAUUCAAGUCAGGGAGAAAGUAAAUUAAAACGGGGAAGAAACAACAGUAAAAAUUUGUUGCUAAACAUGAUGUGUAUUUUUUUUUAAGGCAAUUUGGAAACACAGUUGUUACUACAGAUAUUCUCCUCAACUUAGAGAUAAAUACAAAUAUUAAAAUGCAUAUGAUCGCACAUAUUACUUGGAGCUUAGUAAGAUUUCAUUAAGAGAAGCAAUCAAACCACUUAUCAAUUGUUGCAAUCGUUCUAUAAGCUAAAAUAGCAAUAUAAUACAAGAAAAAGAACAUAUAGAUACUUGGCAAGAGUUCAUUAAGAAGUCGCAUCACAUUCGGGUGAGUUUGCUUCUGAUAUCUUGCUAGCUGGGGCUUUUUCUUGUCUUUCUACGUAUGCCGAGGGAAACCAACCAGCUUGGCCCUUGCAUUCACCUUCCGACCAUCCAGUAGGAGCCACCUUGAGAAGUUAUAACUAAAAGUCUAAAACAAUGAAUUAAACAAAAGUUGACCGUUCAAAGACCUAAGGGGAAAACUAAUUCUUUUACGUAGGAGGAGUGAAUUAGUUGUGAUCACUGAAAUAACAGCAUAACUAUGGAAGCAUAACAAGAUAUAAAUUCACACGUCUAUAAGGGUAAACUGGGUGGUUUAGAACUGAGCUAGCAACCCUACUAUAUUCUGAUUUGCACAUCAAUGUAAAAGGGAAUAUAUGGUAGGAAGAAAGAAAACCAACCAUCAGUUGUUAACUCAUUGCUUUUCAAUCAAAAUUUUAAGAACAAAAUGCCAUGUGCUUUGAACAUCAAAUAAGUAUAAGCAUUAGUUCUAAAUUCCACAUAUCAUAAGUUAGAAGGACAAGUCAAUAGCAUAGUAGAAAAAUCUAUGUGUUGUUAUUUAGAGGGGAAAGUACCUGGCGAACCACAACAUAAUCAUCAAUUGAAAGACUUAGCUCUCCAUUUGCUUGAGCAUCAAAUGGAUGUAUAACCUGCAAGAUAAUGGGAUAAAUAGAACUUAAUCUUAAAAAAAGCAUAACAAAAGCAGCAACAGUAGCAGCAGCGUUCAUUGUAACCACUAUGAUCAUGGCCAACAAAGAUAUAUUACAAACAAAAUUCCAUUUUUACUACGACAUUAAUAUGUACUAUAUGAUAUCAUGACGAUUGGGUUACCAAGAGCUAUCAAAGUCCAAUAAAUUCUGUAUAACUUUAGGUAGUUAUUCAAAUUAUGGAUCAGAUUUUAAAUCCGAAAUUUUGACUGCUCUCCACAAAACAUGGCCUAUGCACAAGAAAGUCAUAGAUAAUGAGGAUUACAAGUGUCUGACAUCUUUUGAGUGAUGGAUUUAACAUGAGAGCUUAUGGUCAGUCAAUUUCCUCUGCCUAGCAAUAUAAGCUUUCUCGGCCAGAUUUAUCAUCAAAUACAUAGAUUGGCCCCAAGUCACAUCCAAAUAAACAUAGUUUUUCUAGGUAAACCAAGUAAGGAGAAUCAUAAUUCAGACAUAAUCAUAAAAAGGCCCAUCUAACUUAAGAGAAAAUCUCAAAAAGAGGGAUGUUGAGCUAUCAGUCUUGUAUCUAUAAGCAAUAUCAAGACUUUACAUCACCUACUACAUCGUGAGUGGCUACACAACUUUCAGUGGUUUGUCUUUCUUUGGCAUGCCUAACUCAGCUUUGAUGUUGCUGAGAUAUUGAUAGUAAAGACACAUGAUACUUCUAGCCCAUGCAUUCUAUCUAGCUCAUCCGACAACUAUCUCUUUUUUAAUUCAUUAGUGUUUGCUAAACCUCAUGCUUAAAAGUCCUAUUCUCCUAAACAAAGCUUCCUAAGAAUGACUUCCUCAGCACCACAUUUGGACACUUUUAGAGCAAUUUUAUUUGGGGGAAAAGAAUUUUCAAGGUGUUAACUAAUAAAUUUUAAAAAAUAAUUACAAUUUGUCCUACAAUUAUAUGACAAUUUAUCUGGGAUGAAAGGAUACAGACAGACAUCUUCCACUUUCAAGACUAAUCACUACUUCCGUAGAUGUUUUGCAAUAAUACAAAUACUUGACCAGAUGGUAGAAAAAAAUUUUAUUGCUCCAAAAUUAAAAUAAGAAUGCAAUAUGUUAAGCAAAAGACUGUGCAACAUCAAAUUAAUUGAUAAGUUUGUAAUUCAGUAAAUUAACAACUUUCAUGGUAAAAUACAACAAAUUUCUUUUCAAAAAAAAAAAAAAAAAAUUAAAAGACGGCAUUCAAUUUUUUGGGCAUCUUAUUUCUUAAGAUUUUCCAGGAGGAGGGCACUAGAGGGACUUUCACCUAUGCAAGAGAGCAGAAGCCUUACUUUCGCUAUAAAGUAGACGUCAUUCUGAUUAAUAUGCGUUUGCAAAUCAGCUCCAUUUGAAUCAGUAUUCUGAUAGACACGUGAGGCAUUUACAUCCAUUUCCAAAGUCACAUGUUGCGAGGAGGACUCAUUUGAUUGCUCCUCUAGGAUCAUCUAAUUCAAGUAGCAAGGGUUGGAAGAGAAUAAAAAGUCACAAUUAUUCUUUUGCAUAAGUGAGACGAAAAUGAUAAAUGCAAUAUUAUCAGCAGUAAACAAGAAGAGAACACUCCAAGGAAUAGAUAGAUGCCGACAAGCAAGUUAAAAUGCACAGUUCCAAACCUCCGCAUACAACUUCUCUAAAAUAGCAAUAAUGUGUUGAUGAUAUGUUUUCUCAGCAUCUACCUGCAAAGGCCUGAGACCAGGAAAACAACAAUAAAACCACUAGCUAAAGGAGAAAGUAAAGAAAGAAAUACACUUGACAUAAAUCUUGACAAGAAGCACAAUUUAAGACAUAACAAACCCCAAUCAGAUUGUUUAGAACUACCAUUCGUUAUUUCGUUAUUGUAGCAUUUCGAACAAGUGUUGACUUAAUUCAACAUUGUUGGAAAGAUAGGCUUUUAGAAGCGGAAGAAAGCCUCUCAAACCAAAGUGAUUGUCCUUGUAUUGAUCAAGGGAUGUAAACAUAUUACAUUUGCAGGAUGAGUUUUAAUCACUCCCCUGAUUUAUUUGGGUUGCAGUAAAACUAAGCGAGCAACUGUUUGACUUUCAAGCAACAUCUAAAUCAGCUAUUAAAAUUCAAAUAAAAUUAUAAUAGAAUAAUAACAGGCCAUCUUGCAUAAAAAAUUAAGUUUAAUUUGUGAAUUUUUUUCUAUAGACAUGUUAGUUCCUGCUAUUGAAAUGUUAAAAGCAUUGAAAAAUUAUUCAAUAAAUUAUGCAAACAUUAAAAUAGAGGACAUAUUAAAAAGUUUCUAAUUACAAUGUUAAGAUUUCCUAUAUUUUAGCAUUUGCAUAUUUUAAUUUAAUUUAAAAGUUACGUCAAUCAACUUUGGGCGUGAAGAUUUUAGCUUCUACGAGACUUGAUUGGAAUAUGCAUAAGGAAGAGUGUUAAAAUAUGAUGCAUCCAACGAAAGACAAACCACGUGUAGUCUUUUAAUUAAGCCAAAGUAGCAGCUCAAACAAAUGACACUUGGACCAACAUGCAAUCAUGAAGUGGCCGGUAAAAGGACAAAUGCAACUUUGGCUUAAAUAAAAAAUAACAUGUGACUUGACUUUUGCUGACAUGCAUCAUGUAUUACAAGACAACAGAAAUCAGUAUGAUAGUACUAAAAGUUGACAAUAACAUGAAGAUAAGAGCAGAAUGUCAACACCUGCAUAGGCACACACAAGAAAGUAUUAACAUAUAUACCAUAGCAAAAAGUCUUUGAUAUGUCAUCUGUUGCUGCUGUGAUUCAACUGACAGCAUGGCAGCUGUCGCUUCUCUACCAAGAGCCAUUAUUGUAGAUUUAAGCUCGGUCAAUCUUGCUUCUGCAUUUCGAAGCUUCACAGCACUCUCUGCUGAUAUAUCAGAUUUCCUUAUCUUUGAUCGGUGCCUAAAUACUUCAGCUGCCUGGUGAAAAUAUUCAAUAUAAAUCUAACAUAAUUCUCAUCUUGCCUUAUACAUGCAUAUGUUACCUCAAAGCUUGCCUGGGCUUCAAACUUCAUGUCGAAGUUGUCAUAACGAUGAGUCAGGUGUCGAGCAUCUUCCAAAGGUGCUCCGUUGAUUAACGCCCGUAGUGGCUCAGAUACCUACAUGUCCAAAAACCUGUAACAUAGUUAGAAAAAUGAAAAGAAAGAGCGAAACCUCAAUUAAAAAGUUCCUCCAACAUAAUCAUGGAAUUUGGGCCUACUUCAAGGAUAUAUAUAAGAUAAUUUAUGCAAUUUUGGGUCUUAGGAUGAUUCAUAUUAGGUUAGUGUUCUUCUCUUCUGUAUUUAAGGUUAAAAUAGAAAUAAACCUAUGCAAAUAUCUAAAUUAGGGCUGUAAGACUUCCACAUGCAUCCUUCAUCUCAUGGAUUUGAUUUACUAUAGAUGCAAGUGUCUUUAUCGAAAAUGCUUGGAGUCAAUUGAGAGAACUCACAGCCAAUAACUUGUCACAUGCUAGUCUUUGCUAUGAUGCAAGAAGUCACAAGGUCUCUUCAACAUUUGAACCAAUAAAAUUAUUAAGUCAUGGAUGUCACUAGCAAUGAUUUCAAUAUAAAACAUUAAAUAUUUCAAGUUGUAACUUUAAAAUGGAUUCUUUUAUUCAAUAUCUUAGAACUAAGUUUCCUUAUGAGAAGAUAAUAGUUUCAGUAGUAAUUACAUGAAAUUUUCUAUAUUUGAAUUAUUUUCUAGUUAGGGAUGAACUAACCUGAUCAUGAAGAAUCCCAAGCAAAGUUUCCCUCUCAUUUUCCAUCAAAUCAUGUGAAGUGCCAAAUUGAAGAGCAGCUCUUGCAGCGCAAGAAUUGUCACUUUGAUUCUCCGCUCCAUACUUGCAACAAUCUUCAGCCAACUUUCUCGCUACAAUAUUUGAAUACAAAAAUAUUGUACACAAGAACCAGUCAAGAAAAUAAAAAAAAAAUCAAAUAUAUAUAACGAGAGCAAGAGCAAACAAACAACCUAUUUCCAUUUGUUUCAAGCUUACUGCAACAAACCCUUCAACGCCACGGACAAUAUUCCUCUGAAAAUGCUGUGCUACAGAGCAUAUAUUCCAAAUUAUUGUUCAGAUAAAACCAUAGAAACCAUCAUAAUUAUCAACAUACAUUAAGCUCCGUUUGGUAAAACUUGCAACUUCAGUCUAGAAAAUACAGUUUGUUUGUACCAUAUUUGACAAAAUUAUAUUUAAAAAUCAUAACUAAUUACCAAAAGCCACAAUAAAUCAUAUCAAACAGAGUCUUAUUAUUAGCUAAAGGAGGAUGGUGCCUUAGCUGCCCUGGUGGAAUUGUAUAGAUUUUAAAGUUGUUGGUGACACUCAAUUUCAGCUUCAUGAACCGCAAUAUUUUCAAUACCAAGAUGGAGCAGAUGCUUCAAUGCUGCCUGUACAAAUCAUAAAAAACUAAUAAAAAUAAAUAAAAUCGAUAAAUUCACUAACUAAAAGUCUAAAUAUAAUUUUUGAAAAAAGAAAAGAAACGGACUUGCUGCUGCUUGGCGACUUGUUCUCGGUGCUUGAUUGCCUGUUCUUGAUAGCUUCCAUACUGUUUCUUUCAAAAAGCAACGACGCUCAGCUCAUGGAGGUGGAAAAAAAAAGUAUGAUCGAGAAAAAUAAAAAGCGAUGAAUAAUUUUUUGACAAAAAGCGAAAAUAAAAAGGCAUGAAUAAUGAAUAAUUUUUGACAAAAAGCUCUUUCCAGAAAAUAAAAAAGAAAAAAAGAAAAAAGAAAAUUAUAAGUUUGAAAGGAGUAGAUGAUAGUGGAAGUGUGCGGUGUGGCUGCCAGCUACUUGAAUUGUAUUGUCGGGUAAGGUAAUAGUAGAGAAAUUUUUUUUUUGAAGAAAAAUGGGUAAUUUUUAAAAACCUCCCCUGAGGUUUGGCUUGUUGUAAGUAGAUGGCGAGAAUCCAUUUAUUUGUAAAAAACCCCCUACGUUUUUGCUCCGCUUGGUUGCCGUUUGGGCAAUUGUGGCUUGUUGACAUUUCGCAAUAAAACAAAUCUUUUGCAACUUUCGUUUCCUUGAGAACAAUAGCUAGAUUUCUCAAUCUGUUUCAUCCAACACUUCAAAAAUUUCAACUUUUAUGAGUUAUUGCAUUCUCUGGCAAAGUAGACUUCUUCUAAUUUUAUCACAGUGCUUUCAGGAACAAGAAUGGGAUCCAUUAACAUCCCCUCAAAUUUUACAGCUUCCUUACAGCUAUACACUGCUGUAACACGAAGUUUAAUGAUUCCAUCGCCAAAUAGUCCCCAAAAUCUAUUCUUCCCCAUAUUGAACAACUUAAGUUCACAACACUUGCAUUCUAAAGGCUUCCACUAACAUCUAAUAUCUCAAGACUCAACGUUGCUUUACAAUAAUUGUUAUUACUACCAAACAAACAUGAAGAAACCCCGAUUAUCGGAUAAAUCAACCAAAAUGAACAAGAGAAGAACCCAAAACAAGUGAAUCGCUAGAGCAAAACCCCCAACCCAUAUCCCUAAUCCCACACUCAAAAAAACCCAAUUUCUCUCCAAAGUCAUUGACACUAGCAUCACUACUAGACUCUAAUUCCAAUCCUAGAUUACAUUUAAUGUUAACCCAACUAAAAUGAAUGUUCUUACUACAAUACGCAUCGUUUACACUCUCAAACAACGCGCUGAACUUACUCUUAAACGAUCCCACAUUGGUCAAACACUCAUCACUCACAUCGACAUCCAAGAAUUCACUCAAAAACUUCAUAGACUCGACAAUUGGAGAAAACAAAACCACUAAACUCAACUUUAUACAAGCAUACCCAUCGAGAAUCUUACCGUCAUUAACCGAAUCACAACAAAUCACCGGGUCCCACGCGCAGUCGUGAACGAGCUUACGCAUGGACGGGGCAACAUUUAACCCCCGCGGCAAAAACGACGAAGCUUUGGAAAAAUUGUNUUUUUAAAAGGCAAAAAUAACAACACUUCUAUGGUUUGUUUUGAUAAUCACAUUUACAUAUACUCUCUAAUUUUCAAAAUGGACACAUAAAUCUUUUUUUUUCUACAAAUGUAUAUUAUUCGUAUUUUUUAUUAUUUUUAAUAUCAUAUUGUUAUUUAUUAUAAAUGUUUAAAGUAAAUUUUUAGGUUAAAAUAUAAUAAAAGGGUAUAAUCGUUCUCUUAUUAAACACCCAUACUUUUAGUUUCUAUCCAUUUGUCAUCUCAAUCUCUCUCAAUUAUUCUUUAUUGCUAAAAACGCGUUUUGUUGCAAAUUAUAGCAAAAAGACAAAUAUGGAAAAAAAAAAAGGAAGAAAUUAGUGCAUGAAAGACUUGAGAAAAACAACGAAGUAAGUCAACUAUAAUCUAGCUGGGUGUAUAAAUUGUUUGAUGCUUUAUAAGCAAAUAACAAACAGAGACAGACAGUGUGUGUUCGUUUUUUCAUAGUUAAAGAUAUAGUUAGAAUGGGUGGUUCAAAAUCAAAAAUGGCGAUAAUGUUUGUUAUGUUAUUAAUAAUAUUUAAAAGUGGGUGGAGUGAGGGAUGUUUGGAUCACGAGAGAUUUGCUCUUUUGCGACUGCAACAUUUCUUCAAUGAUCCUCGUAAUUCUCUUUACAACUGGGUCGAUGAUGAGGGAGCUACUGAUUGUUGUCAGUGGGAAAGGGUUGAGUGCAGCAACACCACAGGCCGAGUGAUAGCGCUAGACCUUUUUGAAAUGUAUUCGGGAGUACAGCUGGUAUCUGAAUGCUUCUUUGUUUACUCCCUUCCAACAACUUGAGUCACUUGAUUUAACUGCCAACAAAAUAGCCGGUUGUGUUGAGAAUGAAGGUGCUUCGUUUAAUUUAAUUAAUUUACUUUCUCCCCCCUAAUUUAAGUUGAAUAUCAAGACCGAGCAACUAUACGCAUAUUCAUUUAGUCGACAAUUUUGACUUUUUUUUAAGUGAUUAAUUAAUUUUAAAAUUACACCAAUAUCUAUGAUUUUUUUUUUUUUAAUUUUGCUUGCAGGUCUAGAGAGGCUAUCAAGAUUGAACAACUUGAAGAUGCUUAAUUUAAGUGAAAACUCUUUGAAAAAUAGCAUUUUAUCAUCUCUAACUCAUCUUUCAUCAUUAAGCUCAUUAAAUUUAUUUUUAAAUAGAUUGGAAGGAAGUAUUGACUUUAAAGGUACAUAAUUAAAACUUCAUCCCUUCUCCAAGCUCUUUCAUUAACUUGCUAAAAUAAGACUCAAGGCUUUGAAUUCAAUUUUUUUUAUGAUUAGUAUUAAAAAAAACAGUUUUUAAGCAAUUUUAUAAAUACAAGUUUUAAUGGUUAUCGUAAUUUCAUCUUGUAAUUUCAUAUGUCUUGAAUUUAAGAUUAAAAAAAACUCUAAUAGCGAACCAAACACCUCCACAACUUAUUAUUAUUAUUAUUAUUAUUAUUAUUUGUGGUGAGGUUGGAAACAUUCAACUUAAUUUGUACUUAUUACAGAAUUUGAUUCUUUGAGAGAUUUAGAGGAGCUAGACAUUGGCGGGAACAAGAUUGACAAAUUUGUGGUCUCAAAAGUACUACAAAUACCACAAAAAUGUAAACUUUUACAAAUUAGCUGGAUUCUUUGCCAUUUGGUUUAUUAUUUUACAGGUUUGAGUAAGUUGAAGUCUCUUGAUUUAAGUGGUAUCAAACUCAACCGUAGUAUCUUAUCUUCUCUAACUGUCUUUUCUUCAUUAAAGAAUUACAUCUACGUAAUAUCAUAUUCAAAGGAACAUUUGAUGUUCGAGGUAAGCCUAAGCCUUGCUUUCUCAUUUUCUAUAUGCCAACUAGAUUUGUGUAUCAUCGGGCAUAAUUUAAUAUUUAAUUUGAUAAGUCUGAAGGAAUUACAUGCUAAUUUAAACAUACUUUUAUUUACUUUGUCAAUUAAUUAAUUAAUUAAUUACUAUUUGACAUUGGACGGUUCCUCUCUCCAUAUAAGCCUUCUGCAAAGCAUUGCAUCAUUCACUUCGUUAAAAAAUCUGUCGAUGUCUGAUUGUGAAGUCAAUGGUGUCCUACGUGGUCAAGGUAAAAGAAAAGUGUUGAUUGUGAAUAAGCUGUUAAUUAAUUAAUGUUGUUGCUCCUUGCUUCUAAACAGAGUUGCGCAAUUUCACCAACUUGGAAUAUUUGAAUUGGAUUCUUCCUCGCUCCAUAUAAGCCUUCUACAAUUGCUUGAACAAUUUAUUUAUUUAUUUAUUUAUUAUUAUUGUUGUUGUUGUUGUUGUUGAAGUGGGGUGGGCAAGCGUUCACUCAGUUAAUAUGUGGGGAAUUAAAUAUUACAAUCCAAGGUAGAAUUGUGGAAAAUUAAAGCUAAAUGAGAAAUAUGGAAAGAAAGGAAGAAAGUUAAGGGCAUGAAAGACUGGGAGAAUACUAAAAACCACCAAAUAAGUCAACUGAAAACUAGCUGAGGCCUGGGUGUACAAAUUGUUAGAUGUUUGUUAUAAAUAACAUAGAGCCAUCUUGUUGGUUGCAGAGGCAGAGAGACAGAGAGUGUGCAUUUUGUCCAGUUAAAAAUGAUAAAAUUUAUCAUUUGUUUAUAUUGAUUUAUUAACUCUAUUUUAAGUCUUAAGUCUUGGCGUCUUGGCAUGUUUGCAGAAUUUGAUUCCUUGAGCAACUUAGAGGAGUUGGACAUGAGCGGCAAUGAAAUAGACAAUUUCGAGGUUCCUCAAGGUACACAAUUAAAAUAUUAUUUAAUUACAUUAAUUUAAUUCGUUUGAUUAGGGAAGGCCCAAAAUGUACAAAAACAUAAUUAGAAAAAAUAAAGAAACAGAGAAUUCAUAUUAUUUCAAAUAACAAAAGGUAAUACUAUUAUUUCAAAAACAGAUUGUAAUAAAGAUUUGAUUCCAAUUCUUUAAUCUUUACAGUGAUUGAAAAACGAUACUACUUCCCAAAGCAUAAAAUACGAAUUGACUCUCAAUUAAAUUAAUCAUUUAUUUCGUUUAGGUCUAAAUUUAGAAAAAUGAAUUUUGAUUCUCUUGAAUCAUUUCCUAAUAUUAUUAUUCAACAGGUUACAGAGGUUUGAGGAAGCUGAAAAGCCUGCAUCUAUCGGGAGUUGGAAUUAGAGAUGGAAGCAAGUUGUUACAGUCAAUGGGAUCAUUUCCAUCCCUCAACGCUCUUUACCUGAGCAAUAAUAAUUUUACCGGUACAACGUCAACUACUCAAGGUAAGUAAAAGGUACAGAUGUGGCCAAAUUUAUAAAUAAACUGUUAAUUAAUUAAUUUUCUGUAUUAUUAAUAAAGCUAAAUUUUUUGCUCAUUCCUUCUAAUUCUAAACAGAGUUGCACAAUUUCACCAACUUGGAAUAUUUGACAUUGGACGAUUCCUCUCUCCAUAUAAGCCUUCUGCAAAGCAUUGCAUCAAUAUUCCCUUCGUUGAAAAAACUGUCGAUGUCUUAUUGUGAAGUCAAUGGUGUCGUACAUGGUCAAGGUAAAAGAAAAGUGUUGGUUGUGCACUCACUCAGUGGUGUCCUACGUGUUCAAUAUUUUUAUUUAUUUAUUUUAUUGUUUAAUGAGAUGCUUCCACCCUCCCCUUUAAAUCUAUAAUAUUAAUUUUCGAUAAUAUAUAAUUAUAGAAACCAAUCACUUAUAAAAGAAUGCUAUGCAUUUGCCAAUUUUUUUAUAUUUUACUGAUUGAUGAAUUAAUAAAUUUUCAGGCCUCUGUUCGUUGGUGCAUCUACAAGAGUUGUACAUUGCAACUCUUGUAGUAAUUAAUUAAUUAAGUAUUAGUUAAUUAAUUAAUUAAUUAAUUUUCUGUAUUAUUAAUAAAGCUAAUUUUUUUGCUCAUUCCUUCUAAUUCUGAACAGAGUUGCACAAUUUCACCAACUUGGAAUAUUUGGCAUUGGACUCUUCCUCUCUCCAUAUAAGCCUUCUGCAAAGCAUUGCAUCAUUAUUCCCUUCAUUAAAAAAUCUGUCGAUGUCUAGUUGUGAAGUCAAUGGUGUCGUACGCAGUCAAGGUAAAAGAAAAGGGUUGAAUGUGAACUCACUCAAUGGUGUCCUACGUGUUCAACAUUUUUAUUUAUUUAUUUUAUUGUUUAAUCUUUCUGCUAGGUUUUCCUCAUUUCAAGAGUUUGGAACAUUUUGACAUGGAUUUCACGCGCAUUGCACUCAACACUAGCUUUAUUGCACUCAACACUAGCUUUCUUCAAAUCAUCAGUGAAUCGAUGCCUUCUCUUAAGUACUUAUCACUAUCAUAUUAUACUCUUGGAACUAAUAGCAGCGGGACUCUUGAUCAAGGUUAACGAGAUGCUCCCACCCUCCCCUCCUAAUCUAUAAUAUUAAUUUUUUAUUUAAUAUAAUUACACAAACGAAUCACUUAUAAAAGAAUGAUAUGCAUUUGUUAAUUUUUUUAUUGUACUGAUGGAUGAAUUAAUAAAUUUUCAGGCCUCUGUUCGUUGGUGCAUCUACAAGAGUUGUACAUUGCAAGCAAUGAUUUAAGAGGUAGCUUGCCUUGGUGCAUGGCAAAUAUGACAUCCCUCAGAAUAUUAGAUGUUUCUUCUAAUCAACUUACUGGAAGCAUCUCCUCAUCUCCCCUCGUUCAUUUGACAUCCAUUGAAGAGCUGAUGCUUUCAAACAAUUACUUCCAGAUCCCAAUUUCACUUGAACCACUUUUCAAUUACUCAAGACUCAAGAUUUUCAAUGCUGAGAACAACGAAAUAAAAGCUGAAAUAACUGAGUCACAUUCUUUGAUCGCCCCAAAAUUCCAAUUAAAUACUCUCUCAUUGUCUUCCAAUUACGGAGACGGUUUCAUAUUCCCCAAAUUCCUUUACCAUCAACAUGACCUGGAGUAUGUUGAUCUCUCACACAUAAAGAUGAAUGGAGAAUUUCCAAAUUGGUUGUUGGAAAACAACACAAAAUUAGAAACUCUUUUCUGGUUAAUGAUUCUCUUGCAGGACCUUUUCGGUUGCCAAUUCAUUCACACAAGCGGUUAAGACAGUUGGAUGUCUCCAACAACAACAUUCGAGGCCACAUUCCAGUAAAAAUUGGAGAUGUUUUACCAAGUUUAUACGUUUUCAACAAUUCCAUGAAUGCUUUAGACGGUAGCAUUCCCUCUUCAUUUGGUAAUAUGAAAUUCCUCCAAAUUCUGGACUUAUCCAACAAUCACUUGACUGGUGAAAUCCCCGAGCACUUGGCCGUGGGUUGCGUCAACUUGCAGUUUCUUGCAUUAUCAAAUAACAACCUACAAGGUCAUUUGUUCUCUAGAAAUUUUAACUUGACAAACUUGCAAUGGUUACAAUUGGAGGGCAAUCGCUUCGUAGGUGAGAUCCCACAAAGUUUGUCUAAAUGCUCCUCACUAGAAGGAUUGUACCUUAACAAUAAUAGUCUUUUAGGUAAGAUUCCACGAUGGUUGGGUAAUCUGACACGGUUACAAUAUAUUAUAAUGCCCAAUAAUCAUCUUGAAGGCCCUAUUCCAGUGGAGUUUUGCCAGCUUGAUUCGCUUCAGAUUUUGGACAUUUCAGACAACAACAUAUCUGGAAGUUUACCAUCUUGUUUCCAUCCUCUCUCUAUCAAACAAGUUCAUCUUUCAAAAAAUAUGUUACAUGGACAGCUAAAAAGAGGUACAUUCUUUAAUUGCUCUUCCCUUGUGACAUUAGAUCUUAGCUAUAACCGCUUGAAUGGCAGCAUUCCGGAUUGGGUUGAUGGGCUUUCUCAGUUAAGCCACCUUAUCUUAGGUCACAAUAAUCUUGAAGGUGAAGUGUCAGUUCAAUUGUGCGAAUUGAACCAACUACAAUUGUUAGAUCUUUCUAAUAAUAAUCUUCACGGUCCUAUUCCUCCUUGCUUUGAUAACACCACACUUCAUGAAAGUUACAGCAAUAGUUCUAGUCCUGAUGAGCAAUUUGAAAUAUUUUUUUCCAUCGAAGGCCAUCAGGGAUUUUUAGAAAAGCAAAACAUGAAAUUUUUUGAGUUCACAACAAAGAACAUUGCGUACAUUUACCAAGGAAAAGUGCUUAGCCUCCUAUCAGGACUUGAUCUUUCUUUGCAACAAUGCUUAAUUGGUCAUAUUCCUCCUCAAAUUGUGAAAUUUGACAAGGAUUCAAACAUUGAAUCUCUCGCACAAUAACUUGACAGGAUCGAUCCCAUCAACAUUUUCAAACUUGAAGCAUGUCGAAAGUUUGGAUCUUUCCAACAACAAAUUGAAUGGGAAAAUCCCUCAUCAACUAGUGGAGUUAAAGACAUUGGAGGUUUUCAAUGUGGCAUACAAUAACUUAUCAGGCGAAAUUUCCAGAAUGGAAAGCACAAUUUGCAACCUUCAACGAGAGUAGCUAUGAGGGAAAUACUUUUCUUUGUGGACUGCCAUUGCCCAUUUGCAGAUCACCAGCAACUAUGCCGGAGGCUUCAAUUUGGCAAUGAACAAGAUGAUAAUUUAAUUGAUUAUGGACAGUUUCUUUAUCACAUUUACAACAUCGUACGUAAUUGUGAUAUUCGGAAUUGUUAUUGUUUUAUAUGUAAAUUCUUAUUGGCGACGUAGAUGGUUUUACUUUGUUGAAAUGUGGAUAACUUAAUGUUACUAUUUUUGUUUAAACAAUCUUAUUGCAACAAGAUAUUGUCAUUGAAAUUAAUUAGCAGUUUAAUUACGAUUCUUUAAGUUCUAAUCAAGUUUGCUUAGGAAAUAAUUUUUUUUUUAUUUUUUUAUUAAAAUUGUAGUAGUAUUUAGCGCUAUAUAGCUUCCAACUUGGUAGAAAGCUCCAUUUUUUGUUUGGCUACAGUAAAAGCAUGUUGUUUUAUUCUUCUUAUACUUUACGCCUGCAUCAGCUUAAAUCACUUCUUAAACGCUUGCUUUAACUGCACCGCUUCGUACUGCUCUAUAUAUGUAACGGUUAUGCGGUUGUAGCUCACGGCUCAAGCUACGCGUUUGUUUGACGUGGUAGUUACGUUAUGAUGUUUCGAGUCUGUUAAACAUUCGGUGAUAAGAUUAGUUACAACAAACCUACUAGUUUUAUAAAAUUCAAGUGAGAUGGAAUAAAAUAAAAAAUAAAUAUAAAAUUGGCUUUUAUUUUUUUAGGUUAACCAUAUUUGUGUUCUCUUCGGGCACUACUACAAUUGUUCCCUAUACAUCAGUUACACUCACGUAUCAUCGACACGAAAAAUGAAAUCUAAUAUCACCUGUUUAGUUAAAGAAUCACUCAUGAAAAAAAAUUACCAUUUUGAUUGAAGAUCCAUAUUUUGAACUACCAAUUAAUGUUCAUCAAGAACAGAGUGUGGCCGUUAAGUAGAAAAACUAUUUUUGGACAAAUUAUUAAAUUCCAAUAUUGUAUCCAUAUGCAAACGAUGCCUGAAGCAGAGCCUCCAAACAAUGACCAGGGCACAAAACAAGAGUGUAGUAAUCAAGUGUAUUGUCUCAUAAUCAAUUAAAAGCAGAUAUACAGGAUACCAUAUUCAAUUCCAAAUAACAAAAGCAUAAUGAGGAUGAGAAGAACAAUGAUCACUCAAAUAUUUCUUCACUUUGGUUGUCAAUUAUCUAUUCAAAUUAAUCAGUGUCAUUAUGGACUUAUUUAUUUAGAAGAGCGGGUGAUAAAUAUAUUCAAUAUGUGAACAAGAAGUUGAUUAACUUUAUGAUCAUUUGGAAGGUCGGCCGUGUCAUCACUCGUCAAACACAUUGCAUCGAUCCACCAGCAUGAACCGACCGGAUUAUGCCCAAAAAGUUGAAAUAUCAAUAAAAAAAACAAUUAAUUAAAGUCGAAGAUGGGUCCUUUACAUUAUGUUUUGUUUUCGUAUUAGGUAGGAGGUUAUUAUAUUAUAUCAUGUAAUUAAUUUAUUAUUACUCAACACUAAGUAAUAACUUAACUAUAUAAAGACAACAAGAAGAUAAAAUGAUAUAUAAAAAAAAAAAGAAUUUCAAAGAGAUAGCAACAUACAAUAGACUGAAGCCAUUUGAUCUGCUCAUUGAUUUCAGCCUUAAACUUGUAAAUAGUUACUGUCAAAUAUUCUAUUCAUACGAAAAAAAUGUUUAGAUAUCUUACUAUAAAUAUAGCCGUUUGACUGUCUUAAUAAAGUCACACACAACCAUUCUUAUUAAAUUAGCAAGAUCAAACACUGCCCUGGAUCUUGAACAGAUCAACACAAGAUGCACAACUUAUGAUUGAACCAGAAACAAUCAAAUCUUUAGCAAGAACAAUUAAUCAGAGUCAAGAAACAAGUUUAAUGAAUAUAAAACCUAUAAUUGAAACAACAUAGCAAGAAAAAAAUACAGAUUUUACACGGUUCAGUUGUACCUAGGAUGGCACAACCUACACCACGAGAGAAGCUUUCUGGUGAGAUUUUAUUGAUGAUCAAAGAAGAAUCUUUUGACAAAGCUAAUAAUAGAGAUUUCAGAGAAUAAGCUGUAACCCUCUCUCCCUCUUCAAUCUCUCUCUAUUUUGUUCCCAUUGAUGACCCCAAUCUGCUUAGUUAUCCAGCUUUAUAGCUGCAUCAGUAACAAACCAGCAACCCAGAUUGAGCAGAUUGACGACACGUGGAUAACGGCUUUAACGAACCUGGUAAGAACUGCUCACAUGUUCGUCACGCGUGCUGCUUAAAUGAUGGCCAAAACGACUUCAAACAAAUGUCGUUUUGAGGCUUAUGAAUUACAAGUGAUAACACGAGCUUGUCUCAUGACUUUUAAAUGCAACAACGUGCCCACAACGCCGUCGUUUUACUCUGUUGAGUUUGAUUCAUUACUAAGCUUUACGACUGGCAAUGGAGAAGAUGAUAAUUUAAUUGACACGGACAGUUUUUUAUAUCACUUUUACAACAUCCUAUGCAAUUGUAAUAUUGGGAAUUAUUGAUGUUUUAUUCUGUGAAUCCUCAUUGGCAAAAACUAGUGGUUUUAUCUUUGUUGAAAUAUAGAUGACCUCUCGUUACUGUUUUAUUAUAAACAUAUAUUUCGUAAGUGAAACUAUAUGUUUAUAAUAAAUUAACAUAUAGUUUUGUUACAUUUCUGCCUCAUUAAGAUUCUCAAAUACCAGUCAGGUUUGCUUAAGAAAUAAAUUUUUUCCAUUAAAAUUGCAGUAGUAUUUCCAAGCAUAUCGCAUUUUCUAUGAGUUUUCAUAAAUUAAUUAAUCUGCGGUGCCAAUAUCAGAUUUAGUUUUUCAAACUAAAUAAUCAAGAAAGCAAACAUACAAAUAUACAGUUUAGAGGGUAAACUAGGUAGGUGGUUUAGAUUUUAGAACUAAGCCAGCUACCUCGCUAAAUUCCGAUUCGUACAGUGAACUGCAAGAAACUGAGAAAACAAUGUAUUUAUAAUUUAAUAGAAUCAUAAGAAAACAAUGCAGUCAUUGCUCAAUAUAAGAUGAUGAUUUCGGAGAGGCACAUUGUUUUCAAGUUAAUUUGAUCCGUUUAUAAGAGAUGAAGUGGAAUGAAGUUGAAAGUUUAAAUAACAAAUCCUUGUUCUUGAGUUUUACGACGUCGUUACUCCUUCAAGUGGCAGAUUAUGCAAGUGAAUGCAGAAACACAAUGCAUCAUCCGCGGGGAUGAUACAUCAAAAGCGGGAUUUGUUUAUGCCUGCAGAUUAGCAAUUUCACUCAUAUAGAAAAUUAAUUUUUUAUAUAUACUAAUCAACACUAAAUUGAUUAUGUGUUGUAUGUUUAUAUGCUAAUCAACACGAAAUUAUAUUGAAUUAUUAACAUUCAUAUUCCUAAUAAAAAUUAUUUUCCAUCAGUAUUCAAAAUUUUCACUUAUAGAAAAUGCGUUUUACGUGAAUACUAGUUAUUGUGUAAAUUUGAAUGAUAGCGAAAAUAAACCUAUUUGAAAACUGUAAGGGUGUGUUGGGAUAUUUUACAACUGUCGGAAUCUGGUAGGAUAUUGCACCAUUUGCCCAAUAUUUUUAGACGUACUCAACCGGUAUUCAAGAUAAGUAAAAUUUACAAGCGUGGCAAAAUAAAAAAAAAUUAAAUUCGUAACUUGUAAACGAAUUUUCCUGACAUGUAUAGUAAAUGAAGUUGUUGAUCCUUUCUUUGGAUUAUUUCAGCUCUGGUUGUUGGUCACCGAUGAGCCGAAGUCUUAUUUUAAUUUUAUUUAAACUCAUCAUAAGAUUCGUGGAGCACCUAACUAACUUAACUGACUGCGCAGAUCAUCUCAACAUGGCAUAUUUAACCAUCAUUCAAGUGAUGGGUUUAAUAAGACUGCUUUUGUUCUAUCAACUAUCAAGUUCCUCUGCCUCUAAGCAGAAUUACUAUUGAAGGGCCAAAAGAAAAUGAAAACGUGUGAGCUCCAACAACCACCCCACAAAUUCAAUGACGAUGCUCGGAGAGGGUUAGGUUGGGCCUCUGAGAAAAAAAAAAAUUAUUUUGUUAAAAAGUUACCCUUAUUGAAACCUGUAUAAACAUUUUAUAUUAAUUAGUUAUGUCGCCUCUUCAACGAUGAUCAAAUUCUUAUCUGAGCUCAUCAUUUAAUGAGUAAACAUGUAUUUUAAUGAUCUCAAUUAAUAUUUAGAACAAAUAUUUUAAGAAGUAAAGCUCAUUAUAUCUUCCAUUAUUAUGUAUUUCUUUAAUUUCUUAUUUACAUAAUUAUAUUGUACAUUAAAAAUGUAUUGAAUUUGAAGAAAAAAAAAUUCAACUCAAAAAAAAAAAAAAAUGCUGGUAGCUUCGUAAUAAUUACUGUAUUGACUGCACCAGAUAAAGUUUUGUAAAAUAAUAAGUUCUCAUAAGUGGUUUUUCAUUUUUAAUUUUUUUUCCGGCACACCUGAUCAAGAAUUCUAUUUUGUUAACUAAUCAAUUGCAAAGCAUAAGUGUUGAACGGUACAAAAAAAUUUAAAAAAAUACACUUAAAACGUGGGGGUAGGGUAACGGCUUCACUCAAAUCGUUAGGUAGAAAUUGUGGAAAACUUCAAAGCGAAAUGAGAAAUAUAGAAAAAAAGAAGAGGUGGAUUUUUUCUAGUGAAAUUUCUAUGGGUAACGGCUCACUCAUCCUUCUAUGAAUUUCUAGCUGUAUUGACCCCAACUGCUAAAGUUUUGUAAAAAUAAAAAUAAAAAUAAAAAAACUGGAAUUUCAACAAAAUUCAAAACGUUUGAAAUUAAUAUUUUGGCCAUGUGGAACAAAAUGUAAAUUAAGUAAAAAUAUAAAUCUCAAUUGCUUAGUAUGGUUAGGAUUUUGUGAGCAUCACUAAAAAGUGAAAACUAUGAAUGAUAGAGGUGAUGUUUGCAACAUGAAUAAAUGAUGAACUGAAUCAAUUGAUGAUCGUAAUUACAUAAUGAACAAAAUUUACAAAAUCAACAAAAGUUAAUAAAAAAUUUAUUUAAUAAUAAAAAAUCAAUAAAACUUAUUAUUUAAGGGCGCUCUAACCAUGGAAUACCAUAAUCAUAAUCUUCUUUUAAGAAAAUUAUAACUUAUUAUUUUACAGGAUUGAUCCAUUUGGAAUGAAGUGGUCUCAAGUUGAAAGUAAUUAAUUUAUUGAAUAACUUUCGACUUAUUAAUAGUUAUAUCAAGGGUGUUUUACCUCAUCAUGUCUUCAAGUGGAAGAUGAAGACUAUGCAAGUGAAUUCAGGAAUAUUGCAUGCCUGUUGUCUAAAGCAUUACCUCACAAGGUUUCAUGAGAAACGAAAGAUGUGUUUGCUUUGAACAAUUAAAGUUACUGCUACGAACCUCCCCAAAGGUCAAGAAGACAGAACAGGAAGCUAAUGCCAUCAAUGUCUUGUUCAUUAUAGCUGCUGGGUAGUUAGGUGUAGUUUCCUCAUUUGAAGCUGUCUAUACAUAGGCAUUUCCCUGCUUAUGUACAAAUAAAUGAACAACCUUGAAGCUUUAUUAUUCGCAACAAAAAGGGAUUACUAAUUGGAGAAGACUAUACAGAGUUUUCUCUCACACUUUGCUCUCUGUCAAUUUCAUCCAGAAGUCCCUCUGAAAGCUUCUCCCAAAACAGUUAGUCAUCUUUUAUGCUCUGUUUUCUGAAAACAGAGUCCUAACUAAAUUAAUUGACUGUACAGUGCAUUUCAACAUAGCAUAUUUAACCGUUUUAACAGUUAUUUGGACCGUCUUCAGAGGUAACAUCAACAAACUCAUUCAUAUGCUUAAUAAUGAACGAAUAGUCUUGGAUUGAUGUUUUGCAGCAAGAGCAACACGACACAAUCUGGAUUCAACCUCCUCCUUUCUAACAGGGGAUUUCGAUUUGAGUUACUUUGUGCUCAAGCAAAUUCACAUCAUAGUUUUGAUUCUUUAGAUAUGAAUUCAUCUCAUUACAUAUAUCAGAUUAAGUGUAACAAAAUUUGUAAUUUACUGCGAAAAGAAUAUGCACUAAAAAAUGAUUUCAAGACUAUUUGACUACAAAAAGCAGCUGUCAGAGUGCACUAAAAAUUUCUGUAGGAUAUUUUGUAGCUGUUUAAUAUGUUAUGAUGGGCAUAUAAUUCUCAAAUUUUGAUGCCUCUCAGCGAAAAAUAUAUCAAAGUUACGGAUGAUAUCACGUAAAACAUGCAUGGCUCAGGCUCAGGCUCAGGUAAGAAAGCCACAGAAAAUGGAAAAUCUCACUGUCACGACUCACGUCACGCAUCAUUCAAGUGAUGGAUUUAACAAGACUGCUUAUGUUCUAUCAAAUUCCUCUGCCUCUCAGAAGAUAACUUUUCUGGGCCAAAUUUCUCAUCUAAAGCAUAUUAUGCCCCAAAGUCACAGAUAACAAAAUGGGGCACUACCGAUUAUGAAAGAGAACUAGUAGUUGUCAGAAGCCUAAGCCAAAUUCCGGUAGUAAGAAGAGGCCUUUCUUGAGUUUAGAUUAUGUGUUCGAGUUUUAAUAAAUGCCUAAGUUAAUAAUAAUAACAACAGUAAUAAUAAACUAAAAAGCAUAAUUACUAUUGAAUGGUAAAAAAAAAAAUGAAAAUGUGUGAACUCCAAUAACCACCCCAGUGGCGAAUUUUGGAGAGGGCUAGGCCGGGCUUCUUAGAAAUUAUUUUUAUUUAAUUACAAAAUCACCUUUACUGAAACCUAUAUAAAAUUUUUUAUAUUAAUUAAUUAUGUUGCCUCUUCAAUUAUCAUUAAAUUCUUGUCCGUUCAUAAUUUGAUGGAUAAAUGUGUAUUUCAAUAAUUUCAAAUAAUGUCUAGAACAAAUAUUUUGAAUUAUAAAACUCAUUAUGUCCUGCAUUACUAGAUGUAUCUAUAAUUUAUUAUUUACAAAUUAUAUUGUAUGAUAAAAAUGUAUUGAAUUUUUGUUUAAAAAAAAGUUCGGCUCACUCAGAAAAAAAUGUUAUUAGCUUCGCCACUGCACAAAUCUAGAAUAAUAAUUAUUCCUUAUUAUAUUGACUGCACCAAGCAAUAAACUAAUAAGUUCUCAUCAGUGGUUUUUAAUCUUUUUAAUUCUUUUUACCGCACACCUGAUCAAGAAUUUUAUUUUGUUAACUAAUCAAUUGCAAAGCAUAUAUAAGUGUUGAACGGUACACAAGAUUGGAAAAAAAAAAUCUUAAAAAACGUGCGGAUUCGGGUGGCCACACCAGAAAUCUAUUUACAAUAAUUAGCUUUGAUGCUGGGAAUCUUUUAAUUUCUGGCCGUAUUGAAGUUUUUAAAAUAAUAAGUUCCCCUUCUCGUUUUUUUUUUUUUUUAAAUAUAUAUGCUUAUAACAAUUUUAGAAUAAUGAUUCAUUUGUAGAAGAACUUAUGAUUUCCCAUUAAUAUUAAUAUUGAAGUGGGGUGGGUCAAAUCUCAAUUGCUUGAAGAAUUUAUGUAUUAUUAAAUAUUACCAUCCAAGGUAGAAUUGUGGAAAAUUAAAGCAAAAUGACAAGUAUGGAAAGGAAGGCUGAAAGUAAGGCAUGACGAAAGGCUUUGAGAAGGCUGAAGACUACCAAAGAAGUCAACUGAAAACUAGCUGGGGCCUGAGUGUAUAAAUUGUUAGAUGCGUUUGUUAUAAAUAACAUAGAGCCCUUUUGUUAUUUAUAGUUAUAGAGAAAGAGAGAAUGUGUGUUUUUUAAUAGUUAGAGAUAUAGCUAGAAUGGGUUGCUCAAAAUCCAAAAUAGUGACAAUGUUAGUUCUCGUAUUGAUAAUAUUGGGGGGGGGGGGGGGGGGGGGGGGGGGGUGUUGGGAGGUCGAGUGAGGGAUGUUUGGAGCAUGAGCAAUUUGAUCUUUUGCGGCUUAAACAUUUCUUCAAUUAAUAUCGAUCUGGGAGAGUGGUAUCUGAAUGCUUCUCUAUUUACUUCCUUUCAACAACUUGGUAACAAAAUAGCCGGCUGCAUGCGUUGAGAAUGAAGGUGCUUCAUUUAAUUUAAUUUACUUAAUUUCUCCCUCCUAAUUAAUGUCUAUAAUCAUUAGGAGGAACAAGGGAUUUUAUUAACUCAAAUAUAUCUAAUGGAUCUCAUUCUUUGGUUUUACUUGCAGGGCUAGAAGCAGGUGUCAUCUAACAGCUGCUUUGAUAAUUUCCCUCCCCUUCAUCUUUGAUGGAAAGAUGAAAUAAAAACAAAUUGGUGAAAAUGGUAUUGGUACCUGAGGCUAUGUAAUCUAAUUCAAAAACUGCACCAUCAAAACGAUUACAUAAGUCUCAGAAGAAUCAAAUAUCAGUUUGCAAAAUAUCAAUUGCUGGAGGUUUGAUUCUAACUUCCGCUCUUCAUUUUUAUGGCAUAUUGUGUUGUACUUGCAUCCGAAAAUCAUAUUUUAGUUUACUUGCACUCAAUGCUUGGAUUAAAGUUUUUUUGGGGGGGGGGGGGGGAUUGAAGAAGACUAAAAUUACACCAAAAAAGAGUUGAGCGAGAGCGGGUUUUGUCUUCAUUUAAGGAGCUCUUUAUAAAUUUUGGGAUUUUUUUCCUGAGAAAAUUUAUGCCAACUCAUUCUUUGCUUCUUUUCUGAAGGGACACAUGCAACCGAAAGUAUAUUCUUGAAUUCUCCAGGAUAAGAGACAUACGUUUAGAUUCUGGAGCAUUUAAAACAAUGUCAAAUUUUAGAUUGCUGAAAUUUUAUAUAUCCGAGUAUGAUGGUGUUCCAAUUAUAAGCUCCAGGGUGCAACUUCACUGAGGUUUAGAAUGCCUUCCUAUAGAAUUGAGAAAUCUCCAUUGGCAUAAAUAUCUUUUGAAAAUACUGACAUCAGAUUUUGAAUUGGAGAACCUGAUUGGACUCAGCUUGCCCUGUAGUAAGGUUAAGCAAAUUUGGAAAAGAGAAAAGGUAUAAUGUAUUACUAUUACCAAAGUAUCUAUUUUUCUUUCUUUAAGUAUUUAUAAUGAAUAACUUUGAAAUUCAAUGAUGCUCAUUUAGUAUAGUUAUGUAUCUUUGGUUAUAGGAAGCUGUCAAGUUAAAAUCUAUAGACCUUCACCACCCCUUUAUCUCAAUAGGAUCCCAGAAAUACUAAAUCUUAAAAAAAUAAAUCUUUCAAAUUGUGAAAGCAUGCUUACGUUACCCCCGUAUAUCCACAAUUUCAACUAGCUGAGUAUGUUGUGUUUCAGGGAUGCAAAAUUCAUUUUGUUUCUCAUGAAAGGAUUGACUUGUCCGGAUGUAUUAGGGUUAGUAAACCAACUAAUCCCAUAAUUUGUUGAUGUAGGGUCCUAACAAAUUAUUGCAGUAGAUUGUAGAUCAGUACACUAUUCGAAAACGUAUUUGAUCCACACAGUGAAGUGGAUAUUGGACCAAUUUGAUGAUAAUGAAUUUCUUUCAAUCUCAAUCUUUUUUCUUUUUAGCAACAUGACUAGUCAUUGUGCAAAUUCAAACUCUGACAAUAAUUUCUCAAUCGGUUUCUAAGAUGAUGACCAUGCAUGUAUAUGUAUAUGCGUGUGUAUAUGUGUGUGUGUGUAGAGAGAGAGAGAGAGAUCACACGUGUGUGAUUUCCUUUUGCCAAUAGGAUAUGCAGAGAGCUUGAUCUUACCCAAUAGCGAAACAAACUUCCUAAUAAGUGAAGGUAUAGUAUAAAUACUUAUACUUUCAUGUUAUUUUGUUCAUCAGUAGCUUGAUUAUUUUAUAUGCGUCUUCGAUUUUAAUUUUCUUUCCCUAUAAUCGCUAUUAUCUUUGAACUGGUCAUAAUUUGCCCAUAAGAUUUCUCAUGUUGUUUUGAGGUGCAACGGAUUUUGAAUUUAGUGACAAGCAGUGGAAGCCAGAAGGCAAAUUAUGAAAAUGGAUAAAGAUCUAUAAUUAGCUGUUAUGGGAUGUCACAUAUCAUAUUGAUGGUAACGUUAUAUAUAUGUACAUAUAAUUAAUGGGGUUGGCUCACGAGCCCAUUAAUAAUGGUAUAUUAGCUUAUAUACUUCAAACAAUGUACUAUGAAGCAAUUUCACAAAUACUUGUUAGCUUAUGUUGAGCUUUAUUGAAUCAGUAGUUCACAGUUCAAUAAAAUGCAGGUUUGCUAUUUGAAGUACAUGGUUAUGGUGCGUACAUUCUUCAUAAGGCUAACUACUAAUUUAUCAUUGAAACUUGAAAAAUGUGAUAGAGAGAUGUAGAUAACAGCCGCAAAACACUGAGAUUGAAAAUCAGGGCUACUAAAUUCUAUUAAAAGUCCUUAAAAUAGACAGCGAUCACCCUGAAAUGUAUAUACUGAAACUAAGAAAUAUUAAUCGCAAAGUUAUGCAUUAAUAGAACUAUUGACUACUUAUCUUUAGCAUAAAGUAUAUUUUUAACUACAGCUUUCUGCUUUGUUCUAAGAACUAGGCAAAAGUGGUGUAUCUUCAAUCCAAUCAACAUAUAUACCACUUAUCUUCCUCUUCACUUCUGUCUAUUUUGAUUUGCACUUCAUAUCCUGCACUUGCUGCUUAGAAAUAGUCUUUAUUCUGGACAUUGAAAGUAGAAAAAGUACUUGAAACAAUCAUUGGCACAGCCCGAGAUUCCAUUGAAUCGUGGACUCCAAGCUUUCAUAGUUCUAUAAAGAAGAUGACAAAACUUCAUACAACUGGCAUUCUGCUUUUAACAUUUGCACAACCUGAGCGAGUUAGCAAGCCCCUUGUUGCGUUCCCAUUGAAUAGACCUACUUCUGUUAUCCGCAGAAGAUCCACCACUCAAAAUGUUUAUCACCAGGCUAUUCUUAAACUGAGCCUAAACUGAGUAGAAACUUCCGCACAUCUCUCAGCAUUUACAUGAAGAAAUCGACAACUAUCCUCAUCUCUCAGCAUUCUACAAAGUUGCAUUUCACUAAGCAAUCUAUCCUCUCCAUUCCUAGCAAAGUGACAUUGAUUCCCGUAUUUGUAAUCGCCUAACUUGGGUUUUGGGCAUAGCGUGGUCUUAAAAUUACCACCCAAUACUUUGUUCAGUGCCACUGGCAUCCACAAGCUCUAGCCCUGUUAGUUGAAUCAUAUUCAAUGGGACAGUGAGGCAGCAUUUCACUAACAUAUUCAAUUUGACUACUUAUAUUGACGCAAAUAUUAGAAUUUGAAAUCACUUCUUUUAUUGGAAUAUUAUAUUAAUAUGACCCCAAAUGAAAGUUCUUGAAUGGAAAUGAUUUUUAUUUACUUUUCGAACAGAUUCAAGAAAACCCAGAGAACACAAAAUUUACACAGUAAUAUGAUUAAGAGCUGAGAACGUACAUGUAGUAAAUGUCUAUCAAAAAACACCCAAGGGUUUCUUUAAAAUUAGUAACUAGUAAACAAAAAGAAAGAAUCAUUUUACAUUUUUAGCAACUUUGGGGUGAGUGAGUGAGUGAGAAAUUGAAACCCUCAAGUGAUGACAACAGUAAGAUUCAGUAUGAAGUGAAACCCCAAUUUGAAAUGUAGGCAUGAGUUGCUGAGUCAGUAGAUGAAGCUAUAAAUAGGCAUUCGGUUUCCUUCUUUUCGGUUUGGAGGGCCAUGGAAUAGUGUAUUGGAGUGGGCUCCAAGUAAUAGCCUCUAUCACUGGAACGACACAUCUAUAAAAUGUGAUACAUGGGGAAGGAUUGGGCAUUUUAUUCUUAGAUUAGCCCCUUAUUUAGGGUGUAUAUUAAGCAGAUUAUAUAUUACAUGGAGAUGGAGUUUAUGAAAUAGAUUAAAAAGAAAAGGAAAUUUUGGUGCCUAAAGUUUGCCACUUGGAAUAUUUCGGUGUCUAAAAUUCACUCACCACUUAUUUCAUGUUUGAUUAUAUGUUGAAAAGAUAUUAAAAUAGUAUAAUGCUAUUAAGGCUUAACGUAUAUUUUUUAUUAGUAGAGUGUAGAAUUUUUAAGAAAUAAAUUAUUAAAUUAUUAUAACUAACAUAUUAUUUUAAAGUUGUGUUAUGAAAAAAAUGAAAUAAAAAUGUACAGUAAAUAAGAAUAUUUUAAAACUUUUAUCUUUUUAAAAUUAGUUUUUAACAUAAGGUGAACUAUUUUUUUUUUAAAAUCACAUAUUCUAGUUAAAAUCAAAUAUGUAUUUAUACGAAGCUUGUAAUUUUUUUUUUUAGUACUGAUAUUUGAAUAUUAUCAAUAAAAAAAAGGGUAAUGUUCAUGCUGCAUUAUUUUUGUAGCACACAAAAGGACAACACCGUUUAUGGUAUAAUACUAUCGCUUCUGUUAUGAUAAUUUUUUUUGUGGCCAAAUAUCUUUUUUUUUUUUAAGUAAAAAAAAGUGGACAAAAUGCAAAUCAGUUUUUAAUCCUCAAUCUCUCCCAAAAUAUAUAUUUCGGUGUCUAAAAAUUCACUCACAAAACUAUAGCUGACAAAAAGUUACUAACAAAAAGUUAGGUCCAUGGGUUGUUAAAACUAUAGCUGACAAAAAGUUACUAACAAAAACAGAAUGUCCAUUUUAUAACUUUCUUAAAAAACUUUCCUUAACUUUUUAAACAAAAAGUUAUUUCCAAUUUUUAUUUUGUUAUAAUGUUUAUAACAAAAUUCGUAGUUAACUAAACUCUUCUUAUACCCUUUCUCAACUGCCAUACCCUAACCCACUAAACCACGCUCAAUUAAGGCCAUCAGAUUCUCCCGGGCCCACAUUAAUCCAACUGCUCACAGAGACCGACAGCCUCUCUAUCUCCAUUUCAAGCUCCCUCUUCAACUGGCUUCUGCUACCGUCCUACUCUUUCUCGGCUUCGGAGUCCGUAUUUGCUCGGCCUGUCCCACGAAGCUCCCUCUCACUCCAAUUGUCGCCCCACAAGACCAAUUGCUUAAUCAAGACACCGAACAAGAAAAGGAUGAGAAGUUGAAACAAGAAUUUGAGAAUUGGAAAUAAAAAACGUACGCAUUGACCGUGCCUUUGAGAGUCGUUUCUCUUCAGAACUCAGUGCCUCAAUCUUGGAUUAAGGAUUUUAUGCGAAGUCAGGGAAAGAGAUUGAAGUUUCAGAUGAAUUUGUGUGCUAGCAUUGAUGGGAUCUUUAACAAUUUAUCUGUGCCCUUUAACAAAGUUAAGGCUAAGUCAGCUUCUUAUAUGGCUGCUGAUUUGGUUAGUGUUGGUGAUUCAUGGCUUAGUUUUGCCAUUAAAAAGAGAUUGAUUGAGCCAAUGGCUGGAGCUGAAGACCAAGAUUGGUUCAAAUGCUUAAGUCACAAAUGGAAGGUAACAUCUUUGUCUUUGAUCCUCGAGGUAAAAUAUGGGCGGCACCGUACAGGUGGGGCACAACGGUGAUAGCCUACAAGAAAAGUAAAUUUCGAAAGCAUAAUUUGGCUCCGAUUGAGGUAAUAAUUUUCUUUAAACUCAUUUAGUUUUAUAUCAAACAAAAUCAAGACUGCCUUUCUCUUCAAUAUUUUUUAUGAUAAUAUCUUUAGAAGCAUCUCAUUGACGGGUAACAAUGGCAUCCCUGAAAGAGUCUAUAAACUCAAUGAUAUUAUCUUCUACAAAUGGUUCAUUAAACUUUGUCGUUGUACUCAAAUGUACACUCAGAUCAAUGAGAAGCUAUGCUACGUUAGCAUGUAGUGAUGGCACUUAAUAAGUGAGUUGCUAGGAUGUGAACUAGAAAAAUUAAAUAUUGUCUCCUUGGGUAUGCUAGCUGGUAAGUCAGGGUUAAUAUCAGAGCUUAAGAUAGUAUAACCGUGAGAACCUAUUGACUGCCAAUUAAAAUAUCCAUUGAAAUGUCUAGGGAGUUAUGAAGGUGGAGGUAACUUCCAAUUUCUAAGGCCACAGAGUAGACAUCAUCCAGGAUCCUAGGAAAGUCCAGUUAACCUCCUGCUCGAUGCAAUUAAUAAAUUUGGUCAAUGCCACUGAAACCUGCUAACUGACGUCACAAUGCGACAUGAGCACUUCAAAAUGGGACAGACGGUCAGUAGCACUAAAUUUUUCUUGCCCAAGAUUGAGCAAUUGGUCUAACUACUAAUCCCUAUUGUAGGUUGAUCAUUAUUUUUUCAAUUAUGUUCAGUUUGACCCAAAAAGUUGCAGAAUCUUGAGCUGAAUAUUGUCACUGAACACUGUCAAUGUCAUUUAGCAUAGCCAACUAACUUGAUGUUAAAACAAACACACAGUGUGUCUCAUGUCUCACAAUUCAAAUUAUCAUCUGUAAUGUUGGAGAAUUUUUCCAAUGUAUGAAGUAUGCUUUGAUACGUGGGUUACCUUGGAGAAGAUAUCUCAAAAUAAAGAAUAUGGGGAGAAAACAGUUCAGUAGUUUAUUAUUCUGUAGUCAAGUUUUGUCUCGAAAAUGGUCAAAAUUUAAAUGAAUAAGGACAGGGGAUCUUCAUUCUUUUUUCCCUUUUUUAUACCAAGAUAUCUCUCAACCUUUAUAUAAUCCCCACUGGAUAUCUGCUUCUAAUAAUUAAAAUAAAAAUUUCACCGCUCUAACAAUAAAAAGUAACAUCUUUCCUCAAAUAAUUUACAGUUCCUCAUCAUCUUAGUGUGAGACUAUCAGUACAUUCCAAAAACAUAAUAAAACUGGUUUGAUCCUGUUUAUUGAUGUUUAAAUGUUGUUCAUUGUGACAGGUAGAAAUGAUGAGGCGAAGUUUAUUUGGACAUCAAUUAGUAAGAUCUUGUUUGAAGUUGUUUUCUGAAAUGAACUGCCAAAUGGUAGUUUUUUGGGGGCAUUUGAUGGCUCUUUUUUUUUCCUCAUUUUCAACAUGUGCCUGCUUGGAACAUGAAGGAUUAGGCUGCAGAGUUGUUAUAUAUUUUGAGAUGCUCUGGUCAUUGCACAAUUUGUUCACACUGGAAAUUAGAAUGAGAAAUUUGUUGAUGCUGUUUUGAGAGAUCUGCAUUCUAUGCACAAUAACAUGAUUAAUGAAAAUGCAUUGUAGGACUGGAAAGAUCUGUGGCAGCCUGAGCUCGCAGGAAGAAUUUCAAUGGUUAAUUCUCCCCGAGAGGUUAUUGGUUCAGUUUUGAAGUAUAGGGGAACAUCAUACAAUUCAAACUAUAUUGAUUCGCAAGUUGCUGGUGGGAAGAUUGCUGUUCAGCAGAAUCUGGCAUUACUGGCAAACCAGGUACUCUUACAGAAAUCAUAUCUGGUCAUUGCAUGUUAUUGCCUGACAACUGAUUUUGUUUGUAAAAGUCUGCUUCUUCAUACAUAUGAAUGCAUAUGUUAGUGUUUUCUUCUCCUUUUCAUACAUAUAAAUGCAUAUGUUAGUGUUGUCUUUUCCUUUUCACACAUAUUAAUACAUAUGUUGGUGUUCUCUCCUGAGAUGGAUGCAAUAAAGGCUUUUGCUCCUAAAUUUAGCUGAAGAAAUGGCAAGGGAUGUGAGAUUCUGUCUCAUUAAAUUAACAAAAACCCAAAACAAUGAAAAUCCAUAAUAAUGUGGUGUGGGUAAAUUGGCUCCAUUUGGUUCGUUUCCUUAAUGUGAAUGCGCGAGCAAUAGAGACUAACAAAAUGAAGUGACAACAAGAAGUCAGUGUCCUUUGAUGGAUGCAUUUUUAGGCAGAAAUAUGUUUGUAAUUGACCAAAUUUGUCUGGCAUGCCAAUUUCAAAAAAAUUAAAUUAUGUGGUUAUUAGCUGUAAUGAAGGGGGAUAGUAGGUGCAAUCAGGUGUAUCCAGGAAAGUUCAACAAAGUUUUGGUAUGGCGUAGUGAAAUUGGUUUGUGCAACUCAGGAGUCUUUCAGGUGAACGAUGAUAGGUUUUGAUUUAUGAAUAUUAUAAAUCUACUGUGCAUAGUAUUCUAGUAGAAUCAUCUAUAAGUUCUAGUUAUUGUAUACUUUGCCCGGUUUGAGUUAAGGGCACAUGUAAUAUGAAAGAUAGUUGUCGCAUCUUUUAGGUUACCUAACAUUUGAUCAAUCCUAUUAUGGGGGCUUCAAGAUGUCUAACAAUAUGUAGAAUGCCCAUGCUCCUCCCCAUUGUUUAUCUUCUACAAUAAUUUGUUUUAGAUGCUAAUAUCUUUGUCGAUACCGGUAACAAUAUUACAAUAUCUGCGUUUAUUGGGUUUUACAUAGGUUCGACUGUUUGACAGUACACACUAUCUGAAGGCAUUUGCAAUUGGAGAUGUAUGGGUUGCUGUUGGGUGGAUUAGUGAUGUUCUUCCUGCUGUCAAACAUAUGUCUAAUGUUGCUGUUGUUGUUCCCAAGUCUGGUGCUAGCUUAUGGGCUGAUCUUUGGGUAUACCCAUGCCUGCCAUUCUACUUCAAUAUUCACAUUGUUAUCUCCUUCAUAUUAGUGAUCAGUAAACACGAUAAUGUGACUAAUAAGUUCGUAUUCUCUUUAUAGGCAAUCCCUGCUGCCUCAAGACUUGAAACAAAACAAAUUGGAGGGCGAGUCAGAGGUGCAUUUCCAUUAAUCCAUCAAUGGAUAGAAUUCUGCUUGCAAACAGCGAGAGCAUUGCCUUUCAAGCAAGAGGUUAUCCCGAGCGCAUCUCCCUCUGCCCUUGAGAGUACUCUGGUUAAGUUGCCUGAAGAACUUUUCAAGGGUAAACCAAGUCUGGAUACUAACUUAAUUGCUGGAGUACCCCCGACUGAAAUUCUGGCCAGAUGUGAGUUUUUGGAGCCUUUAUUUGAAGCUACAUUGUCGGAUUAUGAGUGGCUGGUUACUAAUCUGCAAAAAUCCACUCCUGUACUGAUCAACAAGAUGCAACAUUACAUGUCAUCAUUGAUCUUUAGCUAAAGGUACAUUGAAAAGUUAAUGGCACUGCAUACCAGUCAUUAUAAUUGGGUCAGGGCAAUUAGGUCAGAGCAUAACUUCAUUAGGAAAAGAUGCUUCAGCUACGUUAAAUAUUACAGGAUGUACUGAGAUGGCUGAAGCUGUUGAGGUUUUACGAGAAUCGAAAGAUAGUGUUUGUUUGAACAAAGUUGUUGCCAAUCUUGCAGAGUUCGAGAAGAAAGAUCACGAAGUGAAUGCCACCGAUUUCUUCAUCAUUGUAGCCUCCAUAGUUGAAGUUUCCUCAUUUGAAGCUGUUUAUGCAUAUGUUUUUUCCCUGCUCAAGUACAGGAAAUUGAAGAAUUAACCAGAUGUGAUAUGCUGAAAGAGGGAAGUUUUCUUCCUUGAAUGUGGUCUUUGUGAUUUGUCUUGAAGGAAUAGGGUGAUCACUGGCAAGAACCCUAUCAAGGUAGAUUUUAUGAUGUUAACAUAUCAUUAAGCAUUUUGUUACAUCAGCAAUGAUGCUUUCAUAGCAGCAUGAAAGUGUUUAAAUUUAACUGAAUGAUCUUGAUUGAUCAAUUAUGAGUUUUAAUCGAGUAAAAACUAAAUACAAUCAUCGUUAACAAAUAUUGAAAUUGGGUAAAUAAGAUCUUGAUAUUGAAGAAUUUGAAAUCACAACCCACACAGGAAAUCACCCUUCGCGUGGGGAUGGAGAUGUUUACUGCAGCGAUAUUGAAUAUGUCCACCGCUCUUUGGGUUAUGGUGCGACUUGCCCUGAAACAAUGGAAAAGAAUAAUUAAUAAUUUAACGCCAAGACAUAAAAUUAAAACGUGUGGACUCCGGUAGCUGCCCUACAAGUCUACAACUCUACAAACAUUAACUCUACAAACAUUAAAACGUGUGGACUCCGGUAGCUGCCCUACAAGUCUACAACUCUACGAGAAUAAUUUCUAGCCCUGUUGACUCCACUAACUAAAGAAAUUUCAAAACGUACAUAGAAUUCCACAACAAGCAAAACGUAUGGAAUUUAAUUUUUUGCCGUGUGGAACAAAAUACAAUUUAACAAAAAAGGAUAAGAAAAAUGGUAAGAUUUCUAAAAUGCAUGGAAGGUGAUUCAUAUUUUACUGAAACGACUUGUCCUGAACAUUAAGACGAUUGAUUUUUUUUUUUUUUUUAAUAACAUCAACUUCCAUAUCUUUCUAACCCCUAGAAUAUGCUCACGUUCAAGUCUAUCUUGGUAAUUUGAAAAAGAAAAUCAAAUCAAAUCAACACCAAAACAAUGAAAAGUAAAACUUUUGAAUUUCAACUUUAAACUUUUGUUAACCCCUAGAAUAUUCAGCGUUUUCAAAUUCUUCCGAUUGCAUAUCUUCUUCCUCCAUCAAUGCAAUAUUUGAACGAUUAUGAAAGAGUUUAAGAACAUAAAAAAUCUCCAAGGUUUAUACGGUAUAACAAAUUUAAAUUCUCAAUUACAAUAGAUAAUAAUUAAACUAAUAAUUUUUUAUGUACUUAUUUUAGUAAUUUCACCUAAGAAUAAUAUUGUAAUUAGAAAAAAAAAUCUAAUAAGUAGGGUGGUCUUAUACAAAAUCAACUGUACUGUGAUGAGUUUCCUUUUGUUAAUAAUUUUAGUCUAAUUUCAAUUGUACUGUGAUCGCUUCUCAAGGUAAGUGAAAGUUACAGAUGUGGCAAAAUAAAUAAUUAAGUUAACAAAAUGCUAACUAAUUUUCCUCAAUACCUAGGGUUGUACAAUUUCACCAACCUGGAAGAAUUGACAUUAAUGGACUGGUCUCCUCCCCAUAUAAUUAUAAUCCUUCUAGAAAGCUAUUUUUUAUUAAAUAUUUGCUUUUAAGUUAAUUUCAAUUAAAAAAUGUUUUAAGUUAUAUAUACUCUAAUGAGAUUCUGAAUUCCUUUAUUCCAAUAAUAAUGAAAACGUAUUAAAUUAGAAAUGAAAAAAUUGGUGUUGAUGAUUCAACCUAUUUGGAUAGAUUACGUGAAUAAAAUUAAAAUUUUGAUUUAAUUUUUGUUUAUUGUUAAUUCUCAGGCUAUCUUAAUUUCAAGAAUUUAGAAUGUUAAUUUGGUCAUGGAUUUCAACCCGUGAGUGUCAUAUUCUAGACUUAAUGGUACCAUUCUUUGAUUGAGGGCAAUGACUCUCACUCCUCUUGUAAAAAAAUAUUUUCAACUAUUUUGAUGACUUAAAAAUUGAUAGAUUUAUUGUUGUCAUGACCAAAUUAUUCAUUUUAAUGAAAUAUAAUUAAUGCAUCAAAGUUACCAGGUUUAUGUUCUAUCUUAAUGCGCUUUUUUUUUUUUUUUCAGUUAUAGCUUCUGCUUACGUCUGUUUCAUUUUUUUUUAAUAAAAAAACAAGGGAAGGUUUUUCCGAGUCAUCCAUUAUUUGAUUACCGUCAAUCAAGAAAACAACCAAAUUAAUUUCUCUCCAAAAUUUCCAAAAGCUAGAAAAUUUUGUUAUUUGAAAAUAACAUCAUUAAUUAUAGAGUGGAUCAAACCGCGUUAUUGUCUUUCAUAAAAUUGAUGUCUUUUUAAGAGUCAAUACUUUUUAUUUACGCAAACCAGUCGACAUCACACAUAUACUCUUUAAUUUGAUAAAUGGUUACACAAAUUUUGUUUACAAAAAUAUAUUAUUCAUGUUCUGUAUUAUUUUUUAACAUCAUAUUUUUAUUUAUUAUAAUUGUUUAAAGUUAAUUGUUAGGUUGAUAUAUAAUAAAAACGUAUAAUCGUUCUCUUACUAAACACACAUACUCAUAGUUUCUGUUCAUUUGUCAUCUCAAUCUAUCUCAUUUAUCCUUUGUUGAUAGCUCAAAACGCGUCACUGUGGAAAAUUAUAGCAAAACGACAAAUAUGGAAAAAAAUGGGAAGAAAAUUAAUGCAUGAAAGAGUUGCAGAAGACAACCAAAUAAGUCAACUAUACGCUAGUUGGGUGUAUAAAUUGUUAGAUGUGUUAUAAACAAAUAGCAUAGAGCCUUGGUUGGUUACAGAGAUAGAAAAAGUGUGUGUGUUUUUUAGAACUUAAAGAUAUAGUUAGAAUGGGUGGUUCAAAAUCAAAAAUGGUGAUAAUGUUUGUUCUGUUAUUAAUAAUAUUAGAAGGUGGGUGGAGUGAAGGAUGUUUGGAUCACGAGAGAUUUGCUCUUUUGCGACUCAAACAUUUCUUCGAUGAUACUGGUAGUUAUCUUUACAACUGGGGAGAUGGUGAGGGAGCUACUGAUUGUUGUCAGUGGGAAAGGGUUGAGUGCAGCAACACCACAGGCCGAGUGAUAGCGCUAGACCUUUUUGGCACGUAUCGGCGAGAGUACAGCUGGUAUUUGAAUGCUUCUUUGUUUACUCCCUUCCAACAACUUGAGUCACUUGAUUUACAUGGCAAAAAUAUAGCUGGUUUUGUUGAGAAUGAAGGUGCUUCGUCUAAUUCAAUUAAAUUACAUUUCGCUCUCCUAAUUUAAGUCGAAUAUCAAGACUGAGCAGCUAUAUGCAUAUUCAUUCAAUUGACAAUUUUUACAUAUUUUUUAAAAUGUUUAAUUUUGAAAUUACACCAAACAUCAUAUGUGAUCUUUGUUUUGAUUUUACUUGCAGGUCUAGAAAGAUUGAGCAACUUGAAGAGGCUUGAUUUAAGUCAUAACUUGUUCAACAAUAGCAUCUUAUCAUCUGUGGCUCAUCUUUCAUCACUAACAUCAUUAGAUUUAUCUGAAAAUAGAUUGGAAGGAAGUAUUAAUGUUAAAGGUACGUAAUUAAAACGUCAUCGCUUUUCCCAACUCUUUCAUUAACAUGUUAAAAUAAGAUUCAAGGCUUUGAAUUCAAUUUUUUUUAUGAGUAAAUAUUAGAAAAAUAGUUUUAAGCAAUUCAUAAAUACAAUUUUCAAUGUUUCUCAUAAUUACUCUAACUGUGAAGCAAAUACCCCAUGACUAAUUUAUCAUUUUGUCCAGUUAAAAAUGAUAAAAUUUAUCAUUUGUUUAUAUUGAUUUAUUAACUCUAUUUUAAGUCUUAAGUCUUGGCGUCUUGGCAUGUUUGCAGAAUUUGAUUCCUUGAGCAACUUAGAGGAGUUGGACAUGAGCUACAAUGAAAUAGACAAUUUCGAGGUUCCUCAAGGUAAACAAUUAAAAUAUUAUUUAAUUACAUUAAUUUAAUUCGUUUGAUUAGGGAAGACCCAAAAUGUACAAAAACAUAAUUAAAAAAAAAUAAAGAAACAGAGAAUUCAUAUUAUUUCAAAAAACAAAAGGUAAUACUAUUAUUUCAAAAAAAGAAUGUAAUAAAGAUUUGAUUCCGGUUCUUUAAUCUUUAUAGCAAUUGAACAACAAUGUUGCUCUUUUCCUAAAGCAUAAAAUAUGAAAUGAGUCAUAAUUGAAUUAGUCAUUUAUUUUGUUUAGAUCUAAAUUUAGACAAUAAAUUUUGAUUUUUUUUUCAAUCCUAUCCUUAUUAUUAUUGUUAAACAGGUUACAGAGGUUUGAGGAAGUUGAAAAGCCUCUAUCUAUCGAAUGUUGGAGUUAGAGAUGGAAGCAAGUUGUUACAGUCUAUGGGAUCAUUCCCAUCCCUCAACACUCUUUACCUGAAGGAUAAUAAUUUUACCGAUAUAGCGACAACUACUACUCAAGGUAAGUAAAAGGUACAUAUGUGGCCAAAUUUAUAAAUAAAUUGUUAAUUAAUUAAUUUUUCCGUAUUAUUAAUAAAGCUAAAUUCGUCGCUCAUUCCUUCUAAUUCUAAACAGAGUUGGCAAUUUCACCAACUUGGAGUAUUUGACAUUGGACUUGUCCUCACUCCAUUUAAGCCUUCUGCAAUUGCUUGAAGAAUGAAUUUAUUUAUUUAUUUAUUAUUAUUAUUAUUGUUGUUGUUGUUGUUGUUGUUGUUGAAGUGAGGUGGGCAAGCGUUCACUCAAUUAAUAUGUGAGGAAUUAAUAAUUACAAUCCAAGGUAGAAUUGUGGAAAAUUAAAGCAAAAUGAGAAAUAUGGAAAGAAAGGAAGAAAGUUAAGGGCAUGAAAGACUAGGAGAAGACUAAAGACCACCAAAUAAGUCAACUGAAAACUAGCUGGGGCCUGGGUGUACAAAUUGUUAGAUGUGUUUGUUAUAAAUAACAUAGAGCCAUCUUGUUGGUUGCAGAGGCAGAGAGACACAGAGUGUGCAUUUUAUUAAUUAAAAAUAUAUAUAAAAUGGGUGGUUCAAAAUCCAAAAUGGUGAUAAUGUUAGUUUUGUUAGUAUUAAUAAUAUUAGAAGGGAGGUGGCGUGAGGGAUGUUUGGUGCAUGAGAGAUUUGGUCUUUCGAGACUUAAAACAUUUCUUCAAUUCUCCUUAUAAUUUUUGUCACGACUGACCGUUGUCAAUAGAAUGGGGCUGGGUGCAGGGUUGAUUUACGUUAGAACAAUAUAGCCGGUAGUGUUGAGAAUGAAGGUGUUUCAUUUAAUUUAAUUAAUUUACUUUCUCCCUCCUAAUUUAAGUGGAAUAUCAAGACAGAACAAUUAUAUGCAUCUUCGUUCAGUUGACAAUUUUGACAUAUUUUUUUAAGUGAUUAAUUUUGAAAUUACACCAAACAUUAUUUGUGAUCUCUGUUUUGACUUUACUUGCAGCGCUAGAGACGUUAUCAAGAUUGAGCAACUUGACGAUACUUGAUUUAAGUUAUAACUUGUUCAAUAAUAGCAUCUUGUCAUUUGUUGCCCGUCUUUCAUCAUUAACAUCAUUAGAUUUAUCUUACAAUGGAUUGGAAGGAAGUAUUAAUGUUAAAGGUACGUAAUUAAAACGUCAUCGCUUCUCCCAACUCUUCCAUUAACAUGCUAAAAUAAGAUUCAAGGCUUUGAAUUCAAUUUUUUUUUAUGAGUAAUAUUAGAAAAAUAGUUUUAAGCAAUUCAUAAAUACAAUUUUCAAUGUUUCUCAUAAUUUCAUCUUGUACUUUUGUAUGUCUUGACUUUAAGAUUAAAAAAAAAUUACUCUAACUGUGAAGCAAAUACCCCAUGACUAAUUUACAAUUUUGUCCAGUUAAAAAUGAUAAAAUUUAGGGAAAUUAUCAUUUGUAUACCCUUAGUUUACUCUAUUAUCAAAAAUACUACAACACUUUGAGGGUGUAUCAAUCGUCCACCCUAAGUUGACAAAAUGUAUUAGCCAACCACCAAACCGUUAGUUGCCGUUUAAAUAUGAUAACAUCAUAAGGGUAAUCUGGUCUUUUCAUAUGAUACAAGUGAUAAUUUAAGGGUAUACAAGUGAUAAAAAGAGAGUUUAAGGGAUACAAGUGAUAAUUUUCAAGGGUAAAAUCGUCAAUUUACUGUAAUUCCAUUAACUUUCAAACGGCAAUUAACAGUUUGGUGGUCGGUUGAUACAUUUCAUCAACUUAGGGUGGACGAUUGAUACACCCUUAAAGUGUUGUAGUAUUUUUGAUAAUAAAGCAAAUAUAGGGUAUACGAAUGAUAAUUUCCCUAAAAUUUAUCAUUUGUUUAUAUUGAUUUAUUAACUCUAUUUUAAGUCUUAAGUCUUAAGUCUUGGCAUGUUUGCAGAAUUUGAUUCCUUGAGCAACUUAGAGGAGUUGGACAUGAGCGGCAAUGAAAUAGACAAUUUCAAGGUUCCUCAAGGUAAACAAUUAAAAUAUUAUUUAAUUACAUUAAUUUAAUUCGUUUGAUUAGGGAAGACCCAAAAUGUACAAAAACAUAAUUAAAAAAAAAUAAAGAAACAGAGAAUUCAUAUUAUUUCAAAAAACAAAAGGUAAUACUAUUAUUUCAAAAAAAGAAUGUAAUAAAGAUUUGAUUCCGGUUCUUUAAUCUUUAUAGCAAUUGAAAAACAAUGUUGCUCUUUUCCUAAAGCAUAAAAUAUGAAAUGAGUCAUAAUUGAAUUAGUCAUUUAUUUUGUUUAGAUCUAAAUUUAGACAAUAAAUUUUGAUUUUUUUUUCAAUUCUAUCCUUAUUAUUAUUGUUAAACAGGUUACAGAGGUUUGAGGAAGUUGAAAAGCCUCUAUCUAUCGAAUGUUGGAGUUAGAGAUGGAAGCAAGUUGUUACAGUCUAUGGGAUCAUUCCCAUCCCUCAACACUCUUUACCUGAAGGAUAAUAAUUUUACCGAUAUAGCGACAACUACUACUCAAGGUAAGUAAAAGGUACAGAUGUGGCCAAAUUUAUAAAUAAACUGUUAAUUAAUUAAUUUUCUGUAUUAUUAAUAAAGCUAAAUUUUUGCUCAUUCCCUCUAAUUCUAAACAGAGUUGCACAAUUUCACCAACUUGGAAUAUUUGACAUUGCACGGUUCCUCUCUCCAUAUAAGCCUUCUGCAAAGCAUUGCAUCAAUAUUCCCUUCGUUAAAAAAUCUGUCGAUAUCUUAUUGUGAAGUCAAUGGUGUCGUACAUGGUCAAGGUAAAAGAAAAGUGUUGGUUGUGCACUCACUGAGUGUUGUCCUACGUAUUCAAUAUUUUUAUUUAUUUAUUUUAUUGUUUAAUGUUUCUGCUAGGUUUUCCUCAUUUCAAGAGUUUGGAACAUUUGGGCAUGAUGUCCACGCGCAUUGCACUCAACACCAACUUUCUUCAAGUCAUCAGUGAAUCGAUGCCUUCUCUUAAGUACUUAUCACUGUCAUAUUCUACUCUUGGCACUAACAGCAGCAGGAUUCUUGAUCGAGGUUAAUCAGAUGCUCCCACCCUCCAUUCUUAAUCUAUAAUAUUAAUUUUCAGUUAAAUAUUUAAUUACACAAACCAAUCACUUAUUAUAAAAGAACAAUACGCAUUCAUUAAUUUUUAUAUUAUAUUAAUUGAUGAAUUUAAUAAAUUCCAGGCCUCUGUUCGCCGGUGCAUCUGCAAGAGUUAUACAUUGGUUCUAACGAUUUAAGAGGUAGCUUGCCUUGGUGCAUGACAAAUUUGACAUCCCUCCGAAUAUUAGAUGUUUCUUCCAAUCAACUUACUGGAAGCAUCUCCUCGUCUCCCCUCAUUCAUUUGACAUCCAUUGAAAAGCUGUAUCUUUCAAACAAUCACUUCCAGAUCCCAAUUUCACUUGAACCACUUUUCAAUCAUUCAAGACUCAAGACUUUUUAUGCUGACAACAACGAACUAAAUGCAGAAAUAACUCAGUCACAUUCUUUGACCGCCCCAAACUUCCAAUUAUCACGUCUCUCAUUGUCUUCCGGUUAUGAAGAUGGCGUCACAUUCCCCAAAUUCCUUUACCAUCAACAUGAUCUGGAGACUGUUGAGCUCUCACAUAUAAAGAUGAAUGGAGAAUUUCCAACUUGGUUGUUGGAAAACAACACAAAAUUGAGACAACUUUCUCUCGUCAAUGAUUCUCUUGGAGGACCUUUCCGGUUGCCAAUUCAUUCACACAAGCGGUUAGGAAUGUUGGAUAUAUCCAACAACAACUUCCGAGGCCACAUUCCAAUAGAAAUUGGAGAUGUUUUACCAAGUCUAUACCUUUUCAACAAUUCCAUGAAUGCUUUAGACGGUAGCAUUCCCUCUUCAUUUGGUAAUAUGAAAUUCCUCCAAAUUCUGGACUUAUCCAACAAUCACUUGACUGGUGAAAUCCCCGAGCACUUGGCCGUUGGUUGCGUCAACUUGCAGUCUCUUGCAUUAUCAAAUAACAACCUACAAGGUCACAUGUUCUCUAGAAAUUUUAACUUGAUAAACUUGAAAUGGUUACAAUUGGAGGGCAAUCGCUUCAUAGGUGAGAUCCCACAAAGUUUGUCUAAAUGCUCCUCACUAGAAGGAUUGUAUCUUAACAAUAAUAGUCUUUCGGGUAAGAUUCCACGAUGGUUGGGUAAUCUCACAUGGUUACAAUAUAUUAUAAUGCCCAAUAAUCAUCUUGAAGGCCCUAUUCCAGUGGAGUUUUGUCAGCUUGAUUUGCUUCAGAUUUUGGACAUUUCAGACAACAACAUAUCUGGAAGUUUACCAUCUUGUUUCCAUCCUCUCUCUAUCAAACAAGUUCAUCUUUCAAAAAAUAUGUUACAUGGACAGCUAAAAAGAGGUACAUUCUUUAAUUGCUCUUCCCUUGUGAUAUUAGAUCUUAGCUAUAAUCGCUUGAAUGGCAGCAUUCCGGAUUGGGUUGAUGGGCUUUCUCAGUUAAGCCACCUUAUCUUAGGUCAUAAUAAUCUUGAAGGUGAAGUGCUAGUUCAAUUGUGCGAAUUGAACCAACUACAAUUGUUAGAUCUUUCUAAUAAUAAUCUUCACGGUCCUAUUCCUCCUUGCUUUGAUAACACCACACUUUAUGAAAGUUACAGCAAUAGUUCUAGUCUUGAUGAGCAAUUUGAAAUAUUUUUUUCCAUCGAAAGCCCUCAGGGAAAUGUAGAAAAGCAAAUCCAUGAAAUUUUUGAGUUCACAACAAAGAACAUUGUGUACAUUUACCAAGGAAAAGUGCUUAGCCUCCUAUCAGGACUUGAUCUUUCUUGCAACAAGCUAAUUGGUCCUAUUCCUCCUCAAAUUGGAAAUUUGACAAGGAUUCAAACAUUGAAUCUAUCACACAACGACUUGAUAGGAUUGAUCCCAUCAACAUUUUCAAACUUGAAGCAUGUCGAAAGUUUGGAUCUUUCCAACAACAAAUUGAAUGGGAAAAUCCCUCAUCAACUAGUGGAGUUAAAGACAUUGGAGGUUUUCAGUGUGGCAUACAAUAACUUAUCAGGCGAAAUUCCAGAAUGGACUGCACAAUUUGCAACCUUCAAUGAGAGUAGCUAUGAGGGAAAUACUUUUCUUUGUGGAUUGCCAUUGCCCAUUUGCAGAUCACCAGCAACUAUGUCGGAGGCUUCAAUUGGCAAUGAACGAGAUGAUAAUUUAAUUGACAUGGACAAUUUCUUUAUCACAUUUACAACAUCGUACGUAAUUGUGAUAUUUGCAAUUGUUAUUAUUUUAUAUGUAAAUUCUUAUUGGCGACGUAGAUGGUUUUACUUUGUUGAAAUGUGGAUAACUUCAUCUUACUAUUUUGUUGUAGACAAUCUUAUUCCAACAAGAUUUUAUCAUUGAAAUUAAUUAGUAGUUUAAUUACGAUUCUUUAAGUACUAAUCAAGUUUGUUUAGGAAAUAUUUUUUUAUUAAAAUUGUAGUAGUAUUUAGCAUUAUAUAGCUUCCAACUUCCAAGCACUUCACAUUUGUCUCUACACUUAAAAAACUGAGUGAUCAUGUUUUGCAGAUCUGGAUUUGGAGCAGGAUGGAUCCAAACCCAUAUCUGUCCACCGUAACUUAUAGCUUCCCUAUACUGUGCAGCAUACUUAAAUAAGAGAACCAUCUCCAAUGUUAAAAGCAUUCACUCUAUAACAUUCAUUUAGAAACUAUAUUCAGAAUAAUUUUAUAAUUAAACACAAGAAAUGAAACACACAGAUACACUUGAUCGCCUAUUUUACUCUAAAAAAGAACGAUUAUUGUGCUAUCAUCAUCUUCUUCACUAGCAACAUUAACACCAAAUCGAUGGACCCAUACAUUUCAUCAAGAAAGGUCUAUAUCCAAUAAAGUUGAAGCCUAACAAAAAAUUCAAGAAGAUUCAUGCCUCGCCACAACAAGGGGCACAACAACAUCAAAGUAGAGAUUAAGCAGUAUUCUCAAAGCUAAAACUCUCAAAUCCACCCACCAGAAUUUCAUAUCUCCUCAACAAUUUUAAGAACUAAAGAUAAUUAGGAUUUAACAUUAGUUUUUUAUAUAUUAGUUUCAUAAUUUACAAAUCAAUGAAGAUGAAGAUUAUGCUAAUAAAUUCAAAUUAUACCAUACAUUCUCUAGAUGUUACCAAAAAUUUCUAAGUCAAUCCCACAUAUUUCAUAAUUUUAAGACUAGAAAAUUUCACUAGUUAGAAGUUUCAUUACCUUCAAGUGGAAGAUGAAGAACAUUAUACAAGUGAUUCAGAUUAUAUCAUACAUACUCCAAAUGCAACUAGAAAUUAACAAGUUCAUGCACACAUAUUUCAUAACAUUAUGAUUGAAAAGUUUCACAGAGAAAUUCUAAAUUCAAUCUCUUGCAUGAAGGCAAUUUGAUUGAUUUGAGUUACUUUCUUAUCAAGCUACUAAUAUAACAUUCAAGUCAGGGAGAAAAUAAAUUAAAACUGGGAAGAAAUAACAGUAAAAAUUUGUUGCUCAACAUGAUGUGUAUUUUUUUUCAAGGCAAUUUGGAAACACAAUUGUUACCACAGAUAUUCUUCUCAACUUGGAGAUAAAUACAAAUAUUAAAAUGCAUAUGAUCGCACAUACUACUUCGAGUUUAGUAAGAUUUCAUUAAAAGAAGCAAUCAAACCACUUAUCAAUUGUCGCAGUCGUUCUAUAAACUAAAAUAGCAAUAUAAUACAAGAAAAAGAACAUAUAGAUACUUGGCAAGAGUUCAUUAAGAAGUCACAUCACAUUCAGGUGAGGAGUUUGCUUCUGAUAUCUUGCUAGCUGGGGCUUUUUCUUGUCUUUCUACGUAUGCCGAGGGAAACCAACCAGCUUGGCCCUUGCAUUCACCUUCCGACCAUCCAAUAGGAGCCACCUUGAGAAGUUAUAACUAAAAUGGUGAAUUAAACAAAAGUUGACCGUUCAAAGACCUAAGGGGAAAACUAAUUCUUUUACGUAGGAGGAGUGAAUUAGUUGUGAUCACUGAAAUAACAGCAUAACUAUGGAAGCAUAACAAGAUAUAAAUUCACACGUCUAUAAGGGUAAACUGGGUGGUUGAGAACUGAGCUAGCAACCCUACUAUAUUCUGAUUUGCACUUCAAUGUAAAAGGGAAUAUAUGGUAGGAAGAAAGAAAACCAACCAUCAUUUGUUAACUCAUUGCUUUUCAAUCAAAAUUUUAAGAACAAAAUGCCAUGUGCUUUGAACAUCAAAUAAGUAUAAGCAUUAGUUCUAAAUUCCACAUAUCAUAAGUUGUUAGAAGGAUAAGUUAAUAGCAGAGUAGAAAAAUCUAUGUGUUGGUAUUUAGAGGGGAAAGUACCUGGCGAACCACAACAUAAUCAUCAAUUGAAAGACUUAGCUCUCCAUUUGCUUGAGCAUCAAAUGGAUGUAUAACCUGCAAGAUAAUGGGAUAAAUAGAACAUAAAAAAAGCAUAACAAAAGCGGCAACAGUAGCAGCAACGUUCAUUGUAACCACUAUGAUCAUGGCCAACAAAGAUAUAUUAGAAACAAAAUUCCAUUUUUACUACGACAUUAAUAUGUACUAUACGAUAUCAUGACGAUUGGGUUACUAAGAGCUAUCAAAGUCUAAUAAGUUCUGUAUAACUUUAUGUAGUUAUUUAAAUUAUGGAUCAGAUUUUAAAUUUGAAAUUUUGACUGCUCUCCACAAAACAUGGCCUAUGCACAAGAAAGUCAUAGAUAAUGAGGAUUACAAGUGUCCGACAUCUUUUGAGUGAUGGAUUUAACAUGAGAGCUUAUGGUCAGUCAAUUUCCUCUGCCUAGCAAUAUAAGCUUUCUCGGCCAGAUUUAUCAUCAAAUACAUAGAUUGCCCCCAAGUCACAUCCAUAUAAACAUAGUUUUUCUAGGUAAACCAAGUAAGGAGUAUCAUAAUUCAGACAUAAUCAUAAAAAGGCCCAUCUAACUUAAGAGAAAAUCUCAAAAAGAGGGAUGCUGAGCUAUCAGUCUUGUAUCUAUAAGCAAUAUCAAGACUUUACGUCACCUGCUACAUCGUGAGUGGCUACACAACUUUCAGUGGUUUGUCUUUCUUUGGCACGCCUAACUCAGCUUUGAUGUUGCUGAGAUAUUGAUAGUAGAGACACAUGAUACUUCUAGCUCAUGCAUUCUAUCUAACUCAUCCAACAACUAUCUCUUUUUUAAUUCAUUAGUGUUUGCUAAACCUCAUGCUUAAAAGUCCUGUUCUCCUAAACAAAGUUUCCUAAGAAUGACUUCCUUAGCACCACAGUUGGACACUUUUAGAGCAAUUUUAUUUGGGGGAAAAGAAUUUUCAAGGUGUUAACUAAUAAAUUUUAAAAAAUAAUUACAAUUUGUCCUACGAUCAUAUGACAAUUUAUCUGGGAUGAAAGGAUACAGAUAGACAUCUUCCACUUUCAAGACUAAUCACUACUUCCGUAGAUGUUGUGCAAUAAUACAAAUACUUGACCAGAUGGUAGAAAAAAAUUUUAUUGCUCCAAAAUUAAAAUAAGAAUGCAAUAUGUUAAGCAAAAGGCUGUGCAACAUCAAAUUAAUUGAUAAGUUUGUAAUUCAGUAAAUUAACAACUUUCAUGGUAAAAUACAACAAAUUUCUUUUGAAAAAAAAUAAAUAAAUCUUAAAAGACAACAUUCAAUUUUGUGUACAUCUUAUUUCUUAAGAUUUUUCAGGAGGAGGGCAAUAGAGGGACUUUCACCUAUGCAAGAGAGCAGAAGCCUUACUUUCCCUAUAAAGUAGACGUCAUUCUGAUUAAUAUGCGUUUGCAAAUCAGCUCCGUUUGAAUCAGUAUUCUGAUAGACACACGAGGCAUUUACAUCCAUUUCCAAAGUCACAUGUUGCGAGGAGGACUCAUUUGAUUGCUCCUAUACGAUCAUCUAAUUCAAGUAGCAAGGGUUGGAAGAGAAUAAAAAGUCACAAUUAUUCUUUUGCAUAAGUGAGACGAAAAUGAUAAAUGCAAUAUUAUCAGCAGUAAACAAGAAGAGAACGCUCCAAGAAAUAGAUAGAUGCAGACAGGCAAGUUAAAAUGCAUAGUCCCAAACCUCCGCAUACAACUUCUCUAAAAUAGCAAUAACGUGUUGAUGCUAUGUUUUCUCAGCAUCUACCUGCAAAGGCCCGAGACCAGGAAAACAACAAUAAAGGAGAAAGUAAAGAAAGAAAUACACUUGACAUAAAUCUUGAAAAGAAGCACAAUUUAAGACAUAACAAACCCCAAUCAUAUUGUUUAGAACUACCAUUCGUUAUUUCGUUAUUGUAGCAUUUCGAACAAGCGUUGACUUAAUUCAACAUUGUUGGAAAGAUAGGCUUUUAGAAGCGGAAGAAAGCCACUCAAACCAAAGUGAUUGUCCUUGUAUUGAUCAAGGGAUGUAAACAUAUUACAUUUGCAGGAUGAGUUUUAAUCACUCCCCUGAUUUAUUUGGGAUGCAGUAAAACUAAGCGAGCAACUGUUUGACUUUCAAGCAACAUCUAAAUCAGCUAUUAAAAUUCAAAUAAAAUUAUAAUAGAAUAAUAACAGGCCAUCUUGCAUCAAAAAUUAAGUUUAAUUUGUGAAUUUUUUUCUAUAGACAUGUUAGUUCCUGCUAUUGAAAUGUUAAAAGCAUUGAAAAAUUAUUCAAUAAAUUAUGCAAACAUUAAAAUAGAGGACAUAUUAAAAAGUUUCUAAUUACAAUGUUAAGAUUUCCUAUAUUUUAGCAUUUGCAUAUUUUAAUUUAUUUAAAAGCUACGUAGAUCAACUUUGGGCAUGAAGAUUUUAGCUUCUACGAGACUUGAUUGGAAUAUGCAUAAGGAAGUGUGUUAAAAUAUGAUGCAUCCAACGAAAGACAAACCACGUGUAGUCUUUUAAUUAAGCCAAAGUAGCAGCUCAAACAAAUGACACUUGGACCAACAUGCAAUCAUGAAGUGGCCGGAAAAAGGACAAAUGCAACUUUGGCUUAAAUAAAAAAUAACAUGUGACUCGACUUUUGCUGGACAUGCAUCAUGUUAUUACAAGACAACAAAAAUCAGUAUGAUAGUACUAAAAGUUGACAAUAACAUGAAGAUAAGAGGCAGAAUGUCAACACAUGCAUAGGCACACACAAGAAAGUAUUAACGUAUAUACCAUAGCAAAAAGUAUUUGAUAUGUCAUCUGUUGCUGCUGUGAUUCAACUGACAGCAUGGCAGCUGUUGCUUCUCUACCAAGAGCCAUUAUUGUAGAUUUAAGCUCGGUCAAUCUUGCUUCUGCAUUUCGAAGCUUCACAGCACUCUCUGCUGAUAUAUCAGAUUCCCUAAUCUUUGAUCGGUGCCUAAAUACUUCAGCUGCCUGGUGAAAAUAUUCAAUAUAAAUCUAAUAUAAUUCUCAUCUUGCCUUAUGCAUGCAUAUGUUACCUCAAAGCUUACCUGGGCUUCAACUUCAUGUCGAAGUUUGUCAUAACGAUGAGUCAGGUGUCGAGCAUCUUCCAAAGGUGCUCCGUUGAUUAACGCCCGUAGUGGCUCAGAUACCUACAUGUCCAAAAACCUGUAACAUAGUUAGAAAAAUGAAAAGAAAGAGCGAAACCUCAAUUAAAAAGUUCCUCCAACAUAAUCAUGGAAUUUGGGCCUACUUCAAGGAUAUAUAUAUAAGGAUAAUUUAUGCAAUUUUGGGUCUUAGGAUGAUUCAUAUUAGGUUAGUGUUCUUCUCUUCUGUAUUUAAGGUUAAAAUAGAAAUAAACCUAUGCAAAUAUAUAAAUUAGGGCUGUAAGACUUCCACAUGCAUCCUUCAGUCUCAUGGAUUUGAUUUUACUAUAGAUGCAAGUGUCUUUAUCGAAAAUGCUUGGAGUCAAUUGAGAGAACUCACGGCCAAUAACUUGUCACACGCUAGUCUUUGCUAGUGAUGUAAGAAGUCACAAGGUCUCUUCAGCAUUUGAACCAAUAAAAUUAUUAAGUCAUGGAUGUCACUAGCAAUGAUUUUAAUAUAAAAUAUUAAAUAUUUCAAGUUGUAACUUUAAAAUGGAUUCUUUUAUUCAAUAUCUUAGAACUAAGUUUCCUUAUGAGAAGAUAAUAGUUUCAGUAGUAAUGUACAUAUAAUUUUCUAUAUUUGAAUUAUUUUCUAGUUAGGGAUGAACUAACCUGAUCACGAAGAAUCCCAAGCAAAGUUUCCCUCUCAUUUUCCAUCAAAUCAUGUGAAGUGCCAAAUUGAAGAGCAGCUCUUGCAACGCAAGAAUUGUCACUUUGAUUCUCCACUCCAUACUUGCAACAAUCUUCGGCCAACUUUCUCGCUACAAUAUUUGAAUACAAAAAUAUUGUACACAAGAACUAGUCAAGAAAAUUAAAAAAAAAAUCAAAUAUUAUAACGAGAGCAAGAGCAAACGAACAACCUAUUUCCAUUUGUUUCAAGCUUACUGCAACAAACACUUCAACGCCACGGACAACAUUCCUCUGACAAUAUUCCAAAUUAUUGUUCAGAUAAAACCAUAGAAACCAUCAUAAUUGUUCAACAUACAUUAAGCUAAAGGAGGAUGGUGCCUUAGCUGCCCUGGUGGAAUUGUAUAGAUUUUGAAGUUGUUGGUGACACUCAAUUUCAGAUUCAUCAACCGCAACAUUUUCAAUACCAAGAUGGAGCAGAUGCUUCAAUACUGCCUGUACAAAUCAUAAAAAACUAAUGAAAAAUAAAUAAAAUCGAGAAAUUUCACUAACUAAAAGUCUAAAUAUAAUUUUUUUAAAAAGAAAAGAAACGGACUUGCUGCUGCUUGGCGACUUGUUCUCGGAGCUUGAUUGCCUGUUUCUUGAUAGCUUCCAUACUGUUUCUUUCAAAAAGCGACGACGGCUCAGCUCAUGGAGGUGGAAAAAAAAAGUGUGAUCGGGAAAAAUAAAAAGGCAUGAAUAAUUUUUGAAAAAAAGCGAAAAUCAAGGAAAGCCAGCUCUUUCCAGAAAAUAAAAAAAGAAAAAAGAAAAAAGAAAAUUAUAAGUUUGAAAGGAGAAGAUGAUUGUGGAAGUGUGCGGUGUGGCUGACAGCUACUUGGAUUGUAUUGUCGGGUAAGGUAAUAGUAGAGAAUUUUUUUUUUUUAAGAAAAAUAGUAGAGAAUUUUUUAAGAAGCUAGAACAGAGCAUGACAUUAGACUUUUGUUGACCAAAGGAUGUUGUUUUAUUCUUCUUAUACUUUACGUUUGGUUUGGUUUUUCAAACUAAAUAAUCAAGUAGCAAAAAUACAAAUUUAGAGAUUAGGGGGUGAACUAGCUAGGUGGUUUACAAAUAUUCCUAUUUGUAAGGUGAAUUAAUUGAAUCAUGAGAAAACAAUGUGACCAUAGCUCAAUAUGAGAUGAUUUCGGAGAGGCAUAUUGUUUUCAAGUGAAUUUGAUCCAUUAAGAGAUGAAGUGGAUUGAAGUGGAAAGUUUAAAUAACAAAUCCUUGUUCUUGAGUUUUACGACGUUGUUACUCCUUCAGGUGGCAGAUUAUGCAAGUGAAUUCAAAAACACAAUGCAUCAAUCACGGGGAUGCUACAUCAAAAGACGGGAUCAUAGUCUAUGCAUUGAACAGUUACAGUUGCUGCUACCAAUUGCCUCGGCAAAGAUCAAGAAGACUGAACGGGAAGUUAAUGCCAUCAAGGAGUUGUCUAGUGUUCUUUUCCUUAUGCUAUGAUCGGUGCUCUUGAGGCUGCCCUGAAACACAGGAAAAUACUUCGAUAUCCUCCAUUCGAUGAUGCAAAGAACCGGUUAAUGUAUGAUUACCUAAUUGACUCAGGAUCAGGUAACAACAACAACAAUUUAUUAAUAGUAAUAUCACAAACGAAGAAGAUUUCGGAGAGGGAGAUGUAAGCGUAUACUGUUUACAGGUUUGAUCCACUGGGGAUGAAGUGGUCUCAAGUGGAAAGUGAUUUAUUAAACAACAAAUCAUUGUUCUUGGGUUAUACCUCAUGAUGUCAUCAAGUGGAAGAUGAAGAUCGUUUGAUAUUGAAGAAUUUGAACAGAAAGCCCAUAGAAAGUACUUAAAUAAGCAUAUUCUUGUUGGGGUAGAAUAUUAAGAAAGGAGUUGUCUACUGUGUGUUGCGUAAUUAUGCUAUGAUCGGUGCUUUCAACAUUGCCCUGAAAACAGUGGGAAAUACUUCAUACCCUCGACAUGAUGAUGAAAAAUUGGUUACCGAUUACCUAAUUGACUCAGGUGACAACAAUCCAUUAAUAGCACAAUUUGACGUGAUGCCGUUUAGGUAUAUGGUUUUCAAGUUUGAUUCAUCAGUGAUGAAGCGGACUAAAAUUAAAAGUUUAAAUGAUAAGUCAUUGUUCUUGGGCAUAUCGUCAUUACUACUUCCAGUGAUCAACGAUGAAGAUGAAGAUGAAAAUUGUGCGAGUUCAAGAUUACCAUUUAUCAUUACUUGGGAUAUUACUUCAACAUAGAUGGGGUUAUAAUUUACUCCCACGAACAUCAACUCAACUUUAUGAUUGGAGUGUCUCACCGUGACUCAGACAAAUUCUGAUUCAACCUCCUUCACCAAUGGAUUUUGAUUAGUUAUUUUGUGAUCAAGCAACUUAAUUAAACUCACAGUUUGUUAGUCUAAUUUUAGUUUUACUGUGACCACUAUUCAAGGUAAGCGAAAGUUACAGAUGUGGCAAAAUCAAUAAUUAAAUUCAUAAAAUGUUAAAAAAUAAAACUUAUAAAUGUUGCAUGACUACUUACUAAUAAAUAAAUAAGUUAGAAUGUAGUUAGUUAAUUUUACACCAUAUUAUAUAUUAUUCGAUAAUAAUAUAAAAUAAAAAUAAUUAAAAAAUAAAUAAUUGAAUAAAUAAAUAUGGCUUUCUAAACAGUAAAAAUUCUAGAGUUAAAAUUUAUAUUAUUAUUUUAUUUUUUAAAAUUGACAUUUUUCUAUUGUCUUACAUGUACAAAGAUUUUGAGAGUUGAGAAGAAUAUAUUUAAUGAAGCUUGAUAACAUUUGAUGGGAUAGCAAGUAAGGGUAAAUAAGAUAUUUUUAUUUGUUAUUUAUUUGAAUUAUAUCUAUUUGUUCAAGUUAAAAUACUAAAUAUAAAUUGGAGGUAGACAUUUUAACAGAUCAUCUAAGCUCUCAAAUCUGAAAUUUUGUGUAGAUUUAAAUUCAUAAUCCCCAAUUAUUUGAUCAGCAACUAUCAAGAACUAACCAAAUUUAUUUCUUCAUGACUUCCAAACACUAGAAAAUUUUGUUAUUUGAUAAUAAUAUCAUUAAUUAGAGUUUAUCAAACCGCAUUAUUUUCUUUCAUAAAAUUGAUGCCUAUUAGUGUCACACUUUAUUUGUAUUACCUAGCGGACAUCAACUUUUUUUUUAAUUUUUUAAAUUAAAAAGACCAUUUGAUUUUAACCCAUGUUCUUGGCCUUAGGGAAGCUGACUUCUUUUAUAGUCAGGCGAUGAGUUAAGAAGUGACAUAGCAUUCAGGCGAUGAGUUUAUUUUUGUUAUCUUGCUAACAGUUUUAGUCUAAUUUUAGUUUUACUGUGACCACUAUUCAAGGUAAGCGAAAGUUACAGAUGUGGCAAAAUCAAUAAUUAAAUUCACAAAAUGUUAACUAAUUAAAUUCAUAGAGUUGCACAAUUUCAUCAACUUGGAAGAAUUGACUUUAAUGGACUGGCCUUCUCCCCCUAUAAUUCUAAUGCUUCUAGGAAGCAAAUUUUUAUAAAUUAUUUAUUUUUGAGUUAAUUUCAAUUUCAAAAAACAAAUUUUUUAAGUUAUUGAUACUCUAAUGAGAGUAUCUUCAUAACAAUUCCCUUGCUCCAAUAAUAACAAAAAGGUGGUUACUUAGAAAUAAUUAAAAUAAAUAAGUGUUGAUUAUAUAUCCUAAUUUGCAUCGAUUUUUUUUUACCUUAAUUUCAGGAAUUUGGAAUAUAAGUUUGUGAAUGGAGGAUGAUCACGCGUGUGUUAAUUUUUCAGUCAUUGACUGUCGUAUUCUCGACUUAACGAUAGUGUUCUUGAUCAAGGGCAAUGACUCCCACCCCUCUUUUAAAAAUAUUGUCAAGUAUAUUGAUGACAAAAUCUCUUAUAGUUAAUAGUCUUUAAAAAUUUAUAGAUUUACUAUUGUCAUGACCAAAUUAUUCAUGUUUAAUGAAAUAUUAAUGCAUCAAAAUAGAUAUCUUCGGAAUCUAAUCCGAUCGGCUCAAUCCGUUUCAUUCGCAAAAGUGCAAUCCGCAAAAAUUUGAUCUGUGGAUUAGUGGAUUGGAUUGGAUUGAAAGUUUAAAAAUCCAUAGUCGAUAAAUUGGAUAUCGAUUUACUUCUCUAAAUAUGCAAAAAUUCAUGAAUUCGCAAAAAAAAAAAAUGUAUUUACUAAUAAAUAAAUAAGUUAAAAUGUAGUUAGUUAAUUUAACACCAUAUUAUAUCUUAUUCGAUAAUAAUAUAAAAUAAAAAUAAUUAAAAAAUGAAUAAUUGGAUAAAUAAAUAUGACUUUCUAAACAGUAAAACUUCUAGAGUUAAAAUUUAUAUUGUUAUUCUAUUUUUUUAAAUUGACAUUUUUCUAUUGUCUUACAUGUACAGAGAUUUUGAGAGUUGAAAAGAAUAUAUUUAAAUAAAAUAUUUUUAUUUGUUAUUUAUUUCAAUUAUAUCUAUUUUGUUCAAGUUAAAAUACUAAAUAUAAAUUGGAGGUAGGCAUUUUAACAGAUCAUCUAAGCUCUCAAAUCUGAAAUUUGUGUAGAUUUAAAUUCAUAAUUUUAGUUAAUUUUCAUAUAUUCAUAUAAACAAAUUUAUGAGAUUUUUUUCUUUUCAACAUGUUAUAUUUUUAAACUUUCAAUGUAUUAUUUUAGCUAUAUUUAAACAAUUAAUUUAUUUAAUUUUAAAUUUGAUCAGUAUAAAAUGUUUUUAUAUCAAAUUUUUUUAUUUAAAUAGUUCGUGGAUUGGACAAAAUUAAACAUUUUUAAUUCUUAAAUGAUGGAUUGGAUAUGAAUUGGAUCAAAUCCACAUUCGAUCCGCAGUUAUAUGGAUUGAAUUUGAAUUGAAUUUCAUCAAUCUAUGGAUUAUAUUGGAUUAAAAAUUUAUAAUCCACAAAAUCGUUGAUUAGAUAUGGAUUGAUGUCCAAUUCGCAAAAUCUAAUUGCCGAACACUCCACUAUCAAAAUUUUCAAAAAUAUGUUUUAUCCUAUAAUUUUUUUUUAAAGUCAUAGUCUAAUGGCAGCUCAAUUUCUACUGCAUUCAUAUAAGCGGAGUUCAAAUCUCAUACCUCUUAUCUCCACACGAGAUUUAACCAGUUGAAAUAGCUAGCACCCACAAAUAUACUAGUACAGCAUCUCUUAACGUUUAACAUACGUAUAAUUAACGCCAUAGCUAUUGAUAAACACAUUGUUCAAUAUAUAUGAUCAAGAAUCUGAUCCUGCGAGCAACAGCAGUAAGAAGAACCAUUAUAAUGCCUAGCUCUUAUCCCGGUUAAUCCUCUGGCCCGAUGCUUCAUCAUAGUGAUUUAAAAAACAAACAACAGCUCUCUAAAAGAGAUGAAGAUAUCAUCUACGUAAAGAACAUGAAACGGAGAUUCACAACCCAUAAGAACUGAGAUAAAUUGGACCAGACCGGUAAUCUUGAGAUAAGUUAAACUGUGACCUAAGUUGAAAUCAGAGGACCAGAAUUUUAAAAUCUUUCGGCUAAGCCCCUGAGCAAUUUUCUAGAGUACGGCUUCUGCUUACCUCUGUUUAAUUUCUCUUUAUAUUUUUCUUUCAUUUCAUUAAUAAAGUCAAAUAAUAAAUCAAAGAACGAGGGAAGAUUUUUCCAAGUCAUGCAUUAUUUGAUUACCAUCAAUCAAGAAACCGACCAAAUUAAUUUCUCUCCGUGAUUUUUAAAAAUUAAAAAAAAAAUUAUUUGAACAUAACAUCAUUAAUUAUAGAGUGGAUCAAACUGCGUUAAUCAUGAAACUGAUACCUAUUAAGAGUCAAACUUUUUACUUAUGCAUACUAAAAGACAUCAAAUUGUUCCGAUCCCCAAUUAUUUGAUCAGCAACUAUCAAGAACUGACCAAAUUUAUUUCUUCAUGACUUCCAAACACUAGAAAAUUUUGUUAUUUGAUAAUAAUAUCAUUAAUUAGAGUUUAUCAAACCGCAUUAUUUUCUUUCAUAAAAUUGAUGCCUAUUAGUGUCACACUUUAUUUGUAUUACCUAGCGGACAUCAACUUUUUUUUUAAUUUUUUUAAAUUAAAAAGACCAUUUGAUUUUAACCCAUGUUCUUGGCCUUAGGGAAGCUGACUUCUUUUAUAGGUGAUAUCUGCUUGAACUUUGGUGUGUUAAUUAUUUCAAUCCCCAAUUAUGUAAUUUUUUAAAUUAUAGCCUAACGGCGGUCUCAUCACCACGUGUGUGAUUUUCUUUUGCCAAUAGGAUCUGCAGAGAGCUUGAUCUCAUCCAAUAGCAAAAUAAACUUCCUAAUAAGUGAAGGUAUAGUAUAAAUAUUUCACCCCCAUAUUAUUUAUUAGCAGCUUGAUUAUUUUAUAUGCAUCUUUGAUUUUAAUUUUUUUUCCCAUAAUUGCUACUAUGUUCGAACUGGUCAUGAAUUAUCUAUAAGAUUUUUCAUGUUGCUUUUAGGUGCAUUGGAUUUUUUGAGUUUAGUGCAAGAGUAGAGGAAGGCAAAUUAAGAAAAAGGAUAAAGAUCUAUGAUUAGCUAUUUUGGGAUGUCUCAUAACAUAUUGAUGCUAACAUUAUACAUAUGUAUAUCUAAAUAAUGGGCUUGGAUCAAGAGCCCAUUAAUAAUCAUAGAUUAGCUUAUAUAGUUCAAAAAAUGUACCAUAAAGCAAUUUUACAAGCACUUGUUAGCCUAUGUUGAGCUUUAUUAUCAAUAGUUCAUAGUUCAUCAGUGCACUGCAAGUUUACUAUUUGAAGUAAAUGUUGUGGUGCGUGCAUUCUUCAUAAGGCCAACUAUUGAAUUUAGCAUUGAAACUUACAAAAUGUAAUAGAAAGAGGUAGAUAACAGCCAUAAAACACUAAGAUUGGAAAUCAGGGCAACUAAAUACUAUUACAAGCCCUUAGAAAAGACAGCGAUCAUCCUGAAAUAUAUAUACUGAAAGUAAGAAAUGUUAAUCGCAAAGUUAUGUGCCAACAGAACUAUUGACUACUUGUCUCUAGUAGAAAGUAAAUAUUUUUAACUUCAGCCCUCUACUUUGUUCUAAGAACAAGGCAAUAUAAGGAAACAUCGGUGUCUAAAAUUUGCCGCUUGGAAUAUUUCACUGUCUAAACAUUCACUCACCACUUAUUUCAUUAAUGAAUUUUGUCUAAUUAUAUGUUGAUAAAGAUAUUAGAGUAAUAUAAUACAUUUAAGGCUUAACUUAUAUUUUUUAUUAGUAGAGUGUAGAACUUUUAAGAAAUAAAUUAUUAAAUUACUAUAACUAACAUAUUAUUUUAAAGUUAUGUUAAGGAAAAGAAUGAAACAAAAAUAAAUAAAUAAAUAAGGGUAUUCUAAAACUUUGAUCUUUUUAAAAGUAGAUUUUGACAUAGAUAAAAUAAUUUUUAUAUUUUUUAAAUCACAUACUCUAGUUAAAAUCAAAUUGUAUUUAUAAAGUUUGUAAAUUUUUUUUUUUUUAGCACUGAUAUUUGAACACUAUCAAGAUAAGAAAUAGGGCACUGGUCAUGCUACAACAUUAUUAUAGCACAUAAAAAGACAAUACCAUUUAUUUUAUUGUACUAUCAUUGUUGUUAUAAUAGUAUUUUUGUUAGUGGUCAAAUAUUAUUUUUUUAAGUAAAAAAAGUGAACAAUGUAAAUUAACUUUUAAUCUCUCCUAAAUUCUAAUUCCUAGUUACGAAACAAAAUUGUUUAAAACCAUAGGUGAUAGGUGAUAGAAGUUACUAACACAAGCAAAUUUGACGGUCCAUUUUAUAAAAUUUGUUAUUUACCAUUUUACCACCUAUAUAAGGAGUGCCGCAUCGACAUAUCAACUCAUUUGCAGAUUAUUUUAAUUUUGUAAAAUUCAUUUAACCUGCACUUGGUCGCCCCUAUUCUCUGAAUGGUUAUGGCGAUAUCAUCAUUAUCGUUACUUGUACCAACGCUAAACCCUUCUUAUUCCCUUUCUCGCCUGUCAUACCCUAACAUUAUAUCCCGUGUCCACACUAAAGACAAGUAGUCAAUUCAAGCCAUCAGAUUAUAGUGGACCCACAUCAAUCCAACUACUUACAAUGACCGACAGCCUCUCCAUCUCCAUUUCAGGUUUCCUCUUCAACUGGCUUCUGCUUCCGCUGUAUUUGCUCCAUUUCUUGGAUUCGGAGUCCGUAUUUGGUCGGUCGGUCCCGCACAGCUCCCUCUCACUCCAAUUGUCACCCAACAAGACCAAUUGCUUAAUCAAGGCACAGAACAAGAAGAGGAUGAGAAAUUGAAACAGAAUUUGAGAAUUGGAAAUCGAAAACGUACGCAUUGACCGUGCCUUUGAGGGCAAUUACUUUUCUUGAGAAUUGAAGUUUGGUAAUGUAAUUUGUUCUCCAUCUGUGUUCCUUUGUAGUCAUUUCAUUUAUUUGUUUGUUUGCUUUAUUUGCACUUACGAAGUCUCAGGUAUACCUACGCAGGAAUGAGCAGGAGAAAUUGAUCCUCGAGGUAACAUAUGGGCGCGCCAUAUCGGUGGGGCACAGUGGUGAUAGCUUACAAGAAAGUAAAUUUCGAAAGCAUAAUUUGGUUCCGAUUGAGGUAAUAAUUGUCUUUAAGCUCAUUUAGUUUUAUAUCAAACAAAAUCAAGACUGCCUUUCUCUUCAAUAGUUUUGAUGAUAAUAUCUUUAGAAGCAUCUCAUUGACAGGUAAUCGUGGUACCCCUUAAAGAGUCUAUAAACUCAAGGAUAUUAUCUUCUGCAAAUGGUUCAUUAAACUUCUUAGAUGUAGUUAAAUGUACACUGAGAACAACGAGAAGCUAUGCCACUGUAGCAUGUAGUGAUGGCACUUAAUGAGUGAGUUGCUAGGAUAUGAACUAGAAAAAUUAAACAUUGUCUCCCUGGGUAUGCUAGCUUGUAAGUCGGUUAAUAUUAGAGCUUGAGAUACUAUAACCAUGAGAAGCUAUUGACCGCCGAUUAAAAUAUCCAUUAAAAUGUCUAGGGAGUUAUGAAGGUGGAGGUGUCUCCCAAUUUCUAAGGCCAUAUAGUAGACAUCAUCCAGGAUCCUAUUAAAGUGCAGUUAGCCUCCUGCUUGAUGCUAAUGUCAAACAAUUAAUAAAUUUGGUCAAUGUAACUGAAACUUGCUAACUGACGUCAGAUUGCGACUUGAGCACCUUAAAAUGGGAUAGACGAUUAGUAGCACUGAAUUCUUCUUGCCUAAGAUUGAGCAAUUGUUCUAACUACUAUCUCCUAUUGUAGGUUGAUUAUUAUGUUCUAAUUAUGUCGAUUUUGACCCAAAAAAUUACAUAAUCUUGAUCUGCAUAAUGUCACUGAACAGUGUCAAUUUCGUUUACCAACUAACUUGAGUUUGAUAUAACAAACACACGGUGUGUCUCUCAUGUCUCACCAUGAUGGAGAAUUUUUCUAAUGCAUGAAGCAAGCUUCGAUAUGUGGGUUAGCUUGGAGAAGAUAUCUUAAAAUGAAGAAUAUGGGGAGUUAAUGGGAAGAAACAGUUCAGUAGUUUAUAAUUCUGUCGUCGAGCUGUAUCUCUAACAUGGUCAAAAUUUAUGUGAAUAAGGACAGGGAAUCUUCAUUCCUCUUUCCCUUUUUAUACCCACAUAUCUCUCAACCUUUAUAUGUUGCUCACUGGAGAUCUGCUUCUGAUAACUAAAAUAAAAAUUUCAUCCACUCAAAUAAAUUCUGACCAAGCUUUCACAAGAAAAAGUAACAUCUUUAGUGAAGUAAUUUACAAGUAAUUUAGAGUUCCUUAUCAUCUUCUUGUGAGUCUAUCAGUAUGAUCCAAAAACAUAAUAAAUCUUGUUAGAUCCUGUUUAUUGAUGUUUAAACGCUGCUCAUUGUGAAAUGUAGAAACAAUGACGUGAAGUUUCUUUGGUCAUCAAUUAGUGAGAUCUUGUUUGAAGUUGUUUUCUGAAAUGAACUGCCAAAUGAUAGUUUUUUUUUUUUUUUCUUUGGACGCAUUUGAUGGCUCUUUUCUCCUCAUUUUAAGCAUGUGCCUGCUUGGUAUGGGAAGGAAUAGGCUUCAGAGUUGUUAUAUAUGUUGACAUGCUCUGGUCAUUACACAAUAUGUUCAAAUUGGAAAUUAGAAUGAGAUAUUUGUCGAUGCUUUUUGAGAGAUCUGCAUUCUAUGCAGCAUAACAUGAUUAAUGAAAAUGGGUUUAAGGACUGGAAAGAUCUGUGGCAGCCCAAGCUUGCAGGAAGGAUUUCAAUGGUUAAUUCUCCCAGAGAGGUUAUUGGUACAGUUUUGAAGUAUAUGGGAGCAUCAUACAAUUCAAACGACAUUAAUUAGCAAGUUGCUGCUGGGAGGAUUGCUGUUCAGCAGAAUCUGGCAUUACUGGGAAACCAGGUACUCUUAAAGAAACGAUAGCUGGUCAAUGCAUAUUAUUGCCUGACGGCUGAUUUUGUUUGUAAAGUGUGCCUUUUCAUACAUAUGAAUGCAUAUGUUAGUGUUGUCUUCUCCUUUCCAUAAAUAUGAAUGCAUAUGUUGGUGUUCUUUUCUGAGAUGGAUGCAAUAAAGGCUUUUCUUCUCUAAAUGACGAGUUUUCAUUUAAAAAUGUUAUAAAUCUGCCAUGCAUAGUAUUCUAGUAGAAUCAUCUAUAAAUUCAAGUUAUUGAAAUUGUCUAUUUGUCCAGUUUGAGUUAAGGACGCAUGUAAUAUGAAAAUAGUUGUCGAAUAUUGUAGGUUAGCUAAUAUUGAUCAAUCCUAUAGGGAGGGCUUUAAGAUGUCUAACAACAUGUAGAAUGCCCCUGCUUCCCCCACAAUUUUUAUCUUAUACAAUUUUUAUCUAUAAACAGUAUUUGCCAGACCUUAACUGUUCAGAUUCCCCUUCUCGACUAUCAUACCCUACGCCCCGUCUCCGUGUCUCCGAUAAACAGCUCAAUUAAGGCCAUCAGAUUAUCCCGGUCCCACAUUGAUCAACGGCUCACAAUGACCGACAACCUCUGUCUCCAUUACAAGCUCCCUCUUCAACUCGCUUCUGCUUCCAUCCUACUCUUUCUCAGAUUCGGAGCCCGUAUAUGCUCGCUGGUCCCACGAAGCUCCCUCUCACUCCAGCUGUCAACCGACAAGACCAAUUGCCUUAUCAAGACAGAGAACAAAAAGAGGAUGAGAAAUUGAAACAAGAAUUGAGAAUUGGAAAUCGAAAACGUACUCAUUGACCGUGCCUUUGAGAGUUGUUUCUCUUCAGAAUUCAGUGCCUCAAUCUUGGGUUAAGGAUUUUAUGCGAAGUCAAGGAAAGUGAUUGAAGUUUCAGAUGAAUUUGUGUGCUAGCAUUGGUGGGAUCUUUAACAAUUUAUCUGCCCUUUAACAAAGUCAAGGCUAAUUCAGCUUCUUAUAUGGCUGCUGAUUUGGUUAGUGUUGGUGAUUCAUGGCUUAGUUUUGCCAUUAAAGAGAGAUUGAUUGAGCCAAUGGCUGGAGCUGAAGACCAAGAUUGGUUCAAAUGCUUAAGUCACAAAUGGAAGGUAACAUCUUUAUCUUUGGCCCGAUAAUUUUUAUUGUCUUACAUUGAAAUUUGGUAAUGUAAUUUGUUCUCUAUCUGUAUUACCCUUUUUAGUCAUUUUAUUUAUUUGUUUAUUUGCUUUUAUUUGCACUAACGAAGUCUCAGGUAUAUCUAUGCAGAAUGAUGCAGGAGAAAUUGAUCCUCGAUGUGAAAUAUGGGCGGCACCAUACAGGUGGGGCACAAUGGUGAUAGCCUACAAGAAAAGUAAAUUUCGAAAGCAUAAUUUGGCUCCGAUUGAGGUAAUAAUUGUCUUUAAACUCAUUUAGUUUUAUAUCAAACAAAAUCAAGACUGCCUUUCUCUUCAAUAUUUUUGAUGAUAAUAUCUUUAGAAGCAUCUUAUUGAUGGGUAAUAAUUGUAUCCCUGAAACAGUCUAUAAACUCAAUGAUAUUAUUUCUACAAAUGGCUCAUUAAACUUUGUCGUUGUAGUCAAAUGUACACUCAGAGCAAUGACAAGCUAUGCCACUGUAGCAUGUAGUGAUGGCACUUAAUAAGUGAGUUGCUAGGAUGUGAACUAGAAAAAUUAAAUAUUGUCUCCCUGGGCAUGCUAGCUCAUAAGUCAGGGUUAAUAUUAGAACUCAAGAUACUAUAACCAUGAGAAGCUAUUGACUGCCAAUUAAAAUAUCCUUUAAAAUGUCUAGGAAGUUAUGAAGGUGGAAGUAUCUUCCGAUUUCUGAGGCCACAUGGUAGAUAUCAUCCAGGAUCCUAGUACAGUGCAGUUAACCUCCUGCUUGAUGCAAUUAAUAAAUUUGGUCAAUGCCACUGAAACAUGCUAACUGACGUCGCAAUGCGACAUGAGCACUUCAAAAUGGGACAGACGGUCGGUAGCACUAAAUUUUUCUUGCCUAAGAUUGAGCAAUUGGUCUAACUACUAACCCCUUUUGUAGUUGAUCAUUAUUUUUCAAUUAUUUUCAGUUUGACCCAAAACGUUACAGAAUCUUGAUCUGAAUAUUGUCACUGAACAUUGUCACUGAACAUUGUCAAUGUCGUUUAGCGUAGCCAACUAACUUGAGUUUGGUAAAACAAACACACAGUGUGUCAUGUCUCACAAUUCAAAUUAUCAUUUGUAAUGAUGGAGAAUUUUUCCAAUAUGAAGUAUGCUUUGAUACGUGGGUUACCUUGGGGAAGGUAUCUCAAAAUAAAGAAUAUGGGGAGAAAAGUUCAGUAGUUUAUUAUUAUGUAGUCAAGUUUUGUCUCAAAAAUGGUCCAAAUUUAAAUGAAUAAGGACCGGGGAUCUUCAUUCUUUUUUCCCUUUUUUAUACCUAGAUAUCUCUCAACCUUUAUAUAAUCCCCACUGGAUAUCUGCUUCUAAUAAUUAAAAUAAAAAUUUCACCCACACAAAUAAAUACUGACCAAGCUCUAACAAUAAAAAGUAACUUCUUUAGUCAAGUGAUUUACAGUUCCUCAUCACCUUAGUGAGACUAUCAGUGUGUUCCAAAAACAUAAUAAAAUUGGUUGUUCCUGUUUAUUGAUGUUUAAAUGUUGUUCAUUGUGACAUGUAGAAAUGAUGAGGCGAAGUUUAUUUGGUCAUCAAUUUGUAAGAUCUUGUUUGAAGUUGCUUUCUGAAAUGAACUGCCAAAUGGUAGUUUCUUUGGGGCAUUUGAUGGCUCUUUUUUCCUCAUUUUAAACAUGUGCCUGCUUGGAACAGGAAGGAUUAGGCUGCAGAGUUGUUAUAUAUUUUGACAUGCUCUAGUCAUUGCACAAUUUGUUCACACUGGAAACUAGAAUGAGAAAUUUGUUGCAUUCUAUGCACAAUAACAUGAUUAAUGAAAAUGGAUUGUAGGACUGGAAAGAUCUGUGGCAGCCUGAGCUCGCAGGACGAAUUUCAAUGGUUAAUUCUCCCUGAGAGGUUAUUGGUUUAGUUUUGAAGUAUAUGGGAGCAUCAUACAAUUCAAACGAUAUUGAUUCGCAAGUUGCUGGUGGGAAGAUUGCUGCUUCAGCAGAAUCUGGCAUUACUGGCAAACCAGGUACUCUCAAAGAAAUGAUAUCUGGUCAUUGCAUGUUAUUACCUGACAACUGAUUUUGUUUGUAAAAGUCUGCUUCUUCAUACAUAUGAAUGCAUAUGUUAGUGUUUUUCUUCCUUUUCAUACAUAUGAAUGCAUAUGUUGCUUCUUUUCCUUUCCAUACAUAUUAAUACAUAUGUUGGUGUUCUCUCCUGAGAUGGAUGCAAUAAAGGUUUUUCUGAAGAAAUGGCAAGGGAUGUGAGAUUCUGUCUCAUAAAAUUAACAAAAACCCAAAACAAUGAAAACCCAUAAUAAUGUGGUGUGGGUAAAUUGACGCCAUUUGGUUCGUUUCCUUGAUGUGAAUACGCGGGCAAUAGAGACUAACAAAAUGAAGUGACAACAAGAAGUCAGUGUCCUUUGAUGGAUGCAUUUUUAGGCAGAAAUAGGUUUGUAAUUGACCAAAUUUGUCUGGCAUGCCAAUUUCAAAAAAAAUUAAAUUAUGUGGUUAUUAGCUGUAAUGAAAGGGGGAUUGUAGGUCCAAUCAGGUGGAUCCAUGAAAGUUCAACAAAGUUCUGGUAUGGCGUAGAAAUUGGUUUGUGCAACUCAAGAGUCUUUCUGGUGAACGAUGAUGGGUUUUGAUUUUAUAAAUGUUAUAAAUCUACUGUGCAUAGUAUUCUAGUAGAAUCAUCUAUAAGUUCUAGUUAUUGAAAUUGUCUACCUUGUUCAGUUUGAGUUAAGGGCACAUGUAAUAUGAAAAAUAGUUGUUGCAUCUUUUAGGUUACCUAACAUUUGAUCAAUCCUAUUAUGAGGCUUCAAGAUGUCUAACAAUAUGUGGAAUGCCCAUGCUCCUCCCCAUUGUUUAUCUUAUAUAAUAAUUUGUUUUAGAUGCUAAUAUCUUUGUCGAUACCGGUAACAAUAUUACAAUAUCUGCGUUUAUUGGGUUUUACAUAGGUUCGACUGUUUGACAGUACACACUCUCUGAAGGCAUUUGGAAAUGGAGAUGUAUGGAUUGCUGUUGGGUGGAGUAGUGAUGUUCUUCCUGCUGUCAAACGUUUGUCUAAUGUUGCAGUUGUUGUUCCCAAGUCUGGUGCUAGCUUAUGGGCUGAUCUUUGGGUAUACCCAUGCCUGCCAUUCUACUUCAAUAUUCACAUUGUUAUCUCCUUCAUAUUAGUGAUCAGUAAACAUGAUAAUGUGACUAAUAAGUUCGUAUUCUCUUUAUAGGCAAUCCCUGCUGACUCAAGACUUGAAACAAAACAAAUUGGAGGGUGAGUCAGAGGUGCAUUUCCAUUAAUCCAUCAAUGGAUAGAAUUCUGCUUGCAAACAGCGAGAGCAUUGCCUUUCAAGCAAGAGGUUAUCCCGAGCGCAUCUCCCUCUGCCUUGAGAGUACUCUGGUUAAGUUGCCUGAAGAACUUUUGAAGGGUAAACCAAGUCUGGAUACUAACUUAAUUGCUGGAGUACCCCUGACGGAAAUUCUGGCCAGAUGUGAGUUUUUGGAGCCAUUAUCUGAAGCUACAUUGUCGGAUUAUGAGUGGCUGGUUGCUAAUCUGCAAAAAUCCACUCCUGUACUGAUCAACAAGAUGCAACAUUACAUGUCAUCAUUGAUCUUUAGCUAAAGGUACAUUGAAAAGUUAAUGGCACUGCAUACCAGUCAUUAUAAUUGGGUCAGGGCAAUUGGGUCAGGGCAAUUAGGUCAGAGCAUAACUUCAUUAGGAAAAGAGGCUUCAGCUACGUUAAAUAUUACAGGAUGUACUGAGAUGGCUGAAGUUGGUGAGGUUUUACGAGAAACGAAAGAUAGUGUUUGUUUGAACAAAGUUGUUGCCAAUCUUGCAGAGUUCGAGAAGAAAGAUCACGAAGCGAAUGCCACCGAUUUCUUCAUCAUUGUAGCCUCCAUAGUUGAAGUUUCCUCAUUUGAAGCUGUUUAUGCAUAUGCUUUUUCCCUUCUCAAGUACAGGAAAUUGAAGAAUUAACCAGAUGUGAUAUGCUGAAAGAGGGAAGUUUUCUUCCUUGAAUGUGACCUUUGUGAUUUGUCUUGAAGGGAUAGGGUGAUCACUGGCAAGAACCCUAUCAAGGUAGAUUUUAUGAUGUUAACAUAUUAUUAAGCAUUUUGUUACAUCAGCAAUGAUGCUUUCAUAGCAUGAAAGUGUUUAAAUUUAACUGAAUGAUCUUGAUUGAUCAAUUAUGAGUUUUAAUCGAGUAAAAACUAAAUACAAUAAUCGUUAACAAAUAUUGAAAUUGGGUAAAUAAGAUCUUGAUAGUGAAGAAUUUGAAAUCACACCCACACAGGAAAUCACCCUUCGCGUGGGGAUGGAGAUGUUUACUGCAGCGAUAUUGAAUAUGUCCACUGCUGGACUAAUUCUGAUUACCUAAUUGACUCAGGAUCGGCUGGCAAUAAUAACAGUUUAUUAACAAUGCACAGUCCGAGUACUUUUCCAGGAUCAGAUACGACGUGGUCUAAUGUUGAUAAUAAUAGAUUAUCAAAUGACAAAUCGUUGUUCUACUAUUGCAAGCCCCCAGAUUUAAGAAUCUUUUUCAGAAAUUAAAUACAUUCUGAGAGAUGCUGGUCUACUAUUGCAAGCCCCCAGAUUUAAGAAUCUUUUGACGGUAAUUUAUCACCUGUAACUGUGCCGGAAGAUUCAACUAGCACUGAAAAAGAUGAUAAAUUAAUUGAUAUGGAGAGUUUUCAUAUCACUUUUAAAUCAUCUUAUGUAAUUGUGAUGUUAGGAAGCAUUAGUGAUCUAUAUGUGAAUUAUUAUUGGCGCCAUUGGUGGUUUUAUCUUGUUAAAAUAUGGAUGAAUUCCAGUUACUAUUUUGUUGCAGACAAUCUUCUUCAAUUAACAUAUGGUUUAAAAUCAUUAUGUAAAUCAAUCUAUUAAUUUUCAAGAUAUUUAACUGAGUUAAAACUAAGUGCACUCAAUAAAUCUCUUUUCCUUUAAAAAACUGUUACGCUUUGAUUUUAGUGCUUAAUAUUUAUUGAACUCCGAUACAGGGAAUUUGAAAUCAAACUCGUAACUACAUAUUAUCUAAUUGCAAGUUUCUAUCCAUAGCUGCUGAUUUGUAGUGAUUAUCUAAUUGACUGAGGUGACGACAAUUUUUUUUUUUUUAAAUUUUCAAUAGCACAAUGUGGAAUUCAAUAAUUAAAUUCUCCUUUUUAAUUUGUUUCCAGUUAAAUUAUUAAUUACUUAAACUCUGUUUUAAGUCUUUAAGUUUAUGUGUUUAUGCAGAAUUGGAUUCUUGAGCGUGUUGGACACGACCAACAAUGAAAUUGACAGUAAAAAAAACAAUACAACGUGUGGACUCCGGUAGAUGCCAUACAAGUCUACAACUUUACAAAUAAUAAUUGAGUAAGCAACUUUGAUUCUCGGGGCCCUUCAAUGAAUUUCUAGCCCCGUUGACUCCGCCAACUAAAGUUUGUAAAAUAAAAAAAUACAUAGAAUUCCACUAAAUGCAAAACGCGUGGAAUUUAAUUUUCGGCCAUGUGGACCAAAACAUAAUUUAAUGAAAAAGGAAAAAAAUGAUAAGAUUUCUAAAAUAUGUGAAAGAUGAUCCAUAUUUUACUGAAACGACUUAUUAAAUUUUUCAAAGAUUUAGAAUAUUUAGUCAUAAAUUACGUGCAUGUUAAUUUUUCCGCCAUUGACUAUCAUAUUCUAAACUUAAUAGUACAUUUCUUGUUGAAGGGUACUUAAUCUCUCUUCUCCUCUUAUAAAAAUUAUAUUGAUGGAUUUCUUGUUAUAGUUAAUAGUCUUUAAGAACGGAUAACUUUAUUGUUUUCGUGACCAAAUUAUGUCCGCCUAAGGUUGUGACUAUUAAUAAAAUUAAUAUUUAAUGUUUAUGUUAAAAGAUAUAAGAUUUUAUGCGUUCAUUAAUUGUUAUUAGCUAAAGGAUGAAUUAUUUUUUCAACCCAAUCAGUUGAUGCAUCUGCAAGAGUUUUUUCUUUUAUUGACCAUAAUUAUGUUCCGGGUACAAUAAAUUGUCUUUGGUGCUUGGAAAAUAUGACUUCUUACUUCAAGUUUGAUAUGUCUCUCUCCAUAAACUUACUGGAAAUAUAUCCUCAUCUACUGUCAUUUAUCUAAUAUCAAUUGAAGAUCUCACUUUUUCAAACUAUCACUUCCAAGUCUCAUUGUCACUUGGCCAUUCUUGGACCAUUCAAAACCAAUCAAGUGUUGAAAUAAUCAAAUAUAUGCAAAAUUAGAGUCACGAUUUUUGGUCCCCCAAAUUCUAAUUAUAUAACUUCUAUAUAUUUCAUUGCCAGGUCACGAACUUGUUGGCACAUUUUCCAAAUUCCUCUUCCAUCAGCUCUCACACGUUAACUUAAGUGAAAAGUUUCCAAGUUGAUUGCUAGAAAGCAACGCAAAAUCAGACACACUUGAUCUGUCCCCUAAUUCUCUUUUCUACGUUGAAAAAGAAAAAAAAAAAUAAAAUACAUACAUACAUAUAUAUAUAUAUAUAUAUAUAUAUAUAUAUAUAUAUAUAUAUAUAUAUCUAUGUAAAAAUAAAUAAUAAACUGAGUAAAAGUACAUUUGUUUAAUUAACAUCUGAUCGGGGCAUUUUUGGUGUAAGCCACAACUAAAAUCAAACAGCCCCUUAGCAUACUUCUUCCAUUUUAUCGGCUACUUUUGUGGAUCUUAUAGGGUGGGCAUGUGGACAGAAUUUAAAAGUUUUAAUAGGCUCAAAGAAGAAGAUGUGUUAAAUCUAAAGUUGUUGCACCUUCUGAUUAAAUAAAGUUGUACAAUUUCAUCAACUUGAAAGAAUUGACAUUAAUGAACUGGUCGCCUCUCCAUGUAUGAAGCCUUCUUAAAAGUUAAUUUUUAUUUCAGAAAAAAAAAGUUUAAGUUACAUAUAUUACAGUAAGAUUUUUUGAGACCAAUUCCCUUCUUGAAAUAAUAAUAGAAAAGUAUUAAUUUAAAAAUAAAAUGAAUAUGUAUUGAUUAUAUCCUGAUUUUCAUCGAUUAUAGUUAGAGUUUCACCAAAUCAAUUCCCUUAUUCAAAUAAUACAGAAAAAAUAGUAAUUUAAUAGUAAAAUAAACAGGUGUUGAUUAUAUAUCCUAAGUUUCAUCGAUUAUGUGAUCAAAGUGGCAUUGUUGAUUUAUUUUUUGUUCAAUGUUAAUUUUUAGGUUAUAUAAAUUUCAAGGAUUUAAAAUCUUUGGCCAUGAAUUACACGCUUGUUAAUUUUCCUGCCAUUGACUGUCAUAUUCUAGACUUAAUGAUACCUUUCUUGAUCAAGGGUAAUUACUCUCUCUUCUCCUCUUAUAAAUUCCUCUUCCAUUAACAUCACUAGGAGUAUGUUGAUCUCUCAGACGUUAACUUGAGUGGAGAGUUUCCAAAUUGAUUGUUACAAAACAACACAAAAACUAGACACACUUGAUCUGUCUAAUAAUUCUCUUUCGGUAAAAUUAAAUAAUUUUAGGGGAAUAUUCGGCCAACCUCUAUAAUUUCAUAGUGAUCAUUAAUUAAUUAAUCGAUACAAAUAUCUAAAGUGAUUAAAUGUGACUUGAAAUUUGAUCUCUAUCGAUUGGUUUACAAAUGGACGUACUUGUGCCUUUGUGGCGAUAAUCGAACAAGUACCCAUGAUUAUUAUUUUUUCCAAAAACUUUUUUACAACAAAUUCAUCUCGUCAAAAAUUCUAUGUUGCUAACUAACAAUAAUUGAGCACUUGGCCGCAUUGACUCCACGUCUCCACCUCUUUCUAAAUUCUAAGUAAAAACAUGGAAAUGUAAUUUCCACAAAAUGCCAAAUGUGUGGAAUUUAAUUUUUUGCCUUGUGGAUCAAAAUACAAAUGAAAGAAACAGAAGAAAAAAAAGGCCCAAAGACUUCUAAAAGAUGAAGAAGUCUUUGUGCCUUUUUAUAAUGGUGAAUUUUUUUAAAGAAAAAAAAUAACAACAUUUUUAUGGUUUGUUUUGAUAAUCAUAUUUACAUAUACUCUCUAAUUUUCAAAAUGGACACAUAAAUCUUUUUUUUUUACAAAAUAUAUAUUAUUCAUAUUUUUUUUAUUUUUUUAUUAUCAUAUUUUUAUUUAUUAUAAAUGUUUAGAGCAAAUUUUUAGGUUGAAAUAUAAUAAAAAGGUAUAAUUGUUCUCUUAUUAAACACACAUACUUUUAUUAGUUUCUAUCCAUUUGUCAUCUCAAUCUCUCUCAAUUAUUCUUUAUUGCUAGCUCAAAACGCGUUGCUGUUGCAAAUUAUAGCAAAAUGACAAAUAUGGAAAAAAAGGGAAGAAAAUUAAUGCAUGAAAGACUUGGAGAAAACAACAAAAUAAGCCAACUAUGAGCUAGUUGGGUGUAUAAAUUGUUAGAUGUGUUAUAUACAAAUAGCGUAGAGCCCUCUAGUUGGUUCCAGAGACAGAAAGAGCGUGUGUGUUUUUUCACAGUUAGAGAUAUAGUUAGAAUGGGUGGUUCAAAAUCAAAAAUGAUGAUAAUGUUUAUUAUGUUAUUAAUAAUAUUUAAAAGUGGGUGGAGUGAGGGAUGUUUGGAUCACGAGAGAUUUGCUUUUUUGAGACUCAAACAUUUCUUCAAUGAUCCUCUUAAUUCUCUUUACGACUGGGUAGAUGGUGAGGGAGCUACUGAUUGUUGUCAGUGGGAAAGGGUUGAGUGCAGCAACACCACAGGCCGAGUGAUAGCACUGGACCUUUCUUAUAUAUAUUCGGGAGAGUACAGCUGGUAUCUGAAUGCUUCUUUAUUUACUCCCUUCCAACAACUUGAGUCACUUGAUUUAACUCAAAACAAAAUAGCCGGAUGUGUUGAGAAUGAAGGUACUUUGUUUAAUUUAAUUAAUUUACUUUCUCCCCCCUAAUUUAAGUUGAAUAUCAAGACCGAGCAAUUAUAUGCAUAUUCAUUUAGUCGACAAUUUUGACUUUUUUUUAAAUGAUUAAUUUUGAAAUUACACCAGUAUCUAUGAUCUUUUUUAUUUUAUUUUAUUUGCAGGUAUAGAGAGGCUAUCAAGAUUGAACAACUUGAAGAUGCUUAAUUUAAGUCGAAACUCAUUCAAUAAUAACAUUUUAUCAUCUCUAACUCAUCUUUCAUCAUUAAGAUCAUUAAAUUUAUUGUGGAAUAGAUUGGAAGGAAGUAUUGACGUUAAAGGUACAUAAUUAAAACUUCAAGCUCUUUCAUUAACUUGCUAAAAUAAGAUUCAAGGCUUUGAAUUCAAUUUUUUUAUGAUUAAUAUUAAAAAAACAGUUUUAAGCAAUUUAUAAAUACAAGUUUUAAUGUUUCUUGUAAUUUCAUCUUGUACUUUCAUAUGUCUUGAAUUUAAGAUUAAAAAAAAAACUCUAAUAGCGAACCAAACACCUCCACAACUUAUUAUUAUUAUUUUAAUUUGUGGUGAGGUUUGAAACAUUCAACUCAAUUUGUACUUAUUACAGAAUUUGAUUCUUUGAGAGAUUUAGAGGAGCUAGACAUUGGCGGGAACAAGAUUGACAAAUUUGUGGUCUCAAAAGGUACUACAAAUACCAUAAAAAAAUAUGCUAACUUUUACAAAUUAGUUAGAUUCUUUGCCAUUUGGUUUAUUAUUUUACAGGUUUGAGUAAGUUGAAGUCUCUUGGUUUAAGUGGUAUCAAACUCAAUCGUAGCAUCUUAUCUUCUCUUUCUUCGUUAAGAGAAUUAGAUAUAAGUCGUACGGGAUUCAAAGGAACAUUUGAUGUUCGAGGUAAGCCUAAACCUUGCUUUCUCAUUUUAUAUAUGCCAACUAGAUUUGUGUAUCAUCGACAUAAUUUAAUAUUUAAUUUGAUAAGUCUGAAUGAAUUACAUGCUAAUUUAAACACACUUUUAUUUACUUUGUCAAUUAAUUAAUUAAUUAAUUACUAUUUGGCUUGGUUUGGACGAAAUUCUCAUGAUGUUUUAAUUUCUUUAAAUUAAUUAAUUAAUUAACUCUGUUUUUAAGUCUUAAGUCUGGGCAUGUUUGCAGAAUUUGAUUCCUUCAAUAACUUAGAAGUGUUGGACAUGAGUUGGAACGAAAUCGACAAUCUUGUGGUUCCUCACGGUAAACAAUUAAAAUGUUAUUCAAUUACAUUAUUUUAAUUCAUUUGAUUAGGGAAGGCCAAAAAGGUAAAAAAAAUAAUAAUAAAGAAACAGAGAAUUUGUAUUAUUUAAAAAACAGAAUGUAAUAAAGAUUUGAUUCUGGUUCUUUAAUCUUUAAAGUGAUUGAAAAACAAUGUUGCUCUUUUCCCAAAGCAUCAAAUACGAAUUGAAUGCCAAUUAACUUAAUCAUUCAUUUCGUUUAGCUCUAAAUUUAGACAAUGAAUUUUUAUAUUAUUUCAAAAACAUGACGUAAUAGAAUUUUUUUAAAAACAGAUUCUAAUAAAGAUUUGAUUCCAAUUCUUUAAUCUUUACAGUGAUUGAAAAACGAUACUACUCUUUUCCCAAAGCAUAAAUACGAAUUGACUCCCAAUCAAAUUAAUCAUUUAUUUCGUUCAUCUCUGAAUUUAAAUAAUGAAUUUUGAUCUUCAAUCGUAUUAUAAUUACUAUUAAAGAACAGGUUACAGAGGUUUGAGGAAGUUGAAUCAUCUUGAUCUAUCGGGAGUUGGAAUUAGAGAUGGAAGCAAGUUGUUACAGUCAAUGGGAUCAUUCCAUCCCUCAACACUCUUUACCUUUCGUGGAAUAAUUUUAUCGAUACAGCGACCGCUACUCAAGGUAAGUAAAAGGUACAAAUGUGGCCAAAUUUAUAAAUAAAUUGUUAAUUAAUUAAUUUUUCCGUAUUAUUAAUUAAGCUAAAUUUGUUGCUCCUUCCUUCUAAAUCUAAACAGAGUUGCACAAUUUCACCAACUUGGAAUAUUUGACAUUGGACUUUUCCUCUCUCCAUAUAAGCCUUCUCCAAAGCAUUGCAUCAUUAUUCCCUUCGUUAAAAAAUCUGUCGAUAUCUCAUUGUGAAGUCAAUGGUGUCCUACGCGGUCAAGGUAAAAGAAAAUCGUUGAUUGUGAACUCACUCAAUGGUGUCCUACGUGUUCAACAUUUUUAUUUAUUUAUUGUUUAAUGUUUCUGCUAGGUUUUCCUCAUUUCAAGAGUUUGGAACAUUUGGAUAUGGAUUACACGCGCAUUGCACUCAACACCGGCUUUCUUCAAAUCAUCGGUGAAUCGAUGCCUUCUCUUAAGUACUUAUCACUGUCAAGGUUAAUCUAUAAAUCGAUGCCUUCUCUUGAUCAAGGUUAAUCAGAUGCUCCCACUCUCCCCUCUUAAUCUAUAAUAUUAAUUUUCAAUUCAAUAUUUAAUUACACAAACGAAUCACUUAUUAUAAAAGAAUAAUACGCAUUCAUUAAUUUUUAUAUUGUAUUAAUAAUUGAUGAAUUUAAUAACUUUUCAGGUCUCUGUUCGUUGGUGCAUCUGCAAGUGUUGAACAUUGCAGGCAAUGAUUUAAGAGGUAGCUUGCCUUGGUGCUUGGCAAAUAUGACAUCCCUCCGAAUAUUAGAUGUUUCUUCCAAUCAACUUACUGGAAGCAUCUCCUCAUCUCCCCUCGUUCAUUUGACAUCCAUUGAAGAGCUGAUGCUUUCAGACAAUCACUUCCAGAUCCCAAUUUCACUUGAACCAUUUUUCAAUCACUCACGACUCAAGAUUUUCCAUGCUUACAACAACGAAAUAAAUGCAGAAAUAACUGAGUCACAUUCUUUGACUGCCCCAAACUUCCAAUUAAAAUAUCUCUCAUUGUCUUCCGGUUACGGAGAUGGUGUCACAUUCCCCAAAUUCCUUUACCAUCAACAUGAUCUGGAGACUGUUGACCUCUCACAUAUAAACAUGAGCGGAGAAUUUCCAAAUUGGUUGUUGGAAAACAACACAAACUUAGAAUAUAUUUUUUUGGUUAAUGAUUCUCUUGCAGGACCUUUCCGGUUGCCAAUUCAUUCACACAAGCGGUUAAGACUGUUGGAUAUAUCCAACAACAACAUCAGAGGCCACAUUCCAGUAGAAAUUGGAGAUGUUUUACCGGGUUUAUUUUCUUUAAACAUUUUCAUGAAUGCUUUAGACGGUUGCAUUCCCUCUUCAUUUGGUAAUAUGAAAUUCCUCCAAUUUCUGGACUUAUCCAACAACCAAUUGACUGGUGAAAUCCCUAAGCACUUGGCCGUGGGUUGCGUCAACUUAGAGUCUCUUGCGUUGUCAAACAACAACUUAGAAGGUCAUAUGUUCUCCAGAAACUUCAACCUGACAAACUUGAAAUGGUUACAAUUGGAAAGCAAUCACUUCGUAGGAGAGAUCCCACAAAGUUUGUCUAAAUGCUCCUCACUAAAAGGAUUGUAUCUUAACAAUAAUAGUCUUUCGGGUAAGAUUCCACGAUGGUUGGGUAAUCUCACAUGGUUACAAUAUAUUACAAUGCCCAAUAAUCAUCUUGAAGGUCCUAUUCCAGUGGAGUUUUGUCAGCUUGAAUGGCUUCAGAUUUUGGACAUUUCAGACAACAACAUAUCUGGAAGUUUACCAUCUUGUUUCCAUCUUCUCUCUAUCAAACAAGUUCAUCUUUCAAAAAAUAUGUUACAUGGACAGCUAAAAAGAGGUACAUUCUUUAAUUGCUCUUCCCUUGUGACAUUAGAUCUUAGUUAUAACCGCUUGAAUGGCAGCAUUCCGGAUUGGGUUGAUGGGCUUUCUCGGUUAAGCCACCUUAUCUUGGCUCACAAUAAUCUUAAAGGUGAAGUGCCAGUUCAAUUGUGCAAAUUGAACCAACUACAAUUGUUAGAUCUUUCUAAUAAUAAUCUUCACGGUCCUAUUCCUCUUUGCUUUGAUAACACCACACUUCAUGAAAGUUACAGCAAUAGUUCUAGUCCUGAUGAGCAAUUUGAAAUAUAUGUUUUCAUCGAAGGCCCUCAGGGAGGUGUAGAAAAGAAAAUCCAUGAAAUUUUUGAGUUCACAACAAAGAACAUUGCGUACAUUUACCAAGGAAAAGUGCUUAGCCUCCUAUCAGGACUUGAUCUUUCUUGCAACAAGCUAAUCGGUAUUAUUCCUCCUCAAAUUGGAAAUUUGACAAGGAUUCAAACAUUGAAUCUAUCGCACAACAACUUGACAGGAUCGAUCCCAUCAACAUUUUCAAACUUGAAGCAUGUCGAAAGUUUGGAUCUUUCCAACAACAAAUUGAAUGGGAAAAUCCCUCAUCAACUAGUGGAGUUAAAGACAUUGGAGGUUUUCAGUGUGGCAUACAAUAACUUAUCAGGCGAAAUUCCAGAAUGGAAAGCACAAUUUGCAACCUUCAACGGGAGUAGCUAUGAAGGAAAUACUUUUCUUUGUGGACUGCUAUUGCCCAUUUGCAGAUCACCAGCAACUACGUCGGAGGGUUCAAUUGGCAAUGAACGAGAUGAUAAUUUAAUUGACAUGGACAAUUUCUUUAUCACAUUUACAACAUCGUACGAAAUUGUGAUAUUCGGAAUUGUUAUUGUUUUAUAUGUAAAUUCUUAUUGGCGACGUAGAUGGUUUUACUUUGUUGAAAUGUGGAUAACUUCAUGUUAUUAUUUUAUUGUAGACAAUCUUAUUACAACAAGAUAUUGUCAUUGAAAUUAAUUAGGAGUUUAAUUACGAUUCUUUAAGUUCUAAUCAAGUUUGCUUAGGAAAUAAAUUUAUUUUUAUUUUUUAUUAAAACUGUAGUAGUAUUUAGCUCUAUAUAGCUUCCAACUUCCAAGCACUUCACAUUUGUCUCUACACUUCCAAACCCAUAUCUAUCCACCAUAACUUAUACUUCCCUAUACUGUGCAGCAUACUUAAAUAAGAGAACCAUCUCCAAUGUUAAAACCAGCCACUCUAUAACAUUCAUUUAGAAUAGUUUUAUUAUCAUACACAAGAAAUGAAACACCUAGAUGCACUUGAUCGCCUAUUUUACUUUAAAAAAUAAUGAUUAUGGUGCUAUCAUCAUCUUCUUCACUAGCAACAUUAACACCAAAUCCAGCGAUGGACCCAGACAUUUUAUCAAGAAAGGUAUAUAUAUAAUAAAGUUGAAGCUUGACAAAAAAUUCAGGAAGAUUAAUGCCUCGCCACAACAAGGGCACAACAACAUCAAAGUAGAGAUGAAGCAAUAUUUUCAAAUCUAAAACUCUCAAAUCCACCCACCAAAAUUUCAUAUCUCCUCAACAAUUUUAAGAACUAAAGAUAAUUAGGAUCUAACAUUAGUUUUUUAUAUAUUAGUUUCAUAAUUUACAAAUCAAUGAAGAUGAAGAUUAUGCUAAUGAAUUCAAAUUAUACCAUAGAUUCUCGAGAUGUUUACCAAAAAUUUCUAAGCCAAUCCCACAUAUUUCAUAAUUUUAAGACUAGAAAAUUUCAUUAGUUAGAAGUUUCAUUACCUUCAAGUGGAAGAUGAAGAACAUUAUACAAUUGAUUCAGAUUAUAUCAUACAUACUCCAAAUGCAACUAGAAAUUAACAAGUUCAUGCGCACAGAUUUCAUAACAUUAUGAUUGGAAAGUUUCACAAAGAGAAAUUCUAAAUUCAAUCUCUUGCAUCAAGGUAGUUUGAUUGAUUUGAGUUACUUUCUCAUCAAGCUACUAAUAUAACAUUCAAGUCAGGGAGAAAGUAAAUUAAAACUGGGAAGAAACAACAGUAAAAAUUUGUUGCUAAACAUGAUGUGUAUUUUUUUUUAAGGCAAUUUGGAAACACAGUUGUUACUACAGAUAUUCUCCUCAACUUAGAGAUAAAUACAAAUAUUAAAAUGCAUAUGAUCGCACAUAUUACUUGGAGCUUAGUAAGAUUUCAUUAAGAGAAGCAAUCAAACCACUUAUCAAUUGUUGCAAUCGUUCUAUAAGCUAAAAUAGCAAUAUAAUACAAGAAAAAGAACAUAUAGAUACUUGGCAAGAGUUCAUUAAGAAGUCGCAUCACAUUCGGGUGAGUUUGCUUCUGAUAUCUUGCUAGCUGGGGCUUUUUCUUGUCUUUCUACGUAUGCCGAGGGAAACCAACCAGCUUGGCCCUUGCAUUCACCUUCCGACCAUCCAGUAGGAGCCACCUUGAGAAGUUAUAACUAAAAGUCUAAAACAAUGAAUUAAACAAAAGUUGACCGUUCAAAGACCUAAGGGGAAAACUAAUUCUUUUACGUAGGAGGAGUGAAUUAGUUGUGAUCACUGAAAUAACAGCAUAACUAUGGAAGCAUAACAAGAUAUAAAUUCACACGUCUAUAAGGGUAAACUGGGUGGUUUAGAACUGAGCUAGCAACCCUACUAUAUUCUGAUUUGCACAUCAAUGUAAAAGGGAAUAUAUGGUAGGAAGAAAGAAAACCAACCAUCAGUUGUUAACUCAUUGCUUUUCAAUCAAAAUUUUAAGAACAAAAUGCCAUGUGCUUUGAACAUCAAAUAAGUAUAAGCAUUAGUUCUAAAUUCCACAUAUCAUAAGUUAGAAGGACAAGUCAAUAGCAUAGUAGAAAAAUCUAUGUGUUGUUAUUUAGAGGGGAAAGUACCUGGCGAACCACAACAUAAUCAUCAAUUGAAAGACUUAGCUCUCCAUUUGCUUGAGCAUCAAAUGGAUGUAUAACCUGCAAGAUAAUGGGAUAAAUAGAACUUAAUCUUAAAAAAAGCAUAACAAAAGCAGCAACAGUAGCAGCAGCGUUCAUUGUAACCACUAUGAUCAUGGCCAACAAAGAUAUAUUACAAACAAAAUUCCAUUUUUACUACGACAUUAAUAUGUACUAUAUGAUAUCAUGACGAUUGGGUUACCAAGAGCUAUCAAAGUCCAAUAAAUUCUGUAUAACUUUAGGUAGUUAUUCAAAUUAUGGAUCAGAUUUUAAAUCCGAAAUUUUGACUGCUCUCCACAAAACAUGGCCUAUGCACAAGAAAGUCAUAGAUAAUGAGGAUUACAAGUGUCUGACAUCUUUUGAGUGAUGGAUUUAACAUGAGAGCUUAUGGUCAGUCAAUUUCCUCUGCCUAGCAAUAUAAGCUUUCUCGGCCAGAUUUAUCAUCAAAUACAUAGAUUGGCCCCAAGUCACAUCCAAAUAAACAUAGUUUUUCUAGGUAAACCAAGUAAGGAGAAUCAUAAUUCAGACAUAAUCAUAAAAAGGCCCAUCUAACUUAAGAGAAAAUCUCAAAAAGAGGGAUGUUGAGCUAUCAGUCUUGUAUCUAUAAGCAAUAUCAAGACUUUACAUCACCUACUACAUCGUGAGUGGCUACACAACUUUCAGUGGUUUGUCUUUCUUUGGCAUGCCUAACUCAGCUUUGAUGUUGCUGAGAUAUUGAUAGUAAAGACACAUGAUACUUCUAGCCCAUGCAUUCUAUCUAGCUCAUCCGACAACUAUCUCUUUUUUAAUUCAUUAGUGUUUGCUAAACCUCAUGCUUAAAAGUCCUAUUCUCCUAAACAAAGCUUCCUAAGAAUGACUUCCUCAGCACCACAUUUGGACACUUUUAGAGCAAUUUUAUUUGGGGGAAAAGAAUUUUCAAGGUGUUAACUAAUAAAUUUUAAAAAAUAAUUACAAUUUGUCCUACAAUUAUAUGACAAUUUAUCUGGGAUGAAAGGAUACAGACAGACAUCUUCCACUUUCAAGACUAAUCACUACUUCCGUAGAUGUUUUGCAAUAAUACAAAUACUUGACCAGAUGGUAGAAAAAAAUUUUAUUGCUCCAAAAUUAAAAUAAGAAUGCAAUAUGUUAAGCAAAAGACUGUGCAACAUCAAAUUAAUUGAUAAGUUUGUAAUUCAGUAAAUUAACAACUUUCAUGGUAAAAUACAACAAAUUUCUUUUCAAAAAAAAAAAAAAAAAUUAAAAGACGGCAUUCAAUUUUUUGGGCAUCUUAUUUCUUAAGAUUUUCCAGGAGGAGGGCACUAGAGGGACUUUCACCUAUGCAAGAGAGCAGAAGCCUUACUUUCGCUAUAAAGUAGACGUCAUUCUGAUUAAUAUGCGUUUGCAAAUCAGCUCCAUUUGAAUCAGUAUUCUGAUAGACACGUGAGGCAUUUACAUCCAUUUCCAAAGUCACAUGUUGCGAGGAGGACUCAUUUGAUUGCUCCUCUAGGAUCAUCUAAUUCAAGUAGCAAGGGUUGGAAGAGAAUAAAAAGUCACAAUUAUUCUUUUGCAUAAGUGAGACGAAAAUGAUAAAUGCAAUAUUAUCAGCAGUAAACAAGAAGAGAACACUCCAAGGAAUAGAUAGAUGCCGACAAGCAAGUUAAAAUGCACAGUUCCAAACCUCCGCAUACAACUUCUCUAAAAUAGCAAUAAUGUGUUGAUGAUAUGUUUUCUCAGCAUCUACCUGCAAAGGCCUGAGACCAGGAAAACAACAAUAAAACCACUAGCUAAAGGAGAAAGUAAAGAAAGAAAUACACUUGACAUAAAUCUUGACAAGAAGCACAAUUUAAGACAUAACAAACCCCAAUCAGAUUGUUUAGAACUACCAUUCGUUAUUUCGUUAUUGUAGCAUUUCGAACAAGUGUUGACUUAAUUCAACAUUGUUGGAAAGAUAGGCUUUUAGAAGCGGAAGAAAGCCUCUCAAACCAAAGUGAUUGUCCUUGUAUUGAUCAAGGGAUGUAAACAUAUUACAUUUGCAGGAUGAGUUUUAAUCACUCCCCUGAUUUAUUUGGGUUGCAGUAAAACUAAGCGAGCAACUGUUUGACUUUCAAGCAACAUCUAAAUCAGCUAUUAAAAUUCAAAUAAAAUUAUAAUAGAAUAAUAACAGGCCAUCUUGCAUAAAAAAUUAAGUUUAAUUUGUGAAUUUUUUUCUAUAGACAUGUUAGUUCCUGCUAUUGAAAUGUUAAAAGCAUUGAAAAAUUAUUCAAUAAAUUAUGCAAACAUUAAAAUAGAGGACAUAUUAAAAAGUUUCUAAUUACAAUGUUAAGAUUUCCUAUAUUUUAGCAUUUGCAUAUUUUAAUUUAUUUAAAAGUUACGUCAAUCAACUUUGGGCGUGAAGAUUUUAGCUUCUACGAGACUUGAUUGGAAUAUGCAUAAGGAAGAGUGUUAAAAUAUGAUGCAUCCAACGAAAGACAAACCACGUGUAGUCUUUUAAUUAAGCCAAAGUAGCAGCUCAAACAAAUGACACUUGGACCAACAUGCAAUCAUGAAGUGGCCGGUAAAAGGACAAAUGCAACUUUGGCUUAAAUAAAAAAUAACAUGUGACUUGACUUUUGCUGGACAUGCAUCAUGUUAUUACAAGACAACAGAAAUCAGUAUGAUAGUACUAAAAGUUGACAAUAACAUGAAGAUAAGAGGCAGAAUGUCAACACCUGCAUAGGCACACACAAGAAAGUAUUAACAUAUAUACCAUAGCAAAAAGUCUUUGAUAUGUCAUCUGUUGCUGCUGUGAUUCAACUGACAGCAUGGCAGCUGUCGCUUCUCUACCAAGAGCCAUUAUUGUAGAUUUAAGCUCGGUCAAUCUUGCUUCUGCAUUUCGAAGCUUCACAGCACUCUCUGCUGAUAUAUCAGAUUUCCUUAUCUUUGAUCGGUGCCUAAAUACUUCAGCUGCCUGGUGAAAAUAUUCAAUAUAAAUCUAACAUAAUUCUCAUCUUGCCUUAUACAUGCAUAUGUUACCUCAAAGCUUGCCUGGGCUUCAACUUCAUGUCGAAGUUUGUCAUAACGAUGAGUCAGGUGUCGAGCAUCUUCCAAAGGUGCUCCGUUGAUUAACGCCCGUAGUGGCUCAGAUACCUACAUGUCCAAAAACCUGUAACAUAGUUAGAAAAAUGAAAAGAAAGAGCGAAACCUCAAUUAAAAAGUUCCUCCAACAUAAUCAUGGAAUUUGGGCCUACUUCAAGGAUAUAUAUAAGGAUAAUUUAUGCAAUUUUGGGUCUUAGGAUGAUUCAUAUUAGGUUAGUGUUCUUCUCUUCUGUAUUUAAGGUUAAAAUAGAAAUAAACCUAUGCAAAUAUCUAAAUUAGGGCUGUAAGACUUCCACAUGCAUCCUUCAGUCUCAUGGAUUUGAUUUUACUAUAGAUGCAAGUGUCUUUAUCGAAAAUGCUUGGAGUCAAUUGAGAGAACUCACAGCCAAUAACUUGUCACAUGCUAGUCUUUGCUAGUGAUGCAAGAAGUCACAAGGUCUCUUCAACAUUUGAACCAAUAAAAUUAUUAAGUCAUGGAUGUCACUAGCAAUGAUUUCAAUAUAAAACAUUAAAUAUUUCAAGUUGUAACUUUAAAAUGGAUUCUUUUAUUCAAUAUCUUAGAACUAAGUUUCCUUAUGAGAAGAUAAUAGUUUCAGUAGUAAUUUACAUGAAAUUUUCUAUAUUUGAAUUAUUUUCUAGUUAGGGAUGAACUAACCUGAUCAUGAAGAAUCCCAAGCAAAGUUUCCCUCUCAUUUUCCAUCAAAUCAUGUGAAGUGCCAAAUUGAAGAGCAGCUCUUGCAGCGCAAGAAUUGUCACUUUGAUUCUCCGCUCCAUACUUGCAACAAUCUUCAGCCAACUUUCUCGCUACAAUAUUUGAAUACAAAAAUAUUGUACACAAGAACCAGUCAAGAAAAUAAAAAAAAAAUCAAAUAUUAUAACGAGAGCAAGAGCAAACAAACAACCUAUUUCCAUUUGUUUCAAGCUUACUGCAACAAACCCUUCAACGCCACGGACAAUAUUCCUCUGAAAAUGCUGUGCUACAGAGCAUAUAUUCCAAAUUAUUGUUCAGAUAAAACCAUAGAAACCAUCAUAAUUAUCAACAUACAUUAAGCUCCGUUUGGUAAAUACUUGCAACUUCAGUCUAGAAAAUACAGUUGUUUGUACCAUAUUUGACAAAAUUAUUAUUUAAAAAUCAUAACUAAUUACCAAAAGCCACAAUAAAUCAAUAUCAAACAGAGUCUUAUUAUUAGCUAAAGGAGGAUGGUGCCUUAGCUGCCCUGGUGGAAUUGUAUAGAUUUUAAAGUUGUUGGUGACACUCAAUUUCAGCUUCAUGAACCGCAAUAUUUUCAAUACCAAGAUGGAGCAGAUGCUUCAAUGCUGCCUGUACAAAUCAUAAAAAACUAAUAAAAAUAAAUAAAAUCGAUAAAUUUCACUAACUAAAAGUCUAAAUAUAAUUUUUGAAAAAAGAAAAGAAACGGACUUGCUGCUGCUUGGCGACUUGUUCUCGGUGCUUGAUUGCCUGUUUCUUGAUAGCUUCCAUACUGUUUCUUUCAAAAAGCAACGACGGCUCAGCUCAUGGAGGUGGAAAAAAAAAGUAUGAUCGAGAAAAAUAAAAAGGCAUGAAUAAUUUUUGACAAAAAGCGAAAAAUAAAAAGGCAUGAAUAAUGAAUAAUUUUUGACAAAAAGCUCUUUCCAGAAAAUAAAAAAAGAAAAAAGAAAAAAGAAAAUUAUAAGUUUGAAAGGAGUAGAUGAUAGUGGAAGUGUGCGGUGUGGCUGCCAGCUACUUGAAUUGUAUUGUCGGGUAAGGUAAUAGUAGAGAAUUUUUUUUUUUGAAGAAAAAUGGGUAAUUUUUAAAAACCUCCCCUGAGGUUUGGGCUUGUUGUAAGUAGAUGGCGAGAAUCCAUUUAUUUGUAAAAAACCCCCUACGUUUUUGCUCCGCUUGGUUGCCGUUUGGGCAAUUGUGGGCAUUGUUGACAUUUCGCAAUAAAACAAAUCUUUUGCAACUUUCGUUUCCUUGAGAACAAUAGCUAGAUUUCUCAAUCUGUUUCAUCCAACACUUCAAAAAUUUCAACUUUUAUGAGUUAUUGCAUUCUCUGGCAAAGUAGACUUCUUCUAAUUUUAUCACAGUGCUUUCAGGAACAAGAAUGGGAUCCAUUAACAUCCCCUCAAAUUUUACAGCUUCCUUACAGCUAUACACUGCUGUAACACGAAGUUUAAUGAUUCCAUCGCCAAAUAGUCCCCAAAAUCUAUUCUUCCCCAUAUUGAACAACUUAAGUUCACAACACUUGCAUUCUAAAGGCUUCCCACUAACAUCUAAUAUCUCAAGACUCAACGUUGCUUUACAAUAAUUGUUAUUACUACCAAACAAACAUGAAGAAACCCCGAUUAUCGGAUAAAUCAACCCAAAAUGAACAAGAGAAGAACCCAAAACAAGUGAAUCGCUAGAGCAAAACCCCCAACCCAUAUCCCUAAUCCCACACUCAAAAAAACCCAAUUUCUCUCCAAAGUCAUUGACACUAGCAUCACUACUAGACUCUAAUUCCAAUCCUAGAUUACAUUUAAUGUUAACCCAACUAAAAUGAAUGUUCUUACUACAAUACGCAUCGUUUACACUCUCAAACAACGCGCUGAACUUACUCUUAAACGAUCCCACAUUGGUCAAACACUCAUCACUCACAUCGACAUCCAAGAAUUCACUCAAAAACUUCAUAGACUCGACAAUUGGAGAAAACAAAACCACUAAACUCAACUUUAUACAAGCAUACCCAUCGAGAAUCUUACCGUCAUUAACCGAAUCACAACAAAUCACCGGGUCCCACGCGCAGUCGUGAACGAGCUUACGCAUGGACGGGGCAACAUUUAACCCCCGCGGCAAAAACGACGAAGCUUUGGAAAAAUUGUGUUUUAGAGCUGGGUUGAGGAGUAGAGAUUGGAGAGAUUGGAAGGUGGAAUCGGGACGGUCAAAGGAAAGAGAGAGAGAAGGGAAGGGGAUCUUUAAAAGAGAAGUGGGGAGAGGGAGGAGAAGAAGGAUUUGAAAGAGAAAAGAGAGGAACGGAGAGGCGGGAAUGAGAUUAAGGUUUUCACUGCAACUAAAAGAGUAAUCAUGUAUGGCUCUUGGUCUUGGAGAUGAAGGAGAGGAUUCAGGUCGAUUAAGAGGACUAUACGCUGCAUUUUGGUGUAGUCUGCCGCCAUUGGUAGAAGUUUCGAAGUGGGUUUCUGUUUAGAUCCGAGUUUGACGAAGAAACGUGGUGGUUGCGCUUGGGACAAUAUUGUUUUUGCACUGGUCAAUGUAGAAAUUAAACGAUGGUAGGGUGUUUUUUUAUAAAUAAAUGAAUUCUCGCCAUUUAUAACAAGCCGAAACCUCAAAAGAAGAUUUUAAAAAUUACCCGAAGAUUCGAAAAAUAGUAGAGAAUUUUUUAAAAAGCUAGAACAGAGCAUGCUAGACUUUUGUGGACCAAAUUCAAAAGCCGAAGGGCACGGCCCAAAAGCUUUUGAAUACAAUAACUUACUAGAAAGCUCCAUUUUUUGUUGGCUACAGUAAAAGUAUGUUGUUUUAUGCUUCUUAUAUGUUACGCUUGCAUCAGCCUCAAUCACUUCUUAAUCGCUUGCUUUAACUGCAUCGCUCUCUGUGUACUCUUCUACACAUGUAACGGUUAUGCGGUUGUAGUUCACGGCUGAGGCUACGUGUUGGUUUGACGCGGCAGUUACGUUACGACAUUACGAGUCUGUUAAACAUUCAGUGAUAGAGCAUUAUUAGUUAUUUUAAGGGGACAAAUAAGAUUGGUUGCAAUAAACCCACUAAUAUUAUAAAAUUCGAGUAAUAUAGAAUAAAAUAAAAAAAUACAUACAAAAUUGGCUUUUAUUUUUUAUGGUUGACUGUAUUUUGUGUUCUCUUUCGGCACUACUACAUCAGUCACACCCAUAUAUCAUCAAUACAAGAAAUGAAAUCUAAUGUCACCUAUUUAGUUAAAGAAUUACUCAUGAAAAAAUUUUACCAUUUUACUUUGAGGAUCCAUAUUUUGAACUGCAAGCUAAUGUUCAUCAAGAAUCACUAAUGUUCAUAAAAAACAGAGCAUGGCCGUUGAGUAGAAAAACUAUUUUUGGACAAAUUAUUUUUGUUGAUAAAAGAAUUUCUUAAGGGACUACUAAUAUUAUGAAUAACAAUGUAGAACACACCCACAUAUCAUCGACACAAUUGACUUUAAGGAUCCAUGCUUUGAAUUGCCACCUAAUGUUCAUCAAGAACAGAGUAUGCCUUGUGAGUUGUGAGUAGAAAAUUUUAUGAUUUUGGUCCGAAAUAAAAAGAAAUUAAAUUAGAUGAGAAUCUGCCACUUUCUCAUAAAGAAAGGCAUACGGAGCAUACCAUGGUACCAUACAAUACAAAGAGUCUCUAUUCUCUGGUUUUUCAAACUCUGAAGGGGCCAAUAUUCCCGAAUUCCCCCUUGAAAAUUCUGAUUACGACAUUAUUCAAUUCUUGACACAAUCAAAGUAGCGACAAAGUUAAGAAAAAUAUGAGUCCUAAGUAAUGGCUAGGUAGGGUUCUUGAGAGCAAAAUUGUCCUAAGCAUUAUAUGCAUACAUGGUGUGGUACAUAGAGCACGUUGAAUUCCACACUAUAACACAAACCCAGAAAGACAAGUAAUAACUCAACUGAUAUAAAAACAAAAAGAAGAUAAAAUGAUAUAGAAAAAAGAAUUUCAAAGAGACAGCAACAUACGAUAGACUGAAGCCACUUGAUCUGCUCACUGAUUGCAGCCUUAAACUUACAAAUAGUUACUGUACGCUAGUGCUCUAAGAAGUGAAAAUGAUAAGAGACCUAAUUUCCUUUUGACUUCCAUUUACUGUCAAACAUUCUAGUAAUACAAAAAAUUGUUUAGAUAUCUUGCUAUAAAUAUAGUCGUUUGACUGUCAUAAUAAAGUCACAAAUAACCAUUCAUAUUGAUCCACUGUCACACAGCAUGCUUUAUGCAUACAACAUCUGCAUGUAUACCAACUCCUAACCUUAUCAAUACAUUUGGCAAAAACUUAAGAAGAAAACUAUUUCUCCAUCUCUUUUUUGAAAUUUCACAAUAAACCAGCACAUUGUGAAAGCUAUGUUCUAAUCUUAUGAUAAAUGCUCUAGACUCCAAAAGGAUUUUAUUUAUGAGAGUUUGUUGCAACAGAUAUAUUGACUUAUCAAGUAUGAAUCAUUGUCUGGAUGAACUAUCUUUAAAUAAAAGAAUAUUAGAACCACUGUAGAAUAUCUUUACGCUGCUGGUUCUAACAGGAAUCUGCAUGUGGCAACAAUUGCUAGAUCCACAAUUCCCCAACUUGAAAUACAUAGUUGCACACCGUGAGAUAGUGCUGCAAUCUACUGAGAUCUAACUUAUUUGAUACUUUAAGCUACUAAUGUUUGCAUAUUUCUACAUGUUAAAUUGACACUACCAUCUAUAAUCACCCCAAAACGACAAAUGAAAAGCAGCUUUUGGCCACUUAUUACUAGCAUCCACAACACAAUUAUAAAUAAGAGAUCAUGGGUUUACUUGUUGCAACUACUUAAUGAUCUGCAUUUGAUACCCUGACGCAAGGUUUAAAUAGUGACUGCUUAGAACCCUUGUAGUUGGAUCUUGACCUCUCCCAUUGUAGCCAAGAUUGGCUACUCUGGUAAUGAAUCAACACUCUCCUGCUUAUUUUUUUAUUUUUAAAAAAUAACGAAAUCAUAAAAUAAAUAAACACGUGUUUGGUUUUGGGCAUUUUCGUUUGUUCAUUUAAUAUCAUCUGGUUCCCUGAUUUUUGACUAAUUAACAACGGAAUCCUGUUAGUUUCUAAAUUGAAAUAAUAAAAGGUCAUGAGAUUAUUUACUCCAUUUAGCACUGUAGACUUAGAGUAUAUUGAAAAAGCUUUGUCAAAUAGUAGUAAUAGGGGCAUAAUAAAUAAGUUUUUCAGAAUUUACAUAAUGUACUUGGCUCUAGGAAGAUUGCCCUCUUAUCACUCAAGUUAAGUUUUGCCUUAGAGUUGAGGUAAAUCAUUAAAAUAAAUUAUAGCUAUCACAAAUUCGUUAGGAGAAUUUCAAUUUUUUUUCCAUUAAAUGGCUAUGAGGCAAAAUUACCUCAGCUUAUAUUGCAACACUAAUACUUCAAAUCCUAACAAUAAAAUUGAUGACAAUGGUUUUUAUGUAUAGUAAUUUUCACUCUUUUGUUUGAUCUAAAAGUAGUUCUUAAAAUGACAAUGAUGACUUAUUUAGAAGAAAUGGCAAACUUAUAGUUUGUAAUAUUGUUUGCACAAACAAUAAAGACUAAUUUGAUAAUAAUGAAGUGUUAAUUACUAUUUAACAUUUUUAAUUAAUUUUUAAAUUUAAAAAAAAAUGAAGGCCCAAACUUGUGCAUUAAAUUUUAAUUAAAAGUUGAUUGCUUCGAAGGUUGGAUCGUGACAAAUUGACAAUUGAAAAAAGAAGUAGGGAAUAUAUAUUCUGAUGAAAGGGACAAGAUUAAGCAAGGGGACAAUAUUGUCUAUUGGACCUACAAAUGGGGGCAAAGAUAUAUAUAUUCCAAAAUUUCUUAUUUGUGGAUUGGCCACCACGUGUAACUAAUAUAAAAAGAGAAAAUUUGGCAUGGUUUUAACCGAUAUAAGGGUCCGUUUGAGAUUGAGGUGCUGUAACUUUUAAGGUAUAGCUGCUGUGGAAAAAAAAACUGUAAGUAUUAAAUAAAAGUUAAUAAUAUAUAGUAAAUAUAAAUUUUAAAUAAUAAUUUUGAUGAAAUUAUUAAAGAUAUAAUAGAUUUUUUAUUAUACAAAUGAAAAUUCAUAUCAACAUAGCUUAAAAGUUACAGCAGUUAGUGUUUACCAAACACUUUAGUGCUGUAGCUUUUAAGCUACAGCUGCCCAACCUCAAUCCCAAACGCACCCUAAGAAGAGAAAAUUUUGAGUGUAUAAGAAGAGAAAAUUUUGAGUGCACAACAAGAACAAAGCAAAACCCAUGAAAAUUCACCUUUCAUGUGGGUUGGAUUGGAUAAAAUCAAUAUCUUGAAUAAAACAAAAUGUUUGGUACUUGAAGGUUUUUUUAACAUUUUCAUUUUUUUUCCAUUUAUGAAGUCCAAUUUUUUUUUAAUUUUGAUUUUUUUGAAUGAUUUUGCAGGUGUUGAUAUAAGGUCAUCAAAAGUUUGUGAACUUGGGGUGUUGAAUUAUAAGGCGAAGCGUGUGUUUUAUCCAUUUGAAGCAAGUAAAUUUCGUUGUCGGUAUGAUUACUAUUGGGCUUCUAUCUUCAAGGUAUUCAUACAUUUUCCCCUGUACUAUAAGCUUCUUAGUGGCGGUCUUGUGAGCGGAAGUGAGCGGUGUGGCUGACAGCUUCUUGAAAAUUAUAAGUUUGAACAGAGCAUGUUAGACUUUUGUUGACCAAAUUCGAAAGCCAAAUGGCACAGCUCAGAAGCUUUUGAAUUGAAUAACUUACUAGAAAGCUCCAAUUUUUUGUUGGCUACAGUAAAAAGAGGUUGUUUUAUUCUUCUUAUACUUUACGCUUGCAUCAGCUUAAAUCACUUCUUAAACGCUUUGCUUUAACUCCACCGCUUCGUACUGUUCUAUAGAUGUAUCGGGUAUGCGGUUGUAGUUCACUGCUGAGACUACGUGUUUGUUUAACGUGGAAGUUACGUUACGAGUCUGUUAAAACAUUCGGUGAUUAAAGUAUUAUCAGUUAUUUCAAAGGGACAAAUAAGAUUAGCUACAACACACACUAGUUUUAUAAAAUUCGAAUGAGAUGGAAUAAAAUAAAUAAGUAAAUUGACUUUUAAUUUAGUGCUUGAAUAUAUUUUGUAUUCUCUUUGGGCACUGCUGUAAUUGUUCCUUAUCACACCCAUAUGUUAUAGACACAAGAAAUGAAAUUUAAGAUCACCUGUUUAAUUAAAGAAUCACUCAUGAAAACAUUUUGUCAUUUUGAUUUGAGGAUCCACAUUUUGAACAACCAACUUAUGUUCAUUAAGAACAAAGCAUUGCCUGUGAGUAGAAAAUGAUUUUUGAACAAAUUAUUUUUUGUUUAUAGAAGAAUUUCUCAAGGGACUAUUAAAAUUACUAAUAAAAAUGUCAGACGCACCCAUGUACCAUCGACAAAAUUAACUAUGAGGAUCCAUGUUUUGAACUGCCACCGAAUGUUCAUCAAGAACAUAGUAUAACUUGUGACAAGAAAAUUUUUUGAAUUUGGCCUAGAACAAAAUGAAAUUAAAUUGAAGGAGAAUCUACUACUUUCUCAUUAAGAAAGGCAGACGGGGCAUACCAUGGUACCAUACAAUACAAAAAGUGUCUGUUCUCUGACUUUUCAAACUCUGAAGGGGGCAAUAUUCCCCAAUUCCCUUGUGAAAAUUCUGAUUACGACAUUAUUCAUCGCUUGAUACAUAAGUAAAAGUAGUGAUAAAAUUAGAAAAAAUAUGACUUAUAAGUAAUUACUAGGCAGGGCUCUUGAGAGCAACAUUGUGCUAGGCUUUAUAUGCAUACAUUGUGUGGUACAUUCUACACUAUAACACAAACCCAGAAAGACAAGUAAUAUCUCAAAUUAUAUAAAGACAAAAAGAAGAUAAAACGAUACAGAACAAAGCAUUUCAAAGAGACAGCAACAUACAAUAGACUAAAGCCAGUUGAUCUGCUCGUUGAUUGCAGCCUUAAACUUGCAAAUGUUUACUGUAGCCUGGUGCUCUAAGAAGUGAAAGUGAUGCAAACCUUGAUUCCCUGUUUACUUCCAUUUACUGUCAAACAUUCUAUUCAUACGAAAAAAAUUGUUUAGAUAUCUUGCCGUAAAUAUAGCCAUUUGAUUGUCUUAAUAAAGCCACACACAACCAUUCAUAUUGAUCCACAUUGCCAUAUAGCCUGAUUUAAGCAUACAACAGCUGAAUGCAUACUGACUCCUAACCUUAUCAAUACAUUGGAGACAACUUAAGAAUAAAACGAUUUCUCCAUCUCUUUUUUUUAAAUUUCACAAGAAAACAGCACAACGUAAGAGCUGCAAUGAAAAUGGACCGUCAGGAACUAUGGCGGAAGCUUCAACUAGUGUAGUGAUUUGACCUUCUUAUUAACUUAGCGAUAUCAAGCACUGCCCUUGAUCUUGAACAGAUCAAUACAAUACGCACAACUUAUGAUUGAAUCCAGAAACAAUCAAAUCUUUAGCAAGAAAAAUUAAUCAGAAUCAAGAAACAAGUUCAAUGAAUAUAAACCUAUAAUUGGAACAAACACAGCCAAAGAACCCAAGAAUGACACAACCUACACCACGGGAGAAGCUUUCCAGUGAGAUUUUAUUGAUGAUCAAAGAAGAAUCUUUUUACAAAGCUAACAAAAGAGAUUUCAAAGAAUAAGCUAUGACUCUCUCUCUUCAAUCUCUCUCUAGUUUGUUCACAGUGAUGACCCCAAUCUGCUUCGUUAGCCAGCUUCAUAAUUGCGUCAGUGACAAACUAGCAAACCCAGAUUGAGCAGAUUACCGACACGUGGAUAACGGCUAUUAAGAACUUGGUUAAAGAACUGCUCACAUAUUCGUCACGCGUGUUACUUAAAUGAUGGCCAAAACGACUUCAACCAGAUGUCGUUUUGAAGCUUGUGAAUUAAAUUGAAAACACGUGCUUGUCUCGUGACACUUAAAUACAACAACAAGCCCAAAACACUGCCGUUUCACUUUGUUGAGUUUGCCAUCUCUAAGCUUCACAACUAGCAACGGAGAAGAUGAUAAUUAAAUUGACAUGGAGAGUUUUUAUAUCACUUUUACAACAUUCUAUAUAAUUGUGAUAUUGGGAAUCGUCGGUGUUGUAUAUGUGAACUCUCGUUGGCGACACUGGUGGUUUUAUUUUUGUUGAAAUAUGGAUGACAUUUCGUUACUAUUUUAUUGUACACAACCUUAUUCUUAGGAGAUUUAAUCAUUGAAAUUAACAUGUUAGUUUCAUUAGCCACUAGGCCUUUGGCUGAGUCGUUCGGGUGUCUGCCCUCCAACUUGGAGGGCACCAGUUUGAACCCCCACAAGCGCAAUGUGGGGUAUUUUCUUCUUUAAUCCCUCGAAUAUUACUGAGGGUUAAAAUCUAGGUAGAGCUCCAUAAGUAUUAAUGUAAGUUGGUUCCAGUAAUAGUCUAAUUUAAAAAUAUCAGUUAUAGUCUCAUGUAAGAUGAGUUGUAAUUUGAGCAAUAGUCUCAUAUAAUAAUAAUAAAAUAAAAUAAACAUGUUAGCUUCAUUACAUUUUUCUUCGUUAAAAUUCUCAAGUAUUAGUCAGGUUUGCUUAAGUAAUAAAAUUUUGUCAUUAAAAUUGUAGUAGUAUUUCUGAGCACCUCACAUUUUCAAUGAUUGUUCAUAAAUCAAUUAAUCUGCCGUACCGAUAUUAGGUUUAGUUUUUCAUACUAAAUAAUCAAGAAAGCAAACAUACAAAUUCACAGUUUAGAGGGGUAAACUAGGUUGGUGGUUUAGAUUUUAGAACUAGGCUAGCUACCCCACUAAAUUCCAAUUUGUACAGUGAACUACAAGAAAUUGAGAAAACAGUGUAUUUAUAGUUUAAUUGAAUCGUGAGAAAGCAAUGUAGUCAUAGCUCAAUCUGAGAUGAUCACGGAGAGGCAUAUUCUUUUCAAGUUAAUUUGAUCAAUUUAUAAGAGAUGAAGUGGAUUGAAGUUAAAAGUUUAAAUAACAAAUCCUUGUUCUUGAGUUUUACGACGUCGUUACUCCUUCAAGAGGCAGAUUAUUUAUGCAAGUGAAUGCAGAAACGCAAUGCAUCAUCCACGGGGAUGGUACAUCAAAAGGCGGGAUCAUAGUCUAUGCCCGCAGAUUAACAAUUUCGCUCAUAUAGAAAAUUAAUUUUUUAUAUAUACUAAUCAACACUAAAUUGAUUAUGUUUUGUAUGUUUAUAUGCGAAUCAACACUAAAUUAUAUUAAAUGAAGAAAUAAUUCAAUUUUUUUCUAAUUUAAUUUAGAAAAUAAAAUUAUUAACAUUAAUAUUCCCAACAAAAAUUAUUUUCCAUUAGUAUUCAAAGUCUUCACUUAUGGAAAAUGUGUUUUACAUGAAUAUUAGUUACUGUGUGAAUUUGAAUGAUAGUGAAAAAUAAUUUUUUAAUUAUUGUAAAAAUAAUUAACCAUAUCAAAUCCCUUACGUAAAUAAUUUUUAUUUUUUAAAAAGAUAGAAAGAUGGUUAAUGCACAAGUAAAUUUUAAGCCCCUCUCUUCUUGGCCGAAGAUUCAAACUCAGAUGACUAGUUAAAUAAACCUAUGUGAAAAUCAUUCGGCCAGGUCCGCGGGGCAAAAAUACAAGAUCCUUAAUUUCAUAAUAUAUAUGAAUUAAUGUCAUUUACUUGAAUUAUCCAAAUUCAUCAGAGGUUAACGAAUUUUCCUGACAUGUAGUAGAUGAAGUUGUUGCUUCCUUCUUGGCAUUAUUUCAGCUCUGGUUGUUGGUCCCGAUGAGCUUUAGUCUUAUUUUAAUUUUAUUUAAACUCAUCAUAAGAUUCGUGGAGCACCUAACUGCUUAACUGACUGUGCAGAAAUGUCACAUAGCAUAUUUAACCGUUUUAACAGUAAUUUUGAACGGUCUUCGCAGUUAUCAUCAACAAACUCCUUCAUACUGGUCCAAUAUUCCGGACGAUAUCAUAUGCCUAAUAAUGAAUGAAUGGUCUUGGAUCGGUGUUUCGCAGCAAGAGCAACUCGACAAAAUCUGGAGUCAAGCUCCUCCGAUCGAACAAGGGAUUUCGAUUGAUGAUUGAGUUUCUUUGUGCUCAAGCAAGUUCAAAUCAUAGUUUUGAUUCUUUAGAUAUGAAUUCAUCACAUUACAUAUAACAGAUUGAGUUAAACAAAAUUUUAAUUUACUGAGAAAAGAAUUCUAUUUUGUGAACUAAUCAAUUGCAAAGCAUUAGUGUUGAACGAUACAAAAAAUUGGGAAAAAAAAAAAACUUAAAACGUGUGGACUCGGAUAGUCACACUAGAAAUCUACCACAAUAAUUACCUUUGAUGCUUGGAAUCUUUUAAUUUCUAGCCGUGUUGACUCCACUAGGUGAAGUUUUUGAAAUAAUAAUAAGCUCCCAUUCUUGAUUUAAAAAAAUGUGCUUAUAAUAAUUUUAGAAUAAUGGCUUAUUUAUAGAACAACUUAUGAUUUCCCAUUAGCAUUAUUAUUGAAGUGGGGUGGGUAACGGUUCACUCAAUUCGUCGGGAAUAAAAAAUUACCAUCCAAGGCAGAAUUGUAGAAAAUUAAAGCGAAAUGGGAAAUAUGGAAAUGAAGGAAGAAAGUUAAGGCAUGAAAGACUUCCAGUUGAAAUUGGUAAUCAUGUUUCUCUUUGGUAACUAAUCAAAUGGGAAACUGAACCAUAAACAGACAUUAAAACAUGUGUACUCCGCUGGCUGCCUUACAAGCCUACAAUAAUAACUGAGUACCUUUGAUUCAUCCUUCUAUGAAUUUCUAGCCGUAUUGACUCCACCGAAAUUUCCACAAAAGCAAAAAAAAAAAAAAAAAAAAAAAAAAGAAGAAUUUCCACAAAAUGCAAAACGCAUGGAACUUAAUUUUUGGCCCUGUGAUCACUAAGAUACAAUCCUUCUAGUGAAGAGCAAUCAGGCAAAUUUUUUUAGAUCUCUCCGACAAAGUGAUUACCAUCUAAUCGCAAUAUUGAACAAAAAUAAAAAUUUUAAUGGGAGUUUGACCUUAAAUUUAGAAAAUGAAUUUUCACUUUCUUCAAUUAUUAAACAGAUUACAGACAUUUGAGGAAUUUGAAAACACUUUAUCCAUCGAAAGUUAAAAUUAGAGAUGGAAGCUAGGUGCUACAGCUAAUGGGAUCAUUAAUUCCCCUCCCUCAAAUGUGUAGUUGUUCCUCUUUCCACAGCAUAAGCCUUAUAGUUAGAGUUUCUUUUAAAAAAAAAUGUUAAACAAUUUCGGUUGAGCAUGGUUUUGGUAGUUGAAUAGACACCUCCGCCGUACCUCAAACAAAACUGUCAUUAUUCGUGUCAUGAAACAUGUUUCGGCCGUCAAAGUCAUGAGUAGGAGUGGGCAUGGGUUGGUUUGGGUUAGAUUUUAAGUCAAUUUAAAGCAAACCAUAAAAAUUUGGGUUCAAUCCAAACCAACCCACAUAUUUUUAACCCAACCCAAACCAACCUAUUUGGGUUUGGUUUGGGUUUGGGUUUUGUUUGAAUUUUAUAAUUAAAAUAUUUUUUAUUUUAAUAAAUUUAACUAUAUCAAAUUAUAAUAAUUAUUAAAUUAAUAUUAAAAUACGAAAAAAUGUGGUGGAUAAAAAUUAUGAAUAAUGGAUUUUACAAUAACUUUGUUCUUAAAUAUUAACCAUAUUACAACAUAAAUUUUAACAAUGUCAAUACAAAUUAAAGUAAGAUAAGAUAUCUCAACUCAAGCAUCAAAGCAAUCCAUCAAAAUUAAAUUAUUUAAUUUUAUAAAUUUAAAUCUUCCGAGAAAUAAAUCUAAAAUUUAUUGUAAUUAGAAAAAGCGCCAAAAUUUUAAACGCAGUAAGAAAAAUUAGACAUGAAAUCUAAUUAGGUUUAAAUUUAAUUAAAAAAUAACAAUAGAAUUAUAUUUUAUUUGAUAAAAUCUUAAAAUCAAUUGCAUUUUUAAUUUUAGUAAGUUACAAUACAAAUAGGAUUAUAAAAUUAUAUUACAGGAUUUCAUAAAAAUAUUAUUUGAGUAAUUUAUUAAAGGACUCACCUACGUUGCCACAGUUGUAGCUUACCACACUUUUUGUCUUUUUCCAGUAAAAUCGUAGAUGCUUUCAAAUUUAAUCUAACGGCUGCAAUUAAUUAUUAGAUAAUUUAAUCAGCCGUUGGCAACCUUUACAACCGGUUAUAUUCUCUCGUUACAUUUCUCGGCUACCAAACAAUCCCCAAGAAAAUGACGAAGUGAGUAACUAAUACACACACCGCAGAGAAAGAUGACAGGAGAAGAGAUGACGGUAGGCCCACCGGCACAAAGGUUCUUCGAUUGCUCAAUUUCUUCGGCGCCAGAUUUAUCUACACAGCUACAAUCGACAAGUGGCGGGAACUCGAGCGGAAGUCAUUGAAGAAGAAACAGCAAGAGAGCAAUCUAUGGACUGAUGAUAACUCAGCAACUACGGUAAAGAAAGCCGUCAAAUGAUUUUUUUUAUUUGACUUUUGAUGGAUUUUCAAGAGUUUUGGUAAUAAAAUGUCUCUUAAUUUUUCAUUUCAAUGGCCUAUUGUUUGAGUUAUUAUUAUGCAUAAUUGUUGGAAGAGUUAGGGUUUUACUAUUGGAUUUUGGAAUUUGUAUUUUGGCUUUGAUAUGUUAUUGUUGUGAUGUCGGUCAAGAAAUUUUUGACAACACUCUCCUCGAGUUUGAUACUAUAGCUAAUGAAAUUUUAUGGCAAAUAUAUUCUUUUCUUUGAAAAAAAAAAAAACACUUUACAACUGGUUAUGCAUUCAUUUAGGAGUUGUUAACUGAGCGUGAGUUCCAUAAUUUUCCAACCAGUGGUUAGGGUUUCAUAGAAAAAUGUCGACAUUGAUCUUUAGGCAGCACUUAAGACUGAAAUUGGUUGUAGAGGAUCGAAUUUGGGGAACUAGAAAUUUCUGAUCAUUAAUAAUUGAAAAUGGCCUCUCACUUGUAGGCAGUUGUUGGAUGUAAUGUAUCCAGUUUCUGAAAUCGAAAGCAGAGUGAGUUCUUAGGUUAGAUGUAACUACAUGCAUUAAGGUUCGAAGAUGUAGAAUAGGCCAAUUGUUUGAUGUCAGCUUUGUUGCACAUGUUCUGAAAUUGAUCAUUUAAGAUGGCUUGGAAGCACUCCGUGAUGUGACUAAGAAGAUUCGAGGAAGUAUUAAAUAUGUUGAAAGUUCACAAUUAAUAUAAGGAAAGUUCAAUGAGAUCACCCAACAAGUUGAAAUCAACGGUCAAAAGAGCCUAAAGUGUGAUAUUUUUCUCUUGGAUUGUUUUUUUAUUUUCCAUUUCAAAGCUGAUAGUGUAAAUAUUUUGUUUGCAAAAGUUUCUAAAAAGUACUUGAGUCAAGAUGGUUAGGUAUUUCAUAACUUCCUUUUUACUCUUAACUAGAUUCAUAGAGAGUUAUAACAUUAACAUAAUUUUUCUUUUAAAAGUGAUCAAUUAGACACUGAUGAGAUAUCUCACUUUUGAAUCAUUUAGCUUUAUGUAAUGUCAUUACUAUUAUAUGCCCCCAGGAAUUGUUGAAGUAUAUAUAUCUUGGCAUUUCUUCACUGACUGAAUUAUCUUUCAUAAUAUUCCAGCUUCAAAUGGGUACACUGCAGAGCCGAUUGGAUGCAGAAUUCCUUCUAGCUCAUAUGUGCUCUGUAAAAUUCAAAGACUGAAUAGUGGUUAUGGCAACUCUUUUUAGAUGAUCUAAGGUAUAAUGCCCAAUUAUUGCUUUUGCUUUCUCUGUUUUACCUUGCAACAUUUUGAAAUUUAUGAGAAGCAUAAAAUUACUGAGCCAAAAUUGAGGAUCUGAACUUUCGUAAAAAUAUUUGUAUUUUUAAAUUAUAAAAUAUUGCAUUUGAUGCUUUAGGUGGAACUUAGUUCACUACAGAAAGGAAAAUUAUGUUGGGCAUAACCAGAUGUUUUUCAAGAGAAAAUUUCACUGAUAUUUUUCUGAGGAUUUUACUUGGCCAUCUUAUUUCAAGCUGCUUGAAUUUUUUCUUUAUAUCAUCUUGGUUGUAUACUAUAACUCGUUGAAUUUGCUAGCACUUUUGCUAGUUGUUUAUUCUAUAUGUGAUUGUGGUGGUAAAGUUUGGAAGUUGUUUUUCUUAAUAACUCCAAUUAACUUGAAGUUGUUACCUGAUUUAUUAUGACAGUGUGCAUUACGAUAAGUAUCCUUGCAUAUUAAGAUUUUCCUUCCAGAUCUUUGCGGUACUUUUUGAUCUUUUCCGACAUGAUAUGCGAUUAUGGGAAGCAUAUGCCAUCACCUUACAGGUAUUCUCUUAAUUUUUAGAUAGUGCUCAAGAUGACAUUCAAGUUGGCUAUUAUUGGGUGCAAGAUUUACCAUGCUCUUAUUUUGCUUUUUUAGUCUAACCCGACAUUUGCUUAAUACCAUGAUCUGCUUCAAGCCUUGGAUGGAAAACUUUCAUUUUUUGUAUAUUCUGCAAUGAGAUGAGGGUAGUUUUUCUGAUGAUAUUUAGCAGUAAAUUGGGACUAAGGUGGCGUUUGUUUUUUAACUUAAUGACUUAAAGUGACUUAACUUAAUUAAUUAAGUUAAUUAGAGAUGUUUGUUUUUAUAACUUAAUGAGACUUUUUUGAUAAUUUUGACUUAAUAAAAUAAGCCAAUUUUUUUGGCUUUUUACUUAAUGGAGAAAUCUUAAUUAAGUCAAUUACUUACUAAUGUCAAAAAUAUCCCUGCUUUAUAAUUUAUUUUUCAUGUCUAUCCCAAAACUCACCCAUAGACAUUUACCCCACAUAAAAAUAUCCAUGUUUUUUCUUUCUUAUAUUAUAUACGAUAAAAUUUGAAAUUUAUGGUAUUUUAUAUAUUAAAAUUCCAAAAUAAUUAUGUAUUCACUUGAAUAUAGUUUUAUUUAUAAAUGUUAAAAUAUUAUGGUAUUUAAUAUAUUAUUUAUUUGACAUUCAAAUUUAAUAAGGAUACAAAUGUAAAAGUAUAUAUUUUCAGCUUUUUAAGUUAAAAAAACAAACAACUUAAUACUUAUUUUUCAAGAUUCAGACGAAAAAAUAAACAUAUUAUUCAGAUUCAGAUAUUCAGAUCUAUUCAGAAUUCAGACUAAUUCAGGUCUAUUCAGAUUUCAGACAAAAAAACAAACGCCACCUAACUAAAGUAAUUUUCUUAAUGGCAUGUCUACUUCUCAGAUGAAUGACCGUCUGUUCAGACUCCCAAGUGAUGAAUUAACAACCACCGAUCUAUUCUGGGUGAAGAUGAUGACGUUGACACCAAGCCAGUGGAAUGACUAGGACUUCCCUUUUGUUACAAUAAAUUGUGUUCAUUAGACACACACAGUUAAUUAGUGUAGAUAAAGGAGGUCUAUGAACAAUAGACUGUUUUGUAUUUCGAGAGUCCUUUUUUUGUUUCUUUCAUUCUCCAUUCUUUUGAAAUUAUGUACAAUGGUUAUAUUGUCUAUAUUAUUACGGAUUUAUGAUGGGAGUAUCCUAAGUUUAUGGAAUAAUUAUAAAUAAGGACUUUAAAUUUUUGUUGAAAGAAGUUGAGUGAGAGAAAAGAAGCUAAAGCAGUAAGCAUUUGUUAUACUUCAUUCGAUUGUAUCUAAAUUACAAAGGUUGGUGGCCUUAUUUAUAGUGAAGUUCCCACAGGCCACUUGCACUCAAAACAUUCGAAAUAUGCAAACAUAUUGAUAUAUAAACAUACAGAAUUAAUAUUCUGAAUCCUUGUAAGUAAUGCAAAUAAAAGUGAGGUUGGGGCAGACAAUAUUUACAUCAUGUAUUAAUAGAAAUAAAAUCAAUUAUUUCCAAAUAAAGUCACUUAGUUCAAAGCACGGGCUUCAGUUAAGUUGAACAAGCAAGCCAAUUUUUGUUGUUACUUCAUGAUUGUCGUAAGCCGUGGGUAGUGGAUCGUGUUCCCUAUAAAAGACAAACAGAAGCAUAAGUUUCUCUCAAUUAAGGCACCUGAAAUGUAUUUCCAUGUCUACUAACCUGGUCAUUCGUCCAUGAACUAAACCCUUCUGAGGAUCUUGAAUAGAUUUAUAGAGAUCUCAGAUAAUUUCCUGGUGUGCCUGAGUAAAGACAAGUCUUAUGUACUUGAUUACUUCUGGCCAAUCUAUCGAGGCCACCACCUGUCUCAGUCAAUUCAAUCUUUUAAUAGAGUGAAUUACUAGAAUAAAAUUGAUUAAAGUUGAUAUAAAAUCUAAAUUAAAAAAAUCAGAUAAGAGAAUGAUCCAAAAUCCAAAAAAUCAAAUAUUUAAGGAGUGGACUUGUGACCCUCUAUAGAAUCCAUGGAAGAGUAACUAAGGGAAAAACAUUAGAGGUGCUUUUGGCGAUACUAUUAGUAUUCUUGUGCUGAUCAUAAUCUUGGGGGUAGAUCUAGACUAAUUAGCUAUUCAUUGAACAAUCCAUUUCUCCACAGUUACAUGCAAAAAUGCAGCUUGCAGUUGCAGCCUAGACCAUAGAAAUAUAGAAUUCCAAUUAUCAACAUCUAAAGCUACUGUAGUGACUUGCAACCAUGAGAUGAUAUAUACAUAUGCUGAGAUUCAAAUAUUUGAGAAGUUUAAACAUCCUGAUGAAAAAUAGACUAGUUCACAGCUACUUUGGGGAAGUUGAUUUCUAAUAGCAGUAGAAAAUACAAGUUUUUUUAAACAUACCUACUCCAGUAAACUCAAUUAACCAAAACAAAACUCAAAGCAUGAAAAAGAGGGAUUUUAACUAACCUAAUCAUUAUCAUUGAUAUUUUAACAUAUUGAUCUUCACAUGGAGUUAACAAACACAAGACUUAGUGCCUAGUACAUAUGUCUGGGGUUGCACAGUCUGUUCGACAAAUUUAUUGAAACUAUAUCCAUGCUCCUUCUUCAAUAAAUAAAUAUCCUCUUGCUUCUUCCAUCCUACUCUAAUUCUUCCUGGAAAGCAUUCUCCCCUUCUCUAAUUCUUCCGAAAAAACAUAACCGACAAUCCUAAACUAAUUACCACCGUUAAAUCUUUCAAACAAAAUUUACAAUUUCUUAUCAGUAGUUUCCUGCCGCAUCCGAUCGAACGGCUCAUCAACGAAUCAAACAGACUUCUUUCCACCCUUUUUCCAUAUAAUUACAUUUGCCUAAUUCCUAAAGUUUCGGCUCCGCCCAAUGUCGGCCGCAAUUGGCUGCCGCAGCGAUAUGUUCAUCUUCAACUUCUCUGCUGCGAUUUCAAAUUUACUUCAGCCUCGUACCACCACACUUCCACUGGCAAUUAAUUUCAUUAUCCGAUUUUACUAUGUGUGGAAUAGAUUUGAGCAAUUUAUGAGUUUUCGCUACGAUUUCGACGAUGUCCUCUCAACACUAAUUUGAUCACCUAAUUUUAACUGUUUUGGGUUAUUUAUUUUUUUAUUAUAUUUAUCUACAGUCUCUGCAGGCAACUGACUACUUCACUUAUAUGUGGAACUCAUCUGAGCUAUUAGAUGGAGGCCCUCCAGAUCCUACGGCGAUUAUAUAUGAGGACAAAAAGUGUUGUAUGUUGGAACUGUUGCAACGUAGGAGGAUCCUUUAUUAAAAUGUUAAUUUAGUUUUUUAACUCAAGUUUAGACCGUAAAAAAUUGUUAUAUAAUAGUGUAUUGUAUAACCAAUUACAUAUGUAUUUGCCUUGUGCAACACUUCUAUUAUUAUUAUAUAAUAAUAAUUAGUAGUAGUAUAAUUACUAUAUAAUAAUAAUUCUAAUAAAAAAUUAUUAUUAAAAUAUUGAUUUAGCCUUUUAUUUUAUUUAAUUUACUUUUUAUUAAUAUGUUAUCUUGAAUUUGUUCAUGACCCAUGAGUAAACCAUACCCAAACCAUUAUAAAAUAAUUUCUUUCAUAAAAACUCAAAUUUAACCCAUUUCAUGAUUUAUCCAACCCAAAUAAUUUAAUUUAGUUUGGGUUUGGAUAAACCUAUGGAUUGUGGGUUUAUGCCCAACCCUAGUCAUGAGAGGGGUGACGACGCUGCAUAUGAUGACACACCAGCCGACAAUGUAGUAACAGCACAAAACCAAAAUCUACCAAAAUCAACCAAAGUCAAUAAAAAAUUAUUUUAUUAAUAAAAAAAAAAAUUAUUAUUUGUGGGGAUGUGUAUCUGAUUCUGUGGACUGAAAUGGAAAAUAUGACGAAGUUCAGAGUCGUUGUAUAGAUUGACUUCAGUUGAACGGGUCUAAUAGAUAUUUUAUGCUGACGUGGCACGAAUUAGUUAUAAUCUGUUAUAACGAUUCCAGAAAUAUCAGUAUAAAUAGAAGCUGAUGAGCAGUGCCUGUUGUACGAUCCUUUUCUUCUUCAGUUGUUCGUCAAUUUGCAUAGAAUCUGUUUCAUUGUGAUCUGUGCAAAGUCUUCUGUAAAUCCACGUAUGUUUGAUUAGUUAUUGAUCAAUAUCGAGAGUAAAUUUUUCCUUCAAAUCUUGCUGGUUCGUGCCCCUGUUUCAGUUCUGGAUUUUUCUUUUUUUGUUUAGUUCUGGUUUCUUAAUUCAAUUGAAUUUCUUGGUGCUUAAUUCAUCAAGAUUCAGUGGAAUCGACUUGAAAAGGACUCAAUAGACUCAAAAUUAUUUAACGACACUCUGACCGUGGGGUACCGUAAUCAUAAUCUGAUUUUAAGAAAAUUACAACUUAUUUUAAAUAGCGCUUCAAUGUAAUUCUAAAUAUUUAAAAGGAAAACAUUAUCCACCUGGAACGACUUCAAGUCCAAAGUAAAAGACAAGAGUGGCUCCCCGCAAUUUUCUUGUUUUCAGUAUAUUUUCUCUUUUUCUUUUUUAAAAUCUUUUGACGCAUGCAUAAUCUACCCUUGUUUAUUUUUAAAAUGGACUUUGCUCUGCUCAAGUCCAUUUUUUUCAAAUAUUAUUUUAAAUAAUAAAUUGAAUAAAAUUACAUUUGUGUAAUUAAUUAGUAUCUGAGGGGGGCAUAUUUGGUGUAAUGCUAUGUAAGACUCAGCUAUUAUAUCACACAUACGCAUAUAAUAUAAUUAAGCAUUUGUUAUUAUAGCAAAGAUCCAUAGCAUGAAAGUGAAUAAAUUUAACUAAAUGAUUAAUUAAUCAAUUAAGUUUCAUGAGCUUUAAUCGAGUUAAAACCAAGUACAAACAUCGUUAACAAAUACUGAAAAUUAGGAAAUUAAAAAAAAAAACUAAUUCAAGUAAGAUGUAGUUUUUACAUGUUGAUCAGCAGAAUACAACAUUACAUUUUGUCAUUGACAAUAUUGCAUACCAGUCAUCCAAAGCAUUACCUCACGAGGUUUUAUGAGAAACGAAAGAUAAGUGUUUGCUCUGAACAAUUAAAGUUGCUGCUACCAACCUCCCCGAAGACCAAGAAGACGGAACAGGAAGCUAAUGCAUCAAUGUCUUCUUCAUUACAGCUGCUGCGUAGUUAGGUGUAGUUUCCUCAUUUGAAGCUGUCUAUACAUAGGCUUUCCCCCUGCUUAUGUACAAAUAAAUGAACAGCCUUGAAGCUUUAUUAUUCGCAACAAAAGGGGUUACCAAUUGGAGAAGACUUUACAGAGUUUCUCUCACACUCUCUCUCUCUCUCAAUUUCAUCUAGAAGUCCCUCCAAAAGCAUCUCCCAAAACAGUUAGUCAUCUUUAAUACUCUGUUUUCUAGAAACAGAGUCCUAACUAGAUUAAUUGACUGUACAGUGCAUUUCAACAUAGCAUAUUUAACCGUUAACCGUCUUCUGAGUUAUCAUCAUCAAAUUCAUUCAUAUUUCUCCAGUCUUACGGACGAUAUCAUAUGUUUAAUAAUGAAUGAAUAGUCUUGGAUCAGUGUUUUGCAGCAAAUUCACAUCAUAGUUUUGAUUCUUUAGAUAUGAAUUCAUCACAUUACCGAAAAGAAUAUGCGCUAAAAAAUGAUUCCAAGACUAUUUGACUACCAAAAGCUGCUGUCAGAGUGCACUGAAAUUUCCGUAGGAUACUUUGCGGUUGUUUAUUAUGUUAUGAUGGGCAUAUAAUUCUCAAAUUUUGACUCCUCUCAGCGAAAAAUAUAUCAAAGUUUAGAUUAUGUGUUCGAGCUUUAAUAAAUGCCUGAGUUAAUAAUAAUAACAACAAUAAUAAUAAACUAAAAAGCAAAAUUACUAUUGAAUGAUCGGAAAAAAAAAUUAGAAAACGUGUGAACUCCAAUAACCACCCCACAAAUUCAGUGGCGAAUUUUGGAGAGGGCAAGGCCGGGCUUCUCAGAAAAAAAAAAAAAAAAAAUUAUUUGGAGAGGGCAAGGCCGAGCUCAUUCUUUGGUUUUACUUGCAGGGAUUGAAGAAGACUAGAAUGACACAAAAAAAAAAGAAAAAAAGAGUUGAGCGAGUGCAGGUUUUGUCUUCAUUUAAGGAGCUCUUUAUAAAUUUUAGGAUUUUUUUCCUGAGAAAAUUUAUGCCAACUCAUUCUUUGCUUCUUUUCUGAAGGGACACAUGCAACCGAAAGUAUAUUCUUGAAUUCUCCAGGAUAAGAGACAUACGUUUAGAUUCUGGAGCAUUUAAAACAAUGUCAAAUUUUAGAUUGCUGAAAUUUUAUAUAUCCGAGUAUGAUGGUGUUCCAAUUAUAAGCUCCAGGGUGCAAGUUCACUGAGGUUUAGAAUGCCUUCCUAUAGAAUUGAGAAAUCUCCAUUGGCAUAAAUAUCUUUUGAAAAUACUGACAUCAGAUUUUGAAUUGGAGAACCUGAUUGGACUCAGCUUGCCUUGUAGUAAGGUUAAGCAAAUUUGGAAAAGAGAAAAGGUAUAAUGUAUUACUAUUACCAAAGUAUCUAUUUUUCUUUCUUUAAGUAUUUAUAAUGAAUAACUUUUAAAUUCAAUGAUGCUCAUUUAGUAUAGUUAUGUAUCUUUGGUUAUAGGAAGCUGUCAAGUUAAAAUCUAUAGACCUUCACCACCCCUCUAUCUCAAUAGGAUCCCAGAAAUACUAAAUCUUAAAAAAAUAAAUCUUUUAAAUUGUGAAAGCAUGCUUACGUUACCCCCGUAUAUCCACAAUUUCAACUAGCUGAGUAUGUUGUGUUUCAGGGAUGCAAAAUUCAUUUUGUUUCUCAUGAAAGGAUUGACUUGUCCGGAUGUAUUAGGGUUAAUAAACCAACUAAUCCCAUAAUUUGUUGAUGUAGGGUCCUAACAAAUUAUUGCAGUAGAUUGUAGAUCAGUACACUAUUCGAAAACGUAUUUGAUCCACAUAGUGAAGUGGAUAUUGGACCAAUUUGAUGAUAAUGAAUUUCUUUCAACCUCAAUCUUUUUUCCUUUUAGCAACAUGACUAGUCAUUGCGCAAAUUCAAACUCUGACAAUGAUUUCUCAAUCGGUUUCUAAGAUGAUGACCAUGUAUGUAUAUGUAUAUGCGUGUGUGUAUGUGUGUGUGUGUGUAGAGAGAGAGAGAGAGAUCACACGUGUGUGAUUUCCUUUUGCUAAUAGGAUAUGCAGAGAGCUUGAUCUUACCCAAUAGCGAAACAAAAUUCCUAAUAGGUGAAGGUAUAGUAUAAAUACUUAUACUUUCAUGUUAUUUUGUUCAUCAGUAGCUCGAUUAUUUUAUAUGCGUCUUCGAUUUUAAUUUUCUUUCCCUAUAAUCGCUAUUAUCUUUGAACUGGUCAUGAUUUGCCUAUAAGAUUUCUCAUGUUGUUUUGAGGUGCAAUGGAUUUUGAAUUUAGUGACGAGCAGUGGAAGCCAGAAGGCAAAUUAUGAAAAUGGAUAAAGAUCUAUAAUUAGUUGUUAUGGGAUGUCACAUAUCAUAUUGAUGGUAACAUUAUAUAUAUGUACAUAUAAUUAAUGGGGUUGGCUCACGAAACCAUUAAUAAUCAUAUAUUAGCUUAAAUACUUCAAACAAUGUACCAUGAAGCAAUUUCACAAAUACUCGUUAGCUUACGUUGAGCUUUAUUGAAUCAGUAGUUCACAGUUCAAUAAAAUGCAGGUUUUCUAUUUAACGUACAUGGUUAUGGUGUGUGCAUUCUUCAUAAGGCUAACUACUAAUUUAUCAAUGAAACUUGAAAAAUGUAACAGAAAGAUGUCGAUAACAGCCGCAAAACACUGAGAUUGAAAAUCAGGGUUACUAAAUUCUAUUAAAAGCUCUUAAAAUAGACAGCGAUCAUCCUUAAUCGCAAAGUUAUGCACUAAUAGAACUAUUGACUACUUAUCUUUAGCAGAAGGUAUAUUUUUAACUACAGCUUUCUGCUUUGUUCUAAGAACUAGGCAAAAGUGGUAUAUCUUCAAUCCAAUCAACAUAUAUACCACUUAUGUUCCUCUUCACUUCUGUCCAUUUUGAUUUGCACUUCAUAUCCUGCACUUGCUGCUUAGAAAUAGUCUUAGUCCGGACAUUGAAAGUAGAAAAAGUACUUGAAACAAUCAUUGGCACAGCCCGAGAUUCCAUUGAAUCGUGGACUCCAAACUUUCAUAGUUCUAUAAAGAAAAUGACAAAACUUCAUACAACUGGCAUUCUGCUUUUAACAUUUGCACAACCUGAGCGAGUUAGCAAGCCCCUUGUUGCGUUCCCAUUGAAUAGACAUACUUCUGUUAUCCACAGAAGAUCCACCACUCAAAAUGUUUAUCACCAGGCUAUUCUUAAACUGAGCCUAAUGUCACGGGAUGAGUGUUUUGCGCAGCUAACCCGUGUGGCACUUAGACAACUUUGCCGAAUGUUGCUAAGUAAGCCUAGAGCUUCUCGAACUAGAGAAGAGAGCAAUUGAGCCAAAGAAGAAAACUUGUAUUGCACAAAGAGAGAAUACAAUGCUUGAGUUGCUUACAAUGUUUGUUGGAUACAAAUGCCUAAUGCCAUCCCAUAUUUAUAGGGGAGUCUUGACAAGCUCUAGAGAUUCUAGAGAAUUCUACCCACUAUCUAGAAUUUACAUGUGCUGGAAAGUCAUAGAGAAUUCUAGAAUAUUUACAUGUUCACAUGUGCUAGAGUUGCCUAGAACCUUCCGGAAUUGGGCCAAGCUAGCACUCUUGGCCUUGUAUUGGCUCUCUAGCCCGAAAUUGUGGGCAAUUGGGCUAGUGAAUUGGGCGGUCCGCAACAUCCUCCCCCACCUAAGCUCGCGGCGUCCUCGUCGCGCUCUCGUGCUUGAACCUUUGGAUGUGCUCAGCGAAUUGCCACAAAUCAUCUUCACGUUCCCAAGUGGCUUCGCUCUCGGGGAGGCUUUUCCACUUCACCAAGUACUCGCUAUGUGUUGGCACGCCCCUCCUCAAAACCACGCGGUCCGCAAUGAUGUAGUCCACAUCUUUGUCGAAUGCGGUAACAACGGCAGUUGGCACGCGCCUCGAUUCUCCGCGACUUGGUUCUCCCAUGUCUUCGUGAUAUGGCUUGAGAAGGCUCACAUGGAAGACCGGAUGGAUCUUGAGUCUUGGCGGAAGUUGGAGUUGAUAUGAGACACUGCCCACACGUCGAACAACCCGGAAGGGUCCCUCGUAGCGCCUCACUAACCCCUUGUGAACUUUCCGCAAAGUCUUGAACUGUUGGGGUAGGAGCUUGAUCAUGACUUGAUCACCUUCCUUGUGCUCAACAUGCCGUCUCCUUGUAUCCGCCCAUUUCUUCAUUUUCCUCGCGGCUUUGUCGAGGUAGGCUUGCGUGAUGUCCGCUUCCUCAUGCCAUUCGCGGGCGAGCUUGUGUGCCGCGGGGCUUUUCCCUCCGUAAGUCGAGGCAUUGGGGGUCAUGGGCUGGAAUCCCAUGAUGAUCUCGAAUGGACUCUUGCCCGUAGCCUCACUUCGCUGCAAGUUAUAAGAAAAUUGGGCGACGUCAAGUAGUUUUGCCCAAUCCCGCAGAUGAGCGCUCACAUAAUACCUCAAGUACAUCUCGAGGAGCCCAUUAAUGUGCUCGGUCUGCCCAUUCGUUUGUGGGUGGAAGCUUGUCGAGAACUUGAGAUCGGUCCCCAACAUCUUAAAGUGCUCCAUCCAAAAACGCCCAGUGAACCGAGGGUCUCGGUCGCUCACAAUGCUCUUCGGAACUCCCCAAAGCUUCACAAUGUGCUUGACGAAUAGGCGGGCUGCCUCAUCCGCUUUGCAAUCGACUGGUGCGGCAAUGAAUGUGGCAUACUUGCUGUAUCGGUCGACAAUGACCAUGAUGCUUCCGCAACCUUCGGACUUGGGCAGCGAUGUGAUGAAGUCCAUGGAGACACUUUCCCAUGGCCUUGUUGCUAGUGGUAGCGGUUCCAACAAUCCCGCUGGAAGUUGGUGAUCCACCUUGUCUUGUUGGCACACAAGACAAGUUCGCACAUAUGCCUCGAUGUCGUCCCUCAUGUGCGGCCAAAAAUACGAGGCUUGGACUAGUGCGGUGGUGCGCUCAAUUCCUGGGUGACCAGCCCACUUAGAGUCGUGGCACUCUUUGAUUACUUCCUUCCGCAAGUUUCCCCACCUUGGCACGAACAGCCGAUCUCCUUUGGUGAGGAGGAUGCAUUCCUCUUGCCAAAAUCGCCUUGUCUUUCCCUCGAGCACCUUCUCCAGCAAGUCCUUUGCUAGCGGAUCUUGUUGGAGGCCUUCCUUGAUGCGUGAGACAAUGUCGGACUUCGGUUGGCUCAUGCUAAGCGUUGCCAAUUCCGCCUUGCGGCUUGGAGCGUCCGCAACGACAUUGGCUUUACCCAGUUUGUACUCUAGCCGAUAGUUGAAUUCCGCAAGGAAAUCUUGCCACCGUGCUUGCUUCGGACUCAACUUCUUUUGAGUUUGGAAGUACCUUGUCGCCACGUUGUCCGUCAUGAUCGUGAAGUGUGAGCCAAGCAAAUAAUGUCGCCACACUCUUAGACAAUGGAUGAUGGCUGUCAUCUCCUUUUCUUGCACCGUGUAGCGGCGUUCCGUGUCAUUUAGCUUUCGACUCUCGAACGCUAUUGGGAGGCCUUCUUGCGUAAGGACUCCUCCUAUGGCGAAAUUCGAGGCAUCCGUUUGGACUUCGAAGGGUUUAGUGUGGUCCGGAAGAGCGAGGACGGGUUCCUCCGAAAUUGCCUUCUUCAACUCCUCGAAUGCGCGUUGGCACUCUUCGGACCAAUGCCACAUUAUGUUUUUCUUGAGCAUAUCCGUCAAGGGUGCCGCCUUGGUCGAAUAACCCUUGAUAAAGCGGCGGUAGUAAUUCACCAGCCCAAGGAAUGAGCGAAGCUCGGGAACUUUCGAGGGAGGCUCCCAAUCGAGGAUGGCCUUUACUUUGGCAUUCUCCAUCAUAAUCUUCCCACCAGCAAUCUUGUGGCCAAGGAACUCCGGAAGAGCGAGGACGGGUUCCUCCGAAAUUGCCUUCUUCAACUCCUCGAAUGCGCGUUGGCACUCUUCGGACCAAUGCCACAUUAUGUUUUUCUUGAGCAUAUCCGUCAAGGGUGCCGCCUUGGUCGAAUAACCCUUGAUAAAGCGGCGGUAGUAAUUCACCAGCCCAAGGAAUGAGCGAAGCUCGGGAACUUUCGAGGGAGGCUCCCAAUCGAGGAUGGCCUUUACUUUGGCAUUCUCCAUCAUAAUCUUCCCACCAGCAAUCUUGUGGCCAAGGAACUCCACUUCUUGUUGGGCAAACGAGCACUUUUCCAACUUGAGGAAGAGCUCGAUGUCUUGGAGUACUUGGAGGACUUGUCGCAAGUGUUGGGCAUGAUCCUCGAGUGUGGUGCUAUACACCACGAUGUCGUCCAAGUACACGACCACGAAGCGGUUGAGGAAUGGUUGGAGUACCUUGUUCAUGAGUGUGCAAAAUGUGGCGGGUGCAUUAGUAAGGCCAAAAGACAUCACAAGGAAUUCGAAAGACCUGUACCUUGCUGUGCACGCUGUCUUCGGUUCGUCUCCCUUGGCGAUGCGCACUUGGUAGUACCCGGAACGCAAGUCAAGUUUGGUGAAGUACCGCGCUUUGCCAAGCUGGUCGAACAAGUCCGCAAUCAAUGGAAUCAGAUACUUGUUCUUGAUGGUGAUCUUGUUGAGCGCUCUAUAGUCGAUGCACAUCCGCAGCGAUCCAUCCUUUUUCUUUUGGAAGAGAACCGGUGCACCGAAUGGGGCCUUUGAGGGGUGAAUGUAGCCUGCGUCCAGCAAGUCUUUGAGUUGUCUCCGCAACUCCUCUAGUUCGGGUGGUGCCAUGCGGUAGGGCGCCAAGGCUGGUGGCUUCGGGCCUUGUUCCAGCUCGAUUGCAUGAUCUACCUCUCGUCGAGGUGGGAGCUUCUUCGGAAGUUCUGGAGGCAUCACGUCCUUGAACUCAUUGAGGAUGGUUUGAAUUCGCGGAGGGACUUGGCUUGGCGACGUUCCUCUAUUUCCUUCCUCGUUUAGUUCUCGGAUUGAGACCAAGAAGCUUGGGUCCUUUUUUAAAGCCCUCUUGAAUUGCACGGCGGAGAGUGUCUUCUCCUCGGACUUGCCUCGUUUCGUGAGAACCAUGCAUGCUUUACUCCCGUCGAGGAUGCUUAGGGAGUUUGUAGCAGGCAGCGGGAAAGCAUGCACUUGGUCGAAGAAUUCCAUGCCGAGGACCAUCUUAAAGUCGUCCAUGGGCACGAUGGAGAAGUCAAACUUUCCGCUCCACGUACCAAGUGUGAUGUGCACGCCUUGUGCAAUUCCCGCAAUUGGCUUGGCGGGUGAGUUUACUACCUUCAUUGUGCCUCUUUCCUUAGUAGCCUUGAGGCCUAAGCGCUUGGCCUCGUCUACAGACACGAAAUUGUGCGUUGCUCCCGUGUCUAGUAGCGCGCGAACGGACUGACCGUUUACCUUUGCGCUUACAUACAUGAGCCCUUUCUUGACGAGUGCGGGUUGUUGGCGAUUAAGUGCGCCGAGGCGUUGGAGAGAACCCAUGCUGAGUUGGGGUUCCUCCGCGGACAUUGUGGGGUUGCUCUUGAGUUGGGCAGCAAGAGCGUUAAGUGACCUUUUCUCUGGACAGUCACGUACCCAAUGAGGACCAUUGCAUAUGAAGCAUGGGCUUCGCGGCUUUGGCGCCUCCUUCUUGCCCUCCAAUUUUCCUUGCCCGCUCUUGUUGCUAGGCGACUUUUUCUGCCCUCAAUCUUUGCGGUUGUUGCCCUUGUCCUUGCGACUCUCUCCCCCACCUUUGCCUUGGCUAGACUUCUUGUCUUUGGAUUGGGUAGAGUAUUUGGUGAGCGAUUCCGCAACGGCGAUGGCGUCGUCAAGUGUUUGAACACCACGCCUAUCAAGCUCGGUCUUGGCCCAAUCUUUGAGGCCAUCUUGGAAGUAGAAGAGUAAAUCUUUGUCGGACAUGUUGCUUAUCUCCAACAUAAGGGUAGUGAACUCAUUGAUGUAGUCCUGAAUGCUACCCGAUUGCUUGAGGUGACGUAAGCGCGCUCGCGCUUCCUUCUCCGCAUUGCUUGGGGCGAACUGCUUUCAGAGUUCUUGCUUGAAGUCGGCCCAAGUGUCGAUGGCGCAAAUGCCCUUGCCCAUCUCGCCAUGCUUGCGACGCCACCAUAGUUGUGCAGCGCCUCGAAGAUAGGUGGGUGCAGUGCCCACUUUCGAUGCCUCAUCUCGGACACCCAUGGCAUCGAAGUAUUGAUCCAGCCCGAAUAGGAAGUUGUCCACGAUUGUGGCGUUGCGUGUGCCAUCGUAGGUGUCGAGCUUUGGCACAUCAAUGCGGCGCGCAUCACUCGAGUUUGCGGAAGCUGGACUAGCGGAGAGUGUGCGCUUGUGCCAUGCCCAAUCCGAGCGGACUUCAUCCACUUCCGCACGGACAGCUCGUAGUUCAUCUUGAACAAAACUACGAAGUUUUAGCAACUCAUCAUGAAAAGAACGAAACUCACCUCGGAGAGUGUUUGCUUGCUCUUGGAUGAGAGCUUUGGUUGCCACCGUGAACUCGGCGUAUUCCCCCUCGAGACCGUCCACUCGUUCCUCCAAUCCCUCGAGGCUAUCCUGAGCGGCGGACAAUGCUAUUUCGAGAGUGCCUACACGAGGCUCCAACGCAUCCACGGAUAGGGCCUUGGACUUGCCGCGAGUCUUGCCUUGGGCGCGUUCUCCCUCUCGGCCGCGGCUUGGUUCUGGUGGAGCAUCCACACUAACAACACCCUCUUAUGCUACGUUCGAAGGGUUGGCCAUUGCUUCGUGAGCUAAUUUGUGUGCGUGCAAACCUUAGCUCUGAUACCACUUGUCACGGGAUGAGUGUUUUGCGCAGCUAACCCGUGCGGCACUUAGACAACUUUACCGAAUGUUGCUAAGUAAGCCUAGAGCUUCUCGAACUAGAGAAGAGAGCAAUUGAGCCAAAGAAGAAAACUUGUAUUGCACAAAGAGAGAAUACAAUGCUUGAGUUGCUUACAAUGUUUGUUGGAUACAAAUGCCUAAUGCCAUCCCAUAUUUAUAGGGGAGUCCUAACAAGCUCUAGAGAUUCUAGAGAAUUCUACCCACUAUCUAGAAUUUACAUGUGCUGGAAAGUCAUAGAGAAUUCUAGAAUAUUUACAUGUUCACAUGUGCUAGAGUUGCCUAGAACCUUCCGGAAUUGGGCCAAGCUAGCACUCUUGGCCUUGUAUUGGCUCUCUAACCCGAAAUUGUGGGCAAUUGGGCUAGUGAAUUGGGCGGUCCGCAACACUAAACUGAGUAGAAACUUCCGCACAUCUCUCAGCAUUUACAUGAAGAAAUCGACAACUAUCCUCAUCUCUCAGCACAUCUCUCAGCAUUCUACAAAGUUGCAUUUCACUAAGCAAUCUAUCCUCUCCAUUCCUAGCAAAGUGACAUUGAUUCCCGUAUUUGUAAUCACCUAACUUGGGUUUUGGGCAUAGCGUGGUCUUAAAAUUACCACCCAAUACUUUGUUCAGUGCCAAUGGCAUCCACAAGCUCUAGCCCUGUUAGCUGAAUCAUAUUCAAUGGGACAGUGAGGCAGCAUUUCACUGACAUAUUCAAUUUGACUACUUAUAUUGACGCAAAUAUUAGAAUUUGAAAUCACUUCUUUUCUUGGAAUAUUAUAUUAAAAUGACCCCAAAUGAAAGUUCUUGAAUGGAAAUGAUUUUUAUUUAAUUUUCCAACAGAUUCAAGAAACCCAGAGAACACAAAAUUUACACAGUAAUAUGAUUAAGACCUGAGAACGUACAUGUAGUAAAUGUCUAUCAAAAAACAUCCAAGGGUUUCUUUAAAAUUAGAAACUAGUAAACAAAAAGAAAGAAUCAUUUUACAUUUUUAGCAACUUUGGGGUGAGUGAGGAGUGAGAAAUUGAAACCCUAAAGUGAUGACAACAGUAAGAUUCAGUAUGAAGUGAAACCCCAAUUUGGAAUGUAGGCAUGAGUUGCUGAGUCAGUAGAUGAAGCUAUAAAUAGGCAUUCGGUUUGGAGGGCCAUGGAAUCGUGUACUGGAGUGGGCUCCAAGUAAUAGCCUCUAUCACUGGAACGACACAUCUGUAAAAUGUGAUACAUGGGGAAGGAUUGGGCAUUAUAUUCUUAGAUUAGCGCCUUAUUUAGGGUGUAUAUUAAGCAGAUUAUAUAUUACAUGGAGAUGGAGUUUAUGAAAUAGAUUAAAAAGAAAAGGAAAUUUCAGUGCCUAAAAGUUUGCCACUUGGAAUAUUUCGGUGUCUAAAAAUUCACUCACAAAACUAUAGCUGACAAAAGGUUACUAACAAAAAGUUAGGUCCAUGGGUUGUUAAAACUAUAUAGCUGACAAAAAGUUACUAACAAAAACAGAAUGUCCAUUUUAUAACUUUCUUAAAAAACUUUCCUUAACUUUUUUAAAAAGUUACCAACAAAAACUUAUUUCCAAUUUUUAUUUUGUUAUAAUUUUUAUAACAAAAUUCGUAGUUAACUAAACUCUUCUUAUUCCCUUUCUCAACUGCCAUACCCUAACCCACUAAACCACGCUCAAUUAAGGCCAUCAGAUUCUCCCGGGCCCACAUUAAUCCAACUGCUCACAGAGACCGACAGCCUCUCUAUCUCCAUUUCAAGCUCCCUCUUCAACUGGCUUCUGCGACCGUCCUACUCUUUCUCGGAUUCGGAGUCCGUAUUUGCUCGGCCGGUCCCACGCAACUCCCUCUCACUCCAAUUGUGACCCAACAAGACCAAUUGCUUAAUCAAGGCACAGAACAAGAAGAGGAUGAGAAGUUGAAACAAUAAUUUGAGAAUUGGAAAUCGAAAACGUACGCAUUGACCGUGCCUGUAAGGUUUGUUUCUCUUCAGAAUUCAGUGCCUCAAUCUUGGGUUAAGGAUUUUAUGCGAAGUCAAGGAAAGAGAUUGAAGUUUCAGAUGAAUUUGUGUGCUAGCAUUGAUGGGAUCUUUAACAAUUUAUCUGUGCCCUGUAACAAAGUUAAGGCUAAGUCAGCUUCUUAUAUGGCUGCUGAUUUGGUUAGUGUUGGUGAUUCAUGGCUCAACUUUGCGAUUAAAAAGAGAUUGAUUGAGCCAAUAGCUGGAGCUGAAGAUCAAGAUUGGUUCAAAUACUUAAGUCAAAAAUGGAAGGUAACAUACUAACAUCUUUAUCUUUGACCCGAUAAUUUUUAUUGUCUUACAUUGAAAUUUGGUAAUGUAAUUUGUUCUCUAUUUGUGUUACCCUUAGUAGUCGUUUUAUUUAUUUGUUUAUUUGCUUUUAUUUGCACUAACGAAAUCUCAGGUAUAUCUACGCAGGAAUGAUGCAGGAGAAAUUGAUCCUCGAGGUAAAAUAUGGGCGGCACCAUACAGGUGGGGCACAACGGUGAUAGCCUCCAAGAAAAGUAAAUUUCGAAAGCAUAAUUUGGCUCCGAUUGAGGUAAUAAUUUUCUUUAAACUCAUUUAGUUUUAUAUCAAACAAAAUCAAGACUGCCUUUCUCUUCAAUAUUUUUUAUGAUAAUAUCUUUAGAAGCAUCUCAUUGACAGGUAACAAUGGCAUCCCUAAAAGAGUCUAUAAACUCAAUGAUAUUAUCUUCUACAAAUGGUUCAUUAAACUUUGUCGUUGUACUCAAAUGUACACUCAGAUCAAUGAGAAGCUAUGCCACUUUAGCAUGUAGUGAUGGCACUUAAUAAGUGAGUUGCUAGGAUGUGAACUAGAAAAAUUAAAUAUUGUCUCCUUGGGUAUGCUAGCUCGUAAGUCAGGGUUAAUAUCAGAGCUUAAGAUACUAUAAUUGUGAGAACCUAUUGAUUGCCAAUUAAAAUAUCCAUUAAAAUGUCUAGGGAGUUAUGAAGGUGGAGGUAACUUCCAAUUUCUAAGGCCACAGAGUAAAAUAAUUUGGAUAGAACUAUUGACUACUUAUCUUUAGCAGAAGGUAUAUUUUUAACUACAGCUUUCUGCUUUGUUCUAAGAACUAGGCAAAAGUGGUAUAUCUUCAAUCCAAUCAACAUAUAUACCACGUAUCUUCCUCUUCACUUCUGUCCAUUUUGAUUUGUACUUCAUAUCCUGCACUUGCUGCUUAGAAAUAGUCUUACUCUGGACAUUGAAAGUAGAAAAAGUACUUGAAACAAUCAUUGGCACAGCCCGAGAUUCCAUUGAAUCGUGGACUCCAAGCUUUCAUAGCUCUAUAAAGAAAAUGACAAAACAUCAUACAACUGGCAUUCAGCUUUUAACAUGUGCACAACCUGAGCGAGUUAGCAAGCCCCUUGUUGCGUUCCCAUUGAAUAGACCUACUUCUGUUAUCCACAGAAGAUCCACCACUCAAAAUGUUUAUCACCAAGCCAUUCCUAAACUGAGUAGAAACUUCCGCACAUCUCUCAGCAUUUACAUGAAGAAAUCGACACCUAUCCUCAUAUUUGCAAGUUUUCUGAUAAUAGAACUCUCCACAAAGCUGCAUUUCACUAAGCAAUCUAGCCUCUGCAUUUAUAGCAAAGUGACAUUGAUUCCCGUAUUUGUAAUCACCUAACUUGGGUUUUGGGCAUAGCAUGGUCUUAAAAUUACCACCCAUUACUUUGUUCAGUGCCACUGGCAUUCACAAGCUCUAGCCCUGUUAGCUGAAUCAUAUUUAAUGGGACAGUGAGGCAGCAUUUCACUAACAUGUUCAAUUUGACUACUCAUAUUGACGCAAAUAUUAGAAUUUGAAAUCACUUCUUUUCUUGGAAUAUUAUAUUAAAAUGACCCCAAAUGAAAGUUCUUGAAUGGAAAUGAUUUUUAUUUAAUCUUCCAACAGAUUCAAGAAAACCCAGAUAACACAAAAUUUACACAGUAAUAUGAUUAAGAGCUAAGAACGUACAUGUAGUAAAUGUCUAUCAAAAAACACCAAAGGGUUUCUUUAAAAUUAGAAACUAAGAAUCAUUUUACAUUUUUAGCAACUUUGGGGUGAGUGAGUGAGUGAGAAAGUGAAACCCUAAAGUGAUGACAACAAUAGAUUCAGUAUGAAGUGAAACCCCAAUUUGAAAUGUAGGCAUGAGUUGCUGAGUCAGUAGAUGAAAUUAUAAUUAGGCAUUCGGUAUCUUUCUUUUCGGUUUGGAGGGCCAUGGAAUAGUGUAUUGGAGUGGGCUCUAAGUAAUAGCCUCUAUCACUGCAAUGACACAUUUGCAAAACGUGAUACAUAGGGAAGGAUUGGGCAUUAUACUCUUAUAUUAGUGCCUUAUUUAGGGUGUAUAUUAAGUAGAUUAUAUAUUACAUGGAGAUGGAGUUUAUAAAAUAAAUUAAAAAGAAAAGGAAAUUUAGUGUUUAGAGUUUGCCACUUGGAAUAUUUCGGUGUCUAAACAUUCACUCACCACUUAUUUCAUGUCUGAUUAUAUGUUGAAAAGAUAUUAAAGUAAUUUAACGCAAUUAAGGCUUAACGUAUAUUUUUUAUUAGUAGAGUGUAGAACUUUUAAGAAAUAUAUUAUUAAAUUACUAUAACUAACAUAUUAUUUUAAAGUUGUGUUAUGAAAAAAAAUGAAAUAAAAACGUAAAGUAAAUAAGAAUAUUCUAAAACUUUUAUCUUUUUAAAAUUAGUUUUUAACAUAAGGUGAACAAUUUUUUUUUAAAUCACAUAUUCUAGUUAAAAUCAAAUAUGUAUUUAUAUGAAGCUUGUAAAUUUUUUUUUAGUACUGAUAUUUGAAUAUUAUCAAUAAAAAAAAAAGGGUAAUGUUCAUGCUGCAUUAUUUUUGUAGCACACAAAAGGACAACACCGUUUAUGUUAUAAUACUAUUGCUUCUGUUAUGAUAGUAUUUUUGUUAGUGGCAAAAUAUCAUUUUUUUUUUAAGUAAAAAGGUGGACAGAAUGCAAAUCAGUUUUUAAUCCUCAAUUUCUCCCAAAAUUUAAAUUCGUAAUUAGUCAAAUAAAAUUGAUCGAAAACCAUUAAGCUAGGUCCAUGGGUUGUUAAAACUAUAGCUGACAAAAAGUUACUAACAAAAACAGAAUGUCCAUUUUAUAACUUUCUUAAAAAACUUUCUUUAACUUUUUUAAAAAGUUACCAACAAAAAGUUAUUUCCAAUUUUUAUUUUGUUAUAAUGUUUAUAACAAAAUUCGUAGUUAACUAAACUCUUCUUAUCCCCUUUCUCAACUGCCAUACCCUAACCACGCUCAAUUUAGGCCAUCACAGUGACCGACAGCCUCCCUAUCUCCAUUUCAAGCUCCCUCUUCAACUGGCUUCUGCUUCGGUCGUACUCUUUCUUGGAUUCAGAGUCCGUAUUUGCUCGGCCGGUCCCGCACAACUCCCUCUCACUCCAAUUGUCACCCAACAAGACCAAUUGCUUACUCAAGGCACAGAACAAGAAGAGGAUGAGAAGUUGAAACAAGAAUUUGAGAAUUGGAAAUCGAAAUCGAAAACGUACGCAUUGACCAUGCCUUUAAGGGUUGUUUCUCUUCAGAAUUCAGUGCCUCAAUCUUGGGUUUAGGAUUUUAUGCGAAGUCAAGGAAAGAGAUUGAAGUUUCAGAUGAAUUUGUGUGCUAGCAUUGAUGGGAUCUUUAACAAUUUAUCUGUGCCCUUUAACAAAGUUAAGGCUAAGUCAGCUUCUUAUAUGGCUGCUGAUUUGGUUAGUGUUGGUGAUUCAUGGCUUAGUUUUGCCAUUAAAAAGAGAUUGAUUGAGCCAAUUGCUGGAACUGAAGAUCAAGAUUGGUUCAAAUACUUAAGUCAAAAAUGGAAGGUAACAUACUAACAUCUUUAUCUUUGACCCGAUAAUUUUUAUUGUCUUACAUUGAAAUUUGGUAAUGUAAUUUGUUCUCUAUUUGUGUUACCCUUAGUAGUCGUUUUAUUUAUUUGUUUAUUUGCUUUUAUUUGCACUAACGAAAUCUCAGGUAUAUCUACGCAGGAAUGAUGCAGGAGAAAUUGAUCCUCGAGGUAAAAUAUGGGCGGCACCAUACAGGUGGGGCACAACGGUGAUAGCCUCCAAGAAAAGUAAAUUUCGAAAGCAUAAUUUGGCUCCGAUUGAGGUAAUAAUUUUCUUUAAACUCAUUUAGUUUUAUAUCAAACAAAAUCAAGACUGCCUUUCUCUUCAAUAUUUUUUAUGAUAAUAUCUUUAGAAGCAUCUCAUUGACAGGUAACAAUGGCAUCCCUGAAAGAGUCUAUAAACUCAAUGAUAUUAUCUUCUACAAAUGGUUCAUUAAACUUUGUCGUUGUACUCAAAUGUACACUCAGAUCAAUGAGAAGCUAUGCCACUUUAGCAUGUAGUGAUGGCACUUAAUAAGUGAGUUGCUAGGAUGUGAACUAGAAAAAUUAAAUAUUGUCUCCUUGGGUAUGCUAGCUUGUAAGUCAGGGUUAAUAUCAGAGCUUAAGAUACUAUAACCGUGAGAACCUAUUGACUGCCAAUUAAAAUAUCCAUUAAAAUGUCUAGGGAGUUAUGAAGGUGGAGGUUACUUCCAAUUUCUAAGGCCACAGAGUAGACAUCAUCCAGGAUCCUAGGAAAGUCCAGUUAACCUCCUGCUCGAUGCAAUUAAUAAAUUUGGUCAAUGCCACUGAAACCUGUUAACUGACGUCACAAUGCGACAUGAGCACUUCAAAAUGGGACAGACGGUCAGUAGCACUAAAUUUUUCUUGCCUAAGAUUGAGCAAUUGGUCUAACUACUAAUCCCUAUUGUAGGUUGAUCAUUAUUUUUUCAAUUAUGUUCAGUUUGACCCAAAAAGUUGCAGAAUCUUGAGCAGAAUAUUGUCACUAAACACUGUCAAUGUCGUUUAGGUUAGCCAACUAACUUGAUGUUAAAACAAACACACAGUGUGUCUCAUGUCUCACAAAUCAAAUAAUCAUCUGUAAUGAUGGAGAAUUUUUCCAAUGUAUGAAGUAUGCUUUGAUACGUGGGUUACCUUGGAGAAGAUAUCUCAAAAUAAAGAAUAUGGGGAGAAAACAGUUCAGUAGUUUAUUAUUCUGUAGUCAAGUUUUGUCUCGAAAAUGGUCAAAAUUUAAAUGAAUAAGGACAGGGGAUCUUCAUUCUUUUUUCCCUUUUUUAUACCAAGAUAUCUCUCAACCUUUAUAUAAUCCCCACUGGAUAUCUGCUUCUAAUAAUUAAAAUAAAAAUUUCACCGCUCUAACAAUAAAAAGUAACAUCUUUAGUCAAAUAAUUUACAGUUCCUCAUCAUCUUAGUGUGAGACUAUCAGUACAUUCCAAAAACAUAAUAAAACUGGUUUGAUCCUGUUUAUUGAUGUUUAAAUGUUGUUCAUUGUGACAUGUAGAAAUGAUGAGGUGAAGUUUAUUUGGACAUCAAUUAGUAAGAUCUUGUUUGAAGUUGUUUUCUGAAAUGAACUGCCAAAUGGUAGUUUUUGGGGGCAUUUGAUGGCUCUUUUUUUUUCCUCAUUUUCAACAUAUGCCUGCUUGGAACAGGAAGGAUUAGGCUGCAGAGUUGUUAUAUAUUUUGAGAUGCUCUGGUCAUUGCACAAUUUGUUCACACUGGAAAUUAGAAUGAGAAAUUUGUUGAUGCUGUUUUGAGAGAUCUGCAUUCUAUGCACAAUAACAUGAUUAAUGAAAAUGCAUUGUAGGACUGGAAAGAUCUGUGGCAGCCUGAGCUCGCAGGAAAAAUUUCAAUGGUUAAUUCUCCCCGAGAGGUUAUUGGUUCAGUUUUGAAGUAUAGGGGAGCAUCAUACAAUUCAAACGAUAUUGAUUCGCAAGUUGCUGGUGGGAAGAUUGCUGUUCAGCAGAAUCUGGCAUUACUUGCAAACCAGGUACUCUUACAGAAAUGAUAUAUGGUCAUUGCAUGUUAUUGGCCUGACAACUGAUUUUGUUUGUAAAAGUCUGCUUCUUGAUACAUAUGAAUGCAUGUGUUAGUGUUUUCUUCUCCUUUUCAUACAUAUAAAUGCAUAUGUUAGUGUUGUCUUUUCCUUUUCAUACAUAUUAACACAUAUGUUGGUGUUCUCUCCUGAGAUGGAUGCAAUAAAGGCUUUUGCUCCUAAAUUUAGCUGAAGAAAUGGCAAAGGAUGUGAGAUUCUGUCUCAUUAAAUUAACAAAAACCCAAAACAAUGAAAAUCCAUUAUAAUGUGGUGUGGGUAAAUUGGCUCCAUUUGGUUCAUUUACUUAAUGUGAACGCGCGAGCAGUAGAGACUAACAAAAUGAAGUGACAACAAGAAGUCAGUGUCCUUUGAUGGAUGCAUUUUUAGGCAGAAAUAGGUUUGUAAUUGACCAAAUUUAUCUGGCAUGCCAAUUUCAAAAAAAAAAAUUAUGUGGUUAUUAGCUGUAAUGAAGGGGGAUAGUAGGUGCAAUCAGGUGGAUCCAGGAAAUUUCAACAAAGUUUUGGUAUGGCGUAGGGAAAUUGGUUUGUGCAACUCAGGAGUCUUUCAGGUGAACGAUGAUAGGUUUUGAUUUAUGAAUAUUAUAAAUCUGCUGUGCAUAGCAUUCUAGUAGAAUCAUCUAUAAGUUCUAGUUAUUGAAAUUGUAUGCUUUGCCCGGUUUGAGUUAAGGGCACAUGUAAUAUGAAAGAUAGUUGUCGCAUCUUUUAGGUUACCUAACAUUUGAUCAAUCCUAUUAUGGGGGCUUCAAGAUGUCUAACAAUAUGUAGAAUGCCCAUGCUCCUCCCCAUUGUUUAUAUUAUACAAUAAUUUGUUUUAGAUGCUAAUAUCUUUAUCGAUACUGGUAACAAUAUGACAACAUCUGCGUUUAUUGGGUUUUACAUAGGUUCGACUGUUUGACAGUACACACCAUCUGAAGGCAUUUGCAAUUGGAGAUGUAUGGGUUGCUGUUGGGUGGAUUAGUGAUGUUCUUCCUGCUGUCAAACGUAUGUCUAGUGUUGCUGUUGUUGUUCCCAAGUCUGGUGCUAGCUGCCUGCCAUUCUUCUUCGAUAUUCACAUUGUUAUCUCCUUCAUAUUAGCGAUCAGUAAACACGAUAAUGUGACUAAUAAGUUUGUAUUCUCUUUAUAGGCAAUCCGUGCUGCCUCAAGACUUGAAACAAAACAAAUUGGAGGGCGAAUCAGAGGUCCAUCUCCGUUAAUCCAUCAAUGGAUAGAAUUCUGCUUGCAAACAGCGAGAGCAUUGCCUUUCAAGCAAGAGGUAAUCCCAGGUGCAUCUCCCUCUGCCCUUGAAAGUACUCUGGUUAAGUUGCCUGAAGAACUUCUGGAGGGUAAACCAAGUCUGGAUACUAACUUAAUUGCUGGAGUACUCCCGGCUGAAAUUCUGGCCAGAUGUGAGUUUUUGGAGCCAUUAUCUGAAGCUACUUUGUCAGAUUAUGAGUGGCUGGUUGUUAAUCUGCAAAAACCUGCUCCUGUCUUGAUGAAAAGGGUGCAACAUUACUUGUCAUCAUUAAUCCAAAGCUUUCUAGCAAGAGCUACGUUGAAAAGUUAAUGGCGCUGCAUGCCAGUCAUUAUAAUGCUGUCAGGGCAAUUGGAUCAGGGCAAUUAGGUCAGAGCAUAACUUCAUUAGGAAAGGAGGCUUCAGCUACGUUAAAUAUUACAGGAUGUACUGAGAUGGCUGAAAUUCUUGAGGUUUUAUGAGAAACGAAAGAUGAGUGUUUGUUUGAACAAAGUUGUUGCCAAUCUUGCAGAGUUCGAAAACAAAGAUCAUGGAGCGAAUGCCACCGAUUUCUUCAUCAUUUUAGCCUCCAUAGUUGAAGUUUCCUCAUUUGAAGCUGUUUAUGCAUACGAUUUUUCCCUGCUCUAGUACAUGAAAUUGAAGAAUUACCAGAUGUGAUAUGCUGAAAGAGGGAAGUUUUCUUCCUUGAAUGUGGCCUUUGUGAUUUGUCUUGAAGGAAUAGGAUGAUCACUGGCAAGAACCCUAUCAAGUUAGAUUUUAUGGUGUUAACAUAUUAUUCAGCAUUUUGUUACAUUAGCAAUGAUGCUUUCAUAGCAUGAAAGUGUUUAAAUUUAACUGAAUGAUCUUGAUUGAUCAAUUAUGAGUUUUAAUCGAGUAAAAACUAAAUACAAUAAUCGUUAACAAAUAUUGAAAUUGGGUAAAUAUGAUCUUGAUAUUGAUGAAUUUGAAAUCACGACCCACACAGGAAAUCACCCUUCGCGUGGGGAUGGAGAUGUUUACUGCAGCGAUAUUGAAUAUGUCCACUGCUCUUUGGGUUAUGGUGCGACUUGCGAUUUCAAGGUUGCCAUGAAACAAUGGAAAAGAUUAACAUACCCUCCAAUGAAUGAAAACGGGUGGACUAAUUCUGAUUACCUAAUUGACUCAGGAUCAGGAUCGGCUGGCAAUAAUAACAGUUUAUUAACAAUGCACAGUCCGAGUACUUUUCCAGGAUGAGAUACGACGUGGUCUAAUGUUGAUAAUAAUAGAUUAUCAAAUGACAAAUCGUUGUUCUUGGGUGUUGAUUUCAGAAAUAAAAUACAUUCUGAGAGAUGCUGGUCUACUAUUGCAAGCCCCCAGAUUUAAGAAUCUUUUGAUGAUAAUUUAAUUGAUAUGGACAGUUUCCAUAUCACUUUUAAAUCAUCUUAUGUAAUUGUGAUGUUAGGAAGCAUUAGUGAUCUAUAUGUGAAUUAUUAUUAGCGACAUUAGUGGUUUUAUCUUGUUAAAAUAUGGAUGACUUCCAGUUAUUAUUUUAUUGUAGACAAUCUUAUUCAAUUAACAUAUAGUUUAAAAUCAUUAUGUAAAUUAAUCUAUUAAUUUUCAUGAUAUUUAAUUGAGUUAAAACUAAGUGCAAUCAAUAAAUCUCUUUUCCAUUAAAAAACUGCUACCUUUUGAUUUUAGUGCUUAAUAUUUAUUGAACUCUGAUGCAGGAAAUUUGAAAUCAAACUCGUAAUACAGAUUAUCUAAUUGCGAGUUACUGUCCAUAGCUGCUAAUUUGUAGUGAUUAUCUAAUUGACUGAGGUGACAAUAAUUCUUUUAUUUUCAAUAGCACAAUGUGGAAUUCAAUAAUUAAAUUCUCCUGUUUAAUUUGUUUCAAGUUAAAUUAUUAAUUACUUAAACUCUGUUUUAAGUCUUUAAUUUUAUGUGUUUAUGCAGAAUUGGAUUCUUGAGCGUGUUGGACACGACCAACAAUGAAAUUGACAGUAAACAAACAUUAGAACGUGUGGACUCCGGUAAGCACCAAUGAAUUUCUAGCCCCGUUGACUCCGCCAACUAAAGUUUUGUAAAAUAAAAAAAAAAUACAUAGAAUUCCACCAAAUGCAAAAUGCGUGAAAUUUAAUUUUCUGCCGUGUGGACCAAAACAUAAUUUAACGAAAAAGGAAAAAAUGAUAAGAUUUUUAAAAUGUGUGGAAGGUGAUCCAUAUUUUACUGAAACGACUUGUUAAAUUUUUUAAGGAUUUAGAAUAUUUAGUCAUAAAUUACGUGCAUGUUAAUUUUUCCGCCAUUGACUAUCAUAUUCUAGACUUAAUGGUACCUUUCUUGAUGAAGGGUACUUAGUCUCUCUUCUCCUCUUAUAAAAAUUAUAUUAAUUGAUUUCUUGUUAUAGUUAAUAGUCUUUAAGAACGGAUAGAUUUAUUGUUUUCAUGACCAAAUUAUGCAUGCCUAAGGUUGCCACUAUUAAUAAAAUUAAUAUUUAAUGUUUAUUUUAAAAGAUAUAAGAUUUUAUGCAUUCAUUAAUUGUUAUUAGCUAAAGGAUGAAUUAUUUUUUCCCAAUCAAUUGAUGCAUCUGCAAGAGUUUUUUUUUUUCUUUUAUUGACCAUAAUUAUAUUCCGGGUACAAUAAAUUGUCUUUGGUGCUUGGAAAAUAUGACAUCUCUCUGUCAACUUACUGGAAAUAUCUCCUCAUCUACUCUCAUUUAUCUAAUAUCAAUUGAAGAUCUCAUAUUUCCAAACUAUGACUUCCAAAUCUCAUUAUCAUUUGAGCAUUCAAAACUAAUCAAGUGUGGAAAUAAUCAAAUAUAUGCAAAAAUCGAGUCACAAUCUUUGGCCCCUCAAAAUUCUAAUUAUAUAACUUCUAUAUAUCUCAUACAUUUUCUAAAUGCCUCUUCCAUCAACAUCACUAGGAGUAUGUUCAUCUCUCACACAUUAACUUGAGUGGAGAGUUUCCAAAUUGAUUGUCAGAAAACAAUACAAAAGUUAGACACGCUUGAUCUGUCUAAUAAUUCUCUUUCGGUAAAAUUAAUUAAUUUUAGGGGAAUUCAGCCAACCACUGUAAUUUUAGAGUGAUCAUUAAUUAAUUAAACAAUACAAAUAUCUAAAGUGAUUAGAUGUUUGCUGACAAUACAAGUUCAUGGCUUGAAAUUUGAUCUCUAUCGAUUGGUUUUUUAGUGCUUAAUAUUUACGGAACUCCGGGAAUUUGAAAUCAAACUCGUAACUACAAAUUAUCUAAUUGCAAGUGUUUGUCCAUAGCUGCUGAUUUGUAGUGAUUAUCUAAUUGACUGAGGUGACAACAAUUUUUUUUUUUAAUUUUCAAUAGCAUAAUGUGGAAUUCAAUAAUUAAAUUCUCCUUUUUAAUUUGUUUCCAGUUAAAUUAUUAAUUACUUAAACUCUGUUUUAAGUCUUUAAUUUUAUGUGUUUAUACAGAAUUGGAUUCUUGAGCGUGUUGGACACAACCAACAAUGAAAUUGACAGUAAACAAACAUUACAACGAGUUGAGUGUCGACUCCGGUAGCUGCCCUACAAGUCUACAACUUUACAAAAAAUAAUUGAGUACACACAUUUGAUUCUCGGGACCCUUCAAUGAAUUUCUAGCCCCGUUGACUCCACUGACAAAAGUUUUGGAAAAUAAAAAAAAAAUUCAUAGAAUUCCACCAAAUGCAAAACGCAUGGAAUUUAAUUUUCGGCCGUGUGGACCAAAACAUAAUUUAAUGAAAAAAAAAAGAUAAAUUUUCUAAAAUGUGUGGAAGGUGAUCCAUAUUUUAUUGAAACAACUUGUUAAAUUUUUUAAGGAUUUAGAAUAUUUGGUCAUAAAUUACGCUCAUGUUAAUUUUUCCGCUAUUGACUAUCAUAUUCUAGACUCACUGGUACCUUUCUUGAUGAAGGGUACUUAGUCUCUCUUCUACUCUUAUAAAAAUUAUAUUAAUUGAUUUCUUAUUAUAAUAAAUUGUCUUUAAGAACGUAUAGAUUUAUUGUUUUCGUGACCAAAUUAUGCUAGAUUAAGGUUGCGACUAUUAAUAAAAUUAAUAUUUAAUGUUUAUGUUAAAAGAUAUAAGAUUUUAUGCAUUCAUUAAUUGUUAUUAGCUAAAGGAUUAAUUAUUUUUUCAACCCAAUCAGUUGAUGCAUCUGCAAGAAUGUUUUCUUUUAUUGACCAUAAUUAUAUUCCGGGUACAAUAAAUUAUCUUUGGUGCUUGGAAAAUAUGACUUCUUACUUCAAGUUUGAUGUGUCUCUCUCCAUAAGCUUACUGGAAAUAUAUCCUCAUCUACUGUCAUUUAUCUAAUAUCAAUUGAAGAUCUGACUUUUUCAAACUAUCACUUCCAAGUCUCAUUGUCACUUGGCCAUUCUUGGACCAUUCAAAACCAAACAAGUGUUGAAAUAAUCAAAUAUAUGCAAAAUUAGAGUCACGACUUUUGGUCCUCCAAAUUCUAAUUAUGUUACUUCUAUAUAUCUCAUUGUCACGUCACGAACUUGUUGGCACAUUUUCCAAACUCCUCUUCCAUCAGCUCUCACACGUUAACUUAAGUGGAAAGUUUCCAAGUUGAUUGCUAGAAAGCAACGCAAAAUCAGACACGCUUGAUCUGUCCCCUAAUUCUCUUUUCUACGUUGAAAAAGAAAAAAAAUAAGAAAAAAGAAAAUAGAUCUAUGUAAAAAUAAAUAAUAAACUGAGUAAAAGUACAUUUGUUUAUUUAACAUCUGAUCGGGGCAUUUUUGGUGUAAUUUCGUGCUGUGUAACCCACAACUAAAAUCAAACAGCCCCUUAGAAUACUUCUUCCAUUUUAUCUGCUACUUUUGUGGAUCUUAUAGGGUGGGCAUGUGAACAGAAUUUAAAAAUUUUAAUAGUCUCAAAGAAUAAGAUAUGCUAAAGCUAAAGUUGUUGCACCUUCUAAUUAAAUAAAGUUGUAUAAUUUCACCAACUUGGAAGAAUUGAUAUUAAUGGACGGUCCCCUCUCCAUAUAUGAAGCCUUCUUAAAAGUUAAUUUUUAUUUCAGAAAAAAAAAGUUUAAGUUACAUAUAUUAUAGUAAGAUUUUUUGAGACCAAUUCCCUUCUUGAAAUAAUAAUGGAUAAGUAUUAAUUUAAAAAUAAAAUGAAUAUGUAUUGAUUAUAUCCUGAUUUUCAUCGAUUAUAGUGAGAGUUUCUACAAAUCAAUUCCCUUAUUCAAAUAAUACAGAAAAAAUAGUAAUUUAAUAGUAAAAUAAACAUGUGUUGAUUAUAUAUUCUAAGUUUCAUCGAUUAUGUGAUCAAAGUGGCAUUGUUGAUUUAUUUCUUGUUCAAUGUUAAUUUUUAGGUUAUAUAAAUUUCAAGGAUCUAAAAUCUUUGGUCAUGGAUUACACGCUUGUUAAUUUUUCUGCCAUUAACUGUCAUAUUCUAGACUUAAUGAUACCUUUCUUGAUCAAGGCUAAUUACUCUCUCUUCUCCUCUUAUAAAUUCCUCUUCCAUUAACAUCACUAGGAGUAUGUUGAUCUCUCAGACGUUAACUUGAGUGGAGAGUUUCCAAAUUGAUUGUUACAAAACAACACAAAAACUAGACACACUUGAUCUGUCUAAUAAUUCUCUUUCGGUAAAAUUAAUUAAUUUUAGGGGAAUAUUCUGCCAACCUCUGUAAUUUCAGAGUGAUCAUUAAUUAAUUAAAUGAUACAAAUAUCUAAAGUGAUUAGAUGUUUGCCGACAAUACAAGUUCAUGACUUGAAAUUUGAUCUCUAUCGAUUGGUUUACAAAUGGACGUACUUGUGCCUUUGUGGCGAUAAUCGAACAAGUUCCCAUGAUUAUUAUUUUUUCCAAAAACUUUUUUACAACAAAUUCAUCUCGCCAAAAAUUCUAUGUUGCUAGCUAACAAUAAUUGAGCACUUGGCCGCAUUGACUCCACGUCUCCACCUCUUUCUAAAAACAUGGAAAAUGUAAUUUCCACAAAAUGCCAAACGUGUGGAAUUUAAUUUUUUUGCCUUGUGGAUCAAAAUACAAAUGAAAGAAACAGGAGAAAAAAAAGGCCCAAAGACUUCUAAAAGAUGAAGAAGUCUUUGGGCCUUUUUAUAAUGGUGAAUUUUUUAAAAGAAAAAAAAUAACAACAUUUUUAUGGUUUGUUUUGAUAAUCAUAUUUACAUAUACUCUCUAAUUUUCAAAAUGGACACAUAAAUCUUUUUUUUUCACAAAAUAUAUAUUAUUCAUAUUUUUUAUUUUUUAUUAUCAUAUUUUUAUUUAUUAUAAAUGUUUAGAGUAAAUUUUUAGGUUGAAAUAUAAUAAAAAUGUAUAAUCGUUCUCUUAUUAAACACACAUACUUUUAUUAGUUUCUAUGCAUUUGUCAUCUCAAUCUCUCUCAAUUAUUCUUUAUUGCUAGCUCAAAACGCGUUGCUGUUGCAAAUUAUAGCAAAAUGACAAAUAUGGAAAAAAAGGGAAGAAAAUUAAUGCAUGAAAGACUUGGAGAAAACAACAAAAUAAGCCAACUAUGAGCUAGUUGGGUGUAUAAAUUGUUAGAUGUGUUAUAUACAAAUAGCAUAGAGCCCUCUAGUUAGUUCCAGAGACAGAAAGAGCGUGUGUGUUUUUUCACAGUUAGAGAUAUAGUUAGAAUGGGUGGUUCAAAAUCAAAAAUGAUGAUAAUGUUUAUUAUGUUAUUAAUAAUAUUUAAAAGUGGGUGGAGUGAGGGAUGUUUGGAUCACGAGAGAUUUGCUCUUUUGCGACUCAAACAUUUCUUCGAUGAUAGUUAUCUUUAUGACUGGGCCGAUGAUGAGGGAGCUACUGAUUGUUGUCAGUGGGAAAAUGUUGAGUGCAGCAACACCACAGGCCGAGUGAUAGCGCUAGACCUUUUUGACACGCAUGGGGGAGAGCACAGCUGGUAUCUGAAUGCUUCUUUGUUUACUCCCUUCCAACAACUUGAGUCACUUGAUUUAACUUACAACAAUAUAGCCGGUUGUGUUGAGAAUGAAGGUGCUUCGUUUAAUUUAAUUAAUUUACUUUCUCCCCCCAAAUUUAAGUUGAAUAUCAAGACCGAGCAAUUAUAUGCAUAUUCAUUUAGUCGACAAUUUUGACUUUUUUUUAAAUGAUUAAUUUUGAAAUUACACCAGGAUCUAUGAUCUUUUUUUAUUUUAUUUUAUUUGCAGGUAUAGAGAGGCUAUCAAGAUUGAACAACUUGAAGAUGCUUAAUUUAAGUCGAAACUCAUUCAAUAAUAGCAUUUUAUCAUCUCUAACUCAUCUUUCAUCAUUAAGAUCAUUAAAUUUACUUUGGAAUAGAUUGGAAGGAAGUAUUGACGUUAAAGGUACAUAAUUAAAACUUCAUCCCUUCUCCAAGCUCUUUCAUUAACUUGCUAAAAUAAGAUUCAAGGCUUUGAAUUCAAUUUUUUUUAUGAUUAGUAUUAAAAAAAAAAACAGUUUUAAGCAAUUUAUAAAAACAAGUUUUAAUGUUUCUUGUAAUUUCAUCUUGUACUUUCAUAUGUCUUGAAUUUAAGAUUAAAAAAAAAAACUCUAAUAGCGAACCAAACACCUCCACAACUUCUUAUUAUUUGUGGUGAGGUUUGAAACAUUCAACUCAAUUUGUACUUAUUACAGAAUUUGAUUCUUUGAGAGAUUUAGAGGAGCUAGACAUUGGCGGGAACAAGAUUGACAAAUUUGUGGUCUCAAAAGGUACUACAAAUACCAUAAAAAAAAAAUGCUAACUUUUACAAAUUAGCUGGAUUCUUUGCCAUUUGGUUUAUUAUUUUACAGAUUUGAGUAAGUUGAAGUCUCUUGGUUUAAGUGGUAUCAAACUCAACUGUAGCAUCUUAUCUUCUCUGACUGUCUUUUCUUCGUUAAGAGAAUUAGAUAUAAGUGAAACCGGAUUCAAAGGAACAUUCGAUGUUCGAGGUAAGCCUAAACCCUGCUUUCUCAUUUUAUAUAUGCCAACUAGAUUUGUGUAUCAUCGACAUAAUUUAAUAUUUAAUUUGAUAAGUCUGAAUGAAUUACAUGCUAAUUUAAACACACUUUUAUUUACUUUGUCAAUUAAUUAAUUAAUUAAUUACUAUUUGGCUUGGUUUGGACGAAAUUCUCAUGAUGUUUUAAUUUCUUUAAAUUAAUUAAUUAAUUAACUCUGUUUUUAAGUCUUAAGUCUGGGCAUGUUUGCAGAAUUUGAUUCCUUCAAUAACUUAGAAGUGUUGGACAUGAGUGGCAAUGAAAUCGACAAUCUUGUGGUUCCUCAAGGUAAACAAUUAAAAUAUUAUUCAAUUACAUUAUUUUAAUUCAUUUGAUUAGGGAAGGCCAAAAAGGUCCAAAAAAAUAAUAAUAAUAAAGAAACAGAUAAUUUGUAUUAUUUAAAAAACAGAAUGUAAUAAAGAUUUGAUUCCAGUUCUUUAAUCUUUAAAGCGAUUGAAAAACAAUGUUGGUCUUUUCCCAAAGCAUAAAAUACGAAUUGAAUGCCAAUUAACUUAAUCAUUCAUUUCGUUUAGCUCUAAAUUUAGACAAUGAAUUUUUAUAUUAUUUCAAAAACAGGACGUAAUAGAAUUUUUUUAAAAAACAUAUUGUAAUAAAGAUUUGAUUCCAAUUCUUUAAUCUUUACAGUGAUUGAAAAACGAUACUACUUCCCAAAGCAUAAAAUACGAAUUGACUCUCAAUUAAAUUAAUCAUUUAUUUCGUUCAUCUCUGAAUUUAAAUAAUGAAUUUUGAUCUUCAAUCUUUUCCUAAUUAUUAUUAAUAAACAGGUUACGGAGGUUUGAGGAAGUUGAAAAGCUUUGGUCUAUCGGGAGUUGGAAUUAGAGAUGGAAGCAAGUUGUUACAGUCAAUGGGAUCAUUCCCAUCCCUCAACACUCUUGACCUGAGCUAUAAUAAUUUUACCGAUAUAGCGAUAACUACUACUCAAGGUAAGUAAAAGGUACAGAUGUGGCCAAAUUUAUAAAUAAAUUGUUAAUUAAUUAAUUUUUCCGUAUUAUUAAUAAAGUGAAAUUUGUUGCUCCUUCCUUCUAAAUCUAAACAGAGUUGCACAAUUUCACCAACUUGGAAUAUUUGACAUUGGACGAAUCCUCUCUCCAUAUAAGUCUUCUGCAAAGCAUUGCAUCAUUAUUCCCUUCAUUAAAAAAUUUGUCGAUAUCUUAUUGUGAAGUAAAUGGUGUCUUACGCGGUCAAGGUAAAAGAAAAGCGUUGAUUGUGAACUCACUCAAUGGUGUCCUACGUGUUCAACAUUUUUGUUUAUUUAUUUAUUUAUUGUUUAAUGUUUCUGCUAGGUUUUCCUUCUUUCAAGAGUUUGGAACAUUUGCACAUGAGCUUCGCGCCCAUUGCACUCAACACCAGCUUUCUUCAAAUCAUCGGUGAAUCGAUGCCUUCUCUUAAGUACUUAUCACUGUCAGGUUCUAUUCUUGGCACUAACAGCAGCAGGAUUCUUGAUCAAGGUUAAUCAGAUGCUCCCACCCUCCCUUCUUAAUCUAUAAUAUUAAUUUUCAAUUCAAUAUUUAAUUACACAAACCAAUCACUUAUUAUAAAAGAACAAUACUCAUUCAUUAAUCUUUAUAUUGUAUUAAUAAUUGAUGAAUUUAAUAAAUUUUCAGGCCUCUGUUCGCUGGUGCAUCUGCAAGAAUUGCGCAUGGCUGAUAAUGAUUUAAGAGGUAGCUUGCCUUGGUGCUUGGCAAAUAUGACAUCCCUCCGAAUAUUAGAUGUUUCUUUCAAUCAACUUACUGGAAGCAUCUCCUCAUCUCCCCUCGUUCAUUUGACAUCCAUUGAAAUGCUGAUACUUUCAGACAAUCACUUCCAGAUCCCAAUUUCACUUGAACCACUUUUCAAUCAUUCAAGACUCAAGAUUUUUUAUGCUGACAACAACGAACUAAAUGCAGAAAUAACUCAGUCACAUUCUUUGACCGCCCCAAACUUCCAAUUAAAUAGACUCUUGUUGUCUUCCAGUUACGGAGACGGUUUCAUAUUCCCCAAAUUCCUUUACCAUCAACAUGACCUGGAGUUUGUUGAUCUCUCACACAUAAAGAUGAAUGGAGAAUUUCCAACUUGGUUGCUGGAAAACAACGCAAAAUUAGAAACUCUUUUUCUCAUCAAUGAUUCUAUUGGAGGACCUUUUCGAUUGCCAAUUCAUCCACACAGGCGGUUAAGAUUCUUGGAUGUCUCCAACAACAACUUCCAAGGCCAUAUGCCAGUAGAAAUUGGAGAUAUUUUACCAAGUUUAUUUUCUUUUAACAUUUCCACGAAUGCCUUGCAUGGUAGCAUUCCCUCUUCAUUUGGUAAUAUGAAAUUCCUCCAAAUUCUGGACUUAUCCAACAAUCACUUGACUGGUGAAAUCCCCGAGUACUUGGCCGUCGGUUGCGUCAACUUGAAUUCUCUUGCAUUAUCAAACAACAACCUACAAGGUCACAUGUUCUCUAGAAAUUUUAACUUGACAAACUUGAAAUGGUUACUAUUGGAGGGCAAUCGCUUCGUAGGUGAGAUCCCACAAAGUUUGUCUAAAUGCUCCUCACUAGAAGGAUUGUAUCUUAACAAUAAUAGUCUUUCGGGUAAGAUUCCACGAUGGUUGGGUAAUCUCACAAGGUUACAAUAUAUUAUAAUGCCCAAUAAUCAUCUUGAAGGCCCUAUUCCAGUGGAGUUUUGUCAGCUGGAUUUGCUUCAGAUUUUGGACAUUUCAGACAACAACAUAUCUGGAAGUCUACCAUCUUGUUUCCAUCCUCUCAAUAUCAAACAAGUUCAUCUUUCAAAAAAUAUGUUACAUGGACAACUAAAAAGAGGUACAUUCUUUAAUUGCUCUUCCCUUGUGACAUUAGAUCUUAGCUAUAACCGCUUGAAUGACAGCAUUCCGGAUUGGGUUGAUGGGCUUUCUCAGUUAAGUCACCUUAUCUUAGGUCACAAUAAUCUUGAAGGUAAAGUGCCAGUUCAAUUGUGCGAAUUGAACCAACUACAAUUGUUAGAUCUUUCUAAUAAUAAUCUUCACGGUCCUAUUCCUCCUUGCUUUGAUAACACCACACUUCAUGACAGUUACAGCAAUAGUUCUAGUCUUGAUGAGCAAUUUGAAAUAUCUUUUUCCAUCGACGGCCCUGACGGAGAUGUAGAAAAGCAAAUCCGUGAAAAUUUUGAGUUCACAACAAAGAACAUUGCGUACAUUUACCAAGGAAAAGUGCUUAGCCUCCUAUCAGGACUUGAUCUUUCUUGCAACAAGCUAAUCGGUCAUAUUCCCCCUCAAAUUGGAAAUUUGACAAGGAUUCAAACAUUGAAUCUAUCACACAACAACUUGACAGGAUUGAUCCCAUCAACAUUUUCAAACUUGAAGCAAAUCGAAAGUUUGGAUCUUUCCUACAACAAAUUGAAUGGGAAAAUCCCUCAUCAACUUGUGGAGUUAAAGGAAUUGGCCGUUUUCAGUGUGGCAUACAAUAACUUAACAGGCGAAAUUCCAGAAUGGGAAGCACAAUUUGCAACCUUCAACGAGAAUAGCUAUGAGGGAAAUACUUUUCUUUGUGGACUGCCAUUGCCCAUUUGCAGAUCACCAGCAACUAUGUCGGAGGCGUCAAUCGGCAAUGAACGAGAUGAUAAUUUAAUUGACACGGACAGUUUCUUUAUCACAUUUACAACAUCGUACGUAAUAGUGAUAUUUGGAAUUGUUAUUGUUUUAUAUGUAAAUUCUUAUUGGCGACGUAGAUGGUUUUACUUUGUUGAAAUGUGGAUAACUUCAUGUUAUUAUUUUGUUGUAGACAAUCUUAUUCCAACAAGAUUUUGUCAUUGAAAUUAAUUAGUAGCUUAAUUACGAUUCUUUAAGUACUAAUCAAGUUUGCUUAGGAAAUAAAUUUAUUUUUAUUUUUUAUUAAAAUUGUAGUAGUAUUUAGCGUUAUAUAGCUUCCAACUUCCAAGCACUUCACAAUUGUCUCUACACUUCCAAACCCAUAUCUAUCCACCAUAACUUAUACUUCCCUAUACUGUGCAGCAUACUUAAAUAAGAGAACCAUCUCCAAUGUUAAAAGCAGCCACUCUAUAACAUUCAUUUAGAAACUAUAUUCAGAAUAGUUUUAUAAUCAUACACAAGAAAUGAAACACCUAGAUGCAGUUGAUCGCCUAUUUUACUUUAAAAAAUAAUGAUUAUGGUGCUAUCAUCAUCUUCUUCACUAGCAACAUUAACACCAAAUCCAGCGAUGGACCCAGACAUUUUAUCAAGAAAGGUAUAUAUAUAUAAUAAAGUUGAAGCUUGACAAAAAAUUCAGGAAGAUUAAUGCCUCAGCCACAACAAGGGGCACAACAACAUCAAAGUAGAGAUGAAGCAAUAUUCUCAAAGCUAAAACUCUCAAAUCCACCCACCAGAAUUUCAUAUCUCCUCGACAAUUUUAAGAACUAAAGAUAAUUAGGAUUUAACAUUAGUUUUUUAUAUAUUAGUUUCAUAAUUUACAAAUCAAUGAAGAUGAAGAUUAUGCUAAUGAAUUCAAAUUAUACCAUACAUUCUAUAGAUGUUACCAAAAAUUUCUAAGUCAAUCCCACAUAUUUCAUAAUUUUAAGACUAGAAAAUUUCAUUAGUUAGAAGUUUCAUUACCUUCAAGUGGAAGAUGAAGAACAUUAUAUAAGUGAUUCAGAUUAUAUCAUACAUACUCCAAAUGCAACUAGAAAUUAACAAGUUCAUGCGCACAUAUUUCAUAACAUUAUGAUUGGAAAGUUUCACAAAGAGAAAUUCUAAAUUCAAUCUCUUGCAUCAAGGUAGUUUGAUUGAUUUGAGUUACUUUCUGAUCAAGCUACUAAUAUAACAUUCAAGUCAGGGAGAAAGUAAAUUAAAACUGGGAAGAAAUAACAGUAAAAAUUUGUUGCUAAACAUGAUGUGUAUUUUUUUUAAAGCAAUUUGGAAACACAGUUGUUACUACAGGUAUUCUCCUCAACUUGGAGAUAAAUACAAAUAUUAAAAUGCAUAUGAUCGCACAUAUUACUUGGAGCUUAGUAAGAUUUCAUUAAGAGAAGAAAUCAAACCACUUAUCAAUUGUUGCAGUCAUUCUAUAAGCUAAAAUAGCAAUAUAAUACAAGAAAAAGAACAUAUAGAUACUUGGCAAGAGUUCAUUAAGAAGUCACAUCAUAUUCGGGUGAGGAGUUUGCUUCUGAUAUCUUGCUAGCCGGGGCUUUUUCUUGUCUUUCUACGUAUGCCGAGGGAAACCAACCAGCUUGGCCCUUGCAUUCACCUUCCGACCAUCCAGUAGGAGCCACCUUGAGAAGUUAUAACUAAAACGGUGAAUUAAACAAAAGUUGACCGUUCAAAGACCUAAGGGGAAAACUAAUUCUUUUACGUAGGAGGAGUGAAUUAGUUGUGAUCACUGAAAUAACAGCAUAACUAUGGAAGCAUAACAAGAUAUAAAUUCACAUGUCUAUAAGGGUAAACUGGGUGGUUUAGAACUGAGCUAGCAACCCUACUAUAUUCUGAUUUGCACUUCAAUGUAAAAGGGAAUAUGGUAGGAAGAAAGAAAACCAACCAUCAUUUGUUAACUCAUUGCUUUUCAAUCAAAAUUUUAAGAACAAAAUGCCAUGUGCUUUGAACAUCAAAUAAGUAUAAGCAUUAGUUCUAAAUUUCACAUGUCAUAAGUUAAUAGCAUAGUAGAAAAAUCUAAUAGCAUCGUAGAAAAAUCUCUGUGUUGUUAUUUAGAGGGGAAAGUACCUGGCGAACCACAACAUAAUCAUCAAUUGAAAGACUUAGCUCUCCAUUUGCUUGAGCAUCAAAUGGAUGUAUAACCUGCAAGAUAAUGGGAUAAAUAGAACUUAAUCUUAGAAAAAGCAUAACAAAAGCAGCAACAGUAGCAGCAGCGUUCAUUGUAACCACUAUGAUCAUAGCCAACAAAGAUAUAUUAGAAACAAAAUUCCAUUUUUACUACGACAUUAAUAUGUACUAUAUGAUAUCAUGACGAUUGGGUUACCAAGAUCUAUCAAAGUCCAAUAAGUUCUGUAUAACUCUAUGUAGUUAUUUAAAUUAUGGAUCAGAUUUUAAAUCUGAAAUUUUGACUGCUCUCCACAAAACAUGACCUAUGCACAAAAAAGUCAUAGAUAAUGAGGAUUACAAAUGUCUGACAUCUUUUGAGUGAUGGAUUUAACAUGAGAGCUUAUGGUCAGUCAAUUUCCUCUGCCUAGCAAUAUAAGCUUUCUCGGCCAGAUUUAUCAUCAAAUACAUAGAUUGCGCCCAAGUUAAGGAGAAUCAUAAUUCAGACAUAAUCAUAAAAAGGCCCAUCUAACUUAAGAGAAAAUCUCAAAAAGAGGGAUGUUGAGCUAUCAGUCUUGUAUCUAUAAGCAAUAUCAAGACUUUACAUCACCUGCUACAUCGUGAGUGGCUACACAACUUUCAGUGGUUUGACUUUCUUGGGCAUGCCUAACUCAGCUUUGAUGUUGCUGAGAUAUUGAUAGUAGAGACACAUGAUACUUCUAGCUCAUGCAUUCUAUCUAGCUCAUCCGACAGCUAUCUCUUUUUUAAUUCAUUAGUGUUUGCUAAACCUCAUGCUUAAAAGUCCUGUUCUGCUAAACAAAGUUUCCUAAGAAUGACUUCCUCAGCACCACAUUUGGACACUUUUAGAGCAAUUUUAUUUGGGGGAAAAGAAUUUUCAAGGUGUUAACUAAUAAAUUUUAAAAAAUAAUUACAAUUUGUCCUACGAUUAUAUGACAAUUUAUCUAGGAUGAAAGGAUACAGACAGACAUCUUCCACUUUCAAGACUAAUCACUACUUCCGUAGAUGUUUUGCAAUAAUACAAAUACUUGACCAGAUGGUGGUGAUGGUAGAAAAAAAUUUUAUUGCUCCAAAAUUAAAAUAAGAAUGCAAUACGUUAAGCAAAAGACUGUGCAACAUCAAAUUAAUUGAUAAGUUUGUAAUUCAGUAAAUUAACAACUUUCAUGGUAAAAUACAACAAAUUUCUUUUCAAAAAAAAAAAAAUCUUAAAAGACAGCAUUCAAUUUUGGGCGCAUCUUAUUUCUUAAGAUUUUCCAGGAGGAGGGCAAUAAAGGGACUUUCACCUAUGCAAGAGAGCAGAAGCCUUACUUUCGCUAUAAAGUAGACGUCAUUCUGAUUAAUAUGCAUUUGCAAAUCAGCUCCAUUUGAAUCAGUAUUCUGAUAGACACAUGAGGCAUUUACAUCCAUUUCCAAAGUCACAUGUUGCGAGGAGGACUCAUUUGAUUGCUCCUCUAGGAUCAUCUAAUUCAAGUAGCAAGGGUUGGAAGAGAAUAAAAAGUCACAAUUAUUCUUUUGCAUAAGUGAGACGAAAAUGAUAAAUGCAAUAUUAUCAGCAGUAAACAAGAAGAGAACACUCCAAGGAAUAGAUAGAUGCGGACAAGCAAGUUAAAAUGCAUAGUUCCAAACCUCCGCAUACAACUUCUCUAAAAUAGCAAUAACGUGUUGAUGAUAUGUUUUCUCAGCAUCUACCUGCAAAGGCCCGAGACCAGGAAAACAACAAUAAAACCACUAGCUAAAGGAGAAAGUAAAGAAAGAAAUACACUUGACAUAAAUCUUGACAAGAAGCACAAUUUAAGACAUAACAAACCCCAAUCAUAUUGUUUAGAACUACCAUUCGUUAUUUCGUUAUUGUUGCAUUUCGAACAAGUGUUGACUUAAUUCAACAUUGUUGGAAAGAUAGGCUUUUAGAAGCGGAAGAAAGCCACUCAAACCAAAGUGAUUGUCCUUGUAUUGAUCAAGGGAUGUAAACAUAUUACAUUUGCAGGAUGAGUUUUAAUCACUCCCCUGAUUUAUUUGGGUUGCAGUAAAACUAAGCGAGCAACUGUUUGACCUUCAAGCAACAUCUGAAUCAGCUAUUAAAAUUCAAAUAAAAUCAUAAUAGAAUAAUAACAGGCCAUCUUGCAUCAAAAAUUAAGUUUAAUUUGUGAAUUUUUUUCCAUAGACAUGUUAGCUCCUGCUAUUGAAAUGUUAAAAGCAUUGAAAAAUUAUUCAAUAAAUUAUGCAAACAUUAAAAUAGAGGACACAUUAAAAAGUUUCUAAUUACAAUGUUAAUAUUUCCUAUAUUUUAGCAUUUGAAUAUUUUAAUUUAUUUAAAAGCUACGUCGAUCAACUUUGGGCGUGAAGAUUUUAUCUUCUACGAGACUUGAUUGGAAUAUGCAUAAGGAAGAGUGUUAAAAUAUGAUGCAUCCAACGAAAGACAAACCACGUGUAGUCUUUUAAUUAAGCCAAAGUAGCAGCUCAAACAAAUGACACUUGGACCAACAUGCAAUCAUGAAGUGGCCGGAAAAAGGACAAAUGCAACUUUGGCUUAAAUAAAAAAUAACAUGUGACUUGACUUUUGCUGGACAUGCAUCAUGUUAUUACAAGACAACAGAAAUCAGUAUGAUAGUACUAAAAGUUGACAAUAACAUGAAGAUAAGAGGCAGAAUGUCAACACAUGCAUAGGCACACACAAGAAAGUAUUAACUUAUAUACCAUAGCAAAAAGUCUUUGAUAUGUCAUCUGUUGCUGCUGUGAUUCAACUGACAGCAUGGCAGCUGUUGCUUCUCUACCAAGAGCCAUUAUUGUAGAUUUAAGCUCGGUCAAUCUUGCUUCUGCAUUUCGAAGCUUCACAGCACUCUCUGCUGAUAUAUCAGAUUCCCUAAUCUUUGAUCGGCGCCUAAAUACUUCAGCUGCCUGGUGAAAAUAUUCAAUAUAAAUCUAACAUAAUUCUAAUCUUGCCUUAUACAUGCAUAUGUUAACUCAAAGCUUACCUGGGCUUCAACUUCAUGUCGAAGUUUGUCAUAACGAUGAGUCAGGUGUCGAGCAUCUUCCAAAGGUGCUCCGUUGAUUAACGCCCGUAGUGGCUCAGAUACCUACAUGUCCAAAAACCUGUAACAUAGUUAGAAAAAUGAAAAGAAAGAGCGAAACCUCAAUUAAAAAGUUCCUCCAACAUAAUCAUGGAAUUUGGGCCUACUUCAAGGACAUAUAUAAGGAUAAUUUAUGCAAUUUUGGGUCUUAGGAUGAUUCAUAUUAGGUUAGUGUUCUUCUCUUCUGUAUUUAAGGUUAAAAUAGAAAUAAACCUAUGCAAAUAUCUAAAUUAGGGCUGUAAGACUUCCACAUGCAUCCUUCAGUCUCAUGGAUUUGAUUUUACUAUAGAUGCAAGUGUCUUUAUUGAAAAUGCUUGGAGUCAAUUGAGAGAACUCACGGCCAAUAACUUGUCACACGCUAGUCUUUGCUAGUGAUGUAAGAAGUCACAAGGUCUCUUCAGCAUUUGAACCAAUAAAAUUAUUAAGUCAUGGAUGUCACUAGCAAUGAUUUUAAUAUAAAACAUUAAAUAUUUCAGAGUUGUAACUUUAAAAUGGAUUCUUUUAUUCAAUAUCUUAGAACUAAGUUUCCGUAUGAGAAGAUAAUAGUUUCAGUAGUAAUUUACAUAUAAUUUUCUAUAUUUGAAUUAUUUUCUAGUUAGGGAUGAACUAACCUGAUCACGAAGAAUCCCAAGCAAAGUUUCCCUCUCAUUUUCCAUCAAAUCAUGUGAAGUGCCAAAUUGAAGAGCAGCUCUUGCAACGCAAGAAUUGUCACUUUGAUUCUCCGCUCCAUACUUGCAACAAUCUUCGGCCAACUUUCUCGCUACAAUAUUUGAAUGCAAAAAUAUUGUACACAAUAACUAGUCAAGAAAAUUAAAAAAAAAAAUUCAAAUAUUAUAACGAGAGCAAGAGCAAACAAACAACCUAUUUCCAUUUGUUUCAAGCUUACUGCAACAAACACUUCAACGCCACGGACAACAUUCCUCUGAAAAUGCUGCGCUACAGAGCAUAUAUUCCAAAUUAUUGUUCAGAUAAAACCAUACAAACCAUCAUAAUUAUUCAACAUACAUUAAGCUCCGUUUGGUAAAUACUUGCAACUUCAGUCUAGAAAAUACAGUUAAUUUUUAUUUAAAAAACAUCAUAAUUAUCAACAUACAUAUUUGACAAAAUUAUUAUUUAAAAAUCAUAACUAAUUACCAAAAGCCACAAUAAAUCAAUAUCAAACAGAGUCUUAUUAUUAGCUAAAGGAGGAUAGUACCUUAGCUGCCCUGGUGGAAUUGUAUAGAUUUUGAAGUUGUUGGUGACACUCAAUUUCAGCUUCAUCAACCGCAACAUUUUCAAUGCCAAGAUGGAGCAGAUGCUUCAAUACUGCCUGUACAAACCAUAAAAAACUAAUGAAAAAUAAAUAAAAUCGAGAAAUUUCACUAAUUAAAAGUCUAAAUAAUUUAAAAACAAAAAAAGAAAAGAAACGGACUUGCUGCUGCUUGGCGACUUGUUCUCGGAGCUUGAUUGCCUGCUUCUUGAUAGCUUCCAUACUGUUUCUUUCAAAAAGCGACAACGGCUCAGCUCGUGGAAGUUGGGAAAGAAAAAACAGUGUGAUCAAGAAAAAUAAAAAGGCGUGAAUAAUUUUUGACAAAAAGCGAAAAUCAAGGAAAGCCGGCUCUUUCCAGAAAAUAAAAAAGAAAAAAGAAAAAAGAAAAAAGAAAAUUAUAAGUUUGAAAGGAGAAGAUGAUAGUGGAAGUGUGCGGUGUGGCUGCCAGCUACUAGGAUUUUACUGUUGGGUAAGGUAAUAGUAGAGAUUUUUUUUUUUUUUUUGAAGAAAAAUAGUAGAGAAUUUUUUAAGAAACUAGAACAGAGCAUGACAUUAGACUUUUGUGGACCAAAUUCAAAAGCCGAAUGGCACGGCCCAGAAGCUUUUGAAUAGAAUAACUUGCAUCAGCCUCAAUCACUUCUUAAUAUGCAUAAGUGCAUAAGUGCAUAAGUGCGGUGUGGCUCCAUUUUUUGUCGGCUACAAUAAAAGUAGGUUGUUUUAUUCUUCUUAUACUUUACGCUUGCAUCAGCCUCAAUCACUUCUUAAUCGCUUGCUUUAACUGCAUCGCUCUCUCUGUGCUCUUCUAUAUAUGUAACAGUUACGCGGUUGUAGUUCACGGCUGAGGCUACGCGUUGGUUUGACGUGGCAGUUACGUUACAAGGGGAUAAAUAAGAUUGGUUGCAACAAACCCACUAAUUUUAUAAAAUUCGAGUAAUAUAAAAUAAAAUAAAAAAAUUAAUGCAAAAUUGACUUUUAUUUUUUAUGGUUGACUGUAUUUUGUGUUCUCUUCCGGCACUACUACAAUUGUUCCCUAUAUAUCAGUCACACCCAUAUAUCAUUAACACAAGAAAUGAAAUCUAAUGUCACCUAUUUAGUUAAAGAAUCACUCAUGAAAAAAUUUUACCAUUUUGCAUUGAGGAUCCAUAUUUUGAACUGCAAGCUAAUGUUCAUCAAGAAUCACUAAUGUUCAUAAAAAUCAUAGUAUGGCCGUUGAGUAGAAAAACUAUUUUUGGACAAAUUUUUUUUGUUGAUAGAAGAAUUUCUUAAGGGACUACUAAAAUUAUUAAUAAAAAUGUAGAACACACCCACAUAUCAUCAACACAAUUGACUUUGAGGAUCCAUGCUUUGAAUUGCCGCCUAAUGUUCAAGAACAGAGUAUGCCUUGUGAGUAGAAAAUUUUAUGAUUUUGGCCCAAAAUAAAAAGAAAUUAAAUUAGAUGAGAAUCUGCCACUUUCUCAUAAAGAAAGGCCUAUGGUUUUUCAAACUCUGAAGGGGCCAAUAUUCCCGAAUUCCCCCUUGAAAAUUCUGAUUACGACAUUAUUCAUCGCUUGACGCAAUCAAAGUAGCGACAAAGUUAAGAAAAAUUUGAGUCCUAAGUAAUUGCUAGGUAGGGUUCCUGAGAGCAAAAUUGUCCUAAGCAUUAUAUGCAUACAUGGUGUGGUACAUAGAGCACGUUGAAUUCCACACUAUAACACAAACCCAGAAAGACAAGUAAUAACUCAACUGAUAUAAAGACAAAAAGAAGAUAAAAUGAUAUAGAAAAAAGAAUUUCAAAGAGACAGCAACAUACGAUAGACUGAAGCCACUUGAUCUACUCAUUGAUUGCAGCCUUAAACUUACAAAUAGUUACUGUACGCUAAUGCUCUAAGAAGUGAAAAUGAUGCGAGCCCUUAUUCCCUUUUGACUUCCAUUUACUGUCAAACAUUCUAGUAAUACAAAAAAUUGUUUAGAUAUCUUGCUAUAAAUAUAGCCGUUUGACUGUCAUAAUAAAGUCACAAAUAACCAUUCAUAUUGAUCCACUAUCACACAGCAUGCUUUAUGCAUACAACAUCUGUAUGUAUACCAACUCCUAACCUUAUCAAUACAUUUGGCAAAAACUUAAGAAGAAAACUAUUUCUCCAUCUCUUUUUUGAAAUUUCACAAUAAACCUGCACAUGUGAAAGCUAUGUUCUAAUCUUAUGAUAAAUGCUCUAGACUCCAAAAGGACUUUAUAUAUGAGAGUUUGUUGCAGCAGAUAUAUUGACUUAUCAAGUAUGAAUCAUUGUCUGGAUGAACUAUCUUUAAAUAAAAGAACAUUAGAACCACUGUAGAAUAUCUUUACCCUGCUGGUUCUAACAGGAAUCUGCAUGUGGCAACAAUUGCUAGAUCCACAAUUCCCCAACUUGAAAUACAUAGUUGCACACCAUGAGAUAGUGCUACAAUCUACUGAGAUCUAACUUAUAUGAUACUUUAUGCUACUAAUGUUUGCAUAUUUCUACAUGUUAAAUUAACACUAUCAUCUAUAAUCACUCCAAAACGACAAAUGAUAAGCAGCUUUUGGCUACUUAUUACUAGCAUCCACAAUUAUAAAUAAGAGAUCAUGGGUUUACUUGUUGCACCUACUUAAUGAUCUGCAGUUGAGACCCUGACGCAAGGUUUAAAUAGUGACUGCUUAGAACCCUUGUAGUUGGAUCUUGACCUCUCCC
RNAcentral lists this long non-coding RNA (309392 nucleotides) under Citrus maxima (pomelo). RNAcentral's name for it is "long non-coding RNA (CMAX_LNC001482)". The stretch from base 95581 to 95689 matches the Rfam family "Plant small nucleolar RNA R71". Lineage: Eukaryota; Viridiplantae; Streptophyta; Magnoliopsida; Sapindales; Rutaceae. The record is from RNAcentral.